GUGUAUCAUGAAUUUGACUAUGUAUGACACGUUGCUUCUUGUAAGAAAAAUACUCAUUUAUAUACUUCCAUUUUAUUGAACAUGAUUCACUGUCUUAUGAAUCACUGAUAUACUACAUAGUUACAUUCCACUCUCGUGGAAACUGAAAUACAAACUAAAAGGGACAUAUUUUUCCCAUUAUUUAGUACUCGUUUAGCCUGAUAUUGGCUGUCUAAAGCACAAACACCAAUCAUGGAAUUAAUAUUUAGCAUAAGGCCAAUCACAAUAUAGUGAACUUCCAUCCUCAAAGUAAAGAGUGCAGCCGUCGGAGACGCAACAAUUGGUGCAGUCUGUGUAGGUCUUCGUUCCAUUACAGAUCUUGUACACGGUGCCCCCUAUGCAAUUUCGUGGGCAGGGCCUGAGAAGCCCAUGCCUGACAGCCUUGACUUCAAUAUUUGCCCCCAGAAGAAUCAUUCCUGUUUUCAGUACCAAAAUCAUUUUAAAUCAUGUGCAAACCAAACCUUUUAAGAGGGGUGAGUGCAGAUAUUUUGAAAAAUCAUCCUUAUGUGUGUGUACGUAUAUAUAUGUAGAUGGGAUGAGUACUUCUCUUUUUAUUUUUUGAAACUGCCCCAACAGGUUUAACAAAAGAAUAGAAUUGUACAUACCACAAAAAAGAAUAGCCAUUGCACCAAUCUUGUUGAUUGCCAUGAUUCCUGGUCUUCCAAAAGUUAGCGUUCUGAUUUGAAAUCGCUUGGGCUUUUGGAUAGGCUCUUAUAUAGACUGAGAAGAGUAAAGAGUGAGAGUUGAUCGUGCUAUUAGGUGCAAUUAUUGUGCUCAUUGUGCUUCCGUAGAGUUGUGGGACAUGUCCAUCCUCAAUUAUUGUGCGUCAGGGUCCAUCUAAAAUUAUUUUAAUGUGUUUGGAUAGGAAAGAAUUGGCAGCCUACAUUGGAAUGGGGAUUUGAUCAGCGUUGCUUUGUUAAUUGUUGGGUAGUGAAUGUUUCAACCUUUUGCUAAACGGGUUCUAAGAAACUUCUUUAUAGGGCUUGCCUAGCCACCGUUAGAAAAGUCUACAUUUAGUUCACUUAACAAAACAAUUUAGUAAUAAUUUCAUCCACAUUAUCCUAGAUAAUAUAACAAGCUACCUAAUUUCUAGACAUCCUCACGCGUGGCAUGAGGCACUUAUUGAAUUGGUCAAGAAUAUAAUUCAUGGCCACCACCUUCCCAGAUUGGUCCAAGACAAUUCAGAUGAAGGAUUUGUCAAAAGUCAUUAGUGACUUCGUUGACAAAAGAUCACAAUAAGCCGUAGCAUUUGGGGAGAAAACUAUACAAAUUUGUUGACAAAAGGCCACAAUCGGCCAUAGCAAUUAGUGCGAAAACAUUUACUUGUAUACAGAUAGUACUAACUACACUGACAUGGAAGAACGGACAAAUUGCCAAAGUCCAAUUUUCCAGCUCGAGCGUUACAUUUGUGGACGGCCAACCGUGCCUGUGUCUUGAGCCAAAUCUACACGUGAUUUUCACUGGAUAUUCAGGCAUCUAGACACUAAAAUAGACGAGGAAAAAUGGUGCUGCAUGUUUGGCACCUUACUAAAAUAAAUGGGAUUCAUUUCAUCGGUUGUUGUUGUUAGGGAGAAACGCUUCGAGAGUGCUCAUCAAAUAAUUCAAUAUAUAAAUCAAGAAUCCAAUUCUGAUCCAAAAACUUAAGCUAUUAAGUCUCGAACCCUUAUUUAUAUAUUAAGUGCUCUUUCUCCAUCUUUCGAUUCAAUGUGAGACAUAAUCCUUUAUUCAUAAAUCUAACAAAUCUUUUCCUUUAUGAGUAACCCCUCAUAUUAAACCCAAGUUUAAUGGCUCUUCUCUGAACUCACAUUACUACUCAACGCAAACCCACCUUAACACCGAAGGCCACCUUUUCUUCUAAUCAUGGAUCCACUAUUCUUCAAUAUCCAAAAUGGAUUCCGAACCCCUACCAACUCUUGGCUCCUUGGUCUAAGGACAAUUCGAUCCUCGGCCAAACCCAUGGCGCUCCUGGUCCAAUAUCAACCAAACUCCUUAGCACUUUGAUUCACCACCAAUAAGAGAAUUUUCACCAGAUCAAUUCCUAAAAUAAUCCACUUGCCCAUGAGUAGCUCAAUCUAGCAAUCUGAAACUCUGAUACCACUUGUUAGGGAGGAACACCUGGAGAUAGCCCAUCAAAAAAUUCAAUAUGUAAAGUCAGAAACUCAAUUCUGAUAUAAAACUUUAAACUAUUAGGUUUCGGACCAUUACAUAUUAAGUGUUCUUUCUCCAUCUUUCGAACCAAUGUAAAAUAUAAUCCUUUACUCAUAAACCUAAUAGUUGUGCACCAAAGCUCGAGAAAAAAAUAGAAAAUAAAUGAGGUCAGUUGUUGAAUAAGUGUUUGAGCAAAUAUUAAGUCUAAGGUCAAUUACCUUCCAGGGUUUAAUGUGUAAUUGAACCAUUAAUGUUAUAAUAAAUUAUAUUUUUAUCAUAUGGAUUGCUUACAUUUAUAUAAGUAUGAUAAAACUCUUAGAGCAAACCUAAUCAAUGAAAUCAUAGAGUUAUAAUGGUGAGAUUCAUUCAAUUAUAAAUAAGUUUAUUCUUAAAUAUUACUAGUCGAAAUAUUAACAAGAAAAGGCAUUGUUAAUACGGUUAGACUAGCAUAUACUAUGCCGCUUCAAUAUGAGAAGUAGUAAACCUCAUAUACAUGAUGUCUGAAACUUCUAAAUUAGUAUAUUGGUGCUUGAUAAGAUGGUCAAGUUCAUUAGAUUGAUCCGUAUAGAGACAUCCUUUAAGUACCAAAUGAUUGAUCUCUAAGCAUUUGGGCAAGUGAUUUUUAGAUUUAAUAUUAUCAUGGUAUCUUGAAUACAGAUGGCUAUACUUUAUUUAUUAUAUGAUUGCUCCCAUAACAGAGAAUGCUCACAACAAUAGCAAAUGCGUAUAUACUUGAAGUAUGAAAAAAUGGUGAAUACCUAUAAGAAUUUACCACCUCUUAUGGAAGAGGAGUUAUCUCAUGUCUGACCACUUGUAGAAGUAUAAUUCAAAAUUCUUUUGUGCUAAAUGGAAGAGUUUUAGAUAGUAUUUCUAAAUACUUUUUCAUUGGAUUUAUGUUUUGGUACAAGAAAUGAACAUUAAUCUCAUAUUGGAAUAGACACAAUUUAUUCCAAUAUUAAUGUGAGAUAAGUGUGGUAAAAAAAUAUUAAUUACAUGGUUAACAUUCGUUGAAAGGUGAAAUCAUCCACUUCGCUUUUUUCAUUACUUGGGUAGUCAUGAUGCAUUGUUAGAUGUCAAUCUUAGUUUAUAAAAAUGAAUUGAUUGAUUGGUAGAAUCAAUGACAAAGUAAAGAAGUUUUAAUUUAUCUAAUUUUCAUUUAUUAAAAAUUAUAACUCUUACUUAUUACCAACAUAUAUGAGAACCUAAUGGGUCAUACACAUAAAGUACUACAUUAAAUAGAUUAAAUCAAUUUCAAGUAGGGAUUUGAUAGAUAGUUUUUAUAACUUAUAGUUUAAUUUGUGAAACAAAUAAAAAUUGAGGGAUUUGUUGUGCAAAUAAGUUUAAGUCUUUCGAAUACAAGAGUUGUAUUAGGAUAAGGAAGUUGAAUCCUAUUGGAAACUGGUUUCAGGUUUUCAUAAGGAUAUGGACAAGUUAUUUGUUUAUAAAAAUACUCACUAAACAUUUUUGCUAUCAAGACUAAUUGAUACACCAAUUGUCUUGUGAGAUUUUUGAGAAAAAAUCUUGAGAGAAAAAUACCUAAAAUUCGUCCAAGAAAAUAAGAGAAGAAUCACAUCUCUUAUUUUUCUCAUUGGAGCAGUAAUUCAUAGUGAAAAACUAGUGUUUUUCCUAACCAAUUUAUGGGAAGUGCCUUGGCAAUAGGGAGCACUAAUCUAGCUUAAACUGAUUCAACUUAGUUUAGGUUCAUGUGGAUCACCGUUAAAGACCGAACAUUUGUAUUGUUACGUGGAUCGCUUUGCCCUUCUUUGUCAAAUCUCCAUCGGUUUAAGAAGAUUUUCAUGGGUUGAAGUAAUUUUCUUAAAUUAAUUUUAUGUCACAUAGAUUUAAUCAAAGGUGGAUCUACUAAAGGAAUAAAAAAUUUUAAAUUUUUUGCUAUGCAUAUCUCUAUAAUUCCUUACAAUGGUGUCAAAGCCAGAUUUGAUUAACCCAUGUGACAAAUUUAUUGAAUUGUCAUGGAUGAUGAUUAGAUCACAAUUAUAUGCUAUUCUCGAAGUUAGUUUUGGGUUUUAUAUGAACAAAGUUGAUUGAAAAUUUUUUAGAAUUGUUUUUAAAAAUUUUUUAAUGCUUGUAAUAUGAAGUUUUCAAUCGAAAAAUGAAGUUUUUUUGGCCGUUUUAUGAUGAGAUCACGAACGGCACAAAAACGAAGAUAAAGUGAUAAUGGUUAAAUUUGCUGUCUUUUUGAAUGUGUUUCAUAUUGUUUUUGAGUCAAUUUGUAAGAUAUUUGGUAUGAAUUGUCCAUUUUAUGUCACUAAAUUGCACCUUCUUGUGAUAAAUGAAUUAUUUAUGAUUUUUUUAUCAUUUUACUUGCAAAGCUUCUCUAUUUUUGUAGGUGAAAUGAUCAAGUUUAAGUGGAAUUAUAAGUAAAAUGAGCAAGGAUAUGAAGCUUGAGGAGUCACAAUAAAUGCUAAGUGAAGUGGUGCAAAGGAAAAAAGAAAACAAAAGGAGAGAAGAUGAAUCCGUGGCAGAAACUGCUCGUAUUUUCUCAUGCGGUUUGUGAUCAGAACUUCAAUUCAUAGUUGCUCUGUACAAUCCCUGGAAGAAUCCCUCCAGGGAUUAGUCCAAGGGAUUCCUGGCAGCUGCAAGUUACCAACUUGCAUGCUUCUUGUUUCUUUCUUAAUCUUGGACAAGACACAAGAGGACAAUUUGUACCAACUUUUGGAGGAUCUAGGAGCUUUUUUGUUGACUCUUAACAACAAAGAAAUACAUUAUUGAGGAGAGAGAUUGGCUCUUGAAAACCAAGAAUAUAUACUAGCUAGUUCUUCUAGUUUGAGGAAGAGUGGGCAGUGAGUUCAAAAUUAGCUUGAGAGAAGAGAGAGAGUUUGGAGGAAGAAGAAGAACAACAAAAGGGUUGUGUCUUGCCCCAAAGUCUUGCCCUUUGGGGCAAGGGGCAAGACACAAACCCUUAAUAAAUGUAAUUCUCUUUAUUUUCUCUUAUAUUAAUGUAGGUUAGUGUAGUAUAGUCUAGUUGUGGUUAUCCAUGCUUGUAUUGGUUCAACAAGGAGAGGCCUACGGAGAUGAGAAUGAGAGGCUCAAGAAACUCUAGUAACAAGGAUUCUCUUAUCUCCACUUUUUAUCUUUGUAUUGAACUCUAAAUUUGUUAAUGCAAGAUUUGGAUAUUGUGUUUGUGAUGUUAUUUUAAAAUAUAUGCCUUGGGUAUUUGGUUGAAAUUUCGAUGAUUGUUUGGUGUUAAUUUCUUGGCUAAAUGAUGCUAUUAUCUUGAUUGAGUUAUUUAGCACUUUUGCUCUUAUAAUCAUGAUUAACUGGCCAUCGAUUAUGAUCAUCUAAAAGUGUUAGAUUUGCAAUGAGAAUUGAAAUUUGACACUAGUUCAUAGAAGUGUUAAACCUAGGAAGUACACUCAUGAAAGUAGAGGUACACCUUUGUGGAUUUUGUGGCUUUGUUCCAUGUAAUUUCAUAGAAGUGAAUGAACUUAUAGUUGACUUCAUAACCACGAAAGUAGGUAUGAAUUAACUAUAGGUAUAGUUGGUACGCCAGCGAAAGUGGGUAUCACAUCUAUUAGAAAAUUAUGCCAUAAUUUAACCGAGAUUUUGGUACUCAUUUGGUUAGGGAGUUAGGCUAGCAUGAAUAGGUAGGGAUUCCAUUAUCCAAGGAGUUUUCAUUUGCAUUUAUCUAUCCGUUUAUCCCUUAGUUUAUUUCUUUUAAUUUGUUGAACAUCUAAAUAAUAAAGGAAUUUAGUAGUGCCGGUAAUUAUCCAUUCUUCUUUAUAGGAUCGACCCUUAAUACCAUAUACUCGGUCUCGACUCGUAUACUUGUGAAAAAUUACGUGUGGGGUAUUUAUGUUUUUAUAAAUGUAAAACUUGACUGUGGAUUAGCAAAUUAUUAUAUGUAUGCCUCGUACUCGUCAUAAAGCAUGAACUAAGACGAAAAUUGUAGGACGUUAUCAGCAUGAUUAAAGUCAAGGGUAAAUUGUCAUUGAUGCAAGUCAUAUGACCAAGACCCAAGGUUUAAUUAAUCUUGCAUGGCAGAACGUUCUUGGCUUUCUUAUGGCAUGCAUUUUUUUUAUUUGUUUUGAAUAUCGAACAUUCUCGGUUUGGAUUGAAGAUUAUUUAAAAUUUUUUUUGGGAUGUGAUGUAUAUGAGAUAAAAGAAUAAUUGAAAAACGUGUAUAUGAGGUAAUAAUUUUUUUCUUUUAAGAAAUUUCAAUCCAAAUAGACGUCUUGAUGACUGUUUAAAUGUGAUGAGAUCACAUAAGUACAAAAUGCAACGAUUAAAGAAGAAACAUAGAAGCCAUACCUAUUUUUUUUUUUUUUUGGAAACAGGUUACUUUAUUUCAUAAAAAAGGAGGGCAUAUAUGGCAAACAAAACCAGAAACCACAAGUGCUAGCGUAACCUACACUCUAACUCUACGCAAACUUGGAACACCCAUCUGAUCAAAAGCGAAGUCACCCCUCACCAAGCGAGGCAAAUCACGCAAUGAGCCAUACGUUAGAGUCUUCCCUGAGUCCGCUCCGAUGUUUGCAAGGCGGUCAGCCGGUUUAUUCGCUUCCCGAAAGCAGUGUGAUACCUCUCUAACGAAUCUUUUAACUUUUAACAGGUCCUGUAAGUUCCCUCGCAACCGCCACGGACACCGAGUCUUCCCUUGAAUGAUCUGAACCAGAACCAAAGAGUCAGAUUCUAAAUGUAACUCAGAAUACUCACGAUCAAUAGCCAGCCCAACACAAAAAAUCAUCGCUUUCAAUUCAGCCUGCAGACUCGUCAUCUCCCCAAAGAAGCACGAGUACCCCAAAAUAAACCUUCCUUCCGAGCACUAAAGCACCCCUACCUCCACUCACCCCCAGGUUUUCCGGAGAGCAGCCAUCCGAGUUCAGUUUGACGACAUUAUGAACUGGGCAGCUCCACUGAACCACCAAGGUCCUGGAAACCCUAUGCAGGCCAACCACCAUACCGUAAAAACCCGGCCAAUCCUGAGCAGAGAUAGUGAUGCUUUUAAAUUUAAGGAGGAAAAUAUCCCUGAGGUCCCCAAAAAUUGCCUCACACACACGAGCCAUGGGUCGCAGAUGGGCAUCAAAGACAAACGAAUUCCGCAUCUUCCAUAAAUUCCAACAGAUCAAAGACGGCAAUAAACGGAAAAGGUACUGGAGGUAUGGGUUCCGAGUAGGCUUCAACCACCAGCUAACCAACUUGUGGCGUAUCGUAAAGGACUCCUGAAACCCUCCGAUCACCCCUUCGAAAUAACCCCAAAUCCUCUUUGCCGCCUCUUCGGUACAGAAAAUAUGAUCAGAAGAUUCUUGACAUGGGUGUAGACAACAACCACAACAAGAGGGGCCGAAUAUACCAAGUUUAUGCAACCUGUCCAUCACUGGCAAAUGGGACCCUACCAAUCUCAACAUGAAAAAAGAAAUCUUUGUCGGCUGCCCUUGAAGCCAGAGCGGUGAGUAGAGCCAAGAGCUGUUUCUAUCCUCUCGAGCGAUCCGGUUGGCUGAUGCUAAUGAGAAGACACCGGAGGUACUAGGAGCCCAAACCAUGGUAUCCGUCUGGUCCAGCGAGGAAGGCAUGACUCCCACUAUCCUCCCCACCCAUCCGCUAGGCGCUACCCUGCUUAACCGUUGUACAUUCCAACAACCCUGUUCAAUAAAAUCGGAAACCGAGUACUCCUAAAAAGUAUCCAUGGAACGACAUAAUGGGUCCGUCCCCAACCAAUUAUCAUGCCAGAAGCUCACAUUAGCCCUAGCCAAAACCCAAUAGAUGUGUUGCUCUGCUACUCCCUAGAUAGCCACCAGUCUCUUCCAAGUCCAAGAGUCCCCAGGAGAAGUAUCAGCAAAGGAAGGAUGAAGGUUGGAGCAAUAUUUACAGUGCAUGAACUCAACCUACAACAAUUGUCGCAACCGGAAGUGCCACCAUAAUCUCAUGGAGAAGGCAUCAAACACAUGCUUAAGAGAUUUCAAACCAGCACCCGCCUGUCAUACGAGUUGCACAACUGGAAGCACGGCCUAGCCUUUAAGGAGCUGCAUAAAAAAUCAGCAAAAAUGCUCUCCAUCCCACUAAAUAUCGACUUGAGAGGGAUUGAAGCAGCGAAUGUGUGAAGCGGCAUAGAGGACAGCACACUCUUGAUUAGAGCUAAUUUACCACCAUGUAAGAAAAACCUCUCUUUCCAUAACAACACUUUACUCGUGACCGAGUCACAAACCCCUGCAAAGUAGCAUCUCCUCCUCCGCCCUGCAUAUAAAGGAUAACCCAGAUAUCUGACCAGAAACUCCUUCGACUGAAACCCAAUCAUCUCCGCAAUAGACCGUUUCCUGCUCCCGGGAAAAUUGGCAUGAGCCAAGACACAGCUCUUUUGCUGGUUCACUUUUUGACCUGACACUGAAACAUAAGGGUCCAGCGCCUUCAGCACCAACCGCACAGAUUGCCGCAAACCACUAGAGAAGACAAUAACAUCAUCAGCGAGGCUAGAUGAGUAACAGGCGGGCAGCCCUGCGAAACUCUAAAAGGCGUAAAACCCCGAUAGCUACUCAAAGUGUUCAACAGACGAGAAAGAACUUCCGUACUAAUCACAAAGAGCACCGGUGAAAUCGGAUCUCCUUGUCUCAAUCCACGACUAGAUUUGAAGAAUCCCUGAAGCGCUCCCUUAACUAUUACAGAGAACCACACAUUCGAGAUAAGUCUCCAAAUCAUAUCAAUCCAUACCUCGCCAAACCCAAACCUUCUCAACACCUGGAGCAAAAACGGUCAAGAGACUCUAUCGUAGGCUUUGGCCAUAUCGAGAUUCAAAACUACAUUUCUCUCUCUAUUUUUCCGGUGAAUAUCCGACACAAACUCUUGGACCAACAGAAAAUUAUCAAAAAUUUGCCUACCCUUAACAAAGCCACUCUACUGAGGAGAGAUAAUACUUGGCAGCACCUUUGACAAUCGAGCCGCCAGUUUUGAUAUAACCUUAUUGACAAAGUUGCAAAGGCUUAUGGAUCGAAACUGACUAAAGUCUUGGGGUGAGGACACCUUUGGAAGCAGUACUAUCAAAGUCGACAUAACGCUCCUCAGCAGCUCGUGAUCACAGAAGAAGCUAACGAUGGCUUCAAACACAUCAUGCCCCACUAUGUUCCAUGCAAAGGUUAAAAACCUACCUGUGAAUUCAUCAGGGCCCGCCGCACUCUCCCCAUCCAUUGCGAGUACCACCUCUUUUAUCUCCUUCAUCGAGGGAAGGCGCUGCAACUCAGCAUUUUGUUCCCUUGAAAUAAUAUUGGGAAUGACCUCCAAAGUGCUCCAUGACCCCGUACAAGGUUCGGCCGAGAAUAAAGAUGUGAAAUACUCUACUGCCUCCGUCGAAAUGUGAGCUUCAUCAAUCAGCCACUCCCCCGUGCUACUCCGAAUCCGGUGUAUAACUGAUUUAGCACGUCUCUCUGCCACUACCGCAUGAAAGAACCUUGAGUUUUUAUCUCCGUCCUGAAGCCACUUGAUUCUUAUUUUUUGCCUCCAAUAUGCUUCCUCCUUGACCAUAGAGUUUCUCAUAACCGCCAUUGCCUCCUGGAGUGCUAACCAUUGUUGUUGUGAUGGGUUACUAUCAAGUGCAGCCUCUGCCGCUAUUACUGCCUCCUCUGCCUGCUUCACUGCAUCGAAUAUAUUGCCAAAGUGCUCCCGCGACCAAUGUUGGAUUGCAUGUUUAGUGAGCCGUAAUUUGGCAGCCAACCGCUGCAAUGGGCGUCCUGGGCAAUAGCUUGGCCAACUCAUCCUAAUGACAUCUAACAGCUCUACUUUCGAAGUCCAAACGUUUAAGAAACGAAAAGGUCUAAACUUGUUAUCAAGUCGAGUCGAAGCUGAUAACAAGAGGGAGGAAUGAUCGGAAGGCUCUCUGCCUAGGUGUCAAACUCCAAAAGUCAUCCCCAUUAAAGUCACAAUCGGACUACAUAGCAGUCUAUCUAGUCGCUUCCAAAUUCGAGCACGACCACCCCUAUUGUUACACCAUGUGAAACAUGACCCUGAGAAUCCUGCGUCAAACACCCCAGCCCUGGACAUAAAUGAUCUCAAUUCCACACCUUCAUCAACCCGGAAAGGCAACCCGCCUCGCUUCUCUUCUGCACUAACAAUGGUAUUAAAAUCCCCACCACCAACCAUGGAUCAUCCCUCGGUUUAUCCACUAACAACGCUGACCACAACGGAACUCGCUCUUGCUCAGUACACCUUGCAUGGACGAAGAAAAAAUAAAUGGGAGCCGACAGCACCUGAGGUGAGAUUCUAAGGGACAGGUGUUGAGGAGAUUCCCCAACAGGAGCACAUUGGAAGCCAUUUUUAUAGAAUACCCAGAUAGAUCCCACCCUAUUAACCAUCCAACUAUCCAUAUUGAGACGAGCACAUAUCAUUUAGAUGUCACACGCCCAAACCUUUGGCUCACAAAUAGCCACUAAUUGAAUCGAGAACUCAAAAAUUAACCUUUUUAAUCUACGAAAAUUUGGAGUACGCGAGAUACCUCGAAUGUUCCAGAAUAGGAAAUUAAUCAUCAGAUAAUGCAAAGAAGGAGUUAGAGCACACCUUUGCCUUCGAGCGUAGAGAAAGAUCAGUAGGAGCCCACAAGCGAACACCCUUACGCUUAGGUUUAUCAACUAGCUUAACAUCAUCCCCACCAUUAGCCUUCUCCUGAAUCUGUUGAAUUAUUGGGUCAAGGUUAAAAAUGUCGAUCACCAAGGAGCUAGGCUCACAUUGCCGUUGGACUAGUUGCCCUUGCGGCGAUAGACUGCCAGCCCUCUGCUUAGCCAUGGAAAUGGCCUCCUCCUCCAACUACCCAUCGGACACCAUCUCCUUCUCUCCCUCAAUCGCUGCCCCAGGUUCAGCACCAUCCCUUCCAUCCACCAACCCAUCAGGCGAUGGUUGCACCAACACCUACUGGAAAGGCAACCCGUGCGCAAGCAAAGGGUCCUGCACCAGCGUAGCAUGGCCUGCUGCCACCCUUCCUCACUGGCUCCAACUGCUGCAAGCACCAUGCUGGUUCCAGCAGGCGGCCGCCGCUGUUCUCCCCCCAAACCCACGGCUUGCGGCAUCGCCAACUCCUCCGUAGAGUCUUCCUGCUGCCGUCCCAUCCUCCAUCAAAGGACUGACCCAGCCAGGCUUUGGUUCUGCGCACAGUCUACGGCAACCCCUCUAGCACUUGCCCCUACGCUACCCACAGGAUUAUCCCCAUCCGCAUGCUGCAAAGUUUCCUCCUGGGCAGUCGCCUUUCCCUUGGCAUUAGACUCCAGUGGGAUGCCCUCAACAGGCACAGGCGAGCUACGCACCUCAUCACCCUUCUUCUCCACCUUCUCCAUCUUCAAAGUAGGAUGAAGAACGAAGCAUGAAGCCCUGUCAUGUCCCUGUUUGAAGCAAUAGUCGCAGUAUUGGGGAAGACGUUCCGGGAUAAGCUGCUGCCAAAAGCCACCAUGCUCCCCAUUACCAAUCCAUAUCUGUGAAGGGAGAGGUUGUAGCAAAUCAAUCUCCACACACACCCUAGCUACACUAGGGCGCACUCCAGAAGCUGUUGCAGAGUCCACGAACAAAGCCUUACCCAAGCAGCUCACAAUCUGAAAGAGAGACUCCUUGUGAAAGAGAUGAAUCGGCAAUUUCAGCAAUUGGAACCAAACCCGCACCACCGAAGGCUCACGAUCGACAUGGAAAGUGGUUGACCAUUUAAACACUCGCAAAAGAACACCAUGAAUGUACCAAAUCCCACGAGACCAAAGCCUAAGGAAAUCCAGCUCAUUCCCCAAUCGAAUGAGAACAUGUCUAGAGUCGAGUAAGCCUACCGUCGUUGUUUCCCUGAGAUCCAAAGUCAGAAAAAACUUCUAUAUAACCUCCAUGCUAGGCCUUCCCUUAGAGAAUUUGCCGACGAGAGCAAACAUGAAAGGAGCGGACAGAGUGUCAAGAUCAUCCUGAGCAAAGGAUAUAGCAAGCUCGCCCCUAUGAGAGGACAGCAUAGCCUUGACAUUGAGUAGGGGCUGAUUCAACUGAGAGAAGAGUGAAGAGAGAGACUUCAUUGCAAAGGUGGGAGAGAGCAAAGAUGGUUGCCCUCCAGGCAUCAGCCGGAGGGCAGCCAUGGCUGCCAUGUUACAAGCGAAACCCUUGGAAGAAGAAACUAAGGCAAGCAGGCGGCAACCCUCGAAGCCAUACCUAUGAAUUAAGAUGAGCCAAAUUAAUUGUUCAAAUAGUUUGACUUUGUAAACUUAGGAAUCUUGGCCUAAUCUUUAUCAUAGUCAAAUUGAUUUGCCUUGGUUUCUUCUUCCAUGCAUGAAAACGUUUCAUGCCUGUAUUGUUUGGUUGCUGGAAAUUGCAUGAAAUCACUGUUUUACAAUGGUUUUUAACGUAGUCCCACGGCAGCUACUUUGUUGCAAUUUUUUUAUUCUUGUUGCUUCGAAUUCCUACCAUGUAAUGAUGGUGAAGUUGAUAUUCGAUUGGUUAACAAUUGCUAAAAAUUUUCUGGAGAAAGGAAAAUUGGGAAACCAGUAAGUUUCCAAUGACAAAUAAGAUAUGGUCAUUGAUUUCCAUUUUUCGUGUGGGUUUCUAUGACAACAUGAAAAGUUCCUAUAUUUCUAAUAUGAUUAGAAUUAUGGUAUUUUUUAAAAAAAAAUCUUAAAAAUUCAAAUUGGAAAAAAAAUUGUUCAAUUAAGUUUUGAAAACUUACUAAAUUUUGGUGAGACUAAAAUUAAGAAAGUCUAAUCAACUUUAGAAACUUCCAAAUUUGUUGAGAUUAAAUUUGGCAAGUGUUGAAAUACUUUAGAAACUUUCUAAUUUAAUGAAAUUAAAUUGGGAAAAUACUCUAAAGUUAGUAUUUGAAAGUCUAAAAUGACUUAAAAGAAAAUUUCCUUUCCUGAGUGAAUUAAGAAAUUCUAGUUGGACUAUAAAAUCAUUAUUUAGACUUGGGCUCAUAAUCAGAUUAGGCAAAAGUUUUGUUCAUGGUUUUAAAAUAUUGAAAAUUGUUCUAAUGAGAUUAGAAAAUGUAUUCCAUAGUUUUUUCAAGAAUUGAAACUUUAAAUGGCUUAAAAUUUGAGCAUAUAAUGAUUCAUGAUUAGAAUUAAAUAAAUGCAUUAUUAUGCUUUCAUUUAGUGUUGUAUUAUGUGAAUUCAUGAUAGAUGGUUAUGGACUAAAACCAAUAUGAAUGGUUGAAUGUAUGUAUGUUUUGGUUUUGGUAUUUUCGAAAUAGGACCUAUGUGUCUUGCUUUCUCUAAAUACUCUCAAUAUAAAUGCUCUUUUCAUCUCACUCCCAUUGAAUGUAAGUCAAAGUUUCUCUCAAUAUUAUGUAAUGUACUAUAUUAGGCAUGGGGAAAGGUUGAGAAUCUAAAAUAUUUAGAUUAGGUUUAUAUUUAUAAUGUACAAAGAAGAUGGAGAUGGCACCAAUUCUACCAUGACAGACAUACAAAAGGUGUACAAGGCAUGGAGAUAUUAUUUGUCUCUCAGUUGACCAUCUAGUUUUCUUUUGGCUCAAGAAAACUAGUUUAGCAAUAAAAUCCAUAAUCAUCCAUGUUUAAUUAUAGUAUGUUUAUUUAUUUAUUUGAUGAAUAGAUAUGCAUGUUAUAUACUUGAUGAGCCCAACUUGGAUAUAUUAUGUCUAAAAUUCCUCAAUUAGAUGUUAAGUCUGGACACAAGUUGCCUUUCAUUGUUAUAGUAAAAUAUGAGUUCUUGUUCAAGGACGCAUUUUAUUAUGAGAUGAGAUCUUGGAAUAAUAAGUUAAACUUAACUACAAUAUAUAACUUGUUCACCUCAAUGAAGGUUGUAUGUUGUAGAGGCAAAGAUUAAGAAACACAUAAGAUGUGUCUUGUCUAAAGUUGACAAUUUAACUAUCUAGAAGUUAUAAUUAUUGUAAUUGGUAAUAAGUACCAACUUGUUUUAGUUAUCUUGGUUUAUUCACCUUAAUGUAGAUUAAAAUAACUAAAAUGAGAUUCUAACCCACUAGGGAUUUUUGAAUUCCUGGUUUCAUGUUUGAGGAUUAUAGUAUUAAAAUAGUGGGAACAAAAUCAAACUUAUUUUUAUUUUUACAUAAAUAGCAAUUCUCUUUUAUCUUUACAACUUGUUGAAGAAAUUAUGAGUAAUUACAUAUUAUUCUUAAUAUAAUUAAUAUUUUCAAUUUCUUGGACGGGCAAAGAGAAUUGAGAGAAGUUUUCAAGUAAAUCUGGUUAUAUCUUUUAAAACUUUAAUACUUCCAAUCAUGGAAGAUGGAAUGGAAUUAAUAGUAUAUGCUUAUAGUAAGUACAAAGGAGAUGACGAUAGUGUGUCAUAGAUGAUUCCUAAAUCUCUUAUGUUACAAGGAUUCAUUUUCUUUCACCAUAAUUAGACAUCUCAAAGCGUUGAAUAACAGAUAAUCAAGGUUUAAGAUAUAUGAAAUUCUUGAACAAUAAUUCCAUCACUAAAUGACAAAAUUUUCUCUAAAUAAACAUUGAUUUAUUAGAGAACGAUUAGCUAUAUUGAAAAAUUAGUUUAAUCAAAUUUUGUCAUGGACUAUAAGUCAAGUUUUGACUAAAAGAAUAUAACUUAUCAAGAGUUGAUAAGGUGAAUCAAUUAUCAAGAGUUGAUAAGGUAAAUCAAUUAUCAAGAGUUGAUAAGUUAAAAGGUUUUAAAGAAUAAGUCUUAUAGUUCAAACUUUGAUUGCAUGAUUUUAACUUGAAUAAAAUGUAACUUUGUGAAAGUUUUAUUUUAAGUUAAGUUUACAAUUGAGAUUAAUUAGUAUAUUUACUUCUAAAUUAAAUUCCUUGGGUAUGAGAUACCAGAUAUUCAAUAUGCUAGGAUUCAAAAGAAGUAAAUUAAAGAGAAAGGUAAUGAUAAGUAUGCAUUUUGAGAUAUUUAAGUGUGUUUUAUUAUUUAGUUUUGGUAUGUUUUAUCCAUUUUUAUAGUUAAUUAACUAGGUUUCUAGUGAAAUUUACAUUUUAUGGUUUAAGUGUGAAACAUUGCAUUUCUACAUGUUAAAAUGGUGACAAUUUCAUAUUUUUGUAGGUUUAAUGAUUCAAUCAUCAAAUGAAAAGAAUUGCAAAGACGUUUGGAUGAUUGUUGAUGAUUUAAAAAGAAUAUAAAGUACCAAAUUCUCAAGAGAUGAAAUGCAAUCAAGUAUUAAAGAAAAGAAGUUUGACAGUUUUGACAACUGUUGGUAUUUCAAUUAUAUCUUGAAUAACCAAUAUCAGAUUGAGGUGAUUCUUGAGCCAUUUUGAAGUAAGACAUAACUUAACAUUUCUUAUGAAGAUAUCGAAAUCCAGUUCAUGAGUUUUCAUAGUCACAAAUUCGAAAUACAGUUGACCAUUUCUGUUGUCAAAACUGAAAUAGGAGAUUGACCAAUCAAGGAUAUUUUGGUUAUUUUUUAGUUUGCAGAACUCCAAAUUGAGCGAUUCUUGAAAACUAAAAAAGAUAACUAAAAGGGCCGUAACUUUUGUGUUUUGAAAAAAAAGUUAGUUCAACCUCUAUUAUCAAGAAAAUAUUAGUAAAAUUUGGUGCAAAAACAGAGUAAGGUUGAAGAUUGGUCAGAAAUGAGGAAACUUGCAAUAAGGCAUAAUGUGGGGUAAUAUGCGACCUCAUGCCCACAUUUUCAGAGGUCACGUAUGCUUCAAUUGCAAUUACAACUUACUCAUCAAUUUGUUCUGUAUUCACAUAGUUUUUAUAACUAUUCCCUUACUCAGAAUUUCGGCCAUAGCUAUAAAGAAAAGUGUAGAGAUUUCAAAAAACAACUUUUGAUGAUUUCAAGAGACAAAAUUGUCAACUAGAAACAACUCGCUUUGAGCUUUAAUAUUCUAUAAAAGGGCCUUUGUUGAACUUGCUUCACAACUUUGGCAGGCUGUAAACACUACCAAAAAUGUAGUUUUCAUUAGUUUUUCUUAGUUUAUUAGUAUAAUAUAGUUAGUGUAGUUUAUCUAUCUUGUAUUUGUAGUUAGAUUUGGAUGAAGAAUUGAAGAACAAGAUGGAGAGCUUGCAUAUCAUGUGACAAGGGUGAUUUCUCUCCUAUCACUUUCUCUUUUGCAUUUGAGUUCAUGUUUAGCCAUAAUACAAGUAUGGUCUUUUCUUUCAUUCUCUUUAUGUUUUGCUAAAGUUAUGCCUAAAUUUAUGGAUGAAUUUUCUAUAUCUUGUUAGUGAUGUUUACUUAAUUAUUUGGUGAUAUUAUUUUGAACAAAUUAUUUAGAACUUUUGCUUUUCUAAUCAUAAUUAACUAGCCAUUAAUUGUGAUAAUCUUAAGGUGUUAAGUUUAUAAUGAAAAUUGAGAUUUAACAAUAGUUUAAAGAAGUACUAAACCUAGGGAGUAUACUCACGAGAGUAGAGGUGCACUUUUAUGGCUUUAAUGGUUUGUUCUAUGUAAUUUCAUAGAAUAAAUGAACUUAUAGUUAAUUUCAUAACCACGAGAGUAGGUAUGAUUUAGUUAUAAGUAUAGUUGAUUUACAAUGAGAGUUGAUUUCACAUAUAUUUAGAAAUUAUGCCAUAACUAACCAAGAUGAUAGCAUUAAAUUAAUCAAUAAUUUCACUUGCAAAAGUAGUGAAGAAUUCCAUAACCCUAGGAGCUUUCUAUUGUUACUUUUAUUACUUUUAUUUCAUGUUUAUAAUGUAGAUUUAAUUUCUUUCACUUGUGAUAGUUUAAGUAAUAAAGGAAUUUGAAAACUAUCGGUAAUUGGUAAUCUUCCCUAUGGGAUCGAUAUCUAACAUCCCUUGUACUUGAUAAAUGAUCGGUAUACUUGCAGAAAAUAGAGUAUUUAGGUUUUAUUAAAAUUGGGGUAUGGUAGAGCCUUGUCAAUAAGUAUCUACUUUUAUGAGAUAAAAGUUAAUUCAUUAAGAUGUAGUGACAAAUUAUCUUUCUUAACCUAGUGGACUUAUUUUAGAACUUAAUAAGUGUUAUUAAUCUCUAAAAUAAAAGAAAAUUAUUUUCUCAAUAUAAUGUUAGCCGACCUGAAAUCAUCUUAUCUUUGACAUUUAUAAACUUAGUCUUGUGAAUAAGUUUCAUACCUUUGAAUUACAUGAUGAUAUUUGGUUGGAUUCUAUUGAUUAUGAAUCAUUUGAGAUAGUGAAUCUUAUUCAAGACUAAAUAGGUCUUUUGUUUGAAAAGGCUUAAAGAAUUGUUAAAAUUCAUUCAUUCUGAUGUAUGUGGAAGAUCAACAAUUCAUGUUAGAGAUAAUUAUUUCUUAUACUUUAGUACUUUCACUAAUAACUAUUCAAAAAUGGACACAUGUGCUUUUAAGUUCAAAUCCAAAGUUUUGAGAACUUAAAGAAUUAUGAGAUUAGAUGCACCAUGCAAGUUUACCAAAAUAGUUUUGAGGUUUGUCCUAAAUAAAUUACCUUUUAUACACUAAAUCUUAUUCCAUGUAUAUAUUUGUUUAAAGUAUAUCAUGUGAGAUAUAGAGUGUUAGAAAUUUCAAAGCUUUGUGAAAGUUUGGAUUGCCCUACUUAUAAAGUAGGCAUCUAUAAUUAGACAAGUUGGAGUUAAGAUUCGAUUAAAAUCUUUUGUGGAGAGUUCUUGAGAAUUAAAAGGAAAAGAAAGAUCAGCCAAAAAGAAGAAGAGCAAAUCGGUUCUCUCUGUUUCAUUGGUUUGAUUUCAUCCACUCAUAAGUUUGAGUUUCCCUGUCUUCUCCAAAAACACUGUUAUAUUACCAAAUAAAAAGUGUUUUUUCCUCCAAAAUUACUAUUUUUUAGAUAAAUUGCUCAUUCUAGAUAAAGUAGUGGGAGUAAGAUAGAAUUUAAAACUUGAAAGAGUUUCAAGUAUCACAAAAAGAAGUUGAACAAAAACAUGAAAUUGGAGCUUGCAUUUCACGAUGAUGAUGAGCCACAACAAAAGUGCUUAAAAUUAGGGUUUCAUAAGUCUCGAAAAUAUAGAUUUCUUGUGGAGAGUCAGUGUUUGAUCAUGUGCUCUUAGUGACUUAUGAAUAGUUUUAUGACUCAUAGAAAUGGUUAAGAAUUAUAAAUCUAAAAUGAAUUUCAUGUUUGACAAAAGGUAUUGACCAUAGUCAAUUCGUCUAAGGGUAUAAAAGGCCUAUUAGGUGUAAGAGAGUUUUUCGAGUAAAGACCAAUAUAAAAGGAAAAGUGUUACCUAUAAAGUUUAAUUGGUAGAGAGAUUACCUUUAAAGAUAAGUAAUAAUCUUUAACGAAACCUUCUCUAGUCAAUAAGUUUAAAUUAAUUUAGAUUUACUUACUUUCUUUAACUAUGACUUAUAGCAUGGCAAAUAGAUAUUAAAAUCACUUUCCUUGAAUGGAAAUGAUAAAUGAUUGUGUAUGUAACAUAGGUUAAAGUUUUCUAUAUCUUGUGUGCCAUUAAAGCAAGUUUCCAAGAGUUGUAUCAUCCGUUUUAAUGAGAUAAUCAAAGAAUUUGAUUUUAUCAAAUUUGAGAAUAGGCCUUAUACUUAUAUGCAAUUUAGUGGGAGGUAUCAUAAUUUCAUCAUUAUAUAUGUGGUCAACAUAUUAUACUUGGAAAUACCUAUGCUCCAAAACUAUAGGUAUAGUUGAUUAAGAUUUUCUCCAUGGUGUUAAGGAGAAAUAGUUUUCUUUUUAGGAGUAAAGAUCUAUAGUGAUAGAUCAUGAUUGCUUGGCCUUUUGUAGUACAUAUAUAAGAUGCUAAAGACGUUUAGCAUGAAGUGAUCUAAGAAGAGAUGUAUCUAUAUCAUACAACGUAAUCCUUUCAAUGCACAAAGCUUAUUGUGUUCUUUGGUCCAUGAAGAAUUAAGAUUGGUAAUUUGAGAAUAUACUUAUAAAUAAUCUUACAAAGAUGAUUUGCAAGUUUUUUUUAGUACAAUAAGCUCUACAUCUAUUACAUCUUACUCUAUUUCCUAUAUCUAUCAGCACUAUAUCCUCUAAAGCCUCUAUCUCUAUAGUAACUAAGUACUCAGUUAAUGUCUAACGUUUCCGUAAAAAAAAAAAAGUACUCAGUUAAUGGCUCAUAUAUAUAUAACACCUAUCUAGCUCAUCAAACACUUGUAUUCAAGUCCCCAUUCGAGCAGUAGUUCCAGAUUUUCAUUUGUUCUUGGAGCACUCUCCCACGAUACACACGUUGAUUGGACACAAUUUACAAUUGCUGCAACAAGUUGAACUUUGGUUUUGCUGAUUUGCUUAAAGACCCUGCUAUUCCUCUCCUGCCAUAAGUGCCAAACAAUCACAGAGAGAACCAGCCUUCUAAGUUUAGUUGCAAAGGAUUCACCCUUCAAGAAAACACUGCACCAUUGCGCCUCCAUCUGCCAACACAUAUCUCCUCUAUAUACCAAACACAUUUUUUUGUACUUUUUGCCAAACUGACUUAGCAAAAGCACACUCAAAAAAUAAGUGGUCUAUUGACUCAAUCCCUCUACAAAGUACACAUGUUGGAUCAACAUUCUGCAUUCCCCAUUUUCUCAGUCUAUCUUUUGUCAUCAGCUUUCCUUGUACAACCAACCAUAAAGUAAAAGCAAGCUUCGGAAUGCAACCCUUCCCCCACACCAUUUUAUACCACUUUACAGUUUCACCACUAGGAAAUAUCCUCCUCAUUGCAAAUUUGAUAGAGAACAUGCCUGUUGAUGAUCCUAGCCACCUCACAUGGUCCUCUCUAUGUGUGUUUUGCAAUAGAGAUGUAAGAGUUGCCUUCUUGAAAUCUUGAACAAGAGAGUUAAGUCUUCUUUCCCAAGGCCAUUUCCAGCACUUGUUGAGAAUAAAAUCAGCCACCUUAGAUCUUGUAUUUAGUCCCAAGUUCUUGAGCAAGGAUAUGGGGUAUAUCUUGUAGAGUGGUCCAACGGAUGCCAAAAAUCAUACCAAAAUGAUGUUUAGCCUCCAUUGCCUAUAUAAGUACAUAUAAAUGAUUGAGCUAGAGCCUUGCACUACAUUAUUUUUCUCCAAAUCCAAGAAUAGCCAUCAGUUUUAAUAACCUCCCAAAAACUUCUCCCCUUCAGUAUUACAGAAUGUAUACACCUCACCCAUAAAUUGUCUUUUUUACUAAAAAUGUUCCAUACUAACUUUAAGAUAAUGCACACAUUCCACUGUGUAGUGUUUUUUAUUCCCAAACCACCUUUUCUCUUGGGCUUACAAACAUCACUCCAUUUCACCUUAACUGCAUACUUUCUUUUUAAGUCACCUGACCAUAAAAAAGAAGCAACAUUCCAUCAAUCUUAUGAAUAACAUCUUUAGGAAGCAUAAAAACAUUAAACCAGUACAAGUAUAUUCCACUUAGUACUAAUUGGAUGAGCUGCAAUCUACCACCAUAGCUUAACUUCUUUGCUGCCCAACUCUCAAUCUUACUUUUAAUCUUGUUAAAGAUUUGUUGACAAUCUUUGAAGCUGAGCUUCGUUGAUAUCAGCAGUACUCCAAGAUACCUUACUAGCAGAUUCCCUCUAGGCAUUUCCACCAGACUGCACAGUUCCUGAGCUUGUGCGUCAGUUACACAAGACAAAUAGACAUCACAUUUUUGAUAAUUUAGCUUGAGGCUAGACAUUAGUCCAAACUCUACUAAGACUUCUUCAAAAACUGAAAAGAUUGGAUAUUAGCAGUAGAGAGCAAGAAUAAAUCAUCAGCAAACAUCAUAUGGGAUAUCUCGAAGUCCCUGCAUGCUGGAUCGAAAUCAAACUCCCUUUUACCAAUAUACCAUUUUAAGAGACCAGUAAAAACUUCCAUAGCCAGGAGGAAUAAGGGGAAAGAGGGUCCCCUUGAGAUCCAUUAAGAUUGACAGAAAACAUAGCAGUAGUCAUACUAUUUGCAACCCACUUUAUAGUAGUAAACUGGAAAGACCAAUCAACUGUGUCAUAUGUUUUCAUAAGGUCCACUUUAAUGGCAACUCUUGCUUUACCAUGCUUACAAUGAUACCCUCUCACCACUUCAUGCAUCAUGAGAACACUAUCCGUAAUCUGCCUGCCUUGGACAAAAGCAUUUUGAUUGUUGGAAAUGAGAUUAGGAAGUACCUUCUUUAAUCUGUUGGCCAAGAUUUUAGGGUAGCAUUUGUAAAAGAAAUUGCAACAAGAGAUGGCUCUGAAUUCCUUCAUCUUAGAGGCAUUCUUGAUUUUGGGAAUCAAUGAGAUUGUCGUACUAUUCAGAGAUUGGUACAUGUAUUGUUCCUUAAAAUAGUGCUUCAAAGAUGCUAUAACAUCAGCCCUCACAACAUUCCAACUUCCUGCAAAGAAUUUGCCAGUAAAUCCAUCUAGCCCUGGUGCUUUCACUUUCAUCAUGUUAAACACUAUAUUUGUGAUUUCCUCCUCAGAAACGGGUGAUGUUAAAAGCUCCUUUUGUACUCUCUACUUGAGAGCUUUCUCUCCAUUGGGUGGGAGCUGGGAACCAGGAAAAAUCAAAUUUCACAGACUCAAAAUUCAAAAUCCACAACUCUUCUAAACAACCAAAAUAGCAAGACCAAAAUUAUGCAAUAGAUUCAUAAUAGAAUAUACAAACUCAGAUGCGAAGACAAAAUGUCUCGGAGUGCUGGAGCAGAGAAUACAAGGAAGGACUCAUUGGCACACCACUGUGAUUAAUAGCUCGCAUUUAUGAAGCUUCAAAAUGCAAGACUACGAACACAAAUGGGAGCAAAGUCUAGUCGGAAAAAGGAAACUAUGCAAUUAAUGCUCAUGGAAACGCUGGAGGAAACGAGAAUCCAAGUAAUUACAGCUUAUAUAUCCUUCCACUAGGCCUUAACCUUCUCAUGCAUAUCAUAGAUUUGGUCUGCAUACUGCCUACCUGGUAGUGUAUUUACUUAGAAAAGAUAGUAGUCUAGUUCCUUUUCUUCUCUGAUUUUUCAGGUUCUGUUCAUUGUUAGUCUAUAAUUUAACGAAUCCCUCUUAGAUCUCAUCGACCCUAUGGUGGAUGAACUAGAGGAAGUGUCGAAAAAUUUUGCUCUGUCAAAUUUAGAGCAGAACGGUGCGUGGAUAGAACUGGAUGAUGUAGAUCCAGGGAUCUCUGAGUGCUUGAACAGUAUCAUUGGAAAGAUAAGAGGAGAGAAAGUGGCUAACUUUACUGGGGUAAAGAAUUUUGUCACAGCAGCUUGGGGGUACCCCAAAGACUUCACAAUAGCUGAGCUGGGGCCUAAUCUCUUCUAGUUCUUUAUUCCUGACCAGGAGACUAGAGUAAGAAUCCUUAAUGAUGGACCAUGGUUGAUUGACAACCAAAUACUGGUUCUUAACCGUUGGGAGGAAGGAAUUGAGGAAAAUACAGAGGCCUUUAAAUUUGCCCUCUUUGGGUACAAGUAUGGAAUCUCCCAAUUCACUGGAUAACAAAGGAAGUAGGAAAGAAAAUAGGUAUGGUCUUCAAGGAGGUCAAGGAAGUAUUAAUUCCCCAUUCAGGGAGUAAGGAAGGAAACACCUAAAGUUGUUAGUUUGUGCAGAUAUGACCCAGCCUUUAUUAAGAGGAACUACAGUUAAGAUGAAUAGAAUAUUAAAAUGGGUAAGCUUCAGAUAUGAAAGAGUCCUAGACUUCUGCUAUAGAUGCGGCAUAAUUGGGCACAGUGAAAAGAAAUGCAAGAACAAUGUAACCAUCAGUAAAGGUCAAAAAGAAAAUCAGUAUGGCCCCUGGUUGAGAGCUCAAUCUGGAAAAGGAUCUCCUCAAAAAGAUGGUAAAUCUAACACGUACAUUCCUGACAGACAAGUAUGGAGGUUUCAGAAUAGGGAAUGGAGCAGGAAAGGACCAGGGAAACCAGUAGAGAAAGAUAAAAACCCUCCCAGGACUGAACAUUGUGAUGAACUGCUUAAGGUCACAAGUGAUGAAUCUUUGUUGAAUACUCAAAAAGAUCUACCUAUAGUGAGAAUUCAAGAAAUAGGACAGAGAAAAGGGGCACACUAGAAGUACAGUUGGUGGUAGGGAAUGAGAAAGCAUAAAAGGAAAGGAAUGUGGUUAAAUAGUUGACUGGACUUGAGGAGAGAGGGAUGGAGGAGGCAAUAACCGAGGUGUUACUACUAGAUCAAGGAAACAUGGGGAAUAGGAACCAAAGAAAUAAGAAAGAAGAAGGUAUGACUAUGAAUACAGAUAUGCAGCUGGAUGGUGAGGACAUGGAUCAGAUCCAAGAGACAAGAACAAAAUGAGAUCCAAAAUCUGGGAUUUAGGAUUGGCAAGAAUACCAAAAGAAAGUUACUCAUUCUAGAUGAGGAGAUGCCAGACAUGGAGUCAACAAAUCAAACAAUCAAAAGGAACAGAACUAGUAAAAUGGAAAAGAGCAUAGAUCAUAACAUAAGGGAGGAAGAGACCAACCCAAACUGGUCUCCAAAUCAAUCAUGAGGGCUCUGGUGUGGAACUGUCAAGGUGCUCCACACUUGGCGGUGUGGAGCACCUUGACAGUUCCCCACUUGAAGGAGGAAAAUAAACUCCUCUCCCUAAGUAUAAUAUUUCUUAGUGAAACAAAAAAUAGGAAAAAUUUCAUGGAAAAAGUUAAAAAAAUUUUGAACUUUGAGAAUAUCUUUGUUGUUGAAGCCAUGAAUAGAUUAGGUGGAAUAGCUCUUUUGUGGACCAAUGAGGUCAAAAUUACAAAAGUACAAGGGACAACAUUCAUGAUUGAGGCCAGAAUUGUUGAUGAGGAGAAACAGGAGAGGUGGUGGUUCAUUGGCAUAUAUGCUAGUUGUGAUUAUCAAAUAAGAAGAAGACAGUGAGAAGUAAUAAACAGAAGAAAAGCAGGCUGGGGGAAAAAUGGAUAAUCAUGGGAGACUUCAAUGAUAUAAUCUCAAAUGAUGAGAAAUGGGGUGGAAGAAAUAGAGAUGACAGAAGUUUCCAAGAUUUUAGGAAGUUCAUCAAUGAUAAUUAGCUGGAGGACAUUGGUUUUAAGGGGAAGCCAUGGACAUGGAGCAAUAAUUGGUAUGGGGAUGGGGAAGUAAAUGAAAGAAUUGAUAGGGGACUAUGCACUUUGGAGUAGUCACAAUGCUUUAAUGAAGCCAAAUGUAGACACAUUGAAUCCCAUGCCUCAGACCACUGUAUGCUGAUACUGGAAACUUAGAAGGAAGGUAGGAAAAGGAAAAAAAAAGGUUUCAAUUUGAUAAAAUGUGGCUACAACAUAAUGAGGUUGAAAGGGUGGUAAAGGAGGCAUGGAACACCACCUACGAAGGAACAAGAUGGUUUAAAGUGACUCAGAAGAUAAAAAAAUUGUAGGAUUGAGUUACUGAAAUAGAGCAUUAGCAAGAAAGGGAAUUCACUUGAAAGGAUCAAAUGGUGCAAACAACAGCUUGAAGACACAAAGGCAUCAAAUGCAGAAAACAAAAGGCAACAAAUGCAGGAGGUCAAGAGACAACUGAAAAUGGCCUAUAAGGAUGAAGAAGCUUAAUGAGGUUGAAGGGGUGGUAAAGGAGGCAUGGAACACCACCUGCGAAGGAACAAGAUGGUUUAAAGUGACUCAGAAGAUAAAAAAAAUUGCAGGAUUGAGUUACUGAAAUAGAGCAGUAGCAAGAAAGGGAAUUCCCUUGAAAGAUCAAAUGGUGCAAACAACAGCUUGAAGACAUAAAGGCAUCAAAUGUAGAAAACAAAAGGCAACAAAUGCAGGAGGUCAAGAGACAACUGAAAAUGGCCUAUAAGGAUGAAGAAGCUUACUAGAAUUAGAAAUCAAGACUAAGAUGGCUAAAUGAGGGGGAUAAGAAUACUUAGUUUUUCCAUGCAACAGUUAAAGGAAGAAGGAAGAGAAACAGGUUGCAGAAAUUGAGGAAAGCUAAUGGUGAAUGGACUGUGAAUGAAGAUGAGGUGGAGGAGAAAUAGCUACUUAUUAUAAGCAGCUGUUUAAGUCAUUAGCUACUGGGGAUCUGGAGAAGAUCUUAGAUAGGAUUCCUGUCACUAUAACUGAACAAAUGAAUAAGGAAUUGAGUAAAAAAGUGGAAGAAAAAGAAAUUAAGACUGCUUUCUUCUCUAUGGAUCCUAAUAAAGCUCUUGGAAGUGAUGACAUGUCCCCUUUGUUUUUCCAAAGAUUCUGGAGUAUUAUUAAACAGGAUCUAGUAAAUGCAAUCCAAGGUUUCUUUUAUCACAGUGUCAUCCUUAAAGCUAUAAACCAUACAGUCAUCUCCUUGAUCCCAAAAAUAGAUUGGCCCAUAGAGGUUAAUCAGUAUAGACCUAUCAGCCUAUGCCAAGUGGUAUAUAAAGCCAAAGCCAAAAUUCUUGUCAGUAGAAUGCAACCUUUCCUCAGUAGGUGCAUUAGCAAAAAUCGGUCUGCAUUUGUUUCAGGUAGGCAAAUAUUAGAUAAUGUCAUUUUAUCUCAUGAAUUACUGCACUUUCUCAAAAACAAAAGACAUGGUAGAGAAGGAUAUAUGGCUGUGAAACUGAAUAUGUCCAAAGCCUAUGACAGGGUGGAAUGGAAAUGUUUGAAGGCUAUUAUGGAGAAAAUGGGAUUCUGUUCUACUUGGAUAAGCUGGAUUUCAUCCUGCAUCAGCUCAGUAACCUACUCUUUCAAGGUAAAUGGGGAACACAACGAGUACAUCACCCCCUCCAGAGGUGUAAGACAAGGAGAUCCUCUAUCUCCUUACUUAUUUUUGCUGUGUCCAGAGGGGUUUUCAAAUCUCUUACAAAAAGCAAAGCAUGAAAAGGAGUUGACGGCGGUAAAAGUUAGUAGAAAAGUACCUACAAUUACCCACUUGUUCUUUACAGACGACUCACUGGUGUUCUGCAAAGCAAAAGUUCAAGAAGCUGGGAAACUAAUGAAAGUCCUCAAGGUGUAUGAGGAGGCAAUGGGACAGCUCAUCAACUUGGAAAAAUCCUCAGUAUUCUUUAGUAAGAACACAGACCAAAUAGUGAGGAAUGAAUUCUGUCAAGCUGUGAGGUCAAUUCAACAGGUAGGACAAGGGAAAUAUUUGGGAUUGCCUAUGAUUAUCACAAGGUCUAAAAAGCAAGUUUUUGGAUUCAUAAAGAAUUCCAUUGACAAAAAACUACAAGAUUGGAAAAACAAACUACUGAGCCAGGCAAGGAAUGAGAUAAUGCUUAAAGCAGUGGCAUUGGCAAUGCUUACUUACACCAUGUCUUGCUUCAGGUUGCACACCCAAUUAUGCAGAGAAAUCAAUUCAAAAAUGGCAGACUAUUGGUGGAGAGACACAGAAGGGAAGAACAAGAUACACUGGAUCAGCUGGAAGAAGAUAACACAGACUAGGGAAGCAGGGGGCAUGGGAUUCAAAGAUAUGCAAAUCUCCAAUAAAACCUUAUUGGCUAAGCAAGUAUGAAAGUUAAUUACACAACCAAACUUGCUAGUCAGAAAAGUUUUAAAGCAGAAAUACUAUCCCAAACAGUUACUCUUCAACUGCAAAGUGCCCAAAAAUGCCUUCUGGAUUUGGAAAAGCAUAUCAGCAGUGAGAAAGGAACUGCAACAAGGAACUACAAGGAAAAUUGGUAAUGGUAGAGACACGAGAAUUUGGGAAGUCAACUGGAUACCAGAUAGGCCACAUGGGAAACCAACUUUAGCUAAGCCACAGGGAUGUCAGCUAAAUCUUUUCUCAAAUCUGAUAAGUAAUAACAAAUGGAAUAGAGUUCUUGUCCUCAAAACUUGCAGUUCACAAGAUGCAGAGAGAAUCCUGAGUAUACCAAUAAGUGUUACAGGUAAAGAAGACAGCUAUUAUUGGGUGCACUCUCAGAAUGGUCAAUACAUGGUCCAGUCUGGCUACAAGACAUGGAUAAAGGAAAAGAACCAGGUGAACUCAGCGGUAAGGGAGAAGGCUGGAAGAAGCUAUGAAGGUACCAUCAGCAAGGUCUGGAAAUCACUGUGGAAGCAGAACGUGAGUCAAAAACUGAAGGUAUUCAUGUGGAAAAGCUUACACGGAGCCCUUCCAGUAAGGGAACUAAUUUACAGAAGAACAAAGCAAGGAAAUCCUAUGCGUGCAGGAUGUGGAGAAAGAGAAGAAACAUUAGAACAUAUGAUGCUCCAAUGUAAGAAAGCAAAGGAAAUAUGGAAAAUGACGCCAGUUCAGUGGGAUGGCCUGGAACACCUUUAUGAUUGUUUUCUAAAAUGGUGGAUAACAAUUAUGGAAGCUCAACAAAGCAGAGAUGAUGCAAAACAGGUGAAUGCAACCAUCAACAUACUCUGACAGAUAUGGAAAGCCAAGAAUGAUAGAGAGUUUAACCAAAAGGAAAGAGAGCCUCACAAGAUAGUUGAGAAGGCUAUAAAGGAUUGGGUGGAGUUUGAAGAGGCUAACAAAGGAAAGGAACCAAGGAAGAUCACUCAGGAAACAGAAGUACAACAUAGGACUAACCAAAAUCAUAAUGAAGGAGUCAGGAAGAUGCUACUCAAGAUUCAUACCCAACAAGACAAACGUCAAUCUGUAGUGGGGAUAGGCAUCACAGCAGCAAACAACCUGGGACAACUACAAGCAGCCUGGGCACUCAGAGAAAGAAUGUUAGAUGAUCCAUUACAAGAUCAAGCAAAAACUGUGAAACCUGCUCUAUUAAAAGCUGCCAACCAAGGCUGGAGACACAUCAAAGUAGAGCUAGACAACAGAAGACUGAUGGAAUACAUAAUGGAAUCAAGACACAACAAUUGGCGGGUUGCUACUCUUGUUGAGGACAUUUAGUUCUUGUAUAAUUUGUUUCAUCAGUGCUCUCUCUCUUUGGCUAACUCGGGAAAAGUAGGUAAUAUUAAGCUGAGCAUGUAUACUAUUAACAUCUGGUUAGAUGAAGAAUGGGUUAAUCCCACUCUUAGAUGCUAAUGCAUCAUUGUCAAGUGUAGGACUGUUGUCCUUUUUGUUUGGACCUUUGUCCAAUUACUGUAUAGAGUUUACAAUGAAAUAUAAAGCUAUCAUUUCGACAAAAAAAAAAAAGCUCCUUUUGUUCUUCUGACAGUGAUACUGAGAUCACUUGCUGGAGUCUAGAUUCAUACCAACUAGUAUCAUUCCUCUUAAAGGGAUUCUGGUAGAAUUCAACUACCAUCUUCUUCACCUCCUCAUAUUCAUAUACCUGCUCACCCUGGUCAUUCAUCAAGGAAGGAUCCUAUUACAAGCUAUGUGCCCCUUCAUUUCUCUAUGAAAAAAGGAAGUAUUGUAGUCUCCUAUCUUCAGCCAUUGAAUUCUGGACUUAUCUUUAUAGAACCUUUCUUCUACAAGUAACAACUCUGUAUAUUCUUUUGUAACUUCCUUGCAAAGUUGAAUAAGCUCCAGGUCACAUGGGCUGUGCUGUAAGGUGGACUGGAUAUUAUACAGCUGCUCUUGUUUUGCUUUCACCUUGCUACUAAUAUCGCCAUAAUAUUCUUUAUUCAACAGCUUCAAGCUAGCUUUUACUUCAACUUUUCACACACAACCCUUACAGGAUUCCCUUUCACAGUUUCAUUGCACCCCUGCUCAACAAUUUCUGGAUACUUAUUAUGUUCCAUCUAGAAACUAUGAAACUUAAAGGGCUUAGGUCCAAAAUUGAUACUAUCAGCAAUAUUGACAUUGGUAGGAGAGUGAUAUGACACAUUAGGUGAUAGCAAAUCAAUUUCUACUGCAGUGAAGUCCUCAAGCCAACCAUGAUUAACAAGGGCUCUAUCAAUCUUGCUGUACACAGUCCCUUCUUCCCUAUGAUUACUCCAAAUAUAAAACACCCUUUACUGGGAUGUUCAACCACAUCAAUAUCCUCAAUACAUUGAUUGAAUUCCUCCAUAGCUGGAUAAUCAAACUCAUUACUGCCCAAUCUUUCAUCAUUUUUCCUUAUGGCAUUAAAAUCUCCCAAAAUAAGCCAUGGUGAUGAGCCAGCAUAACCUCUCAAUUCCUUCAGUUGUUCCCAUAAUUCCCUCAUUUCCUCAGAUUUAUUCUUACCAUAGACCACAGUAAGAAAAAAAGAGGAUCUCAAGAGGCCAGAUUGAACUCUACAAGAUAUUGUUUGUCUAUGAGACACAACAUGCUGGCAUUGAACUUUAUCAUUAUCCCAACAUACCAAUAUUCUACUAGCUGCAACAUUAGUAGAAUCAUGUAAAAAAGCCCACCCAGGUGCACACUUAUUCACUAUACUGGUUAUAUUACAUAACUGGACUUUAUUCUCAACCACCCCAAUGAUAUCGGCAUUAGUAGAGGUUAAUAGUUUUUGUAUAGCUAUUCGUUUAAUAGGUCUAUUCAGACCUCGUAUAUUCCAACACAGGACCUUCAUUGCUCAAGGAAUUUUUCUUAAUUCUUCGCUUACUUUGGGGUUAGCACGACUUCCACCUUCAGAGCUACUACCAUUCAUUUCAUCAUUAGAACCACAGAUAAUAGAGAAGAAAAGGUCUUAUCCAUUGGAAGUACUAUUUCAAUUUUUUGAAUAGGAAUAUGUGUAUCUUCUUUAGGAUUGCAAGUAGCCACUUGCUCGUGCAUAGUCAAUGCUACUUGAUCAUUAUCCAUACUGUCCUUCUCCCUAACACUGCUAUGGAUACUGUUAGCGCUAGCAUCAACAAUAAUUUCUUCCCCAUUGCGAUUUAAUAGACCAUUACUAAGACCAGCAUCCUUCUGUAUAUGGUAGUGGACAUCACUACUCCCCAUGAUACACUGACAUCCUUCUUUAGCUAUGCUAACUAUGGAAUCGUGCUGUAACUCAGUACCCAUUUCACCAGGCACUUCCUUAGGGAUCCAUUUCUAAGUACUUCUAUGACCUAAUUUAUUGAAACAUGCCCAAACCUUUUAUAUUUACCACAACAUGAAGGGAUCCAUUCAUAUUCAACAACUUGAUUCAUAAGAUGACCAUGCUCAUUCAAAAAAGGUAUGGUCUCUGGUCUCAACGACUCCACCUCCAACUCCACACAUUUCCUUGCAAAUGCAACUUGGGUCUACAGUGCAGUAUGUUGAUCUGUAUACAAGGGUUUCCCAACAUAACUCACAAGUUUACUUAGAGCCUCCAUAGUAUAGUAAUGCAGCUUUAAUCCUGGAAGACGAAUCCACACCGAAACACUCUUAAACUCAAUAUUUUGCAUCUCUAGAUCUGGACUCCAAAGCCUCAGAAAUAGCAUCUUAUUACCCCAAGGUCAAAGGGACUGAUCAACUUACAAGUCUCUAGUAUCAGCAUCUUCAAAACUAAAUACAUAGAUUCACUUCUUCAUCGUUACAACAUCAAUUUUACCCAUAUCUCUCCAUCGUGAGUUUACCAGCUGUUGAACAUUAUAAAAGGGGGUAGGGGAACCUAGCAUAUAUCCAACAAUAGCAUUUUUCCAUUUGCAAAUACCAGAUACAGUAUCUUCGGUAUUCAAUUUCCCAACCAAUGCAUUAGAAUUUAGAGACGCCUUAGGAGGAAUAAAGGAUAAAUGCAUACCUCCAUGGACAUUUUUCGAUUUGCCAAUUACUUGAGCCCAAGUCAGCUUAUCUUCCUUCACCAACUUCCGUGUUCCAUUGCUAUACCCCUCCUUUAAUAUCUUUAGUCCUACUAAGCCAGUCCUAGGUAAGGGUGGAAAAUUUUCCAUUUCCUAUUCUUUUCCAUUCAUAUUUCCAGAAUCAUCCAACCAGAGAACUCGUGUUUUAGUUGAGCUAGUCGUCAUUGGAUCUCGAGCUAGGAGAAGCUUCAAAACGUGCCAAAGACCCCUCAAUGAACAAAUUUCGAUCGGUGAGAUGAAAAUGGACCUAAGGACGAACACAAUAUCCCAAGAAUCUAUCCCAUUGAAGCUUGAAGACCUCAACAAUGGCAGAUUUGUGAGGUGCACACUUUAGCAGGAGCUCCUUUGUCAGUGAACGUUAGCGGCAGUUAUUAUAGCUCCUCUGAUCCUCAACAACGGCAGAUUUGCAAGUUAUGCAGUCACUUAUAAUAUUGGUAUUAUGUGUUGAAAGGGUUUCAAACAAAACACAACUGAAGUUUUUACAAUUAAAUCUUAACAAGUUGCUAUUUGAGAAGUGGCAAAACAAAGCAUUUGGAUCUGUAAGUUCAAUUAGGAACUUGGGUUGGUUCUCUCUAUUUUAAAUUCUUUAUCCUGUAUUAUGACUAUAAUGAAAAUUUGCCCUGCCAAAAGAAUCAAGGUCUCAUCGCGGAUCCAUAGGCUUGUUAAAGUGCUGCCAUAUGAUUUGAUGAAAUCAUUGGUAAGAAUAAAAUUGAAGAUAGAAGGAGUACCUGUGGAUAACACCAUGGUUGAUCCGUUUACUAAAUUUUAUCUUAAAGGAAACAUGAUGGUCAUAUACGCUCAUUUGGUAUUUGAUUUAUGAGUUAUUGGUUUUAGUGCAAGUGGGAGAUUGAAAGUAUAUAUACCCUAAAGCCAAUCAACUUUUAGGAUUUAAUAUGCACUUGAACUAUUUAUAUUAUAAUAAAUGGCAUCUUUAUCAUAUUAAUUGCUUAUAUUUAUAUCAAUAUUUUGAAACUCAAACCAUUAAUUGAACCAGUAAGGUGUUCGGGUUGAGAUUCAACCUAUCAAACCUGUUCAACCCUGAUUCAAUGAAUUUUUUAAAAAAUGGUUUGUAUAAAUAUGUGCAUAAAAUAAGACAUGCAAUGGGCUUUAUAUGAUCAAAGAAUUUGGAUUUUCACAAAUAAAUUUUUUAAAUUAUAAGUUGAAACAAAUAAAUUUUAUCUCAAUUUCAAUUAUAUCUAUCAAAAAAAUCUUAUAUCGAAUCCAAAAAUAUCACAAUAUUUUGUAAUUAUACAAAUUCGCAUAUAUGAGAUUAGAUAUUGUGAGUUUAAAUUUUAAUUCAUGUUUUUUGGAAUUUAGAGAUUACAACUUUUAAAAAAAAAUUGGACGUUAAGAAAAUAGAAAAUAGAGAUGCAAACUUGAUACAAGGCAAAAAAUGAGAAGAAAGUGAGUGGAUAUGGCAUUUAAUAAUUAGUCUGUAAGGUUAAAGAAAACCUGCUCUUUGUUUUUUAAAUUUUCUUUCAAUUUAAUACCUGAAAACCAAAAAAUCGCUGGUUCAAUAGUUCAAUUCGGUUUGCACAGUUCAAAUGGUUCUGAUAUUUAAGUCCAAAAACCAUUCUUCUUUUCCUAAUUUUGGUUCCUGCCAUUUCCCAAAUUUUUUAUCAAUACAGUACCAACAAAACCAGCAAUAUGAAGCAACCAAAAAAAAAACCACACAUACAUUCAAUCUAGUUAACUAAAGAAAAAGAAAAACUGGAAAAAGGAAAAGAAAUACCUCAAUGAAGAGUUUGGUCCCUUGGCCAAAGUUUUUGAUGAAAUUUGCCAAGGUCCAAUAGCCUAACCGAUCGCUGCCUCCUUUUUGUUGUGUGCAAGUGUGUUGGGAAAGUAUUGGGAGAGAGGAGAGCCGAGAGGGAGUAGUGGUAGUUUUUCUUUGGUUUUGUCUCUUGUCCUUUGAGAGAGAGCCAGAGAGCUUGUCUAUUUGGAGCGUGAGUGGAGUCUUUUUUUUGGCUUGUCUGGAGAGAAAAAGAGAGAGCCAAGAGAGACUUGUGAGUUGGAGUUUGUGUGUGUGUGUUUGGUCAAAAUGAUCGUCUUUUACCUAAUAACAAGAAAGGUGCAUGGGAAAAAUAUGAUGAACUUUUUUUUAACCAAAAUGAGAAGAAAUGUUAAUGAGAAUGGAGUGUAAAAAUGAGUAAAUAGUGGUUUUGGUAAAACAAAAAUAAUUAGGAUGAUUUGGAUUUCUUGAUUUUCUUUUUUUUAUCUUCUUUUUUUUUUCUUUUUGUUUUUUUGUUUUUCUUUUGUUUUUCUUUUUCCUAAAAAAACCUGCAAAAAAUGAGAAAAAUACACAUAAAAAUGUAAGAAAAUAAAUAACUUAUUAAACAGAAAAAAUUCAAGAAAAUAUUAAAAAUUGACAAAAAUUUGAUGUCUACAGCGGUCUACAAACAUUUUUUUUCAAGGGAAAUCUUUUUUUAUAGUUCAGAUAUUUAUAAGGGAAAAUUUGCUAUAUAAUUGGCGAAAGAUUUGAUAUUCAAGGAUGGAGUAAAAUUUUGUCCAAAGUCAUAAGUAGGGAGUUUGGAUUCUUUUAAUGGGAAUUAAGCUAAAAUGAUAGAUUUGCCCAUAGAUAGUUUUGCAUGAAUUUAGGACCUCAAUUGGCCACGUUAUGUCUGUCGACAGUUUUGUAAAGUUUUGACCAAUGCAACUGCGUCGGGAUAGGAGAUUAUUUGAAAUAAUUUUAAAAAAAAAAAUAGUGUAGCACUUUUCAAUGAAAAUAUAUUCCAUUUUGGCCGAUGUGGCUCUGUUUGGAUAGGAGAUUAUUUGGGAUAAAUUUUUUAAAAAAUAGUGCAGCACUUUUCUAAUGUGAUAUCUGUGUGACAAAAAGUGAUUAAAAAUAUAUUUAUGAUACAAGCAGAUAAAUUUGUGUAAAUAAUUUACUAUCCACACUAAUUCGUUGUGAGGGCCCAAGUUAGAUAUGUAUCCAUAUCAACAUUAAUCAAGCAAUCAAUACAUAAAAACUGAACCGUCAUGUCAAAAUUUUAAAAAAUCGUUGUCUCUCGUUCAAUUUAAGGGUGCCCACAUAGCAAAAUAAUUUUUGUUCUUAAAAUCUGCCUUUACAGUUUGGUGGAUUGUAGAAUCUGCUAUCUAAAAUAGGAUUUUGCCCACUAAAUUUUGUAGCCACUUGAGAAGGAAUCCUUGCAGCCAUCUGCUAGAAUAUGAUACAAACAUCUCAUAAUGGUCAUUAUUUAGUCUCUUUAGUAAUAAGAAAUAUUUGCAUUGUUUCCUUGUAUGGUCAGUGCUCUUGGAUGUAUGUUUAUACCGAUUCUUUAUUCCUUGUCUACGGUUGUUGAGUUAAUUUGUUCGAAAUACAACAUCAUUAAGGACGAAUAUUCUAAAAUAAUUCCGGUUUUUUUUACCCUAUUAUUGUUGUUUUUAUGUCACCAAUUGCUUUGUUUUCAACCUUUUUCGUGCAACAAUAUUUUUUUAGCCAUGAACAAAAUUGUAAAGAAAGCUUGGCGGAGGCACAACUUAAGCUAUUUAGGUGCAUGAUUUGGUUUUGCUGAUUUUAAUAUAAUGUCUAAAGUCAGGAGGUGAAUUUCAAUAAAUAUAUUUUUUUCAUUCAAUAAAUUUCAGGAGGUUAGCCAUUAACGCAUUGGCUUGUUGGUGGAAACGAAUAAAGCUUGAGGCACUAGCAUUCAAAAUCUUUUGUUGAUUCCUCUUCCAUUUUUGUAGUGAUGGACGCUAAAGUAAUACACUUGUACGUUUGUCUUCUUUAGGAUGGAAACAAUCAAGAUAUAUCUAUACGAGGAGCUAAAUUCUCAGUACUGAAAACAAAAAUUCAUGUUACUCGUCCCUCUUGUAUUCAGACAUUUGAUACAAUGAAAACUUGUAUCUAGUAUUCAAAAUUGCUUUUUUUUUUUUUUUACUCCCUCUCUUUUGGUAACAAUGAAUGUGAAGUUUUACAUGCACAGGAGAUCGAUUUUCAGAAGAUUAUAUAAUGGGUCUUGUGGACGGACAAAAGAAGCAUCCCCAGUAGUGCCUGCAAAUUUGAAAAUUCUUGUUCGGAUGUGAAAUGAGGACGGAACCAAUCAUACUCAUUCACAAGAUCUCUAGACGGUCAUUAAGAAUCAAAGGAGCUGAUAGCUUUUACUUUUCUUGUGAUUGCUUCUUGUUGGUGCCUCUGCAUCUCUCUCCCAAGCAAGCCCACACAAAUACACUAAGAUAUGAUCAAACAAUAACUCUUGAGACCCUAUAACCAUUAUUAAGUUUAAUCUUAUUUAAUAUUAGAUUGCCAAUUUAUUCUUGGAUAAAGUUUGUGCAUACUGACAAUGUAUACACAAGUGGAGCAGGAUGCAUGAUAGCUGAUCACAAUUUAAAUUUAAAUAUUAUAUUUUACAUAUAUGAUAUAUAUAUCUAACCCCACUUGUAUGUAUACUGUUAAUAUAUAUAAAAUUUAUAUAUUUUUUUCUUAUAAUUGGUAUUAUUUUCUUGUACUAUUAAGCUGAACUGGCUCAAUGAUUUGCAGUGGUCAUAGAAAGAGGAGGAAUAGCAAAGGUGCAAGCCUCAAGAAAACCUACCAGCAGAAGCUGAUGCAUUAAUAAUAGAGGCAGAGCCAAAUGGAGCUGAGGAUGACCAAUUGCCCUCCCGACUUUGAGAAAUUUUUAUUUUAGGCAUGGAACUUUUGAAAAUUUUUAAGUUGUCCUUUUUUGCACCCUUGAAAUAUUUAAAAUUCUCAUUCUUAUCAAAGUUGCCCCUAAUAUUUUUGAAAUUCUCUUUCUUGUCUAUAUUGUCCCCUCUAAAAUUUUUUAAAGUCUCUUUCUUAUUUUGACUUGGGACUUGGACUUUUAUUUAUGGGGUGCUCGUUUUUUUGAACUUUUGUGUUCUAUCAAAGUCCAACAACUACAACUAAUUCUUUGCUACUAUAAUUAAGUUGGUUGAUGGGCUUUUUUUUUGUCAAAUUAAAAGGAACCUUAGUUGGUUCAACUUAAAAACAAAAUGACUAAUCCAACUAGAAACUAAAGUAACACUCUUCCUCUUCUAAGAAUCGUCACCUCCAGCAGUCGCUCUACAAGUUCUAGUCAUUUCCUCUUUUUUUCUCCUCUUCUCUUCUAUCCCCUUUUUUUACACUAUUGGUGGUGAAAACAAUAAUGAAGUUAAGCUCAGUAGAUAAAGAAACACACUUGUUUUUCCCUUCCACUUCUACCUUUGGUUUUCAUAUCCAUGAUUUUUUCUACCAUUUCCUUGGAGUUAAUUUUACAAAUCCUAUCAGAUUUCUUUUUGAGUUGGGAAAGUUAAACUCUUCUUUGUUCAAUUUUAGAUAUUGGAUAGAUUUGUUCAUAAUUUUGUUGAUUCUUUAUUUUUUUAUGAAAUACUUUUUCUUUUAUUUGGUAGAUGAAUUGGAGGGUACUAGCCCAGUAAAUCUUCCCUAGAUGACAUUACAAAAUUUGGAUUUUUGUGUUGAUUUUACACAUUUUUUCUUAUUUGGUAUUUUUUAUUUCAAAAAUAAAAAAUAAAUAAAUAAAACAAUGACUUGGGAUUGAACCGAUUGAACCUGAUCCAACUACUUUACUAGUUUAAUCACUGGUCUGAGUUUCAAAACAAUGGUUUUGUACGAGUCCAGGCACAUUAUCAUUUGUGUCCCCACUCUUAGCAUGGAAGCCAAAAAAAAAAUGAAAUUAUUAUUGCUGGUUCACCACCACGUCACAUCAUUAUUUGGGGAUCCCACCCUAUCAAGGAAAGCAAAAAUGAAAUUCAUUGAUGCUUUAGAAACCAAACCGCAGUGCCCAGAUUUUCUCAAUGCUCCGUUAAAGUUUAGGCUUGGUCAUCGAUAAAUGUAGGGAAAAUUCCACUUUAUCCUAUGUGAUUUAGUAUUUUUGUACAAAAUCCCUUUAUAGUUUUAAAAGUUAUAUAUAACUCUUUCAUGGUUUGAUUUAAAGUGUUAAAAUGAUGGAAAUGAUCAUUUAUAAUGGAAUCGCCUAAAAUAUUAAAAAUAUCCUUAUAUAAAGUUAAAAAUUAUUUAUUAAACAAGGAGGUUUAUGUGUAUAUUUUGAAAACCUUAAGGGAGUUAUAUAGUAAAGUAUUAAACCAUAAAGGAGUUAUAUGAUAAAACAUAAAAAUCAUACGAGAUUAGUGUAUCAUAUAUUUAUAAGGGUAAUUUUGAUAUUUUUAGAAGUUCUGCUACGAAUGCCUAUUUCCGUCACUUUGACACUUUAAUCCAAAUCAUAAGGGGGUUAUGUAUAAAAAAAAAAAUUAACCACAGGGGAAUAAAAUGUAAUUUGCCCAUGAAUGUAAGAAGAAUUUACAGUUCUAGAAUAAAAAAUUUUUCAUAAACCUAGUGAAUGCAUGUGUUUUUGGCGGCGCCAAUCUCGUCAUGCAUAGACUGCCAGGAAUUAAAAUAAUUUUCCCUUAUGUCACCGAGAAAGCAGUUUAUCCUUUUUUUACCACAAGUUCGUAAUUUUUUUAAUCUUAUUUUUAAGGAAAACUCUAAAUCUUAUAGAGAAAAAGGAAAAUAAAAAGUUUAAUAAGCCUGUGUUAUGUAAUUUGCCCGGAAUUAAUUUAGUAAGAACUUAUGCAUGAAUUUGUCAUAUUGAAUAACGCUAAUUUUCUUCCUCAUAUUCUUGUAAUGUUAAUUUAGAGUAAAAUCAAGUAAAUCUCCGCAGAGCCAAAAAUGUAUUGUUAUUUUGAUUUAAAAAAAAAAACAUAUCCAGUACGAAAGGAUACUUCUUUUUGUCUUGGAGAAUUGGUCAAAUUGGUAAGGUGGAAGUGAGAAAAUGUGACUAAUGCUGGUUGGGGUUGAUUUUGAGUAAUUAGUGCCCAGGUCAAGAGAUUAGAAUGCUGAUCUCAUGGAGAUAUAUAUGAACAUUAUCCAUGACAGUUAUACUCUAACGUCUCCAUAAUGUUUUUCUGGAUAAUACUGAACAAAUGAUGCACAAGAAGUUGGUGGAUCAAGUAAAAUGAAAGAAUCAUCAAGUUCUUGAAACUUUUGAUGAACAUGGUGUUAGGGCGGUUAUCUAAAUCUAACCACUGGUGGAACUGAUGUGUAACUUUUGAUGAACUGAUACCAAUGUUGGAUUAAGGAUCCAACAAUCUCCCAUUUGGACUAUAUGUGUAACCUUAUAAUUAUGUUUUGCAAUUAACAGUAUGAGCUCAACUUUACUGUCAUUAUCACAAUGUAUCUGUAACAAAUUCGGUCCAUCAAUUACACAAAUAUAGGAUCAAAGCGGCCUUUGUUACACCCAUCAAUGGUCACGUAUAUCAAUGCAAUUGAAUGACAUGAAUCAUGAUGUGGAUGUGUAGCAUGAAAAUUUCAUGUAAUGUGAUCAAAACAUGCCUAUUUCCAACUGGUCCACCUUAAAUUUUCAUGAGAUCAAACCAUACCAAAAUCAGAGUGUAAAUAAAUCCAAACUUUAUUUAUGCAUAAAAUAUCUUUAAAUCCUUAAUAACUGAGAAAAAUCAUAAGAGCAUUUAAAAUAACAAACUCCCAUUAAAACUGUACAUCAUUUGAUAACACGACACCUAUACGAGCAGUAUGCUCAUGAAACAUUUUGGGUGGCAAUCCCUUAGUAAGCGGAUCCGCAACCAUGGAAUUUGUCCCGAUAUGCUCUAUCGAUAACUGUCCAUUCUGCACUCUUUCUUUAACAGUCAGGAACUUGAUAUCUAUAUGUCAAGAUUUGGUCGAGCUCCUGUUGUUAUUGGAAUAUAAGACUGCUGACUUAUUGUCACAGAAUAAUUUGAGUGAUUUUUCAAUACCAUCCACUACACGUAAUUCUGUGACGAAAUUUCGCAGCCAAAUUUCUUGGUUGGAUGCCUCAUAACAAGCUAUAAAUUCUGCAGCCAUAGUGGAAGAUGCUAUGAGGGACUGUUUAGCACUCUUUUAGGAUAUGACACCUCCAGCCAACAAGUAGACAUAGCCUGACACUGACUUCAUAGUAUCUUUGCAUCCAGCAUAAUCGGAAUCAGUAUACCCAAUGAUCUCUAACUCAUCUGACUUCCGAUACGUGAGCAUGUAGUCCUUUGUUUUCUGUGGAUAUCGUAAGACCCGUUUGGUUGCUUUCCAAUGAUCUAAUCCAGAAUUACUCAAAUAUCUACCCAACAUUCCAAUAAGGUACGCAAUAUCCGGACGCGUAGAUACUUGAGCAUACAUUAGACUCCCUACUGCUGAUGCAUAAGGAAUCUUUUGCAUCUCUUUUUUCUCAAAAGCAUUCUUGGGACACUGUUCAAGAUUAAAUUUGUCUCCUUUAGCCACGGGAGUGUCACCUGAUUUACAAUUUUGCAUGGCAUAUCUUUUGAGAACCUUUUCGAUAUAGCUCUUUUGUGAUAGUCCUAAAAUACCCCGAGAGUGAUCACGGUGUAUCUGUAUGCCUAACACAAAAGAUGCAGCACCAAGAUCUUUCAUCUCAAAAUUUUUAGUUAGAAAUUUCUUGGUUUCAUACAAUAGACCAAUAUCGUUGCUGGCAAGCAAAAUGUCAUCAACAUACAAUACCAGAAAAAUAUACUUGCUCCCACAGAACUUAUGGUAUAUGCAAUCAUCUACUAAAUUCAUAUCAAAAUCAAAUGAGAUGAUCACUUGAUGAAAUUUGAAAUAUCAUUGUCGAGACGCUUGUUUGAGCCCAUAGAUGAAUUUUUUAAGUUUGCAAACCAUAUUCUUUGGAUCUCCUGACACAAAGUUUUCUGGUUGCACCAUAUAAAUCGUCUCAUCAAUGUUACCAUUGAGAAACGCUGUCUUUACAUCCAUCUAAUGUAACUCAAGGUCGAAAUGCGCCACUAGUGCCAUGAUAAUUCUAAAAGAGUCCUUUGAAGAGACCGGAGAGAAAGUUUCUUUAUAGUCGAUACCUUCUUUUUGUGUAAAUCUCUUAGCGACAAGACGAGUUUUGUAUCUUUCCACAUUGUCUUUCGAAUCCCUUUUGAUUUUAAAUAUCCAUUUACAACCAAUGGGUUUCGCACCUUCUGGCAAUGGGACAAAAUCCCAAACAUCAUUGUCCUUCAUGGAUUUAAUCUCCUUAUUCAUGGCAUCGAUUCACUUUUGAGAAUUUGAACUUUUCAUGGCUUGACGGAAGUUGAUUGGAUCAUCUUCCAUCAAUCCAAGUCAUCCUCAUGUUCUUGGAGAAAAACAAUAUAAUCAUCUGGCACUGCACUUCUCCUUUCUCUAGUGGAUCGUCUUAAUGGCACUGGUUCUUGGAGAGAAAGAGUUUGUUCUUCUAUAACAAUUUGUUCUUCGACAUUGUCUUGAUUUGUUAUGUCAUGAUCUUAUUCAGGAAUAGGAUCCAAAACAAGAUCAAUGACACCUGUGGGAAUAUUAAUAUAUUUCUCUUUAAAGACAAUGUCCCUUACUGUAUUUUCUCCCCCAAACUCGACAUCCUCAAAGAACCGAGCAUUUCAUGUCUCAAAAAUUGAUUUGGAUGUGGGAUCAUAAAACUUGUAACCUCUGGAUCUUUCAGAGUAUCCAAUAAAAUAACAACUAAUCGUUCUUGAGUCCAGUUUCUUUUCAUUAGGCCUGUAAGGCCUUGCCUCAACUGGACACCCCCAAACAUGCAUAUGCUUUAAACUGGGCUUUUUCCCUGUCCAAAUCUCAUAAGGGGUUUUGAUAGUUGCUUUAGUUGGAACUCUAUUAAGAAUAUAUGCUGCAGUCUUAAGUGUUUCACCCCAAAAUGACUCCGGUAAGAUAGAAUGACAUAUCAUAUUCCUUACCAUAUCUUUAAGCGUUCUAUUUCGUCUUUCAUCUACACCAUUCAUAGUGGGUGAACCCGACAUAGUGUACUGUGGGACGAUACCGCAUUCCUCUAGGUAUUUAGCAAAUGGUCCUGGACGUUGUUCACCUAAACCGUCAUAUCUACCAUAGUAUUCACCACCACGGUCAGAUCUGACGCUUUUAAUUCUUUUGUUGAGUUGAUUCUCAAUUUCAACUUUAAAAUUUUUGAACACGUCCAGUGACUGUAUUUUUUCUGAAAUGAGAUAUAUGUAGCCAUAUCUUGAAAAAUCAUCUACGAACGUUAUAAAAUAUUGUUGACCAUUCCAAGCAGAUGUAGAAAAUGGUCCACAAAUAUCCGUAUGUAUAAGUUCUAAGACGUCUGAAGACCUAUUGGUUUCAAAUCUCCUUUGAUUGGUUUGUUUCCCCUUUAUACAGUUAAUACAAUCGUUAAAAUCUGUAAAAUUCAAGGGGUCGAGAAUUUCAUUUGACACAAACCUUUCCAUUCUCCGUUUGGAAAUAUGUCCCAAUCUCUUAUGCCAUAAUACAGCUGAAUUCUCAUUGACUAAUUUUCUUUUAACUCCUUUAGCACUCAAAUGCAGAGAUUCAUUAAAUGAGACAAUCGUAUCAAUUAAAUAUAGAUUAUCGUAAUGCAUUAAAGAACCAAAACCAACCAAUUUGGAAUCAUGAAACAAUUCAAAUUUUUCAUUUUCAAAUGAACAAAAAUAAUCAAAUUUGUACAAAGCAGAAAUAGAAAUUAAAUUCCGUCUAAAAGACGGUACAACAAAUGUCUCAUAGAGAUCCAAAUAAAAUCCGAUUUUUAACAAUAAUCUAAAAACUCCAAUUGCCUCAACUUGAACUGUUUUGUCAUCGCCCACAUAGAUAUAUCUUUCAUUAUCAUUAGACUUUCGGCAAUUCAGGCAACCCUGCAUAGACACACUGAUGUGAGUUGUUGCACCAGAAUCUAACCACUAUGUGUGUCUAGGUACCGAAGUUAAAUUAACUUCAGAACAAACCAAAUUAAGAAGCAUAUCUUUCUUAGCACGCCAAACGUGAUAGUUGGUGCAAUGCUUCUUUUGAUGCCCUUCAGCUCCACAGAAGAAACAACUAUUUUUUCCCUGAUCAUUUGAUUUCUUUUGUUGUUUCUUUUGUGGCGCUGUACCUGCAGCUCCUUUUUCCUUCUUUCCUACUUUUAUUAUUAGUGGUUGACACCAGAUGGACACUUUCUGUCUGCUCUUACUUCAACCUUUCCUCUUCCUCUACACAGUGUGAGAUGAGUUCAUUUAAAGAUCAAGUCUCCUUUUGACAGUUGUAACUCACCUUAAACUGACUAAAUUGUGUAGGAAGAGAUAUUAAAAUCAAAUGCACUAGUAACUCUUCAGAGAGUUUCAACUUAAGUGCAUUUAAUUUCGAAACAAAAUGAGACAUCUCCAUGAUAUACUCUCUGAUGUUGCCUUUACCACUAUAUUUCAUUGAAACUAGGCGUGUCAAGAGCGUACUAACUUCAGCCUUUUCGUUCUUGACAAAUCCUUUUUCAAUGUCUUGAAGGAACUCUUUAGCAGUUACAGUCGUUUCUGGCAUUGUUCCUCUGAAUGCUUCUGGAACGGCCUUUUUAAUGAUCAUCAGACACAAGCGAUUUGAUCUCUCCCACCUCUCAUUAUUUUUCUUUUCAUCAGAGGUACUCUGGUCUGUAAGAGGUGGGGGAGAAUCAAUCCUUAACGCAAGAUCGAGAUCCAUUACUUCAAGUACUAUCAAGAGAUUUUCUUUCCAAGACUUGAAAUUUAUGUCAUUCAACAUAGGAAUAUUAUUGAUGUUGGAAGUAAUAUUUGUAAGAUCAUUCGCAAUUGAACAGAAAACAUAAAAUAAUUAAAACUAUACUCACAUAAACCAAAAUAAUAAUAAAUUUAAAUAAUGGUAACCCCAUCUCAAGAUACCGAUAUUCCAUUAAUAUUUUAUCUUUGGACAAAACAUUAACUUCUAAGUGAUAUCUUGGCGUAGUAAUAAACACUGACAAUAAUAACAUGUCAAAAAAUAAAUUUUCCUUUGGGCCAAUUUAUAAUUCACAUGUAAGAAACCGAAUAAUCAUCACAUGUUUAUUACCACAAGUGAACAAGUAAUUUCAUUAAAUAUUGACCUUCCUUUGGACCGAUCAAUAUUCAUAAAAUUACUAGUACCCAACUAAUUAUAUUUUAAAAUAAAUUAACUUCCAUAAUAGAGGUCACUUUGGUGGCAUAUUAUUUCAAUUAAUUUAUUCUAAAAUAUAUAUAAUCAUACCAAUAUUUAAAUUUAAAAAUUAUCCAAAUUAAAUAAAAUUUUGAUCAAAGUCAACUUUGGUCAAAACAUGGUCAAACAUGGUCAAAUCAAUCAAAUUAAAUCAUGAUCUAUUGGACCAAAGGUCCAUACCUAUAAUUUGACCCAAAAUUAACAGUCAAGUCCAAAAAUUUCUUAAAAUCCAUAAGUACUUUAUAAAAGUUACAUAUUUAAUGGGCCACACAUAUGAAUUUUAUAGGGCUUAAAUGUCCUAUUUAACUUUAUUAGGGUUUACUUAAAUUAAAGAAAACCCUAAUUUCCUUAACAUACAAAUAUAUGUGUAUUGGCUCUUAAAUAGAAGACAAAUCAAAGAAAAUUGAAGUUUUAACCGAAUCAACCGAUAAACAUGCAAAUUGAAGUCCAGAUCUUCGUAUAAGGUUUUGUCUCAAAUUUGGUUAUACACAAAAAAAUUUGACUAAUCAAUCCAUCGCAAUACAUCCAACAAAAGCCUAGAUACGGCGGAAUCCACAUAAAUACAAACUUGAUUCAAUGGUCAAAGCACAAAACAAUGAAUCAUCAGUCAACCUGUGAAUUGGCAUCAUAACAAAGUAUAUAGAUGUCUAAUAAUUCAUAGGGCCUACUGGAUUGAAUGUUGACUCAAUACAUGGAUCGGCCAACUACGCAUCUUAAUUCAAUACUCAUGAAUUAAUUAUGCUUGACUACGGUAGGGACCACAUAUUCAUAUGUAAUACAAAAACCAGUGAAUCAUGAAAUCCGAAGCAUCAAACCAAAACAUAAAGUCGCACCGUUACAAAAUCAUGACAUGAACAAGAAACCAAUUAGUGAACAGUUGGCCAUCACCAAGAAGUUUAUUGUUUAGCUGACAACCAUAUAACCGAAACCCAAUUCGUGAGACAUAAAUAUAUAUAUACAAAUUAUUGAAUCCAAUGUAUUUCUCGAUAAUCAACCAUAUGGGUUCUGAUACCACUUGUUAGGGUGGUUAUCUAAAUCUAACCACUGGUGAAAACCAUCACCUUUAUACCCAAGAUCUAUAUGGCGAUUAUUAAGAAAUACAUUAACUGUAAAAUAGCGGAAGCGUACCUGAAUCCAUAUUAAUAAACUUGAUACUUGAAUCCCUAGAGAUUUUGGGUGGCCUUCCAGGUCAACAGGUAUUUACCGAUCCUUUGAAAGAGGCCUUUAGUUUCUCUCUGGUAUCUUUCCUGACGAUGGGAUAUCAGGGAAGAGCUAUUUUGUGGUAUUAGGAAAUACGACAACUAAAAACGAUACCUGUGACUUGGGGACCAUAACCCUAUUUAUAGGCAACAUUCCUGUUACCUUUUGGAGCCUUAUUUCAGCCCAUCAUUGAAAUAGGAGCCCAUAAGUUUCUACACAUUAAAGGGCCCACAUCCUAUUAAAUACAUUAAACCCAAACUAUAUUUGAUCACUUUAAUUGGAUUUAACCUUAAUUGACAGUUUGCAAUACAUAAUUAUUCACAUAUAAGUCCAAUGUUGGAUUAAGGAUCCAACACAUGGGUUUCGUAAGUUGAGUUUUGUCCAAUUUUUGCUUGCUUGAUAUAAUAUUAAUUGUGAAUUUAUUUGUACCAGUUGACAAAUAACAAUUAUCAUGAAAUUAUGUUAGUUUACAGCAUAUAUUGUAAGAAUUACAUUAAUUGGACAAAAAUCAAUUGGAGAAGUUGUAGACUCUUUCUCUCUCCCUCGUAUAUUUGGGAGUAUUACAUUUACUUUUUUGAAAUGUAAUUAAUCAUUCCAGGUGAUGUAUUACGAAUUUCAUUAUGCAUGACAGGUUGCUGCUUGUAAGAAAGGUACUUCAAUUUUAUUGAACAUGAUUCACUAUCUCAUGAAUCACUGAUAUACUACAAAGUUAUGUCCCACCCCCGCGGAAACCGAAAUACAUACUAAAAAGGGCAUAUAUUAUACCCAUUAUUUAGUGCUCCCAUAGAGUACUAUAUCUUGUAAACUCCUUUACCAACUGGUUCACAAUACUCUUCAGUUCCAUCAGUAAAGUGAAGAGUGCAGCCUUCCGACAAGCAGCAAUUGGUGCAGUCUGUGUAGAUCUUCUCUCCAUCACAGUCCACGUACUCGAUCCCCAAUAUGCAAUAUUGUGGGCAAACAGGCCCAGGCCCAGGCCUGACAGCCUUGACUUCAACAUUUGCCCCCAGAAGAAUCAUUCCUGUUGUCAGUACCAAAAUCAUUUUAAAUCAUAUGCAAACCAAAUCUUUUAAGAGGGGUGAAUGUACAGAUAUUUUGAAAAAUUGUCCUAAUAAUUUUUGAGAGAAGCUCGAAACUUCAUAUGUAUAUAUAUGUAUGUAUAUAUAUGUAUGUAUAUAUAUAUAUGUUAGAAACAGGACACACAGAUAUAGACCAAUUAAUAAGUAAGUUAGAAAAACUAGAAAUUUUUGGAGAAAAUCCAACCAUUCAUUAGAAAAAAGAUAAAAUAGAAUAUAAGUUAGAAAUUUUAAACCCAAAUUUAAAAAUUAGUACAGCAAAAAUAGAAGCUAGUAAUGAAGACAUAAAAGAAUUUGAAAUGCAUAUAGGAGAUUUAAAUAAAUUAAAAAUAAUCAGAAGAAGUACCAGUUCACAUAGAAGUGUAGCAUUCAUAGUUAGAAAACAUAGUGAAAUUGAUAUAUAUAUGUAUAUAUAUAUGUGUAUAUAUAUAUGUAUGUAUAUAUAUAUAUAUAUGUAGAUGGGAUGAGUACUUCUCUUUUUAUUUUUUGAAACUGCCGCAACAGUUUAACUGGUAUACAAAAGAAUAAAAUUGUACAUACCACAAAAAAGAAUAGCCAUUGCACCAAUCUUGUUGAUUGCCAUGAUUCCUUCUCUCUGUCUUCCAAAAGUUUGCCUUCUGAUUUGAAAUCGCUUGGGCUUUUAGAUAGGUUCUUAUAUAGACUGAGAAGAGUAAAGAGUGAGAGGUGAUCGUGCUAUCAGGUGCAAUCAUUGUGCUCAUUGUGCUUCCGUAGAGUUGUGGGCCAAGUCCAUCCUCAAUUAUUGUGCGUCAGGGUCCCUCUAAAAUUAUUUUAAUGUGUUUGGAUAUUGAAAGAAUUGGGAGCUUACAUUGGAAUGGGGAUUUGACCAGCGUUGCUUUGUUGAUCGUUGGGUAGUAAAUGUGUCUAUCUUUUACUAAACUUCUGGCUUGCCUAGCCACCGUUAGAAAAGUCUACAUUUAGUUCACUGAACAAAACAAUUUAAUAAUAAUUUCAUCCACAUUAUCCAAGAUAAUACAAGAAGCUACCUAAUUUCUAGACAUCCUCACGCGUGGCAUGAGGCACUUAUCAAUUGGUCAAGAAUAUAAUUCAUGCCCGCCACCUUCUCCCAGAUUGGUUUGGUCCAAGACAAUUCAGAUGAAGGAUUUGUCGAAAGUCAUUGGUGACUUUGUUGACAAAAGAUCACAAUGAGCCAUAGCAUUUAGGGAGAAAACUAUACAAAUUUGUUGACAAAAGGCCACAAUCGGCCAUAGCAAUUAGUGCGAAAACAUUUACUUGUAUACAGAUAGUACUAACUACACUGACAUGGAAGAACGGACAAAUUGCCGAAGUCCAAUUUUCCAGCUCGAGCGUGACAUUUGUGGACGGCCAAUCGUGCUUGUGUCUUGAGCCAAAUCUACACGUGAUUUUCGCACUAAUUGCUAUCGGGGAGUUGACAUAGUUUUCUUAAAUUUGAGGAUUCCUACGUCUUCAAUUAGGUCGGAGUGUUGCUCAAUGAAUCUAGCAUUGUAUUUGUAAGUAUAGUGUUUGGUAUCUCGCUGAAAAGUUGUAGUAGCUGGUGUUAUGGCUCCAAAUUGUGUGACUAAAUAGUACUUGUAUAGUUUUUGUCUUUGUGGAGUAAUUCUAGUAGUAAUUGUCCAUGAAAUGAAUGGAUCACAGUCCAUGGCAGUGCACAGUGUAUUUGUUGCUAAUCUGCUUCAUUUAUGAUGAAGUAAUGUUCAUGAUAUUUGAGGAAUGUUUUGUGUAUAGAAUAUAGUGAAAUUACUGUGCAUGUAUAAGCUGGACGAUAGUAGCAUGAAAUUUGAAUAGUAAUUAGAGGGAAAAUGAGAAAAGUAAUUGUUAUUAGUUUGUGAACAGGGAAAUGGGAUUUAAUGGGUAAUUGAGGAAGAAAUAAAGGAUCAAGAACUAAGGAAAAUGUGUGUUAGCAAAUAUAGAGGUUUAAGUGGGAUGAUUAGCAUAGAAAUUUGUGGAAAAUCAUUAAAAUGGUAUUUAUAUCACUAAGUGCUGUAGAAAACUAUUAAAAAAUUUCAAGUAAUUAAAUGUAUAAUCAUUGACUCGAAAAUGUUCUAUAUAGGGUGUACUAUUUUAGGCCUAACAAGAGAAACGGAAAAAUGAUUUUGGAAUCUUUCUGUAUUUGUGAAGAAUUGGAGAUGAAGUGAGUGAUGGCCAAAAUUGUGGAGUUUCAGUACGGUGAUAUAUUGUGAAAUUAAUUGCAUAAAUAAUUAAGCAAAUUUUGUGGUGGAUUUAUGUUGUUGAUGUCUUUGGUUACAGGCACUAAGAUGUAUCAUAUGAAAGUCUAAAAUCUUUUUCUCAAGAAUAAUAGCUGUAAAUGGCCGAAACAAGUAAAUAGAUGGUGCAUGAUUUUUGUAAUAAUGAUGAGAUUUAGUAUUUAGGUUAGCGUUUUUUAAAGGAUUGUGAAUAUAAAUUGUGGUAAUUUUCACGAAGCAAAUAUCAAGAAAAGUUUGGAAACUGACCCGGUAAAAAGUGGAAGAAGCGUAGUCUUCUGUGUGAAGCUGUGCAAGUGGCUGAAGCUGUAAGUGGCCAAAAGUUGGAGAAGAAAGGUGCAGUAAAUUCUCUGAUGUGGUUGAUUCUUUGCUGGUAAAAUGGUGCUAGACCGAUGGUAAGCUUUUUGUCGUAAAGUGGUGGAUCUUGUGGCAGAGUUAAUGGCAUUUAUAGGGGAUAGUAAGUGCGGUAAUGUAGGGUCGGUAUUUGUUGCAUGUAAAUGUCUACAUAUGUGUUGGGCUUGGGCAAUGUAUUUUGUACAUUAAUUACAAUUGCCAAUUGACGAAAAUAGCUUCCACAUCCAAUAAUAAUUGCGACGUAAUCACUUGACCAAAAAUCACUAUUCAUAAUCCAAACUCCCUCUUUUAUAUUGUUAGAUAUUCAGGCAUCUAGACGCUAAAAUAGACGAGGAAAAAUGGUGCUACAUGUUUGGCACCUUACUAAAAUAAAUGGGAUUCAUUUCAUCGGUUGUUGUUGUUAGGGAGAAACGCCUCGAGAGUGUUCAUCAAAUAAUCCAAUAUGUAAGUUAGGAAUCCAAUUUUGAUCCAAAAACUUAAACUAUUAGGUUUCGAACCCUUACUUACAUAUUAAGUGCUCUUUCUCCAUCUUUCGAACCAAUGUGAGACAUAAUCCUUUACUCAUGAAUCUAACAAAUCUUUCCCUUCAUGAGUAACCCCUCACAUUAAACCCAAGUUUAAUGGCUCUUCUCUGAACUCACAUUAAUACUCAACGCAAACCCACCUUAACACCAAAGGCCACCUUUUCUUCUAAUCAUGGACCCACUAUUCUUCAAUAUCCAAAAUGGAUUCUGAACCCCUACCAAACUCCUUAGCACUUCGAUCUACCACCAAGAAUAGAAUUUUCACCGGUUCAAUUCCGAAAAUAAUCCACUUGCCUAUGAGUAGCUCAAUCUAGUAACUUGAAACUCUAAUACCACUUGUAGACACCAAAUUGUUGUCAAUUUUUAAUAUUUUCUUGAAUUUUUAUCUAUUUGAUAAGUUAUUUAUUUUUUUUACAUUUUAAUGUGUAAUUUUCACAUUUUUGCAGGUUUAUCUCCAAAAAAAAAAAAGAAAAAAGAAAAACAAACAAACAAAACUUCAACCAAGGGAUUGCCACCUACAUUCAGGUAAUUUUUUUUAGUUUUGUUUAGCACAUUAAAUCCAUGCUUCAUGGUUUAAUCUUCUUUUGCUUUUGCUGGUUUCCUUGGUUGUUGGGUUGCUGAGUUUUUGGGACAAGUCAUGCACAGAAUUAAGGAAAAAGAAAUGAGCCCAUGAAUGCAUGUCAAGUGCUUGUGAAAAUGCCAUGGAAAAAACGAAUUGUAGGGGCGGUUUUGCUUUAUUCUAGCCUUUUUAUGUUGUUUUCUUGUCAAAUUAAAAUCAUAGUUGUAAUGUAGAAGUUGCAAGGAGUGUUGUAGUAUAAAUUUUAUGUUUUUUGGUGAAGAUUUGAGGGUUUAAAAAUAAGUAAAACCGCGGCUGUUUUUGGGCAUUUUGGCCACCUUCGGGUCUUUUUUUGUAAAAAGUAACUCCGGAAAUGAAAUCUACGCGAAAAAUCGAGUGAGAGGGUGAAAUUUGGUGACCGGAGAGGUCGCCGGCGGCGGUCCCGUGGUGGCGGUGCCACCGGCAGCUGCCAUAGCUGCCACAGGGAGAAGCUUUAGUUUUCUCGGUAGAGAAGAAGGGGAGGAAGAAGAAGAGAAGGAAAAAGAAAAGAGAGAAGAAAAAGGAAAGAGAGGAAAAAAAAGAAGAAAAGGAAAAUGGGUUGGGCUAAAUUUAUUGAUUUAUUUUUAGUGGGCUUGUUUCUUCUUUUCGGUUGAGCUAAAAGCUCAGAUCCAUGCUUUAUUUUUGGUUGGGUUUGAGUGAUAAAAGGGGGCUGGCCUGGGUAUUUUGGCUUGAACUUUCGUUUGGGCCUGGUGGCCUUUGGCCCGAAAAAAAUAGAGAAUGGCCCAGUGGCCUGUUUUCUUAAGAAGAUCUGCUAGCGAAUUUGCACUUUAGCUCCUGAUCUUUGGAGUAGUCUCACUGCGGUCCAGAGCAUUUUAAAUUUCUUCCACUUAGGUCCUUAAAUUAAUUUCACUUUGGUCCCUGUAUUUUAUCUUUCAUUUAAUUUUGACCCCUGAACUUUGAAAAAAUAUAUUUUUUAUCCCUAAAAGUUUUGAAUUUUUGCAAUUCAGUCCCUAGUGAAUUUUGACUCUCUUUAUUAUGAUUGCUUCUUUUUUUUAACAGCUAAUUAUGUUACUUUUGAGUAUGUUUAACUUGUAAUUUUUAGAUGUUCUUAAAUUUAUUUACGUUUGACAUGUUAAGGUGAAUUUAGUAUUUUCAUUAUUAUUAUUAUUAUUAUUAUUAUUCAAUUAAAUUGGUGCCAUGAUUCUUUUGUUCAUUUUGAGUAUAAAUAUGGCAAUUUGACUCCAUUUAGUCACCACUUCAAAAGGGAGGUACCCCUAUUAUUAUUUCAAUAUCAAUUAAAUGCUUUUAUGUGCUCCUACAUGUUCCUAUGCGUUUAUAUAUUUUUAUAUGCUUUAUUUAUUUGAUUUAAAUAUUCAUCCAAAUUUUCUUAUAUUUGCUUAAUUAAUUUUUAUAAUUAUUUGAGAGGCAUUUAAAUACCUCAAAAAUGUAAUAGAUAAGAUAAUUAGAUUUGUUUUAUUAUAUUUUCCCCUUUUAGAUUGUAAUUAGAUUUAUAUUUUCCCCUGUUGUAAUAGAUAAGGUAGAUAGGAUUUUCUUUAUUUCCCCAUUUUAGAUUGUAGUUAGGCUCCCUACUGUAAUAGAUAGGUUGGGUGUUUAUGUGGUUUAUGUGUUAUAUGUUUUGUUUUAUCCGCUUUCCUUGGGAUUUUUGCAUCUAGAUAUUAUGCUUAUGUGUUACGUGUUACAUGCGUUUAUGUGUUUAUUUGUUUUAAUUUAUGCCUUAUUUAUUUUACUAUGUAUUAUUAAUGCAUGACGUCACCACACUAGUCCAACGCUAGUUGUGGCUUCUCCCUCCGCUUACUUGCUAGUUCAACGCUAGUAAGGAUUUUUAGAAAUGAGCUAGUUCAACGCUAGACCCUUAGAACGUUCGUGCGUUAGAUUCAUUUUUGUGUGAUAUUCACUACAUUGUCAUACAUAUUUCUUAUUUCUAGGAUUUUUUCUCAUUUGCAUGAUAUUCUUUAUUAUAUUAUCCUAUACCCCCUACCCUCUAUAUGUGUUAAUCAUAUCAUUUAGAAUUGCAUUUCACUUGGGAAAUUGUAAAAUAAGUUAGCUCAUUUGCUUGUUCAUAUUAGGAGAAUUAUUAUUCAAACAUGGGAAAUGAGUUAUUAUAACUUUUUAGUUUAAAUAUCCCAUUAAUCCAUGUAUAAGAAAAUUAUGUCACGAGUUUUUGCCUAUCGUACCCUUUAUGUUGCAUUCCCUUUUUCUUUGAUCACUUAUAUCUAUGUGUAUAAUUUAAUUUAAUUUCUUUUCUUUUAAUUUCAUCAUUUGCAUACUGGUGACACUUUCAAUGAAUCAUUUUGGCCUUCGCAAUUAAUGCGAUUGGUUCAAUUAUACCCUUGAAUGAACAUUUUGUUCCUUUCGAUAUUUUUAUUUUUGUACCCAUGUAGGAAACAUCCAAACAUGAUAAAAUUAAGUGUUAGAUUAGGAAAAUUUUGACUAAAUCUCGCAACUAGCUUAGAUUAGAUUGAAAGGGUGUCUUAGAUUUGAGUUAAUCGAACCUUUGCCUUCCCUUUCUUCAACCGUGAUUCCCGAACUCAUUUUCUCUUGUUUUUUCGAAAACCUGGAGUUGUCGAAAAGGGUUUUAUUUUAUUUUAUUUUGUCAAAAAAAAUACUUUUGGGUGACUUGGUACACCAAAACUCAAUAACAAGUGGCGACUCCUAUUUUGCUUAAAAACCCUUUUAGACUAAAUUUUGGACCCAAAUUGUCGCAUCUUUUAAAAUCUCAUUUUAGGUCCUUUUUCACCUAUUUUAAAUAAAAUCACAUCUUUUAUAAACUCCUUUCUUAUUUUCCAUCGCGAAAAAUGGGGCGCGACAACUUGGCGACUCCACUGGGGAUCGCUAGAGAGUCCGAGCACUUGGCUUAGUGUCUUUUCUCUUUCUAACCAUUUUAUUUAUCAUAUUUGGAUGUUUUAGGUUGCAUUUUUCUUACUUAGGAUGUUUUGCAUUUCACACUCGUAUUCGUUCAUCAUUCCUCGUGUAUGUGAUAAAUGGUUUAUUUAUUUACUUUUGUUUAUUUGCUUAUUCGUAUCGCGUUUUGCAUUUGGGGUGGGGAAUAUUACCUUAGAGCCUUCACGUGCAUUUAAUGUUAAUCCCUCCACUCAAAGGAACAUUUCAUACGUGCAUACGUUAUUACCUUUAACCCUUUAUUUUAUUUUUCUUUUAGUGGUUGUCACACCACUCCUCCUUGUUAGGAUUAGGAUCGAUUCACUUGGACAUGUGACCGUGGCACGACGUGCACGUAGCAAUGUUUGGGGGAUCACUCGAGCCACCGACCAAAGGCUUUGGGAUUGAUGACCCUUCGCCUCUUGGUCUAAAGGUUUGGGAACUGUAGACACCAAAUUUUUGUUAAUUUUUAAUAUUUUCCUGAAUUUUUAUCUAUGUGAUAAGUUAUUUAUUUUUUUACAUUUUUAUGUGUAAUUUUCUCAUUUUUUACAGGUUUAUUUUAGGAAAAGAAAAAAAAAACAAACAAAAACAAAACAAAACAAAAAAAGAAUAAAAUAGCAACAAAAAGAAAAAAAAAGGAGAAAAUCAAAUCACCCUAAUCAUUUUUUUUUCACCAAAUGCACUUAACCCAUUUCACACUCAAUGGCCAUGGACCUUUCUUUUCAUUAGAAAAAAAUCAUCAUUUUGGUCAAUCAAGCAUACAACCUAACACUUUUUCUCCCAUAUACAUCUCUCGGCUCUCUCUUGAAACAAAGGGGGGAAAAACACAUAAGAGAAAAGGGAGGCUCUCGGCUCUCUCUCUGGUCUCAACCGAAAAGAAGAAAAAAAAAAAAGAAAAACUCCUCUCUUCCUCUCGGCUCUCCUCUCCCCCAAUAUUUUUCCAACACAUUUGCACACAAGGCAGUAACCGGUUGGAUUGGAGCAGGGCAAUUUCAUCCAAAACCUUGGCAAAGGGACCAAACUCUUCAUUGAGGUAUUUCUCUCUCUUUUUUUCAGCUUUUCUUUUUUUAAUUAACUAGAUUGAAUGUAUGUGUGGUUACUUUUUUGGUUGUUUUUAUUUUGCUGGUUUUUGUUAGUAUUGUAUGGAUGAAAAUUUGGGAAAUAGCUUGAGCUAGAUUAGAGAAAAGGGAGAUAAAUUUUGUAUAUGCAUGUUAGGUGUUUGAAAAAAUGCCUAAAUCAAAAACCGAAUUAAAGUACCCAUUAUUGUGCAUUUUGUUUGUUAAAAUAGAUGAUUAUGGUUAGUGCAAGGCCUGAAAACGUGAUGUUGCUCAAACAUUUUGGGAGUUUGAACUUUAGAAGCAUGUGAAUAAUUUUUCUUCAUUUUGGACUGUUUUAUUUUAAUUUUGUCACAUUUGUUGUUGCUUUUAUUGAUUUCAGUUCAUAGUUAGGUUGUAAAAAUCACAAGGAGUGUUGUAGUAUAUUUUUUUAUAAUUUUUAGUGAAAGAUAUGGUGAUUUGGAAAAAAUAAAAACUGAUCUGUCUUUUGCUUUUUGGCCACUUUAGGGUCAAUUUUUAUUAAAACUAAACCCAAAAAUGAAAUCUACGCGAAAAAUCGAGUGAGGGUGUAUUUUGAGAAAUUUUGGCGACCGGAAAGAUUGCCGGCGACCGCCAUAGCCGCCAGCCAGAAGGGAGCUUCAGCUCCUCGGUAGAGCCGGAUGGCCGUGGCCCAAAGAAGAAAUAGAGAAUGGCCCAGUGGCCUGUUUUUCUUAAGAAGGUCUGCUAGUGAAAUUUUCACUUUAGCCCCUGAUUUUUGGAGUAGUUUCACUUCGGCCCAGAACAUUUUAAAUUUGUUUCACUUAGGUCCUUAAAUUAAUUGCAUUAUAGUCCUUAAACUUUAUCUUUUAUUUAAUUUUGACCCCUUAACUUUUGCAAAAUUAUAUUGUUGUCCCCAAAAGUUUUUCAAUUUUUGCAGUUCAGUCCCUGAUGAAUUUUGACUCUCUUUAUUAUGAUUGUUUCUUUUCUUUAAUAGCUAAUUAUGCUACUUUUGAAUAUACUUAACUUGUAAUUUUUAGAUGUUCUUAAAUUUCUUUAUGUUUGACAUAUUAGUGUGAAUUUAGUAUUUUUGUUAUUAUAUUUUUCAAUUAAAUUGGUACCAUAAUUCUUUUGUUCAUUUUGAGUAUAAAGAGGGCUAUUCGACUCCAUUUAAUCAUCACUUCAAAAGGGAGGUACCCCUAUUAUUAUUUAAGUGUCAAUUACAUGCUUUUAUGUGCUCAUACGUGCUCUUAUGUGUUUAUAUAUUUUUAUAUGUUUUGUUAUUUAUUUGAUUUAAAUGUUUAUUCCAAUUCGCUUAUGUUUUUUUUAGUUAAUUCUUAUAAUUAUUUGAGAGGCAUUUAAUUAUCUCAAAAAUGUAAUAGAUAGGAUAACUAGAUUUGUUUUAUUUUAUCUUCCCCUUUUAGAUUUGUAAUUAGGUCCCCCAUUGUAAUAGAUAGAAUAUAUAGGUUUUAUUUUUUCAUAUUUUUCCAUUUUAGAUUGUAGUUAGAUUCCCCGUUGUAAUAGGUAGGUUUUGUGUGUUUAUGUGGCUUAUGUGUUAUAUGUUUACCCGCUUUCCUUAGGAUUUUGCAUCUAAAUAUUAUGUUUACGCGUUAUGUGCUACGUGCUCUUAUGUAUUUAUUUGUUUUAAUUUAUGCUUUAUUUGUUUUACUAUGAAUUAUUAAUGCAUGACGUCACCACACUAGUCCAACGCUAGUUGUGGCUUCUCCUUCCACUUACUUGCUAGUCCAACGCUAGCAAGGAUUUUUAGAAAUGGGGUAGUCCAAUGCUAGACCCUUUAGGUCGUCUUGCGUUAGAUUCAUCUUUGUGUGAUAUUAAUUACAUUUUCAUGCAUAUUUUCAUUUUUAGGAUCUUUUCCCAUUUGCAUGAUAUUCCCUAUUAUAUUAUCCACUAUCCUCUAUAUGUGUUAAUCAUAUUACUUAGAAUUGCAUCUCAUUUAAGAAAUUGUAUAAUAAGUUAGUUCAUUUGCUUGUUCAUAUUAGGAGAAUUAUUCUUUGAACAUAGGAAAUGGGUGAUUAUAACUCUUUAGUUUAAAUACCCCAUUAAUCCCUAUAUAAGAAAAUUAUGUCACGAGUUUUUGUAUCCCGUAUCCAUUAUGUUGCAUUCCCUUUUUCUUUGAUCACUUAUAUCUAUGUAUAUAAUUUAAUUUCUUUUCUUUUCUUUUAAUUUCAUCAUUUGCAUACUCGUGACACUUUCAAGGAAUCAUUUUGGCUUUCGCAAUUAAUGCGAUUGGUUCAAUUAAACCCUUGAAUGAACAUUUUGUCCCUUUCGAUAUUUUUAUAAAUUUAGAUUUGCAUCCAUGUAGGAAACAUCCAAACGUGAUAAAAUUAAGGGUUAGAAUAGGAAAAUUUUGACUAAACCUAGCAACUAGCUUAGACUAGGUUGAAAGGGUGCCUUAGAUUUGAGUUAAUCGAACCUUCGCCUUCCCUUUCUUCAACCGUGACUCCUGAACCCAUUUUCUCUUUUUUUUCAAAGACCUGGAGUUGUCAAAAAGGGUUUUGUUUUAUUUUAUUUUUGUCAAAAAAUAUUUUUUAGGGUGACUUGGUACACCCAAACUCAAUACCAAGUGUCGACUUCUCUUUUUCUUAAAAAUCCUUUUAGACUAAAUUUUGGACCCAAAUUAUCGCAUUUUUUAAAGUCCCAUUCUAGGUCCUUUUUCACUUAUUUUUAAAUAAAAUGACAUCUUUUAUAAACACCCAUUUUAUUUUUUCAUCGCGAAAAAUGGGGCGCGACAGGAACCUGAAACCUUAUCGAGUCUAAAUGUAUUAGUAAACCCAACCCCAUGCAUUCAUAUUAGAAGUUACUUAGGAUAGAGUCAAUCUUAUCCGAUUAGUAACACUAGACACGAGGGGAGGGAUUUCACCCUUCUUUCUUUGCUUUCUUUAUAUGCCAUUCUUGUAUCAUUUAUUGUUCCAACAUGCUAUGUGUUUUUUGUUGAACUAACCUUUUUUUGUUUUCUCUUUUUCUGUAUACACUAACCUUAGAAAUAAGAGUCCUGACGUGGUACUCGUUAAGGACAGACCACCUUUUGUAAAUAGCACGUCUAAAUUUCAGUCCAUCACAUAUAUACAUAUAUGCAUGUCAUUUUAGGCUUACCCGGCAUCUAGAUGAGGUACCCUUAGAUCAUGUUUCAAUUACCGUAUUGCAUAUUUACUCACUUUAAUAAACUGACAUCAUGCAUUAAUUUUAGAAGGAAUGCCGCAUAGGGAAUCCCACGUUAGGAAUAAACUACUUUGUGUCUCGGAUAUAUAAUCCAAUGAGAUUUGUACGUUUAUAUUUUUGUACCAUCCAAAGGGGUAGUGCGCAAGGUAAGGUAGGAUCUGAUCCCUUCCACGAUGGCGACAUUGAGAAUGAUGGAAUAGUUUUUGCGCAUUAGAAUAUGAGUAUCUAAAAAUCAUUUUUUGGCCAUUUUGUCAAAAUUGGUAAAAUCCCUUGCAUAAAGAACAUUAAAUUGAAGAAAUUCACAAAUAAUUUUUUAUUGUUGAGAUGAUAAAUAUAUCGAUGUCAAAUUUUGAUUUUAGAAUGCUCAUAGACUAGUACAUAGCAACAAAAUUUGUGAAUUUUGAAACUACAAAUGGAGAAGCAAUCCAAUCGAUUUUUGAAUAAACAGUCAAUUCCAUCCAAUCCAUUUUAUUAAUUUAUUCAUUUUUAGGACAAUCCAGUCAAUUUUUGAACAAAUCGUCAUGUUCAUUCAAUCCAUUUUACUAGUUUAUUCAUUUUUAAGAUAAUUCAGUCAGUUUUCAAAUAAAUAGUCAAUUUCAUUUAAUUCAUUUGACCAAUUUAUUCAUUUUUAGGACAAUACAAUCAAUUAUGAAUAAAUAGUCAAUUCCAUUCAAUUCAUAAUUCAUUUAGUCAAUUUUUAUUUUUUGAAUAAAUUCUCAAUUUCAUCCAAUCCAUUUGAUCAGUCUUAUUCAUUUUUAGGAUAAUCCAGUCAAUUUUUGAACUAAUCAUCAAUUUCAUUCGAUUCAUUUAACCCGUUUAUUCUUUUUUAAAGUGUCGAUCUAUGGUUCACCGAAAGAAACUAGUCGAGACAUUUCAAUCCUUUCAAAAAAUAAGUUUUUCACACUAAAUUGAUUUUUAAUAUCACUUUAUGUGUCAAUCAAAGCAAUCAAUCCAUUCGGACUUUGUCUUUAUUUUGUUAUGACAAAUUGUCUCUUGUCACUCCAAUUAGUCAAAAUUUUCAAAAUUGUCUUUUAUUCGAAUUUCAAUAAGUCGAUCGGAUCCAUCAGGUAUUGUAUGGUAUCUACCCCUGAGGAUUGCAUUUUUCAUGUUAGGCCUACCCUUGGCAUAAAAGGGCCUCCCUAUAGGACAUGCAUGCUGAUUUCACAGUUUUGCUUACUAACUCUAGAUAUUUUUCUUUUAUUUUUUCCCCCUUCUCCACAUUUAUAAAAGAUGUUUCAAUAGGGUAAAAAAAUGUUUUGUUUAUAUAUGAUAAUAUUUUUGGUCUAUAAGUUUUGAAAAUUAUAGGUAUUAUUUGAUUCUUGGACAGAUCCUACAAUGUAAAAAAAAAAUGAAAAAUCUAUCUGAAAAUGCUAGUCUAAAGCAUCUCAAAAAUCUCUUGAUUUAUUGUUUCUAAUACAUUUUGUCUCAAAAGAUAGAAAAAGAAAGUAUAUAUAUAUAUAUAAAUGUAUUCUUUAGAGAUUUUUCUUUUCUUAUAUGUAUUAUAUUUUGAGUACAAAAAAAAAAUUUCAAACAUUUGAAUAAUAAAGUUUUUAUUUCGAUAAUUAUUGUUUUGUAUAUAUUCAUUCUUUAUUUGCUCAUUGGGAGAUUUCAUGAUGAAUUCUAAUAAAUACAACUAAAUUGAGAUUUUUCGACCUCUUGUUUGAAAAUUCAUGAAUGUAUGUCCAAUUUCCAAAUAUCUUUGUAUACACUAAAUUUGUGGUCUAAACUAUUCAUUGAGAGUAGUCGGAAACAAAAGGAGUCACUCAAAUUUGAUAGCUUGUUAUAACAGAUCAACCCCACCACUUUUCUUUUUCAUUUUUUUUGUUCACUUCUAUUGAACCUCCAAAGUCAGUCGCAUUGGUUGACUAGCUUCAAAGUGAGACAAUUUUUACUGUAAAAAUAUCCAUUGUGUCUAACCAGAUUCAAUCCACAUCUGAGUGAAAGCAAAAAUGUACAUUACUUCUUAUUUGUUUUGAAAAUUUGGAAUGAUACUUUAGGCUUUCGUUUCUCUAUCUAUACAGAUUUUAUCAAUUGUUCUCUCAUUUGAACCUUUACAAGUACAAUUUCGUUUCAAAUAAGAGCCUUAGUGAUCAUAAUUUUACAUGUCAAAAGGAAAUGGAUUUUCCGAAUUGGCUAUUAUUUACUUUGGUUGCCAUGAGAAGUAAGAAUGAUGCUUUGGCCAUUGCUUCUGCUAUCUAAACACUAUCAAUCCUUUGCAUCCUCGCUUGAGUCUAAAUUGGUGGUUUGUUUCAAAAGCACUUAUGAUUACACCCCCACACUAGGGAAGGAGAUUUGAGAAUUGAAAAAAAAAAUGGCAAAGAUGCUCAAAAUUUUUGAAAGGGACAUUAAAUAAAGAAAAAGAGUGAAAGAAAAAAAAAGAGAAAAAUUACAAGUUGGGGAAUUUGACUCUACCAUUGAUAUUUUGAUCUUCAAUAUCGGAAAGAAAGAGAGGCCAUCUAUACUCCAAAAUUAGGGAGUUUUCAAUUCUAUCAUGGGCAUUUGGGAUCUCAGCAUUGGGAAAAAAAAAAAAAGGAGAAACAAAGAAAAAAUGUGAAAAAAAUGAUGAAUGAUGAAAUGAAAAAAAAAUGCAAAGACAUCUAAUGCCGAAUUCCCUCUAGUGAUUGAUAAAACAAAAAAAAGAGUCAAAAUAGGGUCCCAGGUUUUAAGUCCAAAACUGGGGCAAUUUUUGGGAAAGAAUGUGAUCUUAAGUGCGUUGUCCUUGAAAAUUUUAUUUCUUUUAGCUAUCGUUGUCAAGUUACAUUACAAGCUCAUAAAGUCCAUUGCUGACUUAUCUUUCAUGACAAUUUGAAGUGAAAAUCUUGCCUCUAAGGAACCUACCAAUCACUCGUAAUCAUAAGGCCAUAACUUGUUUUCAUAUGUUUACCUAUCGUUUCUACUCAUACAUUACAAGCCCAUAGAGCUUAUAUGUUGACUGAAUUUUCUUAAGAAAUAAGGGUGAUAAACUAUUUGCUUUCACCAAGAUGUGAUAUUGAAUGUGUUAGAUACAAUCUGGGCACAAAAACAAGACAGAUCCUGACAUACUCCCUGAGCCACCUCAAAAUCAUGAGUAAUACCCAGUUGAUUGGUCCUAAAAAAUGAGCUAACAAGAAGGGGACCCUUUUCCCUGAACACCGAUCCCAAAAUAAGGAAGAGAUCUUUUGCAAUUUGGUCUUAUUUUGAGAGAUUUAUCAUGGAAUCUUCUAUAUGACUUCGGAUAUGACAUUUAAAUUCUUCAUUUGAAAAAUGUAGUUUCUAUUCACAUUGCAUGUGAUUAUUUUGCAAUUAAAAUAAGCCCAAAUUAGGGCAAAUUUUUUGUAAUAUAUUUGUGAGAUUUCACCAAAUAAGUUCAAAUUGAGGCAAAAAUUUUUAUAAUACAUUUGUAGGGUAUGUCCAAGGUCAAGUAUAUAUUUUUCAAAUCUUGAUAAGUCAACACUUUGCAUGAACAUUAAUUGUUAUAUCAUUUAAAAAAAAAAACAAAACAAAAGAAUUUUGAAAAAUUCAAAUGCUUUGAAAAAUUCCCCUUGUGCAGGUGUUUAUGGUUAAGAUCGAGAAAAAGACGCAAGUCAAAAUCUUGCAAAUUUGGAGAGUAAUCACGAAUAAAAAGGGGGGCAAUAAUACUCCAUUGCAAAGUGGAGAAUCGGCUAUUUAUUCAGAAGGAGUACAUACUUCAGCAGUCAACUUGAAAAAAAAAAAGAGAAAAGAAAAAAAGGGAGUGGAAAAAAAAGAAUUUUUCCUUCAAUUUUGCAAAUUUUUGCUGUUGAACUUUGGGAGCAUUUCACUUGGAGAUUACAUUGCUAAGUUGGGACAACACCUUAUCCUCUUAUGCUUCGAAUGGAAGUGGUAAUACCUGCCAAAAUUGGGAUCCCGUCCUUGCGCAUUUUGACGAAGGCUCAAGUAGAAGAAAUCAAAUGGAUCAAGGAGUACAAUGAGUUGCUAUCUCCAAUGGAUGAAAAGGAGGUUGAAUGUUACCUAUCAUGGACAAUGUUAUCAACAAAAGAUGGUUCGUUGGUUAGAAAGGCAAAUCUCGCUUAUUUGAAGUAAGGGAUGAAGUUUUGAAGCGAACUCUUCCGAUUCAAGAGGAGGUUAAAGGAAGUUUGCUCCAACUUGGUAAGGACCAUUUAUUGUUCAAAGAGUGCUAUCUGGAGGAAUGCCCAUUCUCACAGAACUGGAUGGAUAGGUAUCUUCUCUGCCGAUCAAUGCAGAUAUGUGUAAGAAAUUCUUUAUCUGAUUAUGUGAUUUUUCUUUUGAGAUACCAUCUAGGGUGGAUUAAAGGCGACCCUUCUUCUUUUCUCUUUGAACAUUUUACCCCUAGUUUUUCCCUUUGAACCUUCAGAAUAAUUUAAUCAUUCAUUUGGUAGCCCUCCUAAAGAUCGCAAACCCCACACUGGGGCAAAAUUUAUCUCCUAUUUGUUAAAAAAUUAAGAAAAAAAAGAGAAGAAAAGAAAAAAAAAAAGAAAAAAGAGUCAAAAGCCAAACUGGAGCAAUUUUUUUCAGUUUUAAUACCCUCAUACUGGGCAAAUAUUGAUAGAACGCGGUCUUAGGGUUUUUGAAACCUCUCUGAAGAUUUGCUUUCAAACCUUAACAUUUCUUCUAUACCCCACCUGACCCCAUCAUAAAAAUCAUAAAGUCCCGACCUCCGCCUUAGUAGUAUUUCUAAUAAAAAUCACUUAAUCAAAUGGCAAAUUAUGUCAAUACACCUUCGCCAAUUUUGUAUGGGAAGGAUUGUCGCACUGAUGCCAUCAUUUCUUAAAACACAUGUCUGAGUUGAUAAGGGCUAUCGACAAGAUUUGAUCAUUAGGUGAAAACCCAAAAGGGCACCUUGAAAAAAAAUAGAAAAAAGGAAAGAGAGAAGAGAAAAAAAAACAAAAACAAAAAAUAAAAAAAAACAAAAACAAAAAAAAAGAGAAAAAGAGAGAAAAAAAAAAAGAAACAGAAGAAAAAAAGGAAUCCCUACACUGGGGCAAGUUUUGAAAAAUUAUGACUUCAUAAGUUAUUUUAAGACCGUUUAUAUCCGUUAGCAUCAGGUCCAACCCACUAACGUGUUUUUUUCUUUCACCGUUAGUAUCGAGUAUAUCUCACUAACGUGUGUUAUCUUUUAUAUCCGUUAGUAUCGGGUCCAACCCACUAACGUGUUUUUUCUUUCACCGUUAGUAUGACUUACUAACGUGUGUUAUGUUUUUUUCACAUCCGUUAGCAUUGGGUCCAACCCACUAACGUAUCUUUUGUAUAUCAUGUUAGGAUCGGAUUUUUGUCCCACCGACCUCGGCAAGCUUGGGUUUUAUCCCACUGACCAUUUUUAUUUUAUUGGGUUUGGAUUUUAUCCCACCAAUCCGUUAUUUCCUGACAAUCAAAUUUAAUUUCCUGUUGGCGAGUCUCAGCGUCCGCCACGCACCCUUCUACCUCCCUUCUUGGAGCGUAACAACGUCUUUCCAUGCAUCUUUUCUAAAUCAUAACAACCCAUUUUUCUUGACUAUUUUGAUCAAUAAUUGUGUUUUAUCAUUCAUUUUGCAUUUCAUGUUUAGAAGUUCGGAGAGCUCAGAUUUCUUCGACUUUGAAAGAUCACAGAUGGUUAAUGUACUUGUUUCAUUGUGGUUCACUUAAUACGAACUACUUUUGACCUGAUUCCCAUGGUGGGAUACGUAGGCAACUCUACAUGAGUUCGGUCAUGUUUUCUGCAACGUUAUUGUAUCAUUUUGUUCAAUAAUUAUAGUCAAGUGUUGGCUUGUUUAUUUUAACUCAGGUGCAGUUAGAAGAAACAGAUAAGCAAUUUGACGUCUACGUCUUUGUCUUCAGUUUCUUCGAAACUCUAAGACAAAGAAGGGCAAACUGUAGACACCAAAUUGUUGUCAAUUUUUAAUAUUUUCUUGAAUUUUUAUCUAUUUGAUAAGUUAUUUAUUUAUUUUUUACAUUUUAAUGUGUAAUUUUCACAUUUUUGCAGGUUUAUAUCCAAAAAAAAAAAGAAAAAAGAAAAACAAACAAACAAAAAAAGAAAGAAGAAAAUCAAGAAAUCAAAAAUCAUCCUAAUCAUUUUUGUUUCACCAAAAUCACUAUUGAUCCAUUUUUACACUCCAUCCUCAUUAACAUUUCUUCUCAUUUUUGGUUAAAAUUCAUCAUAUCUUUUACAUGCACCUUUCUUUUCAUUAGUUGAGAAAUAAUCAUUUUGGCAAAUCCAACACACAAACCUCUACUUUGGCUACAAAUAUGCUCUCUCGGCUCUCGCACACGGAAGACAAGAAACAAACAGACACAAGAAGAAAAAAAAAACACUCAAUAUCCCUCACUCUGCACUCGGCUCUUUCUGGGAAAUCAGACAAAACUCUCGGCUCUCAACCGAAAAAAAAGGAAGAAAGACACUCUUCCUCCUCCCAGCUCCCUCUCGGCUUUUUCUUUGCUCACGAAACACAACACACUCACACACUACUUCAAACAUCAAAAGAGAGGCAGCAACCGGUUGGAUAAUUGGAGCUUUGCAUCAGAAACUUCAACCAAGGGUUUGCCACUUACAUUGAGGUAAUUUUUUUAGUUUUGUUUAGCACAUUAAAUUCAUGCUUCAUGGUUUAAUUUUCUUUUGCUUUUGCUGGUUUCCUUGGUUGUUGGGUUGCUGAGUUUUUGGGACAAGUCAUGCAUAUAAUUAAGGAAAAAGAAACGGGCCCAUGAAUGCAUGUCAAGUGCUUGUGAAAAUGCCAAAAUAGAAAAAACGAAUUUUAGGGGCUGUUUUGCUUUACUCUAGCCUUUUUAUGUUGUUUUCUUGUCAAAUUAAAAUCAUAGUUGUAAUGUAGAAGUUGCAAGGAGUGUUGUAAUAUAAAUUUUAUGUUUUUUGGCGAAGAUUUGAGGGUUUAAAAAUAAGUAAAACUGCGGCUGUUUUUGGGCAUUUUGGCCACUUUCGGGUCUUUUUUUUGUAAAAAGUAAUUUCGGAAAUGGAAUCUAUGUGAAAAAUCGAGUGAGGGGGUGUAUUUUGGUGAAAUUUGGUGACCGGAGAGGUUGCCGGCGGCGGUCCGGUGGCGGUGGCGCCACCGGCGGCUGCCAUAGCCGCCACAGGGAGAAGCUUUAGUUUUCUCGGUAGAGAAGAAGGGGAGGAAGAAGAAGAGAAGGAAAAAGAAAAGAGAGAAGAAAAAGGAAAGAAAGGAAAAAAAAGAAGAAGAGGAAAAUGGGUUGGGCUAAAUUUAUUUAUUUAUUUUUAGUGGGCUUGUUUCUUAUUUUCGGUUGGGUUAGAAGGUCAGACCCAUGCUUUAUUUUUGGUUGGGUUUGACUGAUAAAAGGGGGCUGGCCUGGGUAUUUUGGUUUGAACUUUCGUUUGGGCCAGGUGGCUUUUAGCCCGAAAAAAAUAGAGAAUGGCCUAGUGGCCUGUUUUCUUAAGAAGAUUUGCUAGCGAAUUUGCACUUUAGCUCCUGAUCUUUGGAAUAGUCUCACUGCGGCCCAGAGCAUUUUAAAUUUCUUUCACUUAGGUCUUUAAAUUAAUUUCACUUUGGUCCUUGUAUUUUAUCUUUCAUUUAAUUUUGACCCCUGAACUUUGGAAAAAUAUAUUUUUUAUCCCCAAAAGUUUUUGAAUUUUUGCAAUUCAGUCCCUGGUGAAUUUUGACUCUCUUUAUUAUGAUUGCUUCUUUUCUUUAACAGCUAAUUAUGUUACUUUUGAGUAUGUUUAACUUGUAAUUUUUUGAUGUUCUUAAAUUUAUUUACGUUUGACAUGUUAAGGUGAAUUUAGUAUUUUCAUUAUUAUUAUUAUUAUUUUUCAAUUAAAUUGGUGCCAUGAUUCUUUUGUUCAUUUUGAGUAUAAAUAGGACAAUUUGACUCCAUUUAGUCACCAUUUCAAAAGGGAGGUACCCCUAUUAUUAUUUCAAUGUCAAUUAAGUGCUCUUAUGUGCUCCUACAUGUUCCUAUGUUUUUAUAUAUUUUUAUAUGUUUUAUUUAUUUGAUUUAAAUAUUCUUCCAAAUUUUCCUAUAUUUUCUUAAUUAAUUUUCAUAAUUAUUUGAGAGGCAUUUAAAUACCUCAAAAAUGUAAUAGAUAGGAUAAUUAGAUUUGUUUUAUUAUAUUUUCCCCUUUUAGAUUGUAAUUAGGUUUAUAUUUUCCCCUGCUGUAAUAGAUAGGGUAGAUAGGAUUUUCUUUAUUUUUCCAUUUUAGAUUGUAGUUAGGCUCCCUGCUGUAAUAGGUAGGUUGGGUGUUUAUGUGGUUUAUGUGUUAUAUGUUCUAUCCGCUUUGCUUAGAAUUUUUGCAUCUAGAUAUUAUGCUUACGUGUUACGUGCUACGUGCUUUUAUGUGUUUAUUUGUUUUAAUUUAUGCCUUAUUUAUUUUACUAUGUAUUAUUAAUGCAUGACGUUACCACACUAGUCCAACGCUAGUUGUGGCUUCUCCCUCCGCUUACUUGUUAGUCCAACGCUAGUAAGGAUUUUUAGAAAUGGGCUAGUUCAACGCUAGACCCUUAGAACGUUCGUGCGUUAGAUUCAUUUUUGUGUGAUAUUCACUACAUUGUCAUGCAUAUUUCUUAUUUCUAGGAUUUUUUCUCAUUUGCAUGAUAUUCUUUAUUAUAUUAUCCUAUACCCCCUACCCUCUAUAUGUGUUAAUCAUAUCAUUUAGAAUUGCAUUUCACUUAGGAAAUUGUAAAAUAAGUUAGCUCAUUUGCUUGUUCAUAUUAGGAGAAUUAUUAUUCAAACAUGGGAAAUGGGUGAUUAUAACUUUUUAGUUUAAAUAUCCCAUUAAUCCCUGUAUAAGAAAAUUAUGUCACGAGUUUUUGCCUCUCGUACCCUUUAUGUUGCAUUCCCUUUUUUUUUGAUCACUUAUAUCUAUGUGUAUAAUUUAAUUUCUUUUCUUUUCUUUCAAUUUCAUCAUUUGCAUACUCGUGACACUUUCAAGAAAUCAUUUUGGCCUUCGCAAUUAAUGCGAUUGGUUCAAUUAUACCCUUGAAUGAACAUUUUGUUCCUUUCGAUAUUUUUAUUUUUGCACCCAUGUAGGAAACAUCCAAACAUGAUAAAAUUAAGGAUUAGAUUAGGAAAAUUUUGACUAAAUCUCGCAACUAGCUUAGAUUAGAUUGAAAGGGUGUCUUAGAUUUGAGUUAAUCGAAUCUUUACCUUCCCUUUCUUCAACCGUGAUUUCCGAACUCAUUUUCUCUUGUUUUUUCGAAGACCUGGAGUUGUCGAAAAUGGUUUUAUUUUAUUUUAUUUUGUCAAAAAAAUACUUUUGGGUGACUUGGUACACCAAAACUCAAUAACAAGUGGCGACUCCUAUUUUGCUUAAAAACCCUUUUAGACUAAAUUUUGGACCCAAAUUGUCGCAUCUUUUAAAAUCCCAUUUUAGGUCCUUUUUCACCUAUUUUAAAUAAAAUCACAUAUUUUAUAAACUCCUUUCUUAUUUUCCAUCGCGAAAAAUGGGGCGCGACACCACUUGUUAGGGAGAAACACCUCGACAUAGCCCAUCAAAAAAUUCAAUAUGUAAGUCAGAAACUCAAUUCUGAUCCAAAAGUUUAAACUAUUAGGUCUCGAAACCUUACAUAUUAAGUGCUCUUUCUCCAUCUUUCGAACCAAUGUGAGAUAUAAUCCUUUACUCAUAAACCUAAUAGUUGUACACCAAAGCUCGAGAAAAAAAUAGAAAAUAAAUGAGGUCAGUUGUUGAAUAAGUGUUUGAGCAAAUAUUAAGUCUAAGGUCAAUUACCUUCUAGGGUUUAAUGUGUAAUUGAACUAUUAAUGUUAUAGUAAAUUAUAUUUUUAUCAUAUGGAUUGCUUACAUUUAUAUAAGUAUGAUAAAACUCUUAGAGUAAACCUAAUCAAUGAAAUCAUGGAGUUAUAAUGGUGAGAUUCAUUCAAUUAUAGAUAAGUUUAUCAUAUAUGUAUAUAUAUAUAUAUAUAAUAAAGUCGUAUUCUCAUUCUUAUCGCUUUAUGUUUUCUCUUUCUUAUGUGGCUUAACGACAGGACAAGUGGUUUCAACACACACUAUAAAAUAACCUACACUCUUCCAUCUCUCUCUUUUUUUGCCUUUGUUCAUUUAUUCCAUGAUUUCCACCUUUUUUAAAAAAGAAUAACCUAUGCUCUAUAUGGAGCUUAUCUCUCUCUUUUCAUAUGCACAAAAUCAAUUAUCAAUAUCUAUCUAAAUUAAAUUUCAAAUAACCGUCCUUAUCAUCCAUGUAUGACUUAUAAAACUGUCCUUGGCAUUCUAUCCUAUAUUCGCGGUCGAUUAUAAUUCUAUCAUAAUCAUAUAUUUGUGGCUGCUUGCUCCUCUUUUGGUUUGUGAACUUCUAGGUAUAACAACAAGGUAUGACCCGUACAAUUUCUUUAGUAUGCAUGCCUUUAGUAAAACUAUUUUUUAUUAUCAUCUUUUUAUAUUCUUAUCAAUAUCUCUUUAUAUCCUUAUCAAUUCUUAUUUCAUAAUCGAAGUUAUGUACUUUAAGCAACUUAAAUUAAGAUAAAACUACUUUUAAUAUUCUUAUCAAUAUCUCUUUAUAUCCUUAUCAAUUCUUAUUUUCUAUCCAAAGUUACGUACUUUCAGCAACUUAAAUUAAGAUAAAGCUACUUUUAAUAUUUUUAUCAAUAUCUCUUUAUAUGCUUAUCAAUUCUUAUGCCUACAUAUAGCCUCUUUAUAUGGUUAGGUAUUUUCAGUGCAAGCGCUUGGCACAUUAAACCAUCGAUUUUGGGUUUUCACUCGUCUUGAUUAUUACGUAAAUCUUCCUUUGAUACACAUUUUUCUUUUUUAAAAAGACACGUUCAUCUUCAAUUGUAAGAAUUUAGUAACAUAUCUUGAAUUUUGUGUGUUUUGAUUUAUUUUCUAUUUGUUUUGUAUGAAGAGAUAGGAUUUAAAAUAGUAUUUUCAUCGUAAGUUUUCAUAUAGAAACAUGUUAGAUGUUUCCAUCGAAUUGGACAACAUUCAUAUGCUAUAUGAUGCAUGUUAGAUGUUUGUUAAUUUGCCUUUGUUUCGUUUGUUCAGGGUACUGGGCUUGUAGCUGGUGCUGUGGAUCCUUGCUUAGUGCAUAUUCCAAGAGUUGAAUUUGUUAUUUUCUCCAACCUUUUUUUCCCAACCACAUGUAAGUCUAUUAGUUACUUUAGUUGAACUAUCUAUUUUAUGUUUUUUACUGCUGUUAAACAUUCAUAUUAUAAGCAUUUGGCCUAUGCCUCUUGAGUGAUCAUGAACUGAGAGGGGCAAAUUCUUUUCGUUCCUUUUGCGAAGACAAAAUGUCUACUAAAUUUUCAUCUUGAAUUGUGAGUGAUCAUGGGUUUUGUUCUUAAUAGAUCCCAAUUAGUAUAACAGAUGUUCUAAUCAACAACAUUUCAAUGCACUUCCUAUGAAUCAUUCAUCAGAGGGUUCAACAAAAAUUACAGAGGAAGGGAAUCCUCAUAAAAAGAUUUACAUGAAGAGGUAGAUUUAAUAUACUAUUUUACUUUCUUAAUCUAUAAUCUUUAUGUAUUGUCUUACACAACUUUAAAUGUGAUAAAUCAUUUAUUUUUUUAUACUUAGUUGUCCUACUUUGCUAUCAUGCAGUGAUAAUGGAAAAUCAAAAAAUACUGAUUUGCACGGAUAAAUGGAGGAGAAUGUUCAAACAGAAGAAAAACGAAAAAAAGUUUCUGAAGAGUAGAAUAUGAUUUGAUACUAUUUACUGCACUUUUUAUUUCUUUUCAAGUUUUUGAAUCUUAUGAUAUUGUCGAAUGUUAUUUUUUUCAUUUUUGAAUUAUUAUUCACUGAAUUAUAUUUUCACAUUUAUAUUAUAAGAAUACUUUAUAUUAUGAUGCACACAUAGUAAUAUACUUAAGAAAGGUUAUACUAGAAUAUACAUUAAAUUUGUAUUUCAUAUCGACAUUUUUAUAAAAUUGACUAAAUAGUUUAUUAUUUUUCAAAGAUUCCCGUUCAACGAAUGUGAUGUGUGCACGGACCUUAGCCCACGUAAUGAUCCAGUCCGAGUUCCAUUGGGCCCAGUCAUACGUGCACGGGCCAAGCUCUUCAAAGAAUCACUCCAAACCCUUGUGCGAAUUGUCCAAGAUCAACAUGGAGUCCAUAGAGAUAUUGAGGGCUUGGAAAGAGACAAUCAAGUCAUCUACACCAUGAUCCAAGCCCAUGAAGAGUCAAGUGGGCCUCCAAGAGAGUUGGCCGAAUAGGGCCUUAGGCCUUAGUAUUUAUUUAGCAUUGGAUUAGUUGCUUAAGUAGAGCAUGGGGCGGCCCAUCUUGUUCCAAGAUGGCUGACUUUCCCUCUUCCCAUUCCCUUUAGGUUUUUAGUAAACUUUAGCCUAUAAAUAGGCUUGCUUUGUAAGGUUUGAAAACACAAGUUUUAUGAAUAAAAGUUUAAGUCUUUUCGUUUUCCUCUUAAAGAGAGAAUUCGAGCCUUCUACUUGCUUCGGCAAGGGUUAUUGAGCAAUCUUGCGUCUUGUUCUUGAUUGUUCUACCGAUCUAUCCAUUGGAGUAAUCACCUUCUUUGGAGUUGUCGUUCUACCGCCUUUAAUGAAAUCGCGAUUGUCCGUUUGAUUCUAGGUUCCGCAAUCCAAGCGUUGGACAACCUCGCUAGAUUCUUGGGCAAACGUGCUACGUGUCUCAAAACGUGUUGAUCGAGGAACGUAUCAGAAUGGGUACAAAACUAGUUCUUAAAUAUUUCUAGUCGAAAUAUUAACAAGAAAAGGCAUUGUUAAUACGGUUAGACUAGCAUAUAUUAUGCCGCUUCAAUAUGAGAAGUAGUUAUGUCACAACCCCACCUCCCUCUAAGGCGAACCAAAGGGGUUCGGCGGACCGCCUGCUCAACUCUGGUCGGGGCUCACUCACUUAUCGCUUUAAGAGCAAGUAAAGAUGUGCCAAUCAAACUUAAUAUAUAUACAAUCAUUAACACAGAUAUACAAUCCUCAAGGUAAAGUACAAAAAGUUCAGGAUCCAACCAACUACUAAUACUAUCACUAUUACACAACAAAAGUUCUAAUCAAAAGUUUAGUCUUCCUCUAAUCACCUGUCCUUGCUCUUAAACCCUGUAAGGAAAACAAAUUUAGCAGAAUAGAGGGACGAGCUAAAGCUCAGUUAGGUUCCCAUACAUAUAACCAAACAAUUGAAACAAGGACAUUAUUCAUUUAAUAAUAAUCAGUCGAGAAAACAUUCAUAAUAUAAAAACAAUAAAAGUAUACUCAUUAAAAGGAUACAUGUUCAUGUAGAGCCCUUCGUUCCUUCAUUCAUUCAUUCAGCCCGUCAUUCUCCCUCAUUCCUUCAUUCAUUUCUUCCCUUAUAACUUCAACAUUUCAUUUCAUUUAUUUCAUUUCCCGUCACUAGCCAAUUCACUGGCCAGUUCUCCACCAAUCUUUGUGGUCAUACUCGAGUAUACCAAACAUUAUCCCAAGAUCACCGGUCGCCCAACCGAGUCCAUUUCUGGCUCGAGUCGAUUGGCAACAAAGGGCAAGGGCCCAGUUCAGCCAAAAGGCUUACAUUCAUGUACAAGUAGCAUUCAAUCAUUGAAAAUUCACUUUUGUUUGGGUCGAGUGCGAAAAAGUACACACUUGCCAAUCAAAAAUUCAUUUAGCAAUCGUUGGAAGCAUUUAACAUUCAAACAACAUUCACAAUAUUCCACAUAAUCAUUUAAAGCACACAUAUAUGCAAGGAACACUCACCCUAAAUAUGUCACGUUUUAUCAAAAUUCAGUUCAGGGCCGACACCUUGGCCACUCUCGAAAUCUGCAAUCAAAUAUGGUCCACAAAGAGCCAAUCAUACACUAGUGCAAGUUGCAUAACUUAUAUUUCUAUAUCAAAGGAAAACGGCAUGAAAAGUAUAGUAAAUUAUAUAGGCAAGGUGCACGCAUAAUUUGUAAAAGAAAAUAAUAAAAAACGGUUAAGUUCAAAGCCAAUAUGUGCAACUAAAAACCAUGUUUUGAAUACUUGUUUAGAAUGUUAUAAAUUAGGUUUAGAACACUUGAGAAGUACAUGUUAAGUCGGACCAAGGAAAUGGAAAACAAAAGAAAGGCAACGAGAAAUAAUGAAGGUGGUAGUUUUGCCAUCCGUUGGUGUUUUGAUCACAACUGAAGCUACACUUAUCGGAUUGAGGCAAAUUUUAUGGCGUUUCGAAGCUAAGACAUAGACCUACAUUUCCCAUAAAGACAUCGACACCCAGUUUUCACAUUUUCAGGGUAAAAAAUGGAUGGUUAGAAGCACAUGAAAAACAGGUCAGGAAAAUUAGAGUUUUUGCGAAGUCAGGAGUGCUCUGGCCAAAUCAUAAGCUAAAAUGAUCCAAUUGAUAUGAAAUUUUGCAGGUAGAAAAUCUCAAUAACUUUUAUAUUUUGUCCAAAAGCUGAUUCAGUCUAAAACAUGGAGAAAUUCACAGCUAGUUUUCUUCCAAGUUUUGACUCCCAACUCAAACCCAAUCAAGAUUACAUCACUACGCUACCUCUUGUUAACUUAACCCUAGAUACAAAAGCUUCGGCAGCACCUCCCCUAUUUUCGGUCCAUUUCCCCUUGAAAAAUCAAGGUGUAAACCAUAGCAAUCCCAACACAAUCAAAGCCAUGAGUCAUAAGAUAUUAUAAGCCUUAUUCUAGUCUAUCAAAGCCUUUCAAAAUUCACACAAAUAAAGAUUAACCGAAAGACAUCAAAGCUGAAAUUUCCAAAUUCAAGUAAGAAAAUCACUUAUUGAAGUUGUAGACAUGCAUAUCAAAGCUCAACCACCUUCUAAUAUGAUUGGAUAACCUAUCUCAAAGUUACAAACUUAACAAAAGCUGAAAUUUCACUUCUUAGGCUAAAAUUUGCAUAUAACCAUCACUAAUUGCGAUUAAAAGCUAGAAAUGCCACCUUAACACUAAACUAGCUUCUACUAAUCAUAUAAAGGCCAAAUCAAAGAUGAAAUAAAGUAUAUAAAAUCUAAAAAAUAUCAAUAAAACUGAAAUUUAUCAUCCCAACCCUAAAAUCGCAAGAAUCUCCAUAAAAUCAAUCAAAAUCAAGUUAUCCAAUAACUUAAUCGCAAGAUUAAAGAACAAAAGGAGCUUCUAAUGAUUAUACCUUCCAACACCUUGAAACAAGCAAAGCAAACCCUUUUCUUCUCAAAACACUCCACCCUUAGCUUGCUAUCACCUUAGAUGCAAAGUUAAUCGGAGUAGAUUUUGGUAAUUGAAAGAAAUCUCUCAAGAUUUGGUGAAGAAAAUUAAAGGAAAAAUGGACUUAGCUUGCUUGGUUUUGCUCCUCUUGAGGUUCGGCCAGCUUGAAGAAGAAAGAAGAGUUGUUUUGUUUUCCAAAUGAAGUGAUAAAGAUGAAAACUUAAGGGCUCCAAGAUUAAAUGAAAACGCAACACGUGGCACAACUUUAACUAAUGAUUAUCUCUUGAUUUUUCUUCUUAGUUUCUAAUCACUCAUCUAUGUGGUGUUCCUCUCAUUCACUCUUAACACUUCUAGGCAUAUAUUCCUUGGUAUAUAACUAGUGACGGAGCCAGGAUUUUUUCCUUGGGGGGGCCAAAAUUUUUUCGAACAAAAUUACCUUAAUAUGUUAUGUUCAAAAUAAUUUUCAUUUAUUUAAAUAUAUGACAUCUUAAAAUUUCAAAUAUUAACUUUAAUUAUAAAGGUAUGUCUAUUUCAUAAAUAUGUAACAUAGUUAUAACUAAAAUUAAGACAAGAAAUAACCUUUGAUUAAAUAUCUUAUAACAUCACAAACCAUCUAAGUUGCACAUUAUGAGAAGAUGCUCCAAUAUGUCACUUGUGCAAAAAGAAAAAUAUAACUAUACAACAUAAAUAUAACUAUUUUCAAUUAAAAAAAGAUAAAAGUUAUGUUAACAUACUUUGAAAUUUCAUCCGCUUUUAUUAAAAGUAAAUUGAGCUUUACGUUCUUUCAUAGAACUAAAUUCAUGUAUAAUUGAAUCAAUGUUAAAUUUUUGAAGAACUUCCUUUCUUUAUGUACAUUGUUAGGCAAUCAUUCAAGAAAUUAUCUUUUAUCCUGUUUUGGAGCUUUUGUUUUGAUUAUUUUCAUAAUUGAAAUGUCCAUUCUAUAGAUUAUAGAAUGGAGCCAGGAUUUUUUCCUUGGGAGGGGGGCCAAAAUUUUUCUGAACAAAAUUAUCUUAAUAUAUUAUGUUCAAAACAAUUUUCAUCUAUUUAAAUAUAUGACAUCUUAAAAUAUCAAAUAUUAACUUUAAUUAUAAAAGUAUGUCUAUUUCAUAAAUAUGCAGCAUAGUCAUAACAAAAAUUACGACAAGAAAUAACCUUUGAUUAAAUAUCUUAUAACAUCACAAACUACCCAAAUUGUACAUUAUGAGAAGAUGCUCCACUAUGUCACUUGUGCAAAACAAAAAUAUAACUAUGCAAUAUAAAUAUAACUAUUUUCAAUUAAUAAAAAACAAAAGUUAUGUUAGCAUACCUUGAAAUUUCAACUUCUUUUCUUAAAAGUAAAUUGAGCUUUACGUUCUUUCGUAGAACUAAAUUUAUCUAUAAUUGAAUCAGUGCUAAAUUUUUGAACUUCCUUUUUUUUAGGUACAUUGUUAGACAAUCAUUCAAGAAAUUUUCUUUUAUCUUGUUUUUGAGUUUUGUUUUGAUUAUAUUCAUAAUUGAAAAUGCUCGUUCUAUAGUUGCAAUUGGCACAGGAAAAGUGAGAACAAAUAUAAUCAAUCUGUCAAUAACAGGAUAGAUCACUCAAUUUCUUGUCUUCACCAAGCCUUCAAGUAAUUAUUUGUAUAUUUGUAUAUGGGUUAACAAGAGGAUAGAUCACUAAUUUUAAACUUUUUAUCAAUUAGACUAAAUUGUAUAUUUGUAUAUGGACCAAUAAAGUAAUUAUUUUUGUUUUAGCCUAUUGAUAAUUAUGAAUUGAGUCUUUUAUAAUAUUUCAAAUUGGGUCAAUUUACUAUGGAUCAUCAAUUAUAUGUUUAAUUUUUUGAACGUUAAAUAAUUAGCAUAAUAAAAAAUAAAUAACUUUUUUUGAAGCAAAAGUUAAAUCAAAGGUGGCUAAUUCACACACACACACAUAUAUAUAAAAACUCUCAUUGUAAAAAAUUAGGGGGGCCAACUUUGUCUUAUAUAUAUAUUUACACAUUAUGAAUUAAAAUUUUCAAAACUUAUGGCCCCCUGACUCUGUCAUUGUCCAUCACCAUGAGCUAGUAAAACAAAAGUACCCCAAAGCCGUUAGAACUAGUCACGUUUUUGUAAGGAAAUGCAUAGCGAAUAAUUUAAAAUUUUAAUGAACAUUUAUCAUGUAAUUAAUAUCUUUUUGUCACAAUUAUCUCAUAUUAAUUUGAAAAUAAGUUGUGCCUAUUCUAUUAUUUGAUUAAUGUUCAUUUCUUCUACUAAAAGAUAACUCCAAUGAAUAAAUACUCAAAAACAUUUUUUAAAACUCUUCCACUUAACGUUAAGGAUUUUGAAUUAUACUUCUACAAAUAGUCAGACAUGAAAUAACUCUUCUUUCAUAAGAGGUGGUAAAUCCUCAUAAGUUAUUCACCAUCUUUUCAUGCUUCAAGUAUAUACUUAUAGGCUAAUGGUGUAAACAUUCUCUAUUACAAGAGCAAUCAUAUAUCAAACAAAAUAUAACCAUUCAUAUUCAAGAUACCACAAUAAUCUUAAUCUAAGAAUUGAUUACACAAAUGUCAUUUAGAGAUUAAUCCUUUGGCACUUAAAGAAUAUUUAUAGGUGGAUCAAUCUAGUAAAUUUGACUAUCCUAUCAAGCACUCAUAUACUAGUUUAGGUGUCUCAAACACUAUAGUAGAAGAGAUCUACUACUUUUUAAAUAGAAACAGUAUAGUAUAUGUUAGUCUAAUUGUAUGAACAAUGUCUUGCCUUGUUAGUACUUUAACUAGAGAUAUUUAAGAAUAAACAUUAUUUAUAAUCAAAUGAACCUCAUUUUCAUAACUCAUAUGAUUUCAUCGAUUAUACUCUAAGGACUUUAUCAUACUUAUAUAAACAUAAGCAAUCAAUAUAAUAUAGAUGUCACUUAUUAUGACAUAAAUAGGUCAAGUGCAUAUUAAACCUAGAAGUUGAUUGACUUUAAAAUAUAUACACUUUCAAUCUCCCACUUGCAGUAAAUCCAAUCACUCAUAAGUCAAAGAUCAAAUGAUUCUUGGAAAAUUGCAAUUUUUUUUAUUUUAGAUAAAGAAUAUUUCUUUUUUUUCUUCGUUCUUUGCAUUGAAAGAACAGAUUUCAAAAUGAUAUGAUUCAACCUCAAACCCAUUUAAAUGUACAUGACUAUCAUAUUUCCUUUAAAAUAAGUUUUAGUAAACGGAUCAACCAUGGCGUUAUCCGUAGGCACUCUUUCUAUUUUCACAUUGAUUCCUACCAAUGAUUUCAGCAAAUCAUGUGGUAGCAUCUUAACAAGUCUAUGGAACUGUAACGAGACCUUGGUUCCUUCACUAGAGCAAAUUUUCUUUAUUGUCUCAAUAUAGGAUAAAUGAUUUAAAAUGGAAAGAACCAAUCCAAGUUCUAUUUGAACUUACAAAUCCAAAUGCUUCCCUUUGCCAUUUCUCAAGUAACAAUUUGUUAAGAUUUAAUUAUACAAAUUUUAGUUGUAUUUUGCUUGAAACUAUUUCAACACCCAAUAAUAUUAUAAAUAAAUGUAUAAUUACUUGUAAAUCAUCUUUGUAAAAUUGUUAUAUUCUCGAACUUCGAAUUUAAAUUCUUCAUGAACCAAAGGAGACAUGAGUCUAGUAUAUUGAAAUGAUUAAUUCUAUACAAUAUAGAUAAAACUCCUGAUUGGAUCACUUAAUCUUAAAUGAAUUUAGCAUUCCGCCUAUGUACAAGGGAAAAUUUGCUAUUUAGCUACCGGAAGAUUUGAUAUUCGAGAAUGGAGCAUAGCUUUGUCCAAAGUUGUAACUUGUAAGUAGAGAAUCUAGAUUCUUUUAAUGGGAAUGAAGCUCAAAUGAUGGAUUUGCAUUCGCAUGGAUAGUUUUGCAUGAAUUUAGGACUUCAAUUGGCCAUGUCAUGCCCGUGGACAGUUUUCAUGAGUCUCGGACCACGUGGCAACUUUUGUGGGUCCCACUACCAUGUCACAAUUUAUGGGCCCCACCAUCACGUCAAUCAUUAUUUGGGUCCCACUCCUGUCAGGAAGGGGCUCUUGUUAUUUCAACGCGGACGAGCAAUCUCUUUCUUCCCUCGAUUUUUGUUGCAUUUCCAAAUAAUUAUUUGAUUAUUUGAUUUUUGGCCACAACAUUUGCAUCUUUUUUGUAAUUUGUGACUAAUCUUCUUCAAGUCAGACCGUGCCCCUUGUAGGGAAACUUUCUCAAAUGCUCUUUUCAUUUUCAUGAAUUUCAAAUUUGAGAUCAAUAAUUAAAAAAUGUAAGUUUCUUUUGCUUACACCAACAUUCGUCCGCAAUUAAUCCAUUUGUUACAUUGUAUAUGGUAAGAUGAGUGAUUUGUGGAAUAGUUAUAUUGUAUAAUAGGAGUGGUGUUUAUCAAAAAAAUGUCGUCAGACUAACAAAGCCACUAAUGUAAAAUCACUUUCUUUCCUAUAGUUUUAGGAUAAAAUGAAAAAAGAAAAAAUGGGACAGGAUAAACAAGCAACCUGCUGAUGUAAAGUUGCAUGUUUAGAUUUUGCAUAGGCUUGGUCAUUGCUGGACACAUAUUCGGUAGUACGUAAUUACUAGUGUGUAUACUCGUGCUACGCACGGUGCUAAUAUUAUUAAAAGAAAUUAAAAGAGAAGGUGAAUUUAAAAAAGAAAAAAAAACUGUAUCGACAUAAUUAAAAAGAUUUGUCUAGUAAUAGUUCAAAGUAUGAUAAAAUGUAUACAUCAUUCAAGAAUUACAUUUUUGUGAAAGAUGGAUCUUGAAAUAAUAAUAGAAUUUAUAUUAGAAAAUGAAUGAUAUAUGGAUAAAAAUGAAUGUAAUUGCAUGUUUUAUUUGGUUUCAAAAUGAAAUAGUUACAAACAUUAUACAUUCGAUUUGAUAAUCUUGUACGAAAACCAAUAUUGAUAGUUUAAUUAAUUCUAUUGAAUUUUGUGAAGUUCGUACUACAAAAAAAUGUUCAGCGAAACUUGUCUUUCUUAGAAGUGAACUUGUUGAGCCUUUUGAAGUAUUUCAGUGGGAUCAUUGUGUGUAGACUUCCGUUGUGUGAUCAGUUGUUUUCUCCUUUACAAUCUUGCAAGUUUGAAAUUAAAAUGCUAUUGAAAUUAAUGAUAGAGCCAAGAGGGGCUAAUGGGGGGCCAUGGCCCCCUUAAGUUUUGAAAAAUUUAAUUCAUAGUGUAUAAAUAUAUGUGUAAAAUAAAGUUGGCACACUCUCUUAAUUUUUUACAAUUUCAGUUUAUAUUAUGAGAGUUUCACCUUUGAAUUAAAUCUUUUCUUCAAAAUGUAUUUAUUUUUACAUAACUUUACAAUUUCUAAUAUUUGAUGUUUUUAGAUGUCAUAUAUUGAAAUAGAUGAAAAUUAUUUUGAACAUAACACAUUAAAAUAAUUUUGUUAGGAAAAAUUUUACCCCCUAGAAAAAAUCUUGACUCUAUCAUUGAUUGAAAUGCUUGUAGAGUUGUAGGUGAGAUUCGUCCAUGAAUAGAGUAUGAUAUGUAGUCUUUUUUUUUUCUCAUUGUAUUUGGUUUGUGUGGACCACAAAUAAAUAGAGGUUGGUUAUUGUUAGCGCUCUCCAGCCCUAUAUUUCUAUCUUUAUAGUCCUUUUACUAUUUAGGAUUUGUUACCUUACUUUUAUCCUUCCCAAUGCUAUACUCCUAUCUUUCUAUUCCUUUUUAUUAUUUAGAAUUUGUUAUCUUACUUUCAAGUUUUUUUUUGAAAAAAAAAGUUAGAAUUAUAGUCGUCAAGAAAAGUAAUUGGGUAUAAUUUUGGCGAAAUACUACUAUUUUUUUGUAACGACCACCCAAGAUAAUUGUUUAAACAAUAUUUUUUAAAAAUUUUUAAUAAAAACUCCAAUAACAACCAUUUAAAUGCCCCUUUUAUUAAUUUAAAAUUCAUAUAAAAAUUUGUUUUUGUGCACGUUUUGAUAUACAUGUUAUAUGAAAAAUAAUCCUAAUGGAAUUUGCGCAUGUGAAAAAUUAUCUAGGUGACUUGUGUGUCAGAAUAUUUAUUUCAUUGUUUGGAAUAAUUGUUUAAUAAGAUAAGUUUAAGGCUAAAAAAAGUGAUUUAGUUGCUAUAGGUUAAAUGGUUAAGGAAUGGUUAUAAUUGAAUAUGUCAUUUGAAUGUUUAACAAAUCUAUGUAUAUACCGAGAAGGAAAGUGUUGCAAAUGUUAUUAUGUAAUGAUUAAAAAAUAGGACUAAUCAUAUUAUUCCUUAGAUCCUAUUUUUGGCAAAGGCAUAUUUAACGUUGUUUUUCCUAUUCUUUAAUUUUUAAUUUUUAAUUUUUGUUAAAUUUCAUCCUACUACAUUAUGACAAUAAGGUAUGUAGAAUUCUGGAAAUUGUUAUUUAAACCAGCUCCUAAAUUUUGGAUAUAUGAAUUGUCAUAAUGGUGAGUUUCUUAAAUUAUCAGUGAGUUAUUACUAUCAUCAUGUGGUAAGUGUUAGAUGUGAUUUAGGGGGAGAGGGUUGGGCUGGGUGGUACGGGGAGAGGGAGUGUAAGUGAGAGGUCUCGGGUUCGAGUUCUCCUACUUACACUUAAAAAAAAAAGUGUUAGAUGUGAUUUGGGAUUUGCAGCACUUGUCCCGCCCACUUUUCAGCCAAAAAUUUGAGUGGUAUCAGCCCGGACUAUCAAGCAAUUAUUGUUUGGGUUAAUUGCAAAAUAUAUACCAUUGAACUAUUACUAAUUCGUAACUUGCACCUCAAAUUUCCACCAUUAAACUAUUAGUAAUUUGUAACCCAAUGGACUAUUUUGCACAUUACUUAAUUAUUUUUUUGGUAUAUUUUUCUUAUUAUCAAGAAAUUAUCUUACUAACUCAUACUUUUUAUCCAAGAAUAAAUUUCUUACUUUUUAUUUUAGAUAAAAUUCCAUGCAAAUCAUUUAACAAAAAUUUGACAAAGGACAAGGGGAACUCAUUAAGAUAUCUAAAUAACACCUAACUUACUAUGUCGUUAGAUAUACUCAUUUGUAAUGCUAACUUUCAAAAAAAUAUUAUCCAAGAAUAUAUUUUCUUACUUUUUAUUUUGGAUAAAAUUUCAUGCAAAUGAUUUAAUGAAGAUUUGAUGAAAGAUAGGAGAAAUCAUUAAGAUACUUAAAUAACACCUAACUUACUAUGUCCCUACAUAUACUUAGUGAAGUGCUUGCUGGCUUUUAGAUAUUAUCCAAGAAAAAAUUUUCUUGCUUUUAUUUUAGUUUUCAUGAAAAUGCUCACUUGCACUUCAAUAUUAUCCAAGAAUAAUUUUCUUACUUUUUAUUUUAGAUGAAAUUUCAUGCAAAUGAUUUAAUGAAGAUUUGAUGAAAGAUUGGGGAACUAAGAUAUUUAAAUAAUACUCAACUUGCUAUGUUGUUACAUAUACUCACUUGUAAUGCUCACUUGCAUUUAGAUAUUAUCCAAGAACAAAUUUUCUUACUUUUUAUUUUAGAUAAAAUUUCAUGCAUGUAAUUUAAUGAAGGUUUGAUUAAGGAUAGGGGAACUUGUUAAAAUAUUUAAAUAUUCCUAACUUGCUAUGUCAUUACAUAUACUCAUUUGUAUUGCUCACUUGCGGUUAGAUAUUAUCCAAGAACAAAUUUUUUUACUUUGCAUUUAAGAUAAAAUUUCAUGCAAAUGAUUUAAUGAAGAUUCAUGAAGGAUACAGGAACUCGUUAAGAUAUUUAAAUAACACCUAACUUACUAUGCCGUUACAUAUACUCACACUGCUCAUUUACACUUAGAUAUUAUCCAAAAAUAAAUUUCUUACUUUCUUAUUUUAGUUACUAUUUCAUGCAAAUGAUUUAUCCUAGAAUACAAUACCACAAAGUAAAGUGAUAUCAAAUAUCGUCUUGCAAUAUACUAGUGCUAUUUUUUCUAUUUCUUUCUAUUUAUAUUUGUAAAAUGUGAAAUUACAAAAAGAAAAUGGCAGUUAUUUGCCUCUUAAGAUUUUACACUGGAUUGGAGCCCACAACAAAUACAUAAUGGACCCUUAGGCAAAACAUGCCUUACGAAGGCUUUCCUAAUUAAGUUUCAAGUUAGCCCAUCAUGGAUCAAGCUAAAACAACUUUAAAUUGACCAUCGUCUUGUGAAACCAAAAUCCCAAUCUCCAUUACAUCUAUCUUUCAAAGAUCCCACUCUGCAGUCACUUUUUUUUAUUAUAAUAUUAAGGGAAAAUCGUUGAAAACAUUGCUUACAUUUUGUCAGAUGACUUUUUUUGUCCCUCACUUUAAAAAGUAUAAUUCUACAUCUCUUACAAAUUCAUAUUGGCCAAAUUUGGUCCCUACUUAGAUUUUCGACUAGUUUUUUGUCGGAAUCCAUCACGUGCCUUGCACGUGAUCAUUUUUAAAAGACAAAAUUGUCAAAUCAAUUUUUAUAUAAUUCAAUCUAUUGUCUUUCACAUUUUAUUGAAUAAAUUGAAAAUUUUACCUCUAAGAAAUAAUCACGUGCAAAGCACAUGGUGGAUUCCUACAAAAAACUAUUCGAAAACUUAGGUAGGGACCAAAUUUGAUCAAUGUCAAUUUGUAAAGAAUGUAAAAUUGCACUUUUCAAAAUAAGGGAUGAAAAAAAGUAAUUUUACAAAUUGUAAAAGACAUUUUGAGCAAUUUUUUCAAAUAUUAAACUAUGGAGCAAUUUUUUUCAAAUCAAUUUUUUCAAAGACAUUUCGAGCUAUUCUUUUGCUUGGAGACUGAUGAAACACUUGAGUUGUGAUUGUGGUUGAUGAUGGUUGAUCUCAUUGAUGCCUUGUGUUGUUCCUUUAGAACUUGAUAUGCACGAUCAACCUGCAAGCAAUGUUAAACCCAGCCUUGAUCGUGCAUUAUCAAGAUAUGAACUUGAUAUGCAUUAUCAAAAUUAUCAACCUGCACGAUCAAAUCAACUUGCAUAUUAAACCCAGCCUAUUCUUUUGUUCCUUUAAUAUAAUUUUAAGUGUGCCCCUAGAGUUUUUUUAGAAAGAAUGUGAAAGAAUUACAUGAUUUUUUAAGUUAGUUCAUAAACUAAAAUUCUAAAAAGAUACGUGGGGCACAAAUUCCAUUUGAAAUAAGCUAAAAAAAGCCUUUUCAUUUUAACUAGCAAAUACCAAUUAUAUUAUUCACUUUCUUUAGGGCCCACUCCCCAAUUUCCCUUCCCACCUUUGGUCCCCCAUUUUUCCCCUACAACCGAGAGCCACUACCUUCCGCAACCAAGCAGCUAGCUACUCUUUCUCUUGAUCAAUUCAUCCAAUCAUAUCAUUCACUUCCUUUGUCAUCACUUCCCAAUUUCCCUUCCCUCCACUGGUCCCCCAUUUUCCCUCUACAACCGAAAGCCAUUCUUACUUCCACAACCAAAUUAGUUAUCAAAAUAUAAAAACUCGCAGUGAGCAAUUGUAAAUAGGUUAGUUUGUUUUUGAAAUAAAAUUAUUAUUACAUUAAUAAUUUUGAAUUUAUCUUUUUAUGUUUUUCAUGGAAUAUAUGCAUCAUUUGUACUUAUUGGUGAAUUUUUUUUUUUUUUUUUUGCUUAAAAAACUAGAAAAAGAGUAGGUAAAAAAUUUUAGUGUUGUUUUUGCCCCGACUAAGAAUUUUUUCUGGCUCCGCCCCUGAUUACAUAGGUUACAAAAACAAGACAUAAAUCUCAUAAGUUACCUUUUUUAAUGGUGAUCUUAUAACUGAAAAUUCAUUUCAAAUUUUGUAACUUAUUGCAUUUGAAUUCAAAAUAAGCAUGUGAAUGAAUUCAAAAUAAUAAUGAUAUUUUUAUUAAAAUAUCCAACAAUUCCCCACUUAUUUUAAUAGAAAUAGUUCGGGCAUAUAGUGAGAACAUCAUACAUUAUGAAAGUGGCAAUGCUUUUAAACUUCCACUUAGUGUUUCAGUUUUCCCGUAUUAGAAUCAUAGUGGACUUAGCCUUUAAACUAUGAUUACUUGAGGAUACGUAGAAAACUUAACACACAUGACAUUCUAGGUGUUCUUAACCGAGCUUUUCAAACCAGUGCAUUAUGGCCAUGUACUUUACCCCAGUGUUCAUGAGUGCUUUAGAGAACUAGCCCAACUUCUCAUAAGGGCGGCCAAACCCUUACACUCAUAUAGGUGAGUCUAUCAAGGAUAUUUAUGUGACUAACAUAUCCCACCCAUAAGGGCUAUAGAACUCAUUAAGAGAUUAGUUCUCAACCUCUCAUAUUCGUCACAGAAUUACAUGCAUAGCAUCAUAUGAUUAGACUAAAAAUUUGCAUGUAUCACAACAAGCGACUCUAUGAUUCGUUUGUCUCCAAUCUAGUUCUUGGGAUCUCCAGUCCCUAGGUGAUUGUAUCCUCAUCGGUAGCUUUUACAUUUUUGGGCUUUAAUCCAAUCUCUCUUGAUGCUUUCCAGAUCUUUUCUGUAGCUAGAGCUUUUGUAAGUUGAUCGGCAAGAUUAUCGCCUAAUCUCACAAAAUCAAUGGUUAAUGAACCAUUAUUUAAAUAUGAUCUCACAGUACUGUGUUUUCUCCUUAUAGAUCUGGAUUUUCCAUUAUAAUAUUUAUUGUGAACUCUGCCAAUAGCAGCAGUACUAUCACAAUGUAUUAAAACAGGAGGUAUCGGCUUAUUCCACAUUGGAAUUUCAGAUAGUAAAUCACAUAACCAACCUGCUUCUUCACAUGCAGAAGCAAGAGCAAUUAACUCUGCUUUCAUGGUAGACUUUGCGAUUAUAUGUUGUUUUUUGGAUCACCAACAAAUGGCUCCACCUCCCAAUGUAAAUAAAUAACCAGUAUUGGACAAAGAAUCACUAGAUUGUGAACUCCAAUCUGCAUCACUAAAACCUUCAAGUACAACAGGAUAUUUUUUUUUAAAAUAGACCAUAAUCUAAAGUUCUCUUAAGAUAUCUCAUGAUUCUAUGAAUUGCAUUUCAAUGUGUAAAGUUGGGUUUACUAGUAAACCUACUAAGUACACCAACCGCAUAUGCAAUAUCAGGUCUAGUACAAUCAGUUACAUAUCUCAAACUACCAAUUAUACUAGCAUACUCUUUUUGAUUUAUCACAUCAGAAUCAUUUUUAGUAGAAAAUAAACACACAUGAGAAUCAAAGGGUGUACAAACUGGUUUACAAUCAAAAUAAUUAUAUUUCUUUAAUUUUUUUUCAAUAUAGUGAGAUUGAUCAAUAAAAAUUCCUUCUAAAUUUUUUGUAAUUUUCACACCAAGUAUGACAUUUAGCUUCACCUAAGUCUUUCAUUUCGUAAUUACUUUUAAGUAAUGCUUUUGUAAUCUCAAUUACUUGCAUAUUAGUCCCAAAUAUCAAUAAAUCAUCAACAUAUAAACAAAUUAUCACAUGAGAGUCUCCAAACGAUUUAUAAUAAAUGCACUUAUCACUUUCAUUUGACCUAAAGCCACUAGUCAAUACACAUUGAUCGAAUUUUUCAUGCCAUUGUUUAGGUGCUUGUUUAAGUCCAUAUAAAGAUUUAUUCAAUUUACAAACUUUAUUUUCUAAACCAGGUUGAAUAAAUCCUUCGAGUUGAUCCAUAUAAAUCUCUUUAUUUAAAUCACCAUUAAGAAAAGCUGUUUUUACAUCCAUUUGAUGUAUUUUUAAUUCAUGAAUUGCUGCUAUAGCUAUUAAAAGUCGUAUAGAAGUCACUCUUGUAACUGGUGAAAAAGUAUCAAAGAAAUCUAUCUCUCCUUUUUGCUUAAAACCCUUUGCAACAAGCUUGGCUUUAUAUUUAUCUAUAGUGCCAUCAGGUUUAAAUUUUUUCCUUAAUAUCCAUUUACAACCUAUAGUUUUACAACCUGGAGAUAAAUCAACUAAUUUCCAAGUUUUAUUAGACAUUAAAGAUUUCAUUUCAUCAUUAAUUGCUUCUCUCGAAAAAUUAGAAUCAAAAGAUGAUAAAGCUUCAGAAAUAGUUAUAGGAUCCCCCUCUAUAUUAUAAGUUUGAAAAUCAGGACCAAAAUCUUUUUGUGUCCUUUCCCUUUUACUGGUUCUCAAUUGCUCUUUUCCUCUAGUUGAAACUUUAGCAUUAGAAGAACUAGCUUUUUCGGAUUUUCCACUAUAUUCAUUCAAUUUUAUACCCCCACUAUCUUUAAAUGGAAAUUUAUCUUCAUGAAAAAUUGCAUCUAAAGAUUCAAUUACUACAUUAUUUUCUAGAUCUGGAAAUCUAUAUGCUUUACUGUUUAAAGAAUAUCCAAUAAAUAUACAUCUAAUUGCUCUUAUUUCUAAUUUUGAAAUUUUUGGUUCAGAAAUUCUUACAUACGCUAAACAACCCCAUACUCUAAAAUAUUCAAUAUUGGGUUUUUUGUUCCUCCAUAAUUCAUAAGGAGUUAUUAAAUCUUUUUUACGUGGUACUCUAUUUAAAGUAUAAUUAGCUGUUAAAAUAGCUUUACCCCAUAAAUUUUUAGGUGCACUCGAAUUUGCUAACAUAGCAUUUAUUAAAUCUAUCAAAGAUCUAUUUUUUCUUUCAGCCACACCGUUUGAUUGAGGUGAAUAUGGUGGAGUAACCUCAUGUAUUAUUCCUAAUGAUUUGAUAAAAUUUAUAAGGCCAAUAGUAUCAUAUUCUUUUCCUCUAUCUGUUUUAAAUCUUUUGAUUUUUCUUUCAAAACGAUUUUCAACCUCUUUAACAAAAAUAGUAAAUUUCUCAAAAGCCUCACUUUUAUGUUCAUAAGGUAGAUAUAACAAUAUUUUGAAAAAUCAUCUAUAAAUGUAAUAAAAUAUCUUUUACCUCCACGUGUUAAUAUGCUUUCAAAUUCACAAAUGUCAGAAUGUAUUAAUUCUAAUAAUUCUGUUUUUCUUUCAACUUUCAAAUGAGGUUGUUUAGUUAUUUUAGUCAUUCUACAAUAUUCACAGUUUUCAAACUCAUUAUGCAAUUUUGGAAUUAACCCUAUGCGGCUCAUAUUUUUUAAGUAUUUGCUAUUUAUAUGACAAAGACGUGCAUGCCACAUAUUUAUACAAGAAACGAUAUAAGCAGAAGUAGAAAAUUCAUUCAUUUCAACAUUAAGUUUAAACAUACCAUCACAAGUAUAACCUUUUCCAACAAAGGUACCAUUCUUUGUAAGCACAUAUUGAUCAGACUCUAUAGACUAUUUACAACCAGCCUUAUUGAGAAGAUAGCAAGAAACCAAGUUCUUCCUAAUUUCAGGAACGUGAAGAACAUCUCUUCGGGUCAAGACACGCCCAGAAGUAAACUUUAGUUCAACUUCGCCCAUGCCUAGAACAUUGGUUGUAUGUGAAUGUCCUAGCAGAACUUUUGUUUCUUUUUCAAUAGGAGAAUAACUUUUGAACCAAGUUCUAUCAUAGCAAACAUGCCUAGAGGCACUAGAAUCAGCCCACCACCCUUCAGUAUUUCCAAUAAAAUUGAUUUCAGAAACCAUAGCCACAAAUGACUCUUCAAUUAGUUGAGUCACAUUUGCUUGUGGCUUAAAAUUGGGUCCAAAAUUUCUAAAACGACAAUUUUUUGCACGAUGACCCAAUUUACCACAAACAAAACAAGCUCUAUUAUUCAUAUUAUUUCCAAAAUUUGGAGUGUUUGAAACUUGUUUUGAAGGGGGUCCUUGAUUUGACUUUUUCUGGUUAAAAUAAUUUUUUGAAAACUUGUUUUUCAUAUUCUUCCCUUUAGGCUUCAAAUAGGCGUUAUUUUUGUCUUGUUGACCCUUAGAGACAUUUUCACUAGAAGUUAGGAAGUUUACCUUAGUACUCCCAUUGAAAUCUUCACCUUUAUCUUGUUUUCUAGCUUCUUCAAUGAGCAACCUUGCCAUCAAAUUUGCUAUUGUCAAUUCUUGUUGCUUAUGACGUAGCCCUUUCUGAAAAUCUUUCCAUGAUGUUGGAAGUUUGUCAAUGAUGGCUGCAACUUGCAUUUGUGGAUCGACUUUGACUCCUUUAGAUUCAAUCUCAUGGACGAUCAUUUGCAAGUCAUGAACUUGCUCUAGUACUGGCUUGUUUUCCACCAUUUGAAACUUGAAAUAACGGCUACAAGCAUAUUUUUUCGAACCUGCUUCUUCAGUAUCAUAUUUUUGUUGCAAUGCUCUCCAACUUCUUUUUGCCGAAGUAUAAGAUGAAGAAUAAAAAUCAUAAAGUUCAUCAGACAAACAAUUAAGGAUAUAAUUUCUGCAAUCUUCCUCAUCAUUUUCCCAUUUUUGAAGUUGUUUGGCAUGAUUCUCCCUUUCUUCAUCAGUCAUUGAACUGGUGUCUAUCUUUUUUGGAUUCUUUGUGGAUAAGACCUAGGCAACCUUCAUUAGUUUCAAAUAGAACAUCACUUUCUUGGCCCACCUUUUGAAGUGUUGGCCACUAAAGCGAAAUGGUUUAUUGAGAUCACUAGAUCCAAUAGUUGUAGCGUUUGCAACAUUGCUUGCAACUUCCAUGGUACUCGAAUCGUCUUAAAUUGUUGUUCCUUUAGAACUUGAUAUGCAUGAUCAACCUGCAAAACAAAAGUCAAAGAAAGGGAAAUAAAGUAAUUUUGGCUAGGUGAGGCGCGGACUAGGUCGCUCUCUUAAGACGAUUCGCGCCCCUCUUGGGAUUAUGUCCCGUGUAGAAGGUUGAUGGCAUGUCGCCUCUGGGAUACAACAACCCAACCUAUACUGUUGCUUCUACUAAAUCUACACAAUUUAGAGAAGCUAAAGCUCUUCUCAACACCUAACUAAUACCCAAUAGAAGUGAGAGGAAGAUAGUUUUUUUGAGAUAGCAAGAAAGGUGUGUCAAAUUUGGUUGAUAGUGAUCUCUAUUUAUAGGCUAAAAAUUUAGGAGUAUUAGAAUACCACCAUUAAAUGGAAUAAAUGUGUCAUAUUUUUCAGUUACAAAAUUUGAAAAGGUCUAGGUCAUUGUAUAAUAGUCAAAAUUUAAUAAAUAAAUUCUUAAAACCUAAUCAUUACAUAGGUUACAAAAACAAGGCAUAAAUCUCAUAAGUUACCCUUUUUAAUGGUGAUCUUAUAACUGAAAAUUCAUUUCAAAUUUUGUAACUUAUUGCAUUUGAAUUCAAAAUAAGCAUGUGAAUGAAUUCAAAAUAAUAAUGAUAUUUUUAUUAAAAUAUCCAACACCUUGUGCAUGACUUAUUUAUUUAUUUGGCUUUAACACUUAGGGUUGCUUGAUCACCAACCUUAGGUCACACUAGUCGAUGGAUAGGCAAAAAAUUUUGCUAUUCAUUGAUAGAAAGGAAAUAAAUGAAAUCGAAGGAGGAAGCACAAAAAAGUAAUGAUACACUUAAAUAGGCAUUGGCUUUACAUUUUAUGAAGUAGAUGCACCAUUUACUUUGAAUCCCACCACGAAAGUGGGGGGACUUUAGGAUUGGAAAUGCCGGGAGCGAGUCUCAGUUACCAUUGGAAAUGACCUUGAGCGAGACGAGCCAUUAGUGAGACCCUAGUCAUUUGAUUCUCGAUUAUGGUGAGGCUGUGAAUUCUAUACCCCAGAGCCUUGGGUUAGUUGAUUCCACCUUUUCUUGGCCUGUUUUUACUGUUUUCAUGGUAUAAUUUAUUUUGCUUGUUUUAUGACUUUAUUUGAUAGUCUACACAGUAGAGCAAGCUUAAGUCCUUAAUAAUUGCGUCAUGGUGCUCCCAACUGGUUUGAUCCUUUAUACCCUACACUCACUAUCCAUAUACAGUGAAAUUGAACUAAUUUUAUAUGCAUAUCUUACACACGUCAAAUUUGAACUUGUUAAUGAGGAGCUUUUCUACUUUUUACUUGAAUAGAAUCAUAUCCUCUAUAUUCCUUUUAAUACUUUCACUUUGAAUAGUCAAUAUAUGGAUGUAACAAACUCAAAAAAGUGGUUGUCAAGUCGUUAAAAUUUCAUUAAAUUUUUGGAGAAGUUUGUUUAGGGAGUUUGAUGUGAGUAGUUUAUCUUCUUAAUAUUAAUUUAGUUUGAUAUUGAUAAUCUAUGAUUUUCAAUAAGAUUGAAAAUCAAUUAAAGUUUGUACAAAAGUUUUUUUCUAUGUUUUGUUGAAGAAAAAAAUUAGGCUUUGUUUGAUAAUCCAAUUCAACACUUAAACUUAAUGAAUUUACAUCUUAACAUGUUAACAUGUGUUUGAUAAUGAAAAAUUGAAUAUCUAACUUAAUUAAAUUGCACUAAAUUUUCUAGGAAAAACUUGCUUCUAAAAAUAAAUGAUAAGUUAUUCACUGAUCACUUAAAUGUGAUAUAUACUCAAAUGCAUCAGAUUUAAUACUUAACAAUUCAACAUUUUAAUAGAUUUAGAUUUAAGAUUUUAGACUUUAAAUUUUAGUUUUUAAAUUUUAAUUUUAUCAAACGCAGCUUUAGUCAUAGUAUAACACUUUACAUACUUAAUUUCUCUUUUAUUUUUAGUAAUCAUGAGAAAAAAAAACUUUGUGACUAAGUAUCACAAAAAGUAAUACGUUUAAUGUGUGACGCAUAUUCUUCUAUACUAAUUACUCUAAGUAUUGCACAAAAAGAGCGUAUUUUUAAACAAUAAUACAUACAAUGUGCAACACACGUUAUCUUUUUUUUUUUUUUUAACAAAGUACAUUUUUGGAAUUAAUUUAGUAAGAACUUAUGCAUGAAUUCCUUUUAUACUCUUGUCAUAUUUAAUAAAGCUAAUUUUCUUCCUCAUAUUCUUCUAAUGUUAAAUAGAGUCAAAAUCAAGUAAAAUCUCCUUAGAUCCAAAAAUGGGUUUUGAUUUUUAUUUAGAAAACAUAACCAAUACGAAAGGAUAUUUCUUUUUGCUUUGGAGAAUUGGUCAAAGUGGUAAGGUGGAAGUGAGAAAAUGUGACCUACAUCAGUUGGGGUUGAUUUUUGAGUAAUUAGUGUUGUAAAUAAAAGGAUUAUUUCAAAAGAUCUUGUCCCACAUCGAAAAAUUAAAGAGACUUUUCAUCAUUUAUAACGCAUAGUCUGUUAUUGGGCUUAUGUUAAGUUAGUAACUAGUAUGGGCUCGCGCGCAUGAUGUGAGAACUCGAAAAAUUAGGUUAUAUUUAUUUUAUUUCUUCGCAUGCAUUUUCUUUACUUUACUUUAUUAUAUUAAUUUUUCAGAGAUUUUUAUAAGUGAAUCAAGAUUUUAAAUCAUUUUCUUGGUAUAAGUUAGUACACGUUAAGUUUGAAGUGUAUUAUGGACGUGGAACCCGCUAAUGCAGUCUGUACGGUAAAAUUUUGACGACUAGGGGCCUGUUUGGCACCCUAGUUUUUUAUCAAGUUUUUUAGCUACUAGUUUUUUAAUAACUUUUGCUACAGGAACCCCAAAAAACUUCCCAAAGUUUUUUAUCUACACACUUAAAAUAUCUAAAACACAACAAAAAAAAAUUCCCUUCCUCUUUUCUUCUUCUUCCUCCCCCACCACCACCUCAGUCACCGGCUCCGGCGUCGAUUUCCGGUGCCGAUCUUCUUUUUUUUUCCCCUUUUUUUCCCUCUCCCCCUCUUCCUCCCCUGUCAUCCUUCCCUCUUGUCUUUUUUUUUCUCUCUGCGUCUCCCUCAUUUCCUCCCCCAGCUCUCUGUGAAAAAAAAAGAAAGAAAAUAAAGAUGGUGAGAAGUGAGAAGGGGAACAGGGGAGGCGGGGGGUGGCGGGGCAGAGGGGGAAGGGGCAGAGGUGGUGGCCGGGGGAGGGGGAAGGCGGGGCAGAGGAGGUGGCGGGGGGAGAGGAGGAGAAGGGGAAAGGGAGGAGAGGGGUGGCGGGAGGUGGCAUUGGUGGAGUUGCUACUGGGGGUGGCAGAGGUAACGGGGAAGAAGAAGAAGAAGAAGAAGAAAAGAAAAAGGAAAGAAAGAAGAAGAAAAAGAAAAAGAAAGAGAAAGAGAAAAAGAAAGAAAAAAAAAGAAAAAAAAGAAAAGGAAAAAAAAGUUUUUCACCUUACAAACUUCUACAAAAUUUUUCACUUUACAAAAACUUCUACAAAAUUUUUUCAAAAAUUUCUACAGUGCACUACAGUAAAGUUUUAGACAAACACCCAAAAAACUUAGGUUCCAAACAGGCCCUAGGUGAAGUCUUGCAUAAAGGAAUAUUAUUUUACAAGGUGUUAGGAGAUAAUUAGAGGUUAACUAGAUAAAUGAGCUUUGAAAGACAAGAAGAUUAGAACAAAACCUUAAGGUGCCAUUUGUUGCGAGACUAUUGGAAGUUGGACCUUUGACCAAGACUAGUUUUAGUCUUCAUCUUGGAAGCAAAAUUGACCAACACAUUUCAUUUCUUUCUUACCUCUUGGCCGAAAAUGAGAGAGGGAAAAACCAAGGGAAGAACUUAAUCUUCAACCUCAACUUCAUGCUUGAAUCUUGAGUUUCAAUCCACAAGCUUGCAACAUAUUUCAUAAAAGUGGUUCACUAGGGAAGAUUAAGGGAUUGAGUGGAGAGAUUUUUGGAGGAAAAGCACUAAACUUCCAUCUUUCUUGGAGGGACAAGGUAUCUUUGGCAAUACACUUUCCUCUACUUCAACUAUAUGCAAAUUAGUGGAUUAGGGUUGUAAAAUUGGUAGUUUUAUGAGGAAGUUUCAUGGUUUGAAAUAAUGUUGUGAAAAUUUUCAGUUUUUAUGAUAAUUUUCUGCUCAUAUAUGAAGCUUAAGAGUUGGCCAUGAUUGACUAGUUUUGACAUGUGAAAAAUCUAGUGUUUAUGUGUUAGUUUACUUUGCCUAAAGAAAUUUCCAGCUUGGGUGCAUAAAUUUCAGCUUAGGGUUUCAUUUGCUAACUUGAGUAAGUGAUGGUUAUAUGCUUGAUUUAGUGAGUUAUUAGUUUGGUAUGUAUAUGAUUGAGUUGAGGCUGUUUUGUGGUAAGAGUGAAGCCUUGAAUUGGCUGGAAAUAGUAGUAAAAACAAAAGAGGUGCUGCUGAAAAUUUUGUAGCCUUGGACAGUCUUAGGAAAUAUGCUAUAUCUUGUUGUAGAAAAGCUAGAAUCGAGUUCCGUUUGUUGCGUUUGAAACUAGAGUCAAAGUACUAUCAACCAUGAAAAUUUCAACCUUUUUAUCCAUUCCUAUGAAUAUUUAUGAUUUUUCAAAAUUGACUGAAAUUGCAUACCUGUUCUAUCUUGUACUGGAUGAAGCAGCAACUUGAGACUCGAAUUUGACUAACUUGUGGUCUGAAUCUUACAAAUGUGUCUUCUAAGAACUUGUAACCCUUUGAAUUUAUUUUCUGAUGGUAUAAGGUUUAUCAAUUUUGGACUUAAGAAUCUUGAGAUAUGAUUUUCCAAAUAGUGUUGCGCAAAACUGGAAAAUUCUAUUUUUCUAGAGCCGUUCUUACUUUCAUUUCCCACUUUAAGUUUGGGGUUGGUAAAUCAUUUUGAGUAUGAUUUGUGAGUGGAAUGGAGAUUUAAGUGAAAGGAAAUGAAGUCUUAGAAACCUUAAUUUCUUCAUGUAUUUUGGCUUUGUAUUGCUAGCUUUGUAAUAUAAUAUGUGACCACAGGACUCGAGAGAGUUCAAGAGGACGAACCAGGGUUAAAGUGAAGUGUUGCCAUUGAUUGGUGAGUGUACCCCUCCCAUGAUUUGUUGCUUAAUUGAUUUAUCUGUACUUGCAAUCUGUGGCUUGAAUGACUGUGAUCUCUGUUUAUUCUGGACGAGACCAGGGUGUACUUUAUCACACUCGUUUCUCUGGCCUGUGUGACUGUUUACUGUAUAAACUGGAAUCUGUUACUGUGCCUGAUAUGAUGUCGUUUGGAAGCUUAUCCAACGACUUUCCUGUGCCUGUGAAAUUUGAGUUCAACUUCAUUGGUAGUUAAUUGAAUCGAGUUAGCAAGGACUUGGUCGAAAAAAAUUGACAAACCAUGGGGACUGUUUCUGGGAAAUCUUUAGUUAUUGGAGAUUCUGAAUUUCCGGUAUACUUCUUGUAUUACCAUCUCUGUUCCUGUUGAGGCGUUCGGACCCGGUAAGGGGUAUGUUUGGUGGACAGAUUUUGGUGUAAAGUGGUGCUCUAUUGGACUGAUUACUUUACUUGAAAGUUGAUGGAUGGUCAACUACUACUUGAUCAAGCUCUGGUGAAGCAACGGGAAUUUGGCUCCUGAGAGCCAUCUGUAUCCUUUCUAUUUGAAUUACUAUGUUUAACUGAGGCGUUUGUACAUCUUUAUAUCUGGUGUGUGAGAACUCGAGAAAAAAUAAAUUAUAUGUACGCUAUGAAUUUCUUUUAUUUUAGUUACUUUGAUAUUAGAAAUAUUAUAACGAAUAAAUGGUUAAAUUAAAUGCCUAAUUGAAUUUAUAUAAAAAUUGAGAAUUUAGAAAUAUCCUAGAAUGGUGCAAUAUAUAUAUAUAUAUAUGAAUCAAAUAAACAUAUGAUAUGCAUAUUGUAAUUUGAGCAAUUUGAAUAUAUUAUAUAAUUGAAUAAAUUACAUGAUUAAUUAAUUUUUCCUUAAAGUCAAAUGUGUGAAAAUCUACUAGAUCAAUAUAAGGAAAAUCUUUUAAGGUACGUACAAAUUAGAACAAAUGCAAUUUGGAAUCAAUGAGUAAGAUAAUAAAAUUUCGGGCCUUAGUAGGUAAAUAUGCUAAAACUAGAGGACUAAUUUAACCCUAAAGGUUAGACAAUUCACCAUGCAUCCCAAGAAGAAAUUAUCGGGACUAGAACCAAGUAGAAGUAAGGUGAAUUAAUUGGUAAAAGUUGGGCGGUGACUGAAGGAAAAUUUAAAGAAAACAGCACUAGAACUACUAAGUCUAAGCGGUGGAAAUGAAGCAGCAAAUAAGAGUUGGCCAGCUAGCUGGGCGGUGGAACAUUUGCCGAGGCAGGAGUGACUAAAGGCAAGAGGAUUUCGGUAGCAUUGUUAUCUUUCUUAUGUUAAAACUCUACAAAACAACCCAGAGGAAAUAACUAGACAGCAGGCUCAUUAUUUGGGCGGUGAUCAGAGGAGUGAAGCAGACAGCUUCUUUUCUUUCUUUCUUUCUUGCAUCUUACAAAAACAAGAUCGAGGGUGAGGAACUCAGUGUGAGGGAAAAAAAAAGAUUAGCAAGCUGUAUCAUCAGCUAAACAAAGUCGAGAGAAUACUGUCAGUGGGCAAAGGAAACUGGAGCUAAGAGUGAGGAACUAGAACCAGAAAUUUUAGCAGCCGGCAACAUCGAAUUCUUAGGAGAAAAGGGUAAGAACCUACACUUAUUUUCAGUUUCUUCGGUAUAACUGGAAUAAUACAUGAGCUGCAUGUGAAUUUAGCAAAGAAAAUAAGUUCUUAGCUAAGAUAAAAUUCUGUUUUGAAAGGAAUGAAACUAACGGACAGAGAUGGAGAGAAUUGGGAGUUGUUGUUUGAAUUUCAGCCUAUAAGUGAUGGAAAAUUUAUGUGAUAAUCUCUUAAUCACCUAAUACACUUGAAUACGUAUGUUGUAUGAUAGUUUUUAGCCAAGAAAAGUGAGUUUUGCUAAAGGAAAUCCUGUGUAGAAACUGAUUCGUUCUUGGAAAGCUCAACUUGGCCGAUGGUAGGAGAGUUGAAGUUCACAGCUGUCCAUUCAAAAUCUUGGAGGAAAUUUCACUAAAAAUGCAUGAUAUAUGUUCAAUCUCAUGGCUUUUAAGAUAUUUGUUUUGAAACUAGUGAAUCAUUAACAAACUUGGCCGAAUUUGUUGAAAGAAACUGCUGGAAAUUUGAUGACAUGGUCGAGAGAGAAAUGGAAGAAUUUUCCAGUUUUCUUCAUGAAUAUUGACUGUGAAAUUGCAUAUUGUUGCUGUCUACACCUUGUAAUCCAAUAAUAUUAGCAUGCAUGUAGUAUUUAACUUGAAUCCAAGUGAAAUAAGUGUUGGUGUUGAAGGAACUUACUGGAAAUUUCUGUUGAGACCCGAUGAGAGAGGAGCUGGGAAUUUUUCUAGUUUUAUCUCCACAAUUUUGGUUGUGAAUGAAUAUAUAUCUUUGCUCCACAUACCUCUUAAUACUUAAACCUUAGCAUGCAUGUGGUAAAUUAUUUGGAUUAAACAAGGAAAGAUCAACUUUUGGAGGAAAUAUCAAAGCUGGAAUUUCUGGACAAAAGUGUUGUAUGAACCCGAGAGGAUAAAGCUGCAAUUGUUGGCUCUUUUCUUCAAAAUUUGCUGGAUUCGAAGUUGCAUGUUUUCACUUUAGUGUUUAGGUGAUUGCAUGUUGGAUUUGGUUAAUAACUUGGUAGAUUGAAUGAAAUCUCGGAAGAUACAUGGCUGGAAUCUCCGUUUUGAAACCUGAAUGACUGAUUGUAUUCUCUCAAGCUUAACUUCUGUUUCGUAAAUUGAAGUUUAUGCGGAUAUUGGCUAAAAGUAUCCUAUAGUACCCUGUUUUGUUGCAUGUAUUAUGAUUACUUUGAUUUAGAAAGAAACAUAGAGCCUUUGGAGAAGAAAUCUGAAGCUAGUUGAGCUUACGAGACUAGUUUACACAGCUUGGAAUAGUUGAGGAGUUUAAACCAUUUUCUGGAAUUCUAGGGGAUUUCAAUCAAACCUUAAACUAAGAACCACCUGUUGGGUAUAACGAUAAAAUGCAUGAUGGAUUUUAGGAAACUUAAACAAAGAAAAUGAUGGACUUUGGAUGGAAGACAUGAAGUAUGCCCUGCUAAAAAAUCUGGUUUAAACAAUUCUAACUUAGUACUUAAAUUCUAGAUUUAACUUUGAGUUCCUAAAGAGGAAAUGAACCAAAGCUGGUCAAAGCCUCUUUAAGGCUAUCUUAUAAAGGUUUUACUCGCGACUUUCAUCCAAACUAUAGGAUAAAAUCAAGGAAGUUUAUAGGAAUACUAAGCUGCCAACCUCUAGGAAAUUUAUCAACUUUGAACUUUGAUUUCUAAAAUGAUCCUUAGUACCUAGAUCGCAACUUUCAUUAUAAAAUGUAAAUUGCAAUAUAAUCACUAUAUCUUACUUUCUUUUGGUAAAACAUGGAAUUUUAAAGCUUGAAAGAUUAAAGCUACCUAGACUUUGAACCUUUGAUGUACUAGAAUAAGAUAAAUACUAAGAUUACCUUAAAACCCUAUAUAUAUGUAUGCAUUUAAAUAUCUCGAAUUAUACUUAUACGCACCUAUAUACAUUUAACUAAAAUAAUCAUGAGAACCUUAACUUCACCAUUGGAGAAAUAAUAAGCAGACUAGUAAGUUUACAAAUAUCUCAGGAAUCGAGAAAGAACUAGAGAAAGGUCCAAGUGUGACGCCCCCGCUUCUCCCAAGGGCGAACCCUAGGGUAUCGGCGGGACGCCUGCCUAACUCGCACCAGGACUCAAAAUUUCAAAACAAUAAAACUAGAUAAACCCACAAGCGUACUAUUCACAAUAUAUCUAAUGCCAAAAGAGUUCUAUUUACAUCUUCAAAAGUAUCGAGUUAAACCACUCUAAUACAUUAUAAUAACAACCAGCAGAAGGUAGACCCUAAGGAGGGUCCUUAUACAAACCACCAAAACAAAAACAAAUAUCCUAACUGUCCGACUAUUACAAUCAAACCUAACUAUACUAGUGAAGGUGCCAAGAAUUUUCCCGCGUCGUCCCCUGUUAAGGAAAACAAAGGAAACAGGGUAAGCUAGAAGCUUAGUAAGUAAACAGGGAUAAAAGCGUAAAAUUUCACAUUUAAAGAAACAGCUAUUCCACAAAAUGUCAAGUCAAGCACAAAAGUAACAAUACAAAGGAAGGAUACAGGUUGGCUCCAAAUCCAAGUCAUUUGCCAUGCGUGAUCUCCUGUCGACACUCCGUCGACCAUAAAUAAGGUCCGUAGAACUCCACUUGUACACCCACCGAACACCUUAUCACCCUCACUGGCCAGUCACAUCACAAACUUGCCCGGGCGAACGAAAUCACAAACUUGAGCUUGAGUCACAAGCUCGGGUCACAAACUUGGUUCACAACUGGAACAUACGAACUUGGUGACCUCAGACUAGGUUGGAUUGGCUCCGACCAAGCCCCGGCCGACUCGAAUAGUCCAUCCAGGUCUUGAGAUCGGGCCCACAAUUUCAACAUAUUUCACGAACUCACGAAAGUCACCCCGAACUCCAAGCUCAAGGGGUUCAGCACCAAAAUAAUUCAUAUAUACACAUCUUAUGGAGAAACAUAGGUACAAACUAGGGUUUAGGUCGAGUGUGAUAAAGUACACCCUCGCCUAAGUCCCCCUUUUCACAUCAAAACACAUAAGCAGUUUAUACACAUAAAUGGCUUGAAUACUUACUCAAAAUACAAAAAUGGUACAAGAGCAAAAUCACUUCGCGCGUGUUCGCUAGUAGUGGGCCCCACCGGUUCCGCCUAACUCACCACUGUCUGAAAUAGAAGAUUGUAUCACAUAUUAUCACAAACGGCCACUAACAUGCCCAAAACAAGCAAAACGGCAAAAUCGGCACAUGCAAGUGCGGAAACGGCAAAAUGGGCGCACGCGCGCGCGCGGAACGGCAAACGGAAAUGGCCAAAUCUGCCAUCUCAAACCGUUUUGAUCAAAAGUUAGGCUAGGAAUGUCAGAUCAAGGUGAACAAGACACCAUUUGGAAGCUAUGAGGAAGGGCUACAAUUCUCCUGAAGACACCUUAAUCUAGAUCUGAAUGGAAGCAGGUUGAAAUUGUGGAAAACAGUCCAGAAAUUUACGUCUUAGGGUGACGAACAGGGUUUGUUUACUAGAUCAUAACUCACAACUCAAAAAUACAAAUCAAGAAAUUCCAAAGGCGUUGGAAAGCUAGGACAUAAGGCUAUAACUUUCAUGUUUGGACCAAAAGCUGAAUCAAUACAGAGCAUGGAGGAAAAUGGAUCCAAACAUUCCUGUCAGAACUGUCCAAUGCGAAGGCAGUUCUGACAACUGAUCUUGUUUUGGUCAUAACUGAAGCUACGAAACUCAGAUUUGGAUGCACUUUAUACCGUUUCGAAGCUAAGACCAAGAUCUACCUUUCUUAUGAAGACACCAACACCCAAUUCAUAUGUUAUCAAAACGGACAAAACAGGGUCAGAAGCUAAAUCCAGAAACACGGCAGAAUCCGAAGUUUAGAAUAGAUGCGACUAUUUUGGCCAUAACUCAGGCUACAUAGAUCCGUUUGAGGUGUUCUUGGUGGCGUUAAAAAUAUAAGACAGAGUAAUGAAACUUUCAUGUUUUGGCAAAUGGCUAAAUCCAAACGGAUUAUAGUGAAUAAACACAACCAAAAAGACUAAACUGUCCACGCGAAACUCUGGAAUGUAACCUAGAACAACGAGGGUAGUUUCAUCUUUUCACAAGCUACGUUGCUCCGAUUGAGCUGAAAUUUUGUAGGCAACUAUAAAAUACCAUUCUCUACAACUUUCAUGUUUUAUUCUAAGCCUAACUUGGCCUCUAACAUGGUGAAAUAAAACCGGACAGAAUAGAGCUGAAAUUUUCCAGAAACCUGAAAUUUUGGGAUUCAAUGCAACCUUUCUUGAUUUCUUGCUCUAAUCAUCACUAAAAUCAUUUAUAUAAGCUUAGAUACAACAUAUAUCAUCCAUAUAGCAAUGAUAGGCAGCAAGUAUCUCAAACCCUAAUUCACAUAAAUCACCUUUAAAUCCUCAUAACAACUUGUAUCACCACUAAUCCAAUCAAAACAAGUAUUAUAUAACAACUUAAACCAAAAUGAAAGAACCAAAGCCAUGGUUUAGCCUUAUACCUCAACAAAUGAAGCUUGCAAGAGUAAUACUUCACCUCCUCUUGGAAGUCUUGUUUCCCCUAGCUUCUCAAACCCACAACUAACACUUUAAUCGGUUUAGAAGUUUAAUUUCUCACUUGGAUGGCUAAAUUCAAGAAGAAGGAAGUUGUUUCUUGCUCUCUCUUUCUCUCCUCUCUUGUUCGGCCAAGCAGCAGAAAUAAUGAAAGGAAAUGGAGCAAAAUUGGUGAUAAGAAGGUUGGAAUUUGUCUUGGUCAAGAAGCCAUGGUUGAGUGACACUUGUCACCACUAAUACCAACCAAAAUUUUCUUUUUCCUUCUUGCAUUUUUAGCCCUAAAAUUUGGUCAAAGCUAGCUGGAAAAUGAGAGGAUAUUUUGCUCAAAUAUUAGUGAGCUUGUAUGGUAAGAAAGUGGUGGUCAAGUGGUGUGUUCAAUCGGUAAUGCACGGUACACGUCGGUUCACACCGUUCUUCCUUAAGUCACACGUACUAGGGUUUUUUUACUUCCUAUUCACUAACUUUUUAUCAUUGCAUCUAAUCACAUAUUAUUUCUCACCCAAAAGUCACUCUUAAGCACCAAAUUUGAUCCUUGCUUCGUACCGAAAAAUCAUCCGGCGAAAAAUCGCGAAAACCCUAAUUGCUCCAAUCUUGAAAACGAAGAGUGAAACCCUACUUUUUAGGUUCAUUUGCACUUAUUGUAGAAUGAUUGGGUAGUAUUAAUGGUUUUACACCCCACUUAGAAUUCUAACAAAUCAUAUCACUAGAAACUUUUCUAGUUUAGGGUUUUUCUAACUUUUAAACUCACUUUAAGCACCAUUCGAACUUAUAAUUAAUACAAAACUAGGGUUUCAAUCCUACCCCCAAUUUAGGGUUUUCGAAGUAUUCCCAAAAUCAAAUGUUACCGCACAAAUAAUGAAUAUAACCUAAUAUCAACCUAAGAACGGACUGGGGCUUCACACCAAGCACCGAGUAGUGAACUCAAAUUACUUUGGGUGAGUGUUUCCGAAUUUAUGUGUUUAACUGUUUAUGUGUACUUAAGUGAAAUUAUGUGACAAAUAUGUGUAUUGUGAAAUAUUGCUAAGUGAUUCAUUGUAAAGUGUAUCUCGGUUGUCCCUCACCUUCUAAGUCAAGGGUGUACUUUAUCGCACUCGACUUAGUUGAGCUAGAAGGUUGAUAAUUAAUCAAGUGAUAUUGUAAGUAUUCAGGCUGUUUUUGUGUAUAACUUGCUUAUGUGCUUUGAUGUGAAUGAGAGGGUAUGUAGGCGAGGGUGUACUUGAUCACACUCGACCUAAACCCUAAUUUUGCACCUGUGUUUGUCUAUGAGAUGUAUAUAUAUGAAUUAUUUUGAUGUUGAACCCCUUGAGCUUGUAGUUUGGGGUGACGUUUGUGGGGCCCGAUCUUAAGACCUAGAUGGGCUAUUCGAGUUGGCCGGGGCUUGAUCGAAGCCAGUCCAACCUAGUUUUGAUGUCACCAAAUUUGUGAAUCAAGUUUGUGAAUCAAGUUUGUGAACCGAGCUUGUGAAUUAAGUUCAAUUUCGUUUCGUUUGCUCGAGCCAUUUUGUGAGGUGACUGACCAGUGAGGGUGAUAAGGUGUUAGGUGGGAGUACAAGCGGAGUUCUACGGACCUUUAUUUGUGGUCGACGGAGUGUCAACAGGAGGUUACACGUGGCACAUGAUUUGGCUUUGGAGCCAACCUGUAUCCUUAACUUGUGUUGUUACUUUUGUACUUUUGAUUUGACAUCUUUGUGAAAUAAUUGUUCAGUGAAGUGUUUUCUCAAUUGCUAAUGAAAGUGAUUGUACAGUGAAAUGUGCAUUACCUGCUUAAUUAUAUUGAUUCAUGUGAUUAUUAAAUGUUACUUGCAUGGAAACCUCACGGGCGUAAGCUUACCCUUUUAGCUUUGUUUUCUUUACAGGAGUUAAAGAUUGAAGAGUGAUUGAAUUGAACUAGAAAGUUAUUUUGGGAAGAUCCGUUAUUCUGUGUAUAUAGUGUAGGCAUGGUCUCUUUUGAAUUUUGAGACGGUUGAAUUUUUGUUUGAGUUGGUGUGAUAUUAAGAAUGGAUAUUUAGAAUAGGUAUUUUGUUUCUUUUAUUGGACAAAUUUAUGUUUCAAGCUAAUUGAAGAUGUACUUAAGAGUGGAUGUUCAGUUGUCCAAUGGUAAUGUUAUCUCUGAAGUUAAUGUGAGUGAGUGAGUUCUGGCGAGAGCCAGGCAGGCGAUCCGCUAACUUCUAGGGUAUGCCCUAGGAGAAAGUGGGGUCGUCACAUGGUGUUUCUAUGUGAUUGAUUAAAAGUAAAUCUUGACUGCUUGUACUUUUGGUACUGCACUGGGUUUUUAACUCAACUCUCGUUAUCUUUAUUUUCCUUACAGGAGACAAACUUUGAAACUGUGAUUAGUGGAGAAAAGAGUAGAGCUAGUUAGAGACAUUCUUUUGAUUAAACUCCUUUGUACUGGCAAACCUUAAUUGUACUUUGAUAAAUUGUGGAUAUUCUGACUUGUAUUACCAGUUGAACUACUGAACAUUCCAAUGUAUAUAGAUAUAAGUGUCUAACCAUGAAUAUUAAAUGUAUUCGUUUGAGAUGUACAUUUCUAUGGUUAUGUGAACUUGUUGGAAAUUUGAGAGAAUGCGAAACUUGAACAAGGAAAGAAAAGGAAUCUGGCAGGAUCUACUGCAGAGAUUCCAGCGGUAUAUCCGGCCGGAUACUUGGCCGGAUUGUCAGGGGAAAAUGAAAAGUUUUGAUUUUGUUCACUGCCUUGAAUCCGGCCAGGAAUCCGGCUAAAUUUUGGUUGGAUUCUGACGUGCCAUUUGUUCUUUUCGCUUUUCGUCGGAACGUUGAAUCGAAGUUCUAUUGCAUCGUUUAGUUUAGCUAAUUCAGUUUCCGACAGUUCAUUUUCUCGAAGUUCUUUUGCACGUUUUGUAUGGGUUUGCGUGUGUUUCGACUCAGUAGUCCUGGCGAGAACUGGAUAAGCAGUUCGCUAACCCUUACGGUACGCCCUAAGGGAAGGUGGGGCUGUCACACAUGAGAGAGGAGUUGAGUUGGGCUGUUUCAGUUCCAAGUGAGUUUUUCUACGACCAAGAAUAUAUUUUACAAAUUAAAAUUUGAAUCUUUCCUGAGAAGAUAAAUUUUUUAUUUCAUGGUUAUGAAGGUCAUAACGUUCCCAUUUAUUUCAUCGAUUACAUAACUUUCCCUUUUAACAUUACUAUCAUCGGUUACGAAGGUCAUAACGUUCCCAUUUAUUUCAUCGGUUACAUAACGUUUCCUUUUAAUAUUACUAUCCGUUACUUCCGUUACACGGAAUAAAUUAAACAUUACUUUCGGUUACACAAAAAAUUAGCCAUGUUUUUUUUAUGUUAUCAAAUAUUAUUUCUCAUUUUCUGCUGCCUAUAAAUACCAGUUGUGCUCCCAUUUUAGAGACAAACCAACAGCUGACAGUAGAGACCUUCCUGUUAGUUUUCUUGCUCUAAUUCUCUUCUUCUACUUCUUCCUCUCUCUGCUGAAUUUAACUAAUGUUUGCUAAAGUUCUGAUCCUUCUUGUUAUAAAUAAGAAGAAGACUUGUUUAAUUUUGGGGAAAUAUUUCAAUUUCAUGAAAUAGUUUCUUAAGAUAGUGUUAUUAGACAUGACUCAAGCUAUAUUUUAUUAGUUAACAUUGUUUUUCGGCUAUUUCUGCCUACAAUCUAAGAAACAAUGGCCUCUGGUAAUGUUAACACCUCACAAGAUGCAUCCGAUUCAGUUGCUGUCACACUAACUUUCACAAGACCUUGUCCAGACAUCUCCGAAAUUGAAGUUUUCAUCAAUGAAAACUUCAAAAGGUGGCAAGAUUGUGUGCACUCUCUACUGGACGUUCAUGGAGUGGCCUACGCACUGACAAAAGUACAACCAACUGCAACUAUGAAUGUCAAGGCACAAGAAUCUUGGCAAUAUGCCAAUAAGGUUUGUCGGCACACUAUUUUACAAACACUUCAAAUGAAUUAUUUGAUGUGUACUGUAGCUAUAAGGAAGGUAACAAAAUUUGGGAAGCCUUGAAAACAAAAUUCAUAGCUGAAGACGCUACCAAACAAAAAUUCAUUGUGGGGAAAUACAACCAAUGGCAGAUGACAGAAAACAAAGAAAUGAAAGUACAAAUCACGGAGUACCAAAUGCUACUUGAGGACUUCAAAAAUCAAGACAUAAAUUUGCCUGAAAAAUUUGCUGCUGGCAUGCUAAUUGAAAAGUUGCCCGAGUCGUGGGCUGACUACAAAAAUAAUCUGAAACAUAAAUAGAAAAAUUACACCAUUGAUGAGAUCGUGAAACAUAUUUUGAUUGAAGACUCUAGCAGAAAGGAGUUAAGGACUGUCAAAAUUAAGGAGAUGACUCUCAAAGCUAAUCUGAUUCAAAGUAAUAAUAAAAGGUACGCCAAUAAAUCCCAAAAUUACAAGCCCAAUAAUCCCAAUUUUAAAAAGAAGAAAGGCAUUUGCUAUGUCUGUGAAAAACCAGGAUACCAGGCUGCUCAAUGCAGGCACAAAAAGAAAGAUGACAAAGCAAAUGGCAAUCCUCCUAAGGUUAAUUUAACCGAAGGAUAUGAUAUAAUUGCUGCUGUCAUCUCUCAAGUCAAUAUUGCAACCAAUGUAAAAAAGUGAGUAGUAGACUCUGGGGCUAUUCGGCACAUAUGUGCAAAUCGAGAAACUUUUUCCUCCUAUACACCAAUAGGGGAUGAUGAAGAGGUGGUCUACCUUGGAGACUCACAAACUGCUAAAAUUCUGGGUAAUGGCAAAAUUCUAUUGAAACUUACUUCAGAAAAAACUUUGGCCCUCAAUGAUGUGCUGCACGUGCCGAAUAUUCGGGCAAAUCUGGUUUCUGUAGCAUUGCUAGGAAAAGUUGGGGUGAAAGUGUCAUUUGAAUCUGAUAAGAUUGUUAUGACCAAAAAUAAUAUAUUUGUGGGCAAAAACUACUGUAAUCAACUCUUUGUACUCAACGUUUCAAAUGUGAUCAUUGAAAAUGCAUCUUCUUUUGUUUAUAUUAUUGAUUCAAUUUCUUUAUGGCAUGCUAAAUUAGUACAUGUUAAUGUUAGCUAUAUAAAGAAAAUACAAUCACUUGGAUUACUUUCUGAUGUUAAUAAUAAUGACAUGAAAACGUGAAAUAUGUACAGAAACUAAAAUAAUCAAGAAAAAUUGUGUAACUGUUCAAAGAGAAACUGGUUUAUUAAAUCUAAUUCACACAGAUUUAGUUGAUUUAAAACAAACUAUGACUAGAGGAGGUACAAGAUAUUAUGUUACUUUUAUCGAUGAUUAUUCAAGAUAUACUAAACUUUAUUUACUUAGAAAUAAAGAUGAUACUUAUAAUGUUUUUUUAUCUUAUAAGUCUGAGGUAGAAAACCAACUUAAUAAGAAACUAAAAAGAAUUAGAUCAGAUAAAGGAGGUGAAUAUUUAGCUUUAGAUAAGUUUUGUGAACAUGAAAACAUAAUACAUGAAUCAACGCCUCCUUAUUCACCAGAAUCUAAUGGAGUAGUUGAAAGAAAAAUAGGACACUAAAAUAAAUGAUGAACUCUAUGUUAGUUAGUUCACAUGCUCCAGAUAAUUUAUGGAAAGAAACUAUAUUAUCUGCAUGUCAUCUACAAAAUAGAAUUCCACAUAAAAAGAUUGGCAGAACACCUUAUGAGUUAUGAAAAAAUUAUAAUCCAAAUUUAAAAUAUUUAAAAGUAUGGAGAUGUCUUACUAAAGUGUUAUUACCUGAACCUAAGAAAAGAAAAUUAGGUUCUAAAACUUCUGAUUGUAUGUUUAUUAGAUAUAUUGAACAUAGUGCUGCAUAUAGAUUUCUUGUUUUAAGAAGUGAUACACUUGAUUGUAAUACAAUUAUAGAGAUAAAAAAAGCUAAGUUUUUUGAACAUAUUUUUUCACUAUCCAAUAAAAUUUCUCGUGCACCUGUUGAAAGAAAUAAAAAAAUAAGCUCUAAUAAGGAAUUGAGAAGGAGUAAAAGGCUGAGAAAAGAAUUUUCUUAUGGGAAUGAUUUUCAAACCUUUCUUGUUGACAAUGAUCCUUUAACUUAUUCUGAUGCAAUUUCUUCUUCUGAUUGCAAGUUUUGGAAAGAAGCAAUUAAAUCUGAAAUUGAUUCUAUUUUGCAAAAUAAAACAUGGACUUUGGUAAAUUUGCCUCCUGGUGCACAAUCUAUUGGUUGCAAAUGGAUUUUUAAAAGAAAAUAUAAUUCUAAUGGUUCUAUAGAAAAAUGCAAAGCUCAUUUAGUAGCAAAAGAAUUUUUUUAGAAACAAAAUAUUGACUAUUUUGACGCAUUUGCACCAGUAACAAGAAUUUCUUCUAUUCGUGUUUUAUUUGCCUUAGGUUCUAUCCACAAACUUGUUGUUCAUCAAAUGGAUGUCAAAACAGCUUUUUUAAAUGGUGAUUUAGAAGAAGAAAUUUAUAUGCUUCAACCUGAAGGAUGUAUUAAAUCUGGAUAAGAAAAUAAAGUGUGUAAAUUAAUUAAAUCUCUUUAUGGUUUAAAACAAGCUCCUAAACAGUUGCAUGAGAAAUUUGAUCAAGUGUUGAUGAAAGAUGAUUUUUUGUCUGUAGAAGUGAAUAAAUGUGUAUAUAUUAAAGUUGUGAAUAAUCAAUAUAUGUUAAUUAGUCUAUAUGUGGAUGACAUGCUUAUAUUUGGUAUAAAUAUAGAUGUUGUUAAUAGUACUAAAUAUUUCUUAUCCUCUAAGCUUGAUAUGAAAGAUUUGGAUAAAGUUAAAAUGACAUUGGGUAUUCAUAUCAUAAGGAGAGAUGAUGAUAUAAUGUUGUCACAACAAUAUUAUACAGAAAGACUUCUUAGGAAGUUUGAAAAUUAUGAUGUGACACAUGUAAGUACUCCUUAUGAUGCUAAUACACAAUUAAAGAAAAAUAAUGGUGACCCAAUUGCUCAAUCUAAAUAUGCUCAGAUUAUUGGGAGUCUGAUGCAUUUGAUGAAUUAUACGAAAGUUGUGUGUCGACUGAGCAGGUAUACUCACAAUCCUAAUAGUGAGCAUUGGUUAGUUAGACUAAUGAAAUAUUUGAGAGGUACCAUGCAUUAUGGUAUCUUAUAUUUGGAUUUUCCACUAUAUUAGAGGGGUAUAGUGAUGCUAAUUGGAUCUCGGAUUCAAAUGAGACAAAAUCCACUAGUGUUUAUGUAUUCAUCCUUGGAGGUGGUGCAGUAACAUGGAAGUCAGUUAGACAAACAAUCAUUACUAGAUCAACUAUGGAAUCAGAGUUUAUAGUUCUGGUGUUGACUGGUUCUGAGGUUAAUUGGUUAAGAAACUUCUUAAUCAAUAUCCCUACAACUACGAAUCUGUUGCCUCUUGUAUCCAUACAUUGUGAUUGUCAAGCAGCAAUUGCUAUUGCUAAAAAUAAAUCAUAUAAUUAUAAAAGUCGACACAUGAAACUAAGACAUGAUGUCGUAAAGCAACUGCUUAAAGUUUGAAUUAUUUCUAUUGAUUUUGUGAAAUCAGAGUUGAAUUUGGCCAAUCCUCUGACUAAACUUGUAGGCAGAAAAUUAAUUCUUCAAACUACAAGAGCAAUGAGACUAAGGCCAAUAAGUUGUCAAUAGAUAUAGUAACCCAACCUAUGUGAUUGGUGAUCCGAUUAAGUAGAUUCAUAUGGGUAAUCACAAAUCAAUAUUGACUGUAAAACACUUCAAAUUUAAGUCUCUCCGAAGAUAAGUGCUUUGAUUGCUAAUAAUUGUAAGGGUGAGUUUAAAACUCUUAAUGAAUUCAUAUCUAUUUAAGGAGGUGUAUUUAAAGCAAUAUACACUUGAUUAAUUUACCUAUAUGAGAGUGGAGUGAGGCUGCUCCUAUAAUAUUUAUUGGCCGAAUCUUUAGAGCUCUAAUAAAUAACUAGGUAAGUGCACGGCCUAAAAGCGUAAAAUCGCGAUAAUAGCAAGUUAUGGGUUGUAGUGUGAUAGAUUUUUAAAAUCUCUGUCAUACAUCAAGAGUUAUUGGUUCAUAGAAAUUCAUAUUUCACCAAUAAUUUUGUAGGUCAUGUUUUGCCAAUCUAAGUUUGGUUUAUAGUCCAAAAGACACCAAACUUAUUACAUUUCGCCCAAAUAAAUCCAGUAGACUAUUUCUUUUGACCAAAAUCUUUUGAAAUAGGAAGGAGAUUGUUGUAAAUAAAACGCAUAUUUCAAAAGAUCUUGUCCCACAUCGAAAAGCUAAAGAGACUUUUCAUCAUUUAUAACGCAUAGUCUGUUAUUGGGUUUAAGUUAAGUUGGUAACUGGUGUGGGCUCGCGCGCAUGAGAGGGGAGUUGAGUUGGGCCGUUUCAGUCCCAAGUGAGUUUUACUGUGACCAAAAAUAUAUUUUACAAAUCAAAAUUUGAAUCUUUCCUGAGAAGAUAAAUUUUUUAUUUCAUCGGCUAUGAAGGUUCCCUUUUAACAUUACUAUCAUCGGUUAUGAAGGUUAGAACGUUCCCAUUUAUUUCAUCAGUAACAUAACAUUUCCUUUUAAUAUUACAAUCCGUUACUUUACACGGAAUAAAUUAAACGUUACUUUUGGUUACACAGAAAAUUAGCUACGUUUUUUUUUAUGUUAUUAGAUAUUAUUUCUCACUUUCUGCUACCUAUAAAUACUAGUUGUGCUCCCACUUUAGAGACACACCAACAGUUGAUAGUAGAGACCUUCCUGCCAGCUUUCUUGCUCUACUUCUCUUCUUCUACAUCUUCCCCUCUCUACUUGAUUUAACCAACGCUUGCUAAAGUUCUAAUCCUUCUUGUUAUAAAUAAGAAGAAGACUUGUUUAAUUUUAGGGAAACAUUUCAAUUUCAUGAAAUAGUUUCUUAGGACAUUAUUAUUAAACACGACUCAAGCUAUAUUUUAUUAGUUAACAUUGUUUUUUGACUAUUUUUAUCUACAAUUAGUGCCUAGGUCAAGAGAUUAGAAUGUUGAUAUCAUGGAUAUAUAUAUAUAUAUAUAUAUAUAUAUAUAUAUAUAUAUAUAUAUUAUCAAUGACGGCUAUACUCCAUAACGUUAAUUUGGAUAAUACUAAACAAAUGAUGCACAAGAAGUUGGUGGAUCAAGUAAAAUAAAAGAAUAGUUAAGUUCCUGAAACUUUUAUCCAAAAUUGGUUUCUCAAGUUGAGUUUUAACCAAUUUAGCUUGGUUGAUAUAUUAUUUAUAAUAUUUGGUGUAAAUUCAUACAAGUUUAGUAUAAUUGUAAAAUUUUUGUUUAACUUAAUUGUAUGAGUUGGCAAAUUUCAAUUAUCCCGAAAUUAUGUUAGUUUAUAACACAUAUUGUAAGAAUUACAUCAAAUUGGAGAGCCCGUAGAUCCACUUUUAGCACUCUUCUUUAACUCUCUUUUUCUCUUUCCCACGUACUUUCGGAGAAUUACGAACGUAAUUAAUCAAUCAAGGUGAUGUAUCGUGAAUUUGGUUAUGUAUGGCAUGUUGUUUUUGGUAACAAAAAUACUCAUUUAUAUACUUCCAUUUUAUUGAACAUGAUUCAUUAUCUUAUGAAUCACUGAUAUACUACAUAGUUACAUUCCACUCUCGUGGAAACUGAAAUACAAACUAAAAGGGGCAUAUAUUGUACCCAUUAUUUAGUACUCGUUUAGCCUGAUAUUGGCUGUCUAAAGCACAAACACCAAUCAUGGAAUUAAUAUUUAGCAUAAGGCCAAACACAAUAUAGUGAACUUCCAUCCUCAAAGUAAAGAGUGCAGCCGUCGGAGACGCAACAAUUGGUGCCGUCUGUGUAGGUCUUCGUUCCAUUACAGAUCUUGUACACGGUGCCUCCUAUGCAAUUUCGUGAGCAGGGCCUGAGAAGCCCAUGCCUGACAGCCUUGACUUCCACAUUUGCUCCCAGAAGAAUCAUUCCUGUUUUUAGUACCAAAAUCAUUUUAAAUCAUGUGCAAACCAAAUCCCGUAUAGGGUUUUGAAAAAUGCUCGAAACUUAUUUUAUAUAUCUUAUCUUAUCUUAAACUACAUAAAGCCGCGAAGGCUGAGCUACAGUUAAUUGUGCCGGUUUCACUGUGAUUUUGCAGCCAAUUUCGUCCUUUUUGGUCUUUUCGCGGGCUUCAUGCAGCGCCCUUGCUUCUUCUUCCGCUUGUCCUCAUUGCUUUUUUUGUUGCUUUGUUCCCAUUCUGCCCUUCCCUUGGUUCGUUUGUAAUUUUGUCCCCAAUUUUGUCCUUUUGUUUCUCCUCCAUCUUCCGCUGCUGCAGUUGUUAUGCCUGACUUUAUUCACAAAUGUUAGCUUUUGUCCCCAACUUUGUCCUUUUCUUUCUCCUUCAUUUUCCGUUGCUGUAUGUAACUGUUAUCGCUAGCUUUAUUCACGAAAAUGUUAGCUUAUCGUUUUUAUUUAUUAACUUUAUUUCACAUAUAACUUCCUUCAAUCUUAACUUUGUAUUAGCAUUUCUUUCUUCAAACUAUAAUUCUCUCUUCUCUUUUAUAUUUAUUAUUAUAUUCAUUAAUCAAUAAAUUAAUUACUCAAAAUAUAUAUAUUAACAAACAUAUUGAUUUUGUAAAAAAAAUCCUUCGCAUAUAUAAACAAAAAUAUACAUAAUAUACACAGCAUUAAACAAUCAUAAAGUAUAUUUUUUCACCCAAAAAAAUAUAUAUAAAAAAAAUUAAUUUUCUCCAAAAUAUAUAUAUCAACAAAAACUUCAUACACAUCCAAUAAAUAUAAAUCAAUUAUUCAAAUCUAUCUUUAACUUCCAUUCAUUCGACUAACCAUUUUCUAAAAAUAUCCAAUAGCUUCUUUCUAUUCCAAAAAUCUUAUUUCUAUAAUAUAUAUUAACUACUAAACAAUUAACUUAAAUCUUUUCCACUUCAAAAUUGAAUAACACAAUACACAUACAUUCAAAAAAAAGUUAUAAUUAAUUCUAUACCCUUUAUAUACGAUUUAUCUUCCACAAUAUAUAUAUUAACAAAAAUAUUUAUUCUCUAGAAACACAACUUUAAUUCUAUAAUACAAACACAAAAUUAUUUUGACUACAAAAACAUAUAAAUAUAUUUUUAUAUCCUAUUUAUCACCCAUUUUACAUAUCUCCACUUUUUCCAAAAUAUAUUUUACUGCAACCAAUUAUUUUUUAAAAUAUAACAUAAUUCCUCUCUAUUUCAAAAAUACUCCUUCAAUAAUAUUCGUUAAUAACCCAAUUAUCAACUUAAACUUCUUCCAUUUUUAAAUUAAAUAGCAUAACACAAAUACAACCGCCAUAAAAUACUUAUCAACAAAAAAUUCAUAACUAUCUAAUAAAUACAAAUUAAUUGUACCACUUUCCAUUACCUUCCAUUUACUCUAUUCCAAAAAUAUUACUUCAAUAAUAUUUCAAAAACUAAAAAAUUCAAAAAUAUACAACUAAAAACCAAAAUUAAAAAAAAAACUUUUCUCUAAAAUUAUAACCUACAUUAUCAUUAAUAAUAUGGGAUAAAGCAACAAUGGCAAAAAAAUAUGCAAUUGAAUCCUUGGACAGAGUACUUAGAGAUUUGCUGAAUUCUGAUCAAAUAUUUGGUGGAAAACUCAUUGUUUUCGGUGGAAAUUUUCGACAGACUUUACCAAUUGUCCACAAAGGUCAAAGAGAAGAUUACAUUUCUGCAUCUCUCAUCAACUCAUAUAUUUGGCCACACCUCCAAAAGAUUCGAUUGACUGAAAAUAUGAGAGCAUUUCUCGAUCCAUCAUUCUCAGAUUUUCUGCUCAAUAUUGGAAAUGGCACACAAGCAACCAUUGCAGAUGACAAGAUACAAUUGCCUUCUUCUAUGAUUGUCUCUUUCAUUAAUGAUGAUCAGCAAUCCUUGCACACUCUGAUAGACACUGUUUAUCCAUCUCUAUCUAGCUUUUGCCCUCAGAAUUCAACUCUCAUUAACAGAGCCAUUCUCAGUACAACAAAUGAUAUUGUGCACGAAAUCAAUCAAAUUUUGAUUCAGAAGUUCCCUGGAGAAGAAAUCAAAUAUAUCAGCUUCGAUGAGACAAUAGAUCCAACAAAACAAGCUGAAUCACGGUGACUUCUUAAAUACUAUCCACCCCCAGGAUUACCUCCACAUUUGUUGAUUUUGAAACCAAAUUGCCCAGUUAUUCUCCUAAGAAAUCUGAAUCCAGCACAAUGACUAUGCAAUGGAACCCCCAUGAUAUGCUUAAAUUUUAACAAAAACAUCAUACAUGCACAAAUUUCGGUUGGAAUUCAUUCUGGUAAAUAGGUUUUCAUUCCUCGCAUUCCAUUGCAUAGUUCUAAUGAUGAGUCAUAUCCAAUACCUUUCAAGCGUACUCAGUUCCCAAUUUCAUUAUGUUUUGCCAUGACAAUUAAUAAAUCACAAGGACAAACACUUGAUUUUGCAGGAUUAUAUUUGAAAGAACCAGUAUUUUCACAUGGCCAAUUAUAUGUUGCAUUAUCAAGGGCUAGAAUUGCUAAUGAUGUUAAAAUUUUACUCAUACGCAUUGCCUCUGAUUCUUUGUCCAGUAAUUGUACUCGAAAUGUAGUGUAUCAAGAAAUUUUAGCAGCUGCAGCUGAAGAUUAAGUACUGAACUUAAAAGUUUUCAAUUAAAAGUGCUUAUAUUCAGCAUCUUAUAUAUUUGCAUCAUUCCAUCCAUAUUAAUAUACAUUUGAUGUUCUAUAUUGCAGGCAUGGAUGACAAAUGCACUCCUGUGAAUAGUUUGACAAAUAAAUCAAGUGAGUGGAUAAUUAAAGUCGUUCUGAUUGAAAAUCCUAUGUAUAUCUAAUACAUACUAACGAAUAAAAAUUCUAUAUGUAUCUAAUCAAUAUAUAAAAAUCGAUUAUGCUAUUUUGUAUUAAUGCAGAUCAAUGAAAAUUAUAUGUGUUUAACCUAUAUCUAAUAUAUAUAAAUUAAUAAUACUGCCUUGUAUUAACAUAUAAUAAGUGUUAUUUAUAUCAAAUAAUUAUAGUUUCGAGACUAUUUCUAUAUUUAUAAUUUUCUCUCCUUCUUUAUAUUUAUCCACUUAUUUAUUAACUCGCUUAUUUAUUAAUUUUGUCGAAAGUGUGUAUAUUGACAAAAAUAUUAACUAUUAAAAAAAUACGCAAAUCACUAAAAAUGCUAUGCACAUCUAAUACAUAAAAUAGCCUUCUUUUUAUGUUUAUUCGCUUAUUUAUUAAUUUUCUCCAAAAUAUAUACAUUAGCAAAAAUAUUAAAUGUGAAAAAAAUGCAAAUUCCUAAAAAUCCUACGUACAUCUAAUAUAUGCAAAUGAAUAAAAAUUCUAUGUGUAUCCAAUCAGUAUAUAUAAAUCAAUUAUACUGUUUCGUAUUAAUACAAAUCAAUGAAAAUCAUAUGUACUUAAUAUGUAUCUAAUGUAUAUAAAUUUAAUUAAUUUUCUCCAAAAUGUAUAUAUUAGCAAAAAUAUUAAAUAUGAAAAAAAUAUGCAAAUCGCUAAAAAUCCUACGUGCAUCUCUAAAAUGUGUAUAUUAACAAACAUAUUAAAUAUCAAAAAAACAUGCAGGUUGCUAUAUACACAAACAUAUUAAUCAAUAUAUAUAAAUCGAUUAUGGUGUUUUGUAUUAAUGCAGAUAAAUGAAAAUCAUAUAUGUUUAGCAUGCAUCUAAUAUAUAUAAAUUAAUAAUACUACUUUGUAUUAACAUAUAAUAAGUGUUAUUUAUGUGAAAUAAUUAUAAUUUCGACACUAUUUCUAUGUUUAUAAUUUUCCAUCAUUCUUUAUAUUUAUCCGCUUAUUUAUUAACUCACUUAUUUAUUAACUUUGUCAAAAGUGUGUGUAUUGAAAAAAAUAUUAACUAUCAAAAAAUUACGCAGGUCACUAAAAAUCCUAUGUAUAUCUAAUACAUACUAACGAAUAAAAAUUCUAUAUGUAUCUAAUCAAUAGAUAUAAAUCGAUUAUGCUGUUUUAUAUUAAUGCAGAUCAAUGAAAAUUAUAUGUGUUUAACGUAUAUCUAAUAUAUAUAAAUUAAUAAUACUACCUUGUAUUAACAUAUAAUAAGUGUUAUUUAUAUCAAAUAAUUAUAAUUUUGAGACUAUUUCUAUAUUUAUAAUUUUCCCUCCUUCUUUAUAGUUAUCCGCUUAUUUAUUAACACGCUUAUUUAUUAAUUUUGUCGAAAGUGUGUAUAUUGACAAAAAUAUUAACAGUUAAAAAAUUACGCAAAUCACUAAAAAUGCUAUGCACAUCUAAUACAUAAAAUAGCCUUCUUUUUAUAUUUAUUCGCUUAUUUAUUAAUUUUCUCCAAAAUAUAUAUAUUAGAAAAAAUAUUAAAUAUGAAAAAAUAUGCAAAUUCCUAAAAAUCCUACGUACAUCUAAUAUAUGCAGAUGAAUAAAAAUUCUAUGUGUAUCCAAUCAGUAUAUAUAAAUCAAUUAUACUGUUUCGUAUUAAUACAAAUCAAUGAAAAUCAUAUGUACGUACUUAACAUGUAUCUAAUAUAUAUAAAUUUAAUUAAUUUUCUCCAAAAUGUAUAUAUUAGCAAAAAUAUUAAAUAUGAAAAAAAUAUGCAAAUCGUUAAAAAUCCUACGUGCACCUAAUAUAUGCAAAUGAAUACAAAUUCUAUGUAUAUCCAGUCAAUAUAUAUAAAUUGAUUAUGCUAUUUCGUAUUAAUACAAAUGAAUGAAAAUCAUAUGUACUUGACAUGUAUCUAAUAUAUAUAAACUUAAAAUUAAAUCAAUCCAAUAUUUAUUGAUUCAAAAAACAAUUAUUCUAUCAAUAAAUACAAAUAUAUGAUUCUAAAUUUAUAAUUUCAAAAUUUUAAAAAUCAUUAAUUUGUAUAUAUUAUAUUUAUGAAUUUGUAUUCUUCACUAUAUUUCUUUUCUUUUAGUUUUUCAAUACUAAACUCUUCCACUAUUUAACACACGAUCUUGAAUCUUUGGUGAGUUUCAUACAAAUUACAUUCCUAUCAAUAUAAUUCAUGCACUACAUUGCUACUCUCAUUUCAUAAUACAACUACGUUUUUUCCCUAUUUUCUAUCUCAGGUACUCAUUGGUGAUAUACCCUCGCAUAUACAAACAGACAACAUAGGAGUCAUCAAUUGUUAUCAUGCUAAAACUCGAUGGAUCUUUCAGCUAGAAGGAAUAGAAAUAACAGAAGGUUGGCCAAUAUUCGCACAAAAACACUUCUUACAUGAAGGAAGUGUCAUCCUGUUCACCCUACUCAAUGAAAACAAUUAUCAUUUGCAGUUCUUUAGCAGAGACUUUAUCCAACAAUCAUAAUUAAACAUGACCACUACAGCUUCUUGCACAUAGCAAUUAUAUGUUCCCUAAAUUUUCUUUAUUCUACUUCCACUUAUAUUUAACAAUAUAAAAAUAAACAUAUUGAAAUUAUUUCGAAUUAUUAAUUUAUCUCAACUCUUAAAAAAUGAUUUACAUUCCAUUAAUUUAAAUAAUAUUUACAUCCUGUUACUCUUAAAAAAUUAAAUACAAAUCACAACAAUAUUACUAUAUCUAUUUAUAAAUAUAUUAAUCCAAUAUAUUGUUCCUCUAUUUAUUAUUCCAACCCUACUAUCAUAUAAAACACUCUAAACAUUAAUUAUUAAAUAAAUCUUACAUUACCCUUAAACAAUCAAUAAUGGGCACCCCGCGAAACUCGCGGGGCACAAUGCCUAGUAUAUAUAUAUAUAUAUGGGAUGAAAAAUGCAAACCAAAUCAUGUGCAAACCAAAUCUCGUAUAGGCAAACUUAUUUUUUAAAAUUGCCCCUCAGGUUUAACUCAUACACAAAAGAAUAAAAUUGUACAUACCACAAAACAGAAUAGCCAUUGCACCAAUCUUGUUGAUUGCCAUGAUUCCUUGUCUUCCAAAAGUUUGCCUUUGAUUUGAAAUCGCUUGGGCUUAUACCUAGGUUCUUAUAUAGACGGGAAGAGCAAAGAGUGGAUUGAGAUUUAUUAGGCCCGCCCACCUGUCCUCCUGCUACUAGGUGCAAUUAUUCUUCUCAUUGUGCUUCCACAUAAUCGUGGGACCAGCCCAUCCUAAAUUAUUGUGCUUUUGCGUCCAUCCAAAAUUAUAGAAUAUGUUUAGAUAGGAGAUUAUUUGAAAUAAAUAUAUUUAAAAAUAUUAUAAUACUUUUUGUAAUAUGAUGUUUAUAAAAUAAAAAAUGGUUAAAAAGUUAAAAAAGUAUUUGAGAAAUAUAUUUAUGAUGCAAUCAUAUAAUUUUUUACAAAUGAAAUGAUAUCCAAACAAACCCAAUCCUCCUUAGAAUUUUGGGACCAAUCCAUCCUAAAUUAGGGAACAUAUCAGAAACCUCCCCUAAGUUUUCUCUUAAUAUCAUCUAUCAACCCUAAGGUAUUAAAAAUAUCACUUGCCUCUUUUACUUUUAUAUUUGUGUGAAAGCCCUAAACUGCCCUUUUGCUCAUUUUGCUAAAUAAAAAUACUCAUAAGCCACUUUGUUUACGCCAAGAAAAAUCAUCACCUAAAAAAUAAUUUCUAAUAGUACCACUACAUCACAAAACUAUAGUCCAUAAAAAUAUAAUUUGGAAAACAAAAUAGAUAUUUGUAGAAAUACAUUAACACCAAUUUAACUCUACAUACUCAAAAUUGAAUUCAUGAACCUUAUAUUUUUUCCAACUUCUUCUCGACUCGUGGUCCGAUCAUUUAAAUUGUACUAAUCAUUAUAAAAAUCAACUCAAAAUAAACAAAGAAAUCAACCCCAUUCUAUCAUAAUCAGAAAAGGUAAAAGAUAAACAAAAUUCAAUUUAUUAUAAUUUACAAAUAAAAAAUUGCAUGAUCAUCCAAAAAAAAUGAGAAAGAUGUUAAGACUUGAGCUAGAAGAAAGAAGAGGAGAAAGAGUUGGGGGCUGGAAGAGAAUUGAAAAAGAGAGAAUAUUAUUCAGAUUUGAGAAUAAGAAUCAUACAAAAUCCGUGCCUAGCUAUUGUUGCAUAUCCAUCAUUUAUAGGAGAUGAUUUCCCAAAUCUGCCUCUCAACAAACUAGUUUUGUCUGGGUGAAUUCUCAGUUUAUGAUGGAAAAAAAAAAGAAUUCUACAACGAGGGCGGUUCUUGGGUUUGCUUCCACAAAAGAGGGUCUUCGCAUUCUAGAAAUGCGAGCUCAUUGAGCUCGCAUUCUGAAAAUGCGAGCUCACAUUGAGCUCGCAAAGGAGCUCAUUGAGCUCGCAUUCUAGAAAUGCGAGCUCAUUGAGCUCGCAUUCUGAAAAUGCGAGCUCACAUUGAGCUCGCAUCCUCGCACUACAUACCGCCAAGACCCAUUUCGAAAAAAAGAAGAAGACAAAAGUGAGUGGGAGAAGCAGAACGCAAUAUCGAAACAUAGCUGCCGAACAUCAAAACAAAGAUUUCGGAAUUGUCGAACAGCAAAACAAAGAAAAUAAAUAACAUGCACUUCAUAAAAAUAACUUAUAUAAUUUUUUUAAAUAACAUUGCGUUAUGAAAUUUCUAAAAUUACAGUUGAAAUUGUAACAGAUAUUAAUGACUAUUAACUAUUAGAUUCUUAUAACUAAAAUUCGUCGGUGUCAACAAAUAAAUACGAUUCAUUAAUAACAAAGGAAAAUUAGAAUUUGAUAAAAAAAAUUUAUUUGAUAAAAAAGGAAAAAAAGUUAGUAUUUUAUUCAUAAAAUAUAGUCAAUACCUUACAUGUUAACAAUUUCAUUCUAUUUUUUCAUUGAUAUAUGAAAUAGAAAGAACUAUGCAUGUGUACUUUUUCCACCAUUUAAAUGUAUUAUAAUAAAAUAACGUAUUUUCAACCGUACAAUUACCAAUUUUUUUUAAUAUAAAAGAAAUAUGAUUUUUUUUAGAACACAUAUUUGAUGACUUUAGGCACGUGCAAGUUUUAAAAUAAAAAAAUUUAUUCCUCUGCUAAUUACAGAUUUUAAAUAACAUUUCUUUAACAUUUCUCCGAAAUAUAAGAUUUUAGUAGAGCUUUUAAAAUAAGAUUUUACUACCGACAGCAUUUUAGUAAAGGCAAAUUCUACAAAACAAACAACAUUUUCUGAAAAAGAUACAUUUUGGUGGGAGCUCGUAAAUUUCAUUUUAAAUUUUUUUUCUAGCAAGUUUGAAUUUAAUUUUCUGAAAGUCAUACUUAUAAAUGCGAAAUCUAACAAAAAAAUUAAAUACAAUUUUUGGAGGUCAAAUUUAUCAAAUGCGAGCUAUUUGAAAAAUUUUAUUUAGCUCUUACUAUUUUCUGGAAAAAAUUUAAUGAGAGCCUAAAAAAAAAAAAAAAAUAUCAGGGUGAGCUCAGCAGAGCUCGCAUUCGCAAAAUGCGAAGACCCCCUACGGAAUACCCAAUCAAAAUCACCCCUUUUGUAGAAUUUUUUUAAAAUUCAUCACAAAAUUAGAAAUUUCUCAGUUUUGUCUGCAUGCAUGAGUUGUUACGCCUUUUAACUACUUUCCCCGCCCUUAUUAUUACUAACGUAAAUGAAUUACAAUAAUAUCCCUCAAUCUCCUGACUGCUUGCCAUUUAGCCCCUGUGAUCCAUAACAAUACUCCCCCCUUCAGGCCUUCACACAAUCCUAGACUCUAGGAUUGGACUCCGAACUCAAGAAACUGAGCCUGCAUCGCCGAGCCAUCCUCCCAAGUUGCAUCUGCUGUAUCCAGAUUUUUCCAUUGGAUUAAUGCUUGCUCCACGUCUCUCCCAUGCCUUUGCAGAGUUCUUCUAGCCAGAACAGCUGCAGGAGCUAUUUGGACCUCACCCUCCUCUGUGAGUGUAGGGGGCUGUGAGUGCACAACAGCUCCCUUUGCAGAUGGCUUCAGUAGGAAACAUGGAAGACGGGGUGCACGGUGGAUCCCUGAGGUAGCUCCAACCUAUAAGCCACUGGUCCAACCUUUUCCAGCACCUUGUAAGGCCCGUAGUACUUGGAAGAUAGCUUCAAAUUCCUCCUUAAGGCAAUGGACGUCUGUCUGUAAGGUUGCAAUUUGAGAUACACCAGAUCACCUACUUCAAAUGAUCUCUCACUCCUGUUUCUGUCAGCAUACUGCUUCAUCAGGUUUUGGGCUCUAAGUAAGUUUUCCAUCAGUAGUUGGUUCCAAUUAACUCUUUCCGCCCACCAAUCCUCUAGGCUCUAUCUCAGCUACCCUAGAGGACCUGUCUUGGAGACUCAACUGGGGUGGGGCAUACCUGUACAAGGCUUGGAAAGGUGACAUUUUCAGAGCUGUAUGAUGAUUAGUAUUAUACCACCAUUCUGCAGCAGUGAGGCACCUCUUCCAUUUUCUGGGUUGUUGGAAGCACAAGCACCUGAGGUAAGUCUCCAAACACCUGUUCACUCUUUCUGUUUGACCAUCAGUCUGGGGAUGGUAGCUAGUCGACAAAUGCAGCUGGGUGCCUACUCUGUUGAAUAGUUCUUGCCAAAAAAACUUGUAAAAACCUUGUCCCUAUCAGAUAAGAUGCUUGAUGGUAACCUGUGGAGCUUGUAUAUGUUGUCAAAGAACACCUGAGCCACUCCGUUGGCAGCAUAAUGGUUGCUGAUAGCAAAGAAAUGUGCCACCUUAGUGAACCUGUCUACUAUCACCAAGAUCACAUCACUCCCUCCUGAUUUGGGCAGCCCCUCAAUGAAAUCCAUUGCUAUGUGUUGCUAUGCUUGUUCCGGGAUGUCCAAUGGUUGUAACAGUCCUGGGUACUUGCAAUGCUCCCCUUUACUAAUCCUGCAAGUUUCACAUUGUUAUACAAAGUCCUCCACCUCUCUUUUCAUUCCUGGCCAAAGAAGUACCCUUUCAGUUUCUGGUAAGUGCCCAAAUUUCCAGAAUGACCCCCAAUCCAUGAUUCAUGCAUACACGAGAUUAGCUGCUGUCUCAAAGUUCCUGUAGCUCCAAUCAGUAUUCUCCCCUUGUAUUUUAUGAUCCCUUGCUGAUAAGUGUGGUCAGGUAUUUGGUAGACCAAAAAAAUUUUUCCGCCUUCCUGACCCACUCCCUAGGGUUCCGUCCUUCAAAGUGGGGGAACUCCAGCUUGGGAGUCCCGGGAGAAAAGCAUUUCUGUCGAUCCUCUCACCAUGCCCUACGUCACCUUCCCCUCGCCUUCCCCCACCGGAGGUCAAACCGCGUUCGACAGAGCCUGGAGGAGUUGAGAGGAUGCCGCGAUCAUUGUGGCUGGACUUCAUCUGGUUGAGCUGGGCCACAAUAGCCGCCAUGUAGCUUCUUAUCUCCGUUGAGUUGGACUCCAUUUUUGCAGAAUGCGAUUCAAAUUUGUCUUCCAGAGUCUUUAAUGCCUCUUGCGUGGAAUCGAUGAACCCUUGCAAUCUGGUCUCUUGCUUGCGGAUCUGUUCUUCGAGAGUUUUCAGGCGAGUGCCCUCGGCCAUAGCGGAUUUAGCUACUGCUUGCUGUUGGAUAGUGAACCGAGAGAUAUGCUAAAGAAAAUAGUCUGAGUGAUUGAAGCCUGCAAUCCGAGGGUCCCAGGCUCUGAUACCACUGUUAAGACUUGAGCUAGAAGAAAGAAGAGGAGAAAGAGUCGGGGGCUGGGAGAGAAUUGAAAAAAAGAGAAUAUUAUUCAGAUUUGAGAAUAAGAAUCAUACAAAAUCCGUGCCUAGCUACUGUUGCGUAUCUGUCAUUUAUAGGAGAUGAUUUCCCAGAUCUCCCUCUCAACAAACUAGUUUUGUCUGCAUGCAUGAGUUGUUACGCCUUUUAACUUCUUUCCCCGCCCUUGUUAUUACUAACGUAAAUGAAUUACAAUAAUAUCCCUCAAUCUCCUGACUGCUUGCCAUUUACCCCGUGUGAUCCAUAACAAAAGAGAGGAUGUUGGAGAAAUGAGAGAGAGAAAAAAGUGACUUUUGUUUCCUUUUGUUUCCUAUUUUUUGAGCUCUUUAUUUGAUAUGUAAAUUAUGUAUUAAGCAAGGGUUAACAAAGUCUUUUUGUAAAAAUUAUGAGAGGUGAGUGAUUUUUUAAAACUGUAAGGGUGCUAAAUGAUAUUAGGAGAAACCUCCAGGGUGGUUUUUGAUAUUAUCCCCCUAAAUUAUUGUGCUCCUAGGUCCAUUCUAAAUUAUUUUGCUUCACAGAAAUUUGGGACCAGUCCUUCGCAAAUUACUGGAAGCCAGUACUUCCUAUGCAUUCAAUGUUUUACUGUAAUUCCCAUGCAAAAUUAGUCACGUUUUAUUUUCCUCAAUUUGUUCUCCACUUGCCUGCCAAUGUCAUUUAUGAUGCAGCUAUGUUUGAUAUGCAGAAGACGUACAACUUUUUUGAAAACACAUAGGCCCACCAAUUGUUUCUAUUCAAAUGCUUCUAUUAAAUGAACAGGGCAAUGUUGAAAUAAAUUGAAAGACAUAUCAUUAAUCUUCUUUGAUCAAUGUAUUUGGUUUGAACCUAAUCUGUUGAUAGUUUUGUAGUCAUGCAAAAUUGGCAUCUUCCAAGGAGAGAAUCUUGUUUGAGGUUUAGACAUCUCCAAAUUGCUACUCAGUUUAGUUAUUAACUUGAAUACGUACUUUAGAUUUUUUUUUUUUUUUGGAACUUGCGCUCACAAGGUCAAUUUUUGAAGUGGGAAAUGCAAUCUUUGUCCCCUAUUUUUAUUCUAUCCACAAAAAUGAUCGCAAAUGUUUCACCAGAAACAAAUCUAGUACCUCCUAAUUAUUCUGAUAUCCACCAAUAAAAUUAUUUCAAUUUCUAAUGGAACGAAACACUUGAAAUUCACUGGAAUUUUUCUAGACGUUCCUAAUUAUCACCAUUGUAUUGAACACAACAUUUAUAUGGUUGGAUGGAUACUAGAUUCUUUAACUAAACAAUGAGAGGCUCCACAAAUAUAUCAAUGUGUUUGAAUUUGUCAACGGGGUGCUUUUCUUCUGUUUGCUUGUAUAGAAUCUUAUCCUUCAUUUUCCACUUAAUAUUUUUACUUUGAAUAUUCAAGAUAUGGAUGUACCAAACUCAAGAAAAUAGUUGUGAAGCCUGAUGAAAUUCCAUUAAAAUUUUGGAGGCGUUUGUUUGGAGAGUUUGAUGUGAGUAGUUUAUGUUCUUAAUUUUAAUUUAUUUGAUAUUAAAAUUCUAUGACUUUCAAUAAGGUUGAGAAUCAAUUAAAGUUUGUAAAAAAAAUUUUUCUAUGUUUCAUUGAAGGAGAAAAUUAGUCUUAGUACAACAUUUUAAUGCUUAAUAUCUCUUUUUUUUUUCUCUAGUAUUCAUGAGAAAAAAAACUGUGACUAAGUAUCACAAAAAGUAACCACCAGCCAAGGCUGGUGGCCACCACUAAGCCAUUAAAGGCUUGAUGGGGUGGGAGGUAAGGGUUCAAACCUUGCCUCCCACCAAUUGCCACAUUAAGCGGUUUCUUAAAAAAACUUCUAGCCUACGCACCCGUCUGGUUCGAUGGUGGUUCAGUCCCCACCGGUCCCCCUAAACCCAGUUGGGUAUCCCUCCUAAGAUUAGGAUAGUGUAGGAUAUUAUAGAUAAAGCGAUGAAUGACAAAAAAAAAAGUAUCACAAAAAGUAAUACACAUAAUGUGCAAUGUACAUUCUCUUAUGCUAGCUGCUCUAAGUACUGGACAAAAGGAGCAUACUUUCAAAAAGUAGUACGUAUAAUGCGCAACACACAUUAUCUGUUUUUUUUAACUUAGUACAUUUUUGGAAUUAAUUUAGUAAGAACUUAUGCAUGAAUUCGUCAUAUUGAAUAAUGCUAUUUUUCUUCCUUAUAUUCUUGUAAUGUUAAUUUAGAGACAAAAUCAAGUAAAUCUCCGCAGAGCCAAAAAUGUAUUUUUAUUUUGAUUUAAAAAAAAACAUAUCCAUUAUGAAAGGAUACUUCUUUUUGCCUUGGAGAAUUGGUCAAAUUGGUAAGGUUGAAGUGAGAAAAUGUGACCUGCAUCAGUUGGGGUUGAUUUUGUGUAAUUAGUGCCCAGGUCAAGAGAUUAGAAUGCUGAUCUCAUGGAGUUAUAUAUGACCAUUAUCCAUGACGGCUAUACUCUAACGGCUCCAUAAUGUUUUUCUGGAUAAUACUGAACAAAUGAUGCACAAGAAGUUGGUGGAUCAAGUAAAGUGAAAGAAUCGUUAAGUUCUUGAAACUAUUAUCCAAAAUGGGUUUCUUGAGUUGAGUUUUAUCCAAUUUGGCUUGGUUGAUAUAAUAUUAAUCAUGAAUAUAUUCUAACUUAUUUAUAUGAGUUGACAAAUUACAAUUAUCAUGAAAUUAUGUUAGUUUACAGCAUAUAUUGGAAGAAUUACAUUAAUUGGAUAAAAUCCACUUGGAGAAGCCGUAGACUCUUUCUCUCUCCCUCGUAUAUUUGGGAGAAUUAAGUACAAUUUUUCAAGAUGUAAUUAAUCAUUUCAGGUGAUGUAUCAUGAAUUUGAUUACGUAUGACACGUUGCUUCUUGUAAAAAAAAGUACUGAUUUAUAUACUUCAAUUUUAUUAAACAUGAUUCACUAUCUCAUUAAUCACUGAUAUAUUACAUAGUCAUAUUCCACCCUCGCGGAAUCCGAAAUACAUACUAGAAAGGGCAUAUAUUAUAGCCAUUAUUUAGUACUAUAUCUAAGGUUCAAGUCUAUACGAGUCAGAGCAACCAAACCUUAGUUUAAUAGGCUGGCCUCUGUACAAAAGAUGUUGAACCUUAGACUCAUUCACCUGAAGAAAAAACAGAAACAACUGUAAAUCCGGAGUCCAUGCCAGCAAAAUGGAAAUAGAAAAUAAGAAAAUAAAAUUUUCACUCAGUUCAUUGGACCGAAACAUGAUUGUUGAACAACAGUUAAACCCUAGGCAACCGCUGUUAUACCAUCAACACAGAAGAUGUUGAUCCAAAAACAUGGCUCUUUUUUACAUCCUCCACAAGAAUAUCCUCAAUAACAAGAUGACGCAGCACACGGGAUGCUUCACCCUUGAGAAGAUGUUUUCCAGCUCCAUGCAGGCUCAAGGUCUCAAUGCAUGAGAUUUAGAUGUAUCUUUUAUAUUUAUUUGUUUCCUAUUUUCACAUGAAGUAUCUGGUCACAUGAGAUUUAUCUGUAAUCCCUUUUCUAAGAUUCACCAGUUUCUCGGUUGUCUACUUGACAUUUUAUCGGGCAGGUUAUGGGCAACAAAUUCAUAAUAAAAUAGUUACAUGAAUCAAGUAGACAACCGAGAGGAAUAAAGCUGAACAACAAGUGCACUCAAAUCAUAAACUAUUACUACAUCCAUUUCAAUCUCAAAUAGAUGGGACUAAUUUCAAAUGUAAUCAAUUUAGCGCAAACUUUAAAACUUAACCCUCACAAUUCAACACAAUACAGUACAUAGCUUCAAGAAUAGCUAAUAAUGUCCAAUAAAAUCUCAGGAAAAAAAGGGAACAACUUGAAGAAUGGACAGCUUCUUUACGGUGACAUUUAGCAACAACAUUAUCUAAUUGCUCACAAAAUAAAAAAAAUUUACCAUGCAAUUACAUACCUUCAACGGGAAAGCAAGGAAAGUUUGUUUGCAGGGAGAUUCAGCAGAAAAAAACUCCAAGUGUUUUGGCUGAGAGAUAAUUUGCCGAGGAUAGUUUUUUGCAGAGAGAGUGUUUCUUGUGAGAGAGAUAAGAAGAAGCAAAAUUUGACUAAGUGCUUUGGGCGGCAAAAUGAAAGUUUUGAGCAAAUGAAUCUUCCACCAAUUCACUACGAUGUCGUUUUGCGCCUUUCCUUCUUUUUUUGGUAUAUCUUACAUUUUCUCAAGUGUCAUGAUAGGUAGUUUAAAGGCACAUUAUUAUUUUUAUAUCAGAUAAAAUAAAAAAAUAAAGUAUAUAUUAUUGAGUUAAUAAUAAAUGUCAUAAUAGAAGUACUAUAAUGACACAAACCAGCAAGUGUCAUUAUAGACAUGCCGGGAAAAUCCAUUUUUGUUGUAAUAUGACAACCGUUCAGAACAAUGUAAUACUUUUUAAAUAAGUUGUAAUUGUUUCUUAACAACUUAUACACAUUUACAAUAGGAGUAUAAUAUUUUAUUACUGUUUAUGUAGAUCCCAUAUAUAAUAAUUGUGUGUUUUAUUAUAAUAUUUUAUAAGUAAUUCACAUAAAAUUAUAAAGUGUUUAAAAAAUGUUACAUCAUUCCGUUCCGUGCCUGGAGUCCAUCAAUUGACACUAACAUCAUCGUACCCCACAAAUGUGAUUAUUCUUACAUUGUUUCAUAGAAUUUUGGGACCAGUCCCUCGUAAAUUACCUUAAAAAAAAAAGCCCCUUGUAAUUAUUGGACUGGCAUGAGUCCCUCAAAUUGACGCCAACGUCACCGUACCCCACGAAUGUAAUUAUUCUUACCUAGUUUCAUAGAAUUUUGGGACCAGACCAUCCUAAAUAUUGUACUUCCAAAGAAUUGUAAAUCACUCAUCUUGAUUUUAAACUUUUUAAGUUUACACCAUAAAAAAUGGACUAUUUUUAUUCACAAAAACAUUUCAAUGGUAGCUUUGGUCAAUGCGGUCUGCAAACAUUUUUUUUCAAGGGAAAUAUUUUUUUAUAGUUCAGAUAUUUAUAAGGGAAAAUUUGCUAUAUAAUUGGCGAAAGAUUUGAUAUGCAAGGAUGGAGUAAAAUUUUGUCCAAAGUCACAAGUAGGGAGUUUGGUUUCUUUUAAUGGGAAUCAAGCUAAAAUGAUAGAUUUGCCCAUAGAUAGUUUUGCAUGAAUUUAGGACCUCAAUUGGCCACGUUAUGUCCGUAGACAGUUUUGUAAAGUUUUGACCAAUGCAACUGUGUCGGAUAGGAGAUUAUUUGAAAUAAUUUUUUCAAAAAAAAAAAAAUAGUGUAGCACUUUUCAAUGAAAAUAUAUUCCAUUUUGGCCGAUGUGACUCUGUUUGGAUAGGAGAUUAUUUGGGAUAAAUUUUUUAAAAAAUAGUGCAGCACUUUUCUAAUGUGAUGUCUGUGUGAUAAAAAAGUGAUUAAAAAUAUAUAUAUUAUACAAACAGAUAAAUUUGUGUAAAUAAUUUACUAUCCAAACUAAUUCAUUGUGAGGGCCCGAGUUAGAUAUGUAUCCAUAUCAACAUUAAUCCAGCAAUCAAUAUAUAAAAACUGAACCGUCAUGUUGUACUGCAUUAAACACGUAGGAAGACAACAUUAAUUUCUUGCUUGCAUGCUUUGCUAGAUUUCAAAUUUUUCUUUCAUAUUGUUGAUUAUGUACCACAUAUAUAUAGUAUCGAUAGGGGUAGCUCUUGAGAGGACCACAGCGAAAGAACCUUUUUCUUUGUUAAAUAUAUCAACUUUUGCGAAUUUCCGUUGAUGGUUUUAAUCUUCCACGUAAAUUUCUAUACAAAAAGCAGUACAUGUCGCUCGUGAAUUAGUACUUUAGGUUUGAGUAUUCAGCAUAUGGGUGCACCAAACUCAAUAAAAAAUAGUUGUCAAGUAUGUUAAAAUUCCAUUAAAUUUUUGGAGGAGUUUGUUUGUAGAGUUUGAUGUCAGUAGUUUGUCUUUUGGAUUUUAAUUUAGAUUGAUAUUGAUAUUCUACGCUUUCUAAUGGGAUUGAAAAUCAUUUAAAGUUUGUAUUUUUUAUAUGUUUUGUUGAAGGAGAAUAUUAUUUUAAUACGACACUUUAAAUACUUAAUAUCUCUAUUAUUUGUAGUAGUCACGAGAAAAAACUUUGCGACUAAAUAUCACAAAAAACAACAUGCAACGUACGCUCUCUUAUACUAGUUAAAAUAUAGGACAAAAGAACAUGGUUUUUAUUUAGUACUCUAAGUUUGGGUUCAAAAUAUUUUUGGACGUGUUCUGAAAUCACCAUUGCCUGGAAUACAGCAUGUACGUGAUCCCCUUGAUAAUCAAAUUCAGUGAAGAAGUAAUUGAUUUUCUUUAAAUGAACUAUUAGAGGCCUAUGUGGUAAACAAGCUUUUGAUCAAAUUUGCCUGUUACAAAUUUUUUAACAACUUUAACUAUAAUAACUUAAAAAAAAAAUUCAAAGUUUUUAACUAUAUACUUUAAAAUAUUCAAAAAAUUUUCCUACAACUUUUACAGUAAUUUACAAUAAAAUUUUAGACAAAUGUCCAAAAAACUCAUUUGUCAAUCAAGCCUAGAUUCUUUUGUUAAAGAAUAAGAGACUCAACAAACAUCUUAGUUAAGAGACUUGGUAAACAUCUUAGUUAUGCACAGUUUCUUUUCUUCUCGCUAGAUUCCUUCUUUUUCUCCUUCGAAUAGUGACUUAAAUUGACAUUAACAUCACCGUACACCCCGAAACUGACUAUACAUACCUUGCUUCCAUCGAAUUUUGCGACCGGGCCAUCCUUAAUUAUUGUGCUUCCACAGAAUUUUGGGACCAGACCAUCCUUUGUGCUUCCUGGUCCAUCCUAAACUAAUGUGCAUCAACAGAAUAUUGGGACUAGUCCUUUGUAAAUUAUUGGAAGCCAGUCCUUCCUAUGCGUUCCACGUUUUAUUACAAUGUCCAUGCAAAAUUAGUUACGUUUUGAUUUCCUCAAUUUGUUCUCCGCUAGCAAGCCUUUCAUUCAUGAUGCGCAUCCAUUAUUCGGCCUCUGUGGAUAUGAGGCUGUCAGCCAUCAGUCAUCAUCGUUCAUUGCAUGGAAUGGUGCUUUUCAAUGAACAUAUUUUCUUAGGUGUGAUAGAGUUUAUUGUACAAUUAAUCAGUUUUGGUAGCUCUUUAGUAAUUUGACAAUGGUGCUACCAGCUAGCUUGACUUCUCUUGCUUUUGUCAAUAAUAACUAUGUUGACAAGUGAUCAAGUCUUAGAUAAUUUGGGUACUAUAAUUCCACUGCUAUGUUUGAUAUACAGAAGUAGAAGACAUACAGCUUGGUAAAAUGAAGUUGAAUAGUGGUGCUAACUCAAAUUCUUUUGCCCAUAAAAUUAAUAGGCUCAUAAAAUUGGGAGCUUGCAUCGGAAUCUGGAUUUGAUCAGCGCUGCUUGGUUAAUUGUUUGGUAGUGAAUGUUUCAAAAAAGAUGUUAAUGAACAAGAUCUACCUCUAUUUAUCGACAACAUUUUACAUUUUGUCCAAGCAGGACCCGACCUUAUUGAAGUGUCAAAACGUGAAUGUUUCAAUACCCAUUCCGAUUGUGUAGUGCUAGAAAUUGUGAAAUUGCCUUCAUCAGUUGCAAGUUUGGGUGUUUGUUUAGGCUGAGAAAUGUUGUUCUAGGCCUGCUCACGAGCUUGCUCAAAUGUACUAGCCUUAUUGCUCAUACUGAAUUCUGGUAGAAUAACCCAGAUUGGUCACAAAACAAUUCAGCUCAAGGAUUUCUAUGCAAAAGCAAUUGUUGCCAGACAAUUAGCGGCCCCAGUAGGUUUUCACAGUACAGUUGUCCCUAUCCUCUGUUUGUUUUUGGCCUAAACUUAAAAAAUCGUUAGCUCUUCUUCACUUAGUGGCCCUAAUAGGUAUUCAUAGUAAAAUCACGUACGUUCGUUCCCAUCAUCUGUUUAUUUUAUGUCAAAAUUUAAGGAAAAAAAAAUCGUUGUCUCUUGUUCAAUUUAAGGGUGCCCACAUUUUAUUAAAAUUGACAUUCCCCAGCAAAAUAAUUUUUGUUCUUAAAUCUGCCUUUACAGUUUGGUGGAUUGUAGAAUCUGCUAUCUAAAAUAGGAUUUUGCCCCCUAAAUUUUGUAGCCACUUGAGAAAGAAUCCUUGCAGUCAUCUGUUAGAAUAUGAUACAAACAUCUCAUAAUGGUCAUUAUUUAGUCUCUUUAGUAAGAAGAAAUAUUUGCAUUGUUUCCUUGUGUGGUCAGUGCUCUUGGAUGUAUGUUUAUACCGAUUCUUUAUUCCUUGUCUACGGUUGUUGAGUUAAUUUGUUCGAAAUACAACAUCAUUAAGGAAGAAUAUUCUAAAAUAAUUCCAGUUUUUUUACCCUAUUAUUGUUGUUUUUAUGUCACCAAUUGCUUUGUUUUCAACCUUUUUCGCGCAGCAACAAUUUCCCAAUUGGGAGUGUUUGGAUACCAAAAUUAUUCCAAAUAAUAUUUCGCUUACAUCACAAACAAAUUUCCCAACCUACAUUUUUAUAUUCUCAAUCACCUUUUUAUCUCACAUACAUCAUAUCACAAAAAGUGCUACAGUAAUUAUUCCAAAUAAUAUUUUAAAUAAUACACUAUCCAAACAAAAUUGUGCAUGAACAAAAUAAUAUUUUUUUUAGCCAUGAACAAAAUUGUAAAGAAAGCUUGGCGGAGGCACAACUUAAGCUAUAUAGGUGCAUGAUUCGGUUUUGCUAAUUUAAAUAUAACGCCUAAAGUCAGGAGGUGAAUUUCAAUAAAUAUAUUUUUUCAUUCAAUGUAGGUUAGCCAUUAACGUCUUGGCUUGUUGGUGGAAACGAAUAAAGCUUGAGGCACUAGUAUUCAAAACCUUUUGUUGAUUAAUGUUAUUCCUCUUCCAUUUUUGUAGUGAUGGACGCCAAAGUAAUACACUUGUACGUUUGUCUUUUUUAGGAUGGAAACAAUCAAGAUAUAUCUAUAUGAGCCUCUUGUAUUCAGACAUUUGAUACAAUGAAAACUUGUAUCUAGUAUUCUGAAGAAGCACGGAACUUCCCCGGGCCGAACUGACCUGAUGAGCUCGGGGUGCUGAUGGAAGAGCUGAUUCCAAGCCUACAAGAUAAAUAGGAGGGUAAACUGGAAGGGGCCCCGAGGUGGUCCCCGAGGGCACUCCGACGGUCAAGUUAGUUUUCCGGUGAGAGGGGAGUGUACUAACAGAAAAGCAGUCGGGAGUGAAUUGCCAAUAGUGAGCGUACCUUGUACAGUUGGUAUGUGUUACCAUUUAUACCCGCUUAGGAGUCCGACCUCCGUACGUUCCGGGACUUGCCCUGGAUAGCUCCCAAUCCCCCGCUGAGGGGGAUUCUCCUCGCCCUCUGCGGGGUAGCUCUCGGGAGCCUCCCGGAGCCCUAGUCGCCGUGCGCCCUGGGCUGGUUCCCCAUGGGCCCGGGGUGCAAGCCCAACUCGGAUCAACCCUGGGCUGCCACGUGUACAGCCCCAGGACGGGGCCUCUGCACUAGCCCCCUAGAUUAGGUCAGGCUCCCAGGCAGACCUGAUCUAUCCCCUUGCCACGUGGAAGCCCCUCAUCCCACUGCUCUGCCGCGGUCACCUCCGGUGCAGUGCUGACAUUGGGAAGUGGCGUCCGCGUCCUUUCAGCUGUCGCGUCCCUUCGGUCUCUGUACCUCUAUUAAAUGUGUUCACAUGGGACGGUUCAAAUUCAAGCAACCGUUUUCCCCCCAUUUCGUUCCCUAUAAAUAGGGGUUGCCAAAUUUCAGUUGACUGUAUUUGCCAUUUUCUCCUUUCCUCGUGCAUUUCCCAAUUCCCAGUAGCGCAUUUCCGGCCAACAGCACCCAGAUUCCGGCGACUUCUCCAUCCCUUUCUUCACUCCGAUCACCAGUAAGUCCUUUCCCUUCUUCUUUCGCAUUUCCUUUCCUCCAUUUGCCACCCUUUGCAUUUUAUGUCGGGUCACUCCGACGUCACUUCCUCCGCAUCCCAGACUCCGGUCCGUCGUAGAGCCACCAGAAUCUUCAUUUCCUCUUCGUCCUCGUCUUCAUCUUCAUCUUCGUCUUCAUCAUCUCCCCCUCCUCCUCCUCCUUCAUCCUCUGCUUCCAAUCCCAAUUUUUUCAUUCCUGACUUGCUUGAGCCUAUUGACAUCAUGAGCUAUUCGUCUGCUCAUUCUCCUUCCGCCCGACUCCUGGAGGAGGCGGCCGAGCUUGAUGCCUACAUCCGGCAGCAAGCCGCUUCUGUUCCAUCCCCCGAGUCCCCACAUGACUCCCCUGGCGGAGCCCAGGGGGGAGUUGGGGAGGACAGGGACUCCUCAGAGGGGACCCCUGCUGCCGAGCAGGGGGAUGACCCUGAGUUCAACUACAGUAACCCCGACCGGGAGGAGACCACCCUCUCGCCCGGGGCGGUGGCCGAGCUGGCCGCGUCGUUCUCCAUUCCUCCGGCCUUCAAGCCGCGAGCUGCCGGGCCCACCGACCGGGCCUGCCGACCUCCCUCAGGCUUUGUAGCCAUCUACAAAGAGUAACUGGUCGCGGGGCUUCGACUCCCCAUUCCUCCGGCCAUGGCCGAGAUCCUGAGUUUCUGGGGGCUCAGGAUCACCCAGGUCCACCCUAACUCGAUCAGGAUCAUCAUCGGGUUCCUGAUUUACUGCCAGAUCUGCUCCAUCCCCUAUUCUCUCUCUCUCUUCCGUGCUACCUACGCCCUCAAGGCUUCUCUCCCUGGGUGGUACUACUUCUGCCGCCGCUCCCCAGCAAUCGCGGCGGGAAGGGCGCCCAGGAUCUCCUCUACGGGGUCCCCUCUUCCGUGAAGAAUUGGAAGGGGGACUUCUUUUUUGUUAAAAACAUGCAAUUUCCUCCUACUGCGUGGAAGGUUGGGGGGUCGGGGACGACCCCUGCCCGGAGGACCUGGACCCUGAGGCCUUCGGCCAGCUGCUGGGCUCUGCGGCGAAAUUGUACGCAGCCAAGUUCUCCACUGAGCAGAUUUCCGCAGUCGGGCUAUUGGGGAAGCUGUCCGGGUCCCUCGGAGGGGUAGAGUUCUCUCCCGCCAACCGAGAUACCUGUAAUACUGCUCCUGUUCCCUUGUUAUAUGCUGCCUUUUCCCUUGUAUUUCUCUGACUUGUAGCACUAAUCCGGUGAUGUUCUCUGCAGUGAAAAGGCUAUCCAGACUACUGGGCGCGCCGACUGAGGAGGUCGCCUCCACCACACAGCCUGAGGCAGCAAAGAAGGCCCCUGAGGCCUCUGCGACUCCUGGGGGUAGCUCGAUCCCCCAGAAGGAGGCCUCCCAGACUCAGUCCCCCUCCAAGCAGGUCCCCGCCAAAAAGAAGGCCACGGAGCAGAAGAGGGGGCGAGAUGACGACCCUUCCCAACCUGCGAAGAAGCCUGCGCAGGGCCCAACACAGCGCCCUCUCCAGCUGACGUCUGGGGGCCCUGUCCACCUGGGGAUAGGCUCCGCGGAGGAGCACGCCCAGGAGAGCGCCCCUCCGAGCUUGUGGCACUUCCGCCACGUGGCCCCCACGAAGCCGGGGCAGGCCCCCACGAUGCACGAUCUCCGGCACUUCUGCCCGUCCUGGGAGCUCUCCAUCAAUGACCGAGCCCAAUUCCCCGAGGUGGCUCGCGAGCUGGUCACGGGCUCAGUCCUUCCACGCGACAAGAAAUGGAUGGAGCUGGCCAGCCCGUCCGAGCUUCAGGACAUGUACUAUACCGUCCAGGCCCAAGUAAGCCCUCUCCUUCUUAGGCCCCUUGGGUCCCUGUUUCUUUUUUCCGAAUGGGGCUAGCAAUAUGCUAACUCUUACUCUCCUCUCUCCAGGCCAACGCCGCCGGUACUGCCCUGGUGACCCGCUUCUCCGAGCUGUCUCCCGACUUGGAGAAGAUGCAAAAGAAGAAUCGGGAGGCCGAGCAGAAGCUGGCCAAGGCCCAUAAGGAGGUAGACUCCCUUAAGGCCAAGUUGGGCAAGGCUGAGAAGGAGCUAGAGGACUCCCAGGUCCAGCUCGCCUCCACACGGUCCGAGCUGGACCAAGAGAAGAAGGGCGUGGCGAAACUGAAGGAGGAGCACGCCGUUGAGCUCUCUGGCACCGUCAGCCGGGAGCGCAAGAAGGCUGUCCGGGACUUCAUCUCCUCCGACCAGUUCGUCGAGGACAUGGCCUGCCUCAACCAGCCCAUCUUCCAGGUCGGCACAAGGUGAAGGGCCUCAACCCACCCGGCUUCAACUUGGCGGAUUUCAAGGAGUACAAUCCUGCGGCCGAAGAGAAGCUGGACUGGCUCUUCGAUGGGUACCGCAAGGGGCAUGCCCUGAAGGACCUGAUGGGAAGGAGCGACGUGGGGGCCGAGCUGGCGGAGCUUCCCCUGGAGGAGGAAGAGACUCCUGGCAGGGCUUCCGGGAAGAAGCCUGUGGGCUAGGGCAGCGGCCACUCCAGAAACCCUUUCCGUCUCCUUAUAAGGAUGUGACCAUGUUCCAGUUGAAAAUGCUCUUGAAGGUCCAUCUGAGACGGAAAGGCUCCCCAGAUCCUUUUUAACAGCCUUCUCCACCCAACCCCCAACAUGCUUAAGGUGCACCUUCAGCUCAUACCUCUCAACAUGCUUAAAGUGCACCUUCAGCUCAUACCUCUCAACAUGCUUAAGGUGUACCUUCAGCUCCUAUCUCUCAACAUGAUUAAGGUGUACCUUCAACUCCUACUAUCUCCAGCAGGAAGAAGGCGUAGCUAGGCCCUUUCCUUGUAUAGCUCGGUAGGCUUUGUAAUAGAUAGGUUGGGAGUUUUGUAAUAGAUAUGCUUUGAAUGCAUAUAUGAGAUGAAGUUUUUAAAUGAAACUGUCUGAUUUAUCUUUCCAUUCCCUGCUAACGGCAAACUCUAGUCGCCGGAAAAUAACGGUCGAGCAUCGAGCCGUAAGGUUUCUGAGUUGUGCCGAUCUCCUGGGAAGUUCCAGAGGAGGUCCUGCCGACCUCUUGGGUCGAGCAUCACAUCUCAGAUCUCGAAGGCUUUCCGCCGCCGACCUCCUGGGUCGAGCGCCCAAACAUUUGCAAAGGUAAUCAUGCUAACCUCCCGGAUCGAGCACCACGCCGUCCUACCCGGGCAACGUGCCAGCCUCUUGGGGCUGAACACCAAAUCCUUAAGGAUUUUUCCCGCUGACCUCCUGGGUCGAACGUCCGACUUUGAAGGUGUUCGUGCCGACCUCCCGGAUCGAGCAUUGAACCUCGAAUCCCAUCAGACCAAAAAUAGUAGACCAAAAAUAGUCCGCUCCAUGCCGACCUCUCGUGGCCGAGCGUCGUGGUCUCAGACUCCCCAGCUUUGACCCUUGCCGACCUCUUGGGGUCGAGCAUUCACCUGGGAGUUUUAAUCAGUGCCGACCUCUCGGGGUCGAGCAUCGCACCUUGCCAUGGCGCCCGCCGAACCCCUGGGUCGAGCGUGAAAUUUUCAGAAUCCUUCAAAGUUUUCCCGUCGUGCCGACCUCCUGGGUCGAGCGUGGAAUUUCCAGGAUCUUCAGAGCUCCCCAGUCGUGCCGACCUCUUGGGGUCAAACACUCCCGCAUCCAUUACUAACCCCUAGCCCCCCACUAGGACAUUUAGUGAGGGAACGCUAAGUGUGCUAGUGUAAGAUUAAAACUCAAAAGACUAACGAGUACAAAUGAAAUUAAAACUUGAAAGUCGAGCCUUUAUUGAAUGAUGAAACUGAAAUUUAAAUUCCAAAGAAUAGGCAACCGAACACCCUGGUCUAACCUACGCUACAAACAUUGCAGAUUGGAGAAGUGCCAAGUGCGGGGUACCUCUGAUCCAUCUAUUUUCGCGAGCUUGCAGUAGCCAGCUCGGCUUGCUUCUAGGACCAGAUACGGGCCUUCCCAGUUGGGGUCGAGCUUGUUGGAGCCAUGUGCCCGGCUGACCGAGUUCUUCCUUAGAACAAGGUCCCCUGGCUGGUACUGUAUGGUCCUCACUUUGGCGUUAUGAUAGCGGGCGAGCUGGCUCUUGUACUUAGCCAUCCGGACCGCCGCUUCCUCACGCUUAGCCUCCAGCAUGUCCAAGUUGUACCUCAGCUCUUCCUCGUUGGUUGUCGCAACGAAAUUCUGUGUCCGAGACGAGGGGAAACCAAUCUCCGCGGGUACCACCGCCUCUACUCCGUAAGUCAGAGAGAACGGGGUCUCGUGGGUGGCCGUCCUGGGCGUAGUGCGGUAAGCCCAGAGGACGCUAGAUAGUUCGUCCAACCAGUUAGACUGGGCUAGCUCCAACCUAGUCUUUAACCCCUGCAGAAUUGUUCGGUUAACGUUCUCCACCUGACUGUUGGCCUGGGGGUGUCCGACCGAGGUGAAGUGCUGGUUAAUCCCUAACUCGGCGCACCAGUUUUUGAAGGGAUUUUCAGCAAACUGUCCCCCGUUGUCGGAUAUUAGGACAUGCGGGAUUCCAAAGCGGCAGACUAUGCUUUUCCAGAAGAACUUCUGAAUUGCUCUGUCGGAGAUAGUGGCCAGGGGUUCGGCUUCCAUCCACUUUGUGAAAUAGUCGAUGGCCACCACGAGGUGUUCGUACCUGCCCGCAGCUCGGGGGAAGGGACCCAAGAGGUCUAUCCCCCACUGGGCGAAAGGCCAAGGACUGUGGAUGGGGACCAUCUCCUGGUUGGGUUGGUGGCGCAGCGGGGCAUGCACCUGGCAUGCUCGGUAUUUUUGAACCAGAGCAGCCGCAUACUUUUCUGCUUUACCACCUCUACCAGAACUUCCUUGUUCAGGUGCGCAAACGAGGAGGAUGCCAGCUUUGACAGGACGUCUGCACGCUUGUUCUGCGAUCUAGGCACCCGCUCGAUCUCAAAUGUAUUAAACAAGGCUGUCGCCUCCUGUACCUUGGCCAGAUAUUUCUUCAUGAUCUCCUCCUUGGCCUCGUAUUUCCCGCGAACUUGGAGGACGACGAGUUGAGGGUCGCUCCGAACUUUGAUGGCGGUCACACCCAUCUGGUGGGCUAUCCGCAAUCCUGUGAGCAGGGCCUCGUACUCGGCUUCAUUGUUGGACGCGGGGAAGUCGAAUCGGAGGGCAUAUGUCAGCUCCUCCCCGGUUGGCGAGAUAAGCAGCAGGCCAGCUCCGCUUCCUUCCUUGCUCGAGGCUCCGUCCACGAAUAGCACCCACGGCUGCCCAGGUACAGGCGGAGAGCUCAGUCCGCCCGUGGACGAACUAGCCCCUUCAGCGAGGAAGUCGGCCAAAGCCUGUGCCUUAAUAGCAGUGCGGGGUCUAUAGCCGAUGUCGUGCUCGGCCAACUCGACGGCCCACUUGGUCAUCCUGCCCGAGACCUCGGGCUUGGUGAGUAUCUGCCGCAGAGGCUGAUCGGUCAUGACGACAAUGCUGUGGGCCUGGAAAUAAGGUCGAAACUUACGAGCAGCGUGCACCAAGGCCAGGACCAGCUUUUCAGCUGGCGUGUACCGCGUUUCCGGACCUUGUAAGGCGCGGCUAACAUAAUAUAUUGGCCUCUGAGCCCCCCCUGUCUUCUCGCACCAGAACCGCGCUGACGGCCUCGUUGCAGGUGGACAAGUACAGGAACAAGGUUUCUCCCUGUUCCGGGGCGGUCAGGGUGGGCAACUCGACCAAAUACGCCUUUAGGUCGGUAAAGGCCUUUUCGCACUCCUCGGUCCACUGAAAGUCCUUGGGCGCUUUCAGGAUUCGGAAGAAGGGGAGCCCACUCACCGCGGAACGCGAUAAGAAUCUGUUCAGGGCUGCCAUCCUCCCCGUGAGUCGCUGGACCUCCUUCACAUUCCGUGGAGGGGCCAUGUCCAUGAUGGCCUGGAGUUUUUCGGGGUUUGCCCGGAUUCCUUCUCGGGAGACCAAGAAACCGAGGAACCGGCCCGACCUAACUCCGAAGGUGCACUUCUUUGGGUUCAGCCGCAUCCGGCUCUCCCGCAGGAUGUCCAAGAUCUCCCUUAGGUCCGGAACGAGCCGAUGGUCGGUUCGGCUUUUGACGAUCAUGUCGUCCACGUAGACCUCCAUGCUUUUGCCGAUCUGAUUUUGGAACAACUUGUUGACCAGGCGCUGGUAGGUGGCUCCAGCGUUUUUCAGCCCAAAGGGCAUGGUCCGGUAGCAGUAGGUUCCCUCCUCAGUGAUGAAGGAAGUCUUCUCCCGGUCCUCCUCAGCCAUCUCUAUCUGGUGUAUCCCGUAAAAGCAUCCAGGAAAUACAAAACGUCAAAACCAACAGUAGCAUCUACUAACCUGUCGAUUCUCGGCAAGGGGAAGCAGUCCUUCGGGCAGGCUUUAUUGAGAUCUGUAAAGUCGACGCACAUCCUCCAGGACUGGUCCUCCUUCUUUACCAGAACAGGGAUGGCCAGCCAGGUCGGGUAGUAGACCUCCAUGAUGAUUGUGGAUUCCAGCAGCUUUCCGACCUCCUUCCUGAUCACCUCAUUUCUCUCUGGAGCGAAGUUCCUCUUCUUCUGCUUCACUGGCUUGAAGCGAGGGUCUAUGUUGAGGUGGUGGACGGCCAGGUCGGUCGGAAUCCCGGGCAUGUUUUCUACCGUCCAAGCGAAAACCUGUGCGUACUCCCUCAGGAGGGCCUUCAAGUCAUCCUUCUCUUUGGGCCGUAGCGACGCUCCGAUGCGGAUUACCUGGUCAGGCCUGUCCUCCUUCAGUGGGAACUCCUCGAUCUUAUCCUGAGUGCCCAGCUGCCGAGCCUCUUCCCCUGGAAUAUAGGGUUCCAAGCUGGUCGUCUGAGCGACCACCUUCUCGUGUCCCCGGAGCAAGAUUAGGUAACAAGUUCGGGCCACCUCCAGAUCUCCAUGCACCUCGGCUAUUCCUCCCGAGGUGGGGAAUUUGACGCUAAGGUGGAGUUUGGAGGGAAUAGCUCGGAGGGCGUUCAAAGCAGGCCGACCCAGGAACACAUUGUAAGAGGACUGUUGCUUGACCACCACGAAAUUGACGGGUAUGGUCCGGUACUUGGGGGCUUGCCCUACCGUGACCAUCAGGGUUAUCAUUCCCUCCGGGUUGAUAGGUGGUCCGGUGAAACCCACCAGGGGUGUUUGAAUCGGGGUCAGCUGUCCGUCCUUCAAACCGAGCUCCUUGAACACCCGAUAAAACAUAAUGUCGACCGCACUCCCUUGGUCGACGUACACCUUCUUCACCCGAUAGUUGUUGGUCACAACAUCGAUGACGAUGGCCUCAUGGUUCCCUGAUGUUAGGGGAACCGCGUCCCUCAGCCCGAAGGUGAUCUCCUCGUUUAUGCGCAGGCGCUUUAGGGAGUUGUCCCCCUCCGGGGGACGUCGCUUGUUCUUCCGAGCUGCAUGGCUGUCCCCCCCGUAGGACCGCCGGCAAUGGUGAUUAUCACCCCUGCCAAGUUCUGGGCGUCCUGGUCGGGGGAGUAACCCCGGGGUGCGUCGCGCCGAUCAGGUCGGUCACGACGCUGGCCCUCGCCUCUUUCUCCACGGUAGGUGCGUCCCGACUCCUGGCCUGGGCGACCUUGCUUUACAAAUCGCCCCAGGAAACCGCGUUGGACAAGAUCUUCGAUUUCCUUCUUUAGGGCCUAGCACCCCUCAGUGUCGUGCCCAACGUCCCUGUGGAAGGCACAGUACCGGUCUUGGUUCCUUUUAUUCCGAGAUGUCCCCAUUUUAGGCGGCCGGUCUCCCAGGCCCUCCGCCUCCAUGACAGCCAGGAUCUGGGCCCUGGGCCGAGUCAGGGGGGUAUAGCCUUUCUCCGGGAUCGGCGGCGGAGCAGGGGCUUUUUCCUUCGAGAGCCGGUCAAACACAUUUUUCUUGGCCGGGGCAUCCUUACAUUCGGCGGGGUUUCCCCGCCCCCUCCGAUCUCCGAGCUCCCGGUCUGACUCUCGUUUCAGGCGGCCGGCCUCCUCUGCGUUGGCGGCGGCGUGAGCCCGGGUCAAGAGUUCUCGCAGAUUCUUGGGGGGCUGUUCGACAAGCUUGUAGUAGAGCUCCUCUACCCUCAACCCGUUCAUGAAGGCAGCCAUGACCACCUUUUCAUUCUUGUCCCUGAUCUGCAGGCUUUCUGUAUUGAAGCGCGUCAUGAAAUUCUUCAGAGACUCGUCCGGCUUCUGCUUGAUGGCUAUCAGAUGAGCUGCGUUCUUCGAGUAAGUCUUCGAGGAGACGAACUGGGCGGCGAACUGUCUGGCCAGCUCGGUGAAACUCCGGAUAGACCCCGGUGCUAGGCCUUGGAACCAGAGCCGGGCCUUACCCUUCAGAAACAUGGGGAAAGUCUUGCAACGGAGUGCAUCCGCGGCGGUUUGAAGACGCAUGUGUGUCAGGAAGACCGAGAGGUGGUCUUCCAGGUCAGUCGAACCAUCGUACAGCUCGAUGUUCGAGAUUUUAAACCUCCGAGGUAACGGGUAGUCUUUUACCUCUCAGGUGAAGGGCGAGGCUGCGUAGUUGUCCUCGUACAGUUGUGGUCGCAGGAUCUGUUCGAGCUCAUCCCGGACGAGCUGCCAUUGGGGAGGGUCCCGCGGCCGGCUCUUGAUAGACCGGGUAGGGGAGCGCUCCGGCUCGUUCCGCGCAAGCUUCCACUAGGAGGGAUUCUUCAGUCGGCCCCCAGCGGACCGGUUGCGAGAAUAUCUCUUACUGUCCCCGACCACCGAGGCCCGCGGCCUGGGAGGAGUCCACGGCCGUUUCCUCCUAGGGGGCUGGUCCCGGGACUCGUCCUCCGAGGGAAUGGGGAGCGACUCCCUCUCCUUCCCCUUCGCUUUAGAGGUCUGCGCACCCCCGGCCUCACUCCCCUCCUUCGCCUGCCGGAUUAUGUCCUCCAGCAUGGAGAGAUUCUCGGUUACAAACUGAUAGAUCUGCUGUUUUCGUUCCCCUGAAAGGGUCGAGCCCCCGCCGCCACGGGCUGCCUCGGUCUCCAACCGCCGGGAUCCCUCACCGGUUCCGGGAUCAGUGUUAUCCAUGGUUCGCUUGGAACGCAUUCUCGCCAUCAACACAAAUACUCGUAUCUUCGUUCCCACAGACGGCGCCAACUGAAGAAGUACGGAACUUCCCCGGACCGAACUGACCUGAUGAGCUCGGGGUGCUGAUGGAAGAGCUGAUUCCAAGCCUGCAAGAUAAAUAGGAGGGUAAACUGGCAGGGGCCCCGAGGUGGUCCCCGAGGGCACUCCGACGGUCAAGUUAGUUUUCCGGUGAGAGGGGAGUGUACUAACAGAAAAGCAUUCGGGAGUGAAUUGCCAAUAGUGAGCGUACCUUGUACAGUUGGUAUGUGUUACCAUUUAUACCCGCUUAGGAGUCCGACCUCCGUACGUUCCGGGACUUGCCCUGGAUAGCUCCCAAUCCCCCGCUGAGGGGGAUUCUCCCCGCCCUCUGCGGGGUAGCUCUCGGGAGCCUCCCGGAGCCCUAGUCGCCGUGCGCCCUGGGCUGGUUCCCCAUGGGCCCGGGGUGCAAGCCCAACUCGGAUCAACCCUGGGCUGCCACGUGUACAGGCCCAGGACGGGGCCUCUGCAUAUUCAAAAUUAUUUUUUUUUCCUCCCUCUCUUUUGGUAACAAUGGAUGUGAAGUUUUACAUGCACAGGAGAUCGAUUUUCAGAAGAUUAUAUAAUGGGUCUUGUGGACGGACAAAAGAAGCAUCCCCAGCUAGCAGUGCCUGCAAAUUUGAAAAUUCACAAGAGCAUCCCCAGUUCGGCUGUGAAAUGAGGACGGAACCAAUCAUACUCAUUCACAAGAUCUCUAGACGGUCAUUAAGAAUCAAAGAAGCUGAUAGCUUUUACUUUUCUUGUGAUUGCUUCUUGUUGGUGCCUCUGCAUCUCUCUCCCAAGCAAGCCCACACAAAUACACUAAGAUAUGAUCAAACAAUAACUCUUGAGACCCUAUAACCAUUAUUAAGUUUAAUCUUAUUUAAUAUUCGAUUGCUAAUUUAUUCUUGGAUAAAGUUUGUACAUACUGACAGUGCAUACACAAGUGGAACAGGAUGCAUGAUAGCUUAUCACAAUUUAAAUUUAAAUAUUUUAUUUUACAAAUAUGAUAUAUAUAUAUAUCUAACCCCACUUGUGUGUAUACUGUUAAUGUAUAUAAAAUUUAUUUUUUUUUCUUAUAAUUGGUAUUAUUUUCUAGUACUAUUAAGCUGAACUGGCUCAAUGAUUUGCGGUGGUCAUAGAAAGAGGAGGAAUCGCAAAGGUGCAAGCCUCAAGAAAACCUACCAGCAGAAGCUGAUGCAUUAAUAAUAGAGGCAAAGCCAAAUGGAGCUGAGGAUGACCAAUUGCCCUCCCGACUUUGAGAAAUUUUUAUUUUAGGCAUGGAGCUUUUGAAAAUUUUUAAGUUGUCCUUUUUUGCACCCUUGAAAUAUUUAAAAUUCUCAUUCUUAUCAAAGUUGCCCCUAAUAUUUUUGAAAUUCUCUUUCUUGUCUAUAUUGUCCCCUCUAAAAUUUUUUAAAGUCUCUUUCUUAUUUUGACUUGGGACUUGGACUUUUAUUUAUGGGGUGCUCGUUUUUUUGAACUUUUGUGUUCUAUCAAAGUCCAACAACUACAGCUAAUUCUUUGCUACUAUAAUUAAGUUGGUUGAUGGGCUUUUUCUUUUUUGUCAAAUUAAAAGGAACCUUAGUUGGUUCAACUUAAAAACAAAAUGACUAAUCCAACUAGAAACUAAAGUAACACUCUUCCUCUUCUAAGAAUCGUCACCUCCAGCAGUCGCUCUACAAGUUCUACCCAUUUCCUCUUUUUUUCUCCUCUUCUCUUCUAUCCUCUUUUUUUACACUAUUGGUGGUGAAAACGAUAAUGAAGUUAUGCUCAAUAGAUAAAGAAACACACUUGUUUUUCCCUUCCACUUCUACCUUUAGUUUUCAUAUCCAUGAUUUUUUCUACCAUUUCAUUGCACUUAAUUUUACAAAUCCUAUCAGAUUUCUUUUGGAGUUGGGAAAGUUAAACUCUUCUUUGUUCAAUUUUAGAUAUUGGAUAGAUUUGUUCAUAAUUUUGUUGAUUCUUUAUUUUUUUAGGAAAUACUUUUUCUUUUAUUUGGUAGAUGAAUUGGAGGGUACUAGACCAGUAAAUCUUCCCUAGAUGACAUUACAAAAUUUAGGAUUUUUGUGUUGAUUUUACACACACUACAAGAAUUUUGGUCAUCAGUGAUAACUACUUUUCGUCACAAAUAAUCAAAAAGUCGUCACUGAUGACCAUUAUUGACAACAUUUCAGUUGUCGCAAGGUCGUCACUGAAUCUCCGUCGGUAAAAGUAUACAGUGACGACUUUAAAGUCGUCAGUAAAUAGAACCUUUUUUAUGACAAUCUAUGUCGUCAGUAAAAGAUGAAAUUAUACAGUGACAACCUUAGAGUCGUCACUGAAUGAAACUUUUAAUGACAACAUAUGUCAUCAGUAAAAGCUAUAAAUCUAGUGACAACACCUUCUCUUGUCAGUGAUGCAAGUGAUGCAUGAAGGGAUGAUAGUGAGGGCAUAGGGGAAUUAGUGACGACUUUGUUGUCAAUAAACCCCUGAUCAACUGUGACAACAUUCCCUUAUCAAUAGACAGUUUUGAUUGAGUGACAAUAACAAUUGUCAAUAAAGACAUCCUGCCUAGAAAAAAUACUACUCAUUUACAACACCUUACACAUGACUUUCCUACUACAAUAAUAUCUAAAAAAUGAAAAUAUCAGCAAUGUUUAAUAAAUAACAAAUGUAGGCACCGUUACAAUAGAAUAUGCCAAAAUAAUAUAUUAAAUAUUCAAAUGUCAUAAAUAAGUGCAACAUCAUAGUACAAAUAGUUUCAUAAGUUUGAGUAGAACAAAUACUACUCAUAUAAGUCAAGGUUGCACUAAAAAACAUAUUCCAAGUCCCAAAACAUUUCCUACGCUUCUGAAACAUUUUCUAAACUUAAGACAGCACUAUAACCACAGUUUUUGAGCCGACAUGUAAGCCGUACUGCUAAUCUUCUUCGAAACCUCCAAAAUGAGCAAUAUAUCUGCAAUAAAGUAGUAAAGUUAUUAGUAAAGUUAUCAGGUGACAAAAGCAAAACAGUCUCUAAUUGCUAAAUAAACAAUAAAAGUAACAAGCAUUCACUAAUCUGAUACCACCGUAAUGAAUGCAGCAAUUGCAGCAGAAAUAGAGUGAUAAGGGGGAGAGAAACUAGACUUGAGGAAGAAGAAAGAGAGAUAUUAUUCAAAAUGAUAUUUCCAUGUUGCCCAAUCCAGAUUUCUGCAUUCUUAUACAGCUCAAGAAUAACAAAAUAACUACUUGAUUGUUGGCUCAGCACAACAGUCUAACUAACAAGGAAGAUUCCCUUUAACUACAUGAAGGAAAUACAUUUCGCAUGUACUAAACUGGUAUUCUUCAAGUGAAAUACUAUACUAGAAAUACAUUAAUUCUUCAAGUUGAAACUGACAAUCCACUGCAGAGAGACCAAAUAGUACUAUACUGGUAUUAAAGGCUAGACGGACACAAAUUAAUGGAAGGGGAGAAGAUGGAGAAGGGGAGAGUAUGUGUAACAGGUGAGCAAGGAGGACUAGGUAGGUAUGUGGCAGUUCUUCUCAUGGCUGGUAAGACAUAACAAAACUGUUUACCCCAAUGAAGAAAAAGCAAUCUUUAGAACUGAAGUCUGUAGAGCUGAAUCGGAUUCCACCCUGCAUGCCAUCCGGAGGAUUGUAAAUGGAUUGAUGGUCUGUGGAAAAAAAAAAUUAGUGCACAGGAGUGUGUGUAGGAGGAAAGAGUUGGUGGAUUGGAUUGAUGAUCCGAAUUUGAUUGCUGAAGACAUCGAUGGGGUAGAAAAAUCUUGUUUCUGCAAAUUUUGCCUGGAUGUCAAGAAAUGAUAUGUUUUUGCUGCAAUGGAUGGAAACAGGGAAAAACUGGGAACUGUGAUAAUUGCAGGCCUUAUCUACUACACAAGAUACCUUGGAUGACUACCAAAGAACGAGUGUUAACAGUUGUAAAGAGGAGGUUUGUCACAAAUGAAGACCAAUUUUGGCAUCAGCAAUGUUUCUUUAAUCUGUCAAAAUACUGUCAAAGAUGAAUAAAUCUUCUGUUUUGUUCGUCCAUCACUACUAUACUACCACUCUGCUAUACAAGAGGAAUAUUCUUUUUAGAAUAGUCACGUAAUCAAAUCAGUAAUCUUACAAUACAAGUCAGCGAUUGAUAAAAUGUUCACGUAAUCAAAUGCAGUAUUCUCCCAACCCAACACAAGUCGGAGAUUGAUUAAAUUGUUCACUUAACUCUUGGGACUGUAUAUCUUGUUCCGUCAAAAGUUUUUAGCUAACUCAUUGGCCAUGAAAAGUUUUUAGCUAACUCAUUGGCCAAAUGACAAUAAUAAUCUUUUCUAUUCUUUAGCCCUUCUGUGCUCCUCAAAUUAAUAUCAUGAAAUAGAAACACUAUUGAAGCUUUUUUUUUGUGUAAUGUUAUUGUUUCAUGAUAACAAAGCUAUGAUAAAGCCACAAAUGUACUCCCAGGAUCAAAACACCAUCUGAUUAGAACCUUGUGUUGACAGAAGUAAUUCUUAAAUGUCCCUCCUCAGUCUUGAUAUUACAAGUUAAUAUUGUCACCUACCAAUAACUAAUUUGCAAUAACUUAUGUUAACUUUAAACCAUAGCAGCCAUUAUAUCUAUUUAGACAAGUAUAUAUAGUUGAAAAAUUGCUUACCAAUCAGUUCGUUCAGAUGUGCCUUCAUCGAAAUGGAUAGGAACAAAAGGUUCCGAAAUGGGACUCAAAUCAAAAUUCAACAUUAAUUGGUUCACAUUUUCCACAAGUCAACAUCCCAUUUUUUUUAAUCUGGAUUUGCUUUGAAAGCAAAUUGAUACACAAAUCCAAGAUAAAAAUAAGAAGAAAACGAGUGAAAUAUUUCCUCAAUAAGGACAGUCUUCAUCCAGCAUUUGCUGUGAUUGAGUUAUUUUGGGCCAUAGUAGCACCAUCAAAACUAUAAGUUCUUUAGAAAACCAUUAAACUUUCCUAUUUCAUCCUAAAGUUCAUGAAAAAUCUAUCCACAAAUCAAAUGAAAACAUACCAAGGAAAAAUAAUAUGUCAAAAGGAUAAAAAUGAUUAAUCUUUUCAAUCUUAUGGGCCAUAGUAGCACUAAACCCAAAUUAAGGGGUUAAAGUACAAUUUUUUGAACAUUCCCAUGCAAAAUGCAUGCAAAAUGCUACGACCCAGCUUCUGCAGCAACAAACAAAAAAAAAACAACUUCCAGCAUGCUAAAAAGUGAAUUCCCUAUGAUUUCAUCCGCAAGCUUCAUUCAUAAACCUUCAGCAAGCGAAACUUUGAACUAACUUUAAUUAAAACAAGACUAAACAACACCUGACAAGGCAAUUAUGCAAAUUAACUGAGAAACAAACCUCUGCAACUACUUUCUAUACUUCAGAAAUUUUUUUCUUUUCUUCCCCAACCAUUCUCAUGCAAUUUCUUUAUUCAACUUAGAUGCAUUCAUGCGAACAAACCAAGAAAAACUUUAUUGAUUUGUUAACUAAACAGAAAACACCGGAGCUUGGAAUCAAAAAGAAAGAAGAAAGGAAAAAAAAGGACUGUCGAACACAGCCUACAUCCAAGCAAUCACAGCUUUGAAUCACAGGCCCUUAAAACAAACUUAAAUCAUGGACAAGAGCGAAAACCACCCAAAGUUAGCAGCUCACAUUACUUCAGUUUCACGGGAGAAACUGAUACACCAUAUACAUAAGCUCCCCAUCAAAAGAUACAAAGCACAGCUUUAAGAAAGAACAAAGGAGCAUCCAAAACUUCAGGUUCCUAAAAUUUCCUAAAGGUUUCUGGGCUCCGGCAGACCGAAGCUUUCUUUGCUCCCACAAAGCAAGCUCUUUCUGCUGCAACAAUUGCAGCUCAAACCCAAACAGAUUCAGCAGCCAAACCGACAUUAACUUUCGUAAACUCAUAAUCAAAAUGCCAUGUUGUACAUACAAGAGGAUAAGAGCUAACAAAGUGAAAGUUUGCAAAUUCUAAUUCAUUCAAAAGGUCUCCACCAGUUCUGAAUUUACCUAUGGGAGUUCACUUAACAAGUUAACACUCACACUUGGUCGGCAUUAUGAAAAGGAAAACAGCAGUGAAAGUCUUGUUUCAUGGUAAAGCAAGUCAAAAUCUCUCAAACGGGCUCUUAAGCAAAACUCCACAGAAACGUAAGAAAACAGUUACUUAAACAAGUGAAUGAACAGGAGCACAACAGAAGGUAGCAGGCUUACUGAUUGCUGUUUUAAAUCUUAGCAUACUCAUAUAUGAGAUUAUUAUCAAACAACAAACCAACCAAAAAGGAAAUUCAAACCAUUCCAGAAACUUCAACAAUUCAAAAUAUCAAAAUUUUUAUUGCUGCAAUAGAGAAUAGGGCUCUAAUCUGUCUACAUUGUUGCAGCAGGACAAGGAGCACCGUCCUUGUUGCAGCAACUCUCAGCUACUGGAAUUGCUCGCAUAACAGCGAGGGAAUGGGAAAAGAGGACAGUGUGCCUUUAGUUCAAGGCUAAUGACUUUCUAAACACAGCCCUGAUAGCUGAUAUGUUCAUAGUAUCCCACUCCAGUUGCAAACGAAAACAAGAUUAUCAAAUGAAACCACAACUUUAGCAAUCCCAGAAAGAAAAGACUGCUGCAACAAGCCGAUAACUUCGAGCUUGUCGCAGCGCAUCCUUCGAUUGGACUCCAAAGGCCCUAACAGACCCAGGUUAUGCAAAUAAGGACCAAAGAUGUAGUCUUUGGCUUACCAGAUUGGAGAAAGUUAAAACCUUUGGAUCAAACAACAAACACAGCAUCACAUCAAACGCUAUCUCAGCGACCGAAAGGCCAAAAAAGAUUAAAAAAAAAAAAGUACCGGAAACAGUUGCAACAAGCAAAAGGUUUCAUCUUGUUGCAGGGGUUCUAACAAAACCAUUAAUCACUACCACAAGUAAAGGAAUGGAACGUUGAAACAGGAAAUUUAUGUGAUUUUUCUGAUUUUGGCCUGUCAAAACAUAAGAGGGCAACCAUAAACAUCCAACGAAAGACCUCAUGGGUUCAUCAUAGACUGUACCAAGAACCUUAAAAUCAUAAGUAUGGCAAGGCUACCUCGUCAUCGUCAAACAGAUAGAUAAGAAGUAACAUACCUGGACAGCAAAAAGGAAGCGGAUUGGAAAGAUCUUUAGCGGACAGAGUUGCCCUUCAACGAUGAUGGAAACCGAUGAUGGAAAGCGAUGGUUUUCUCCUUCACUCGCUGCUUUCCCUUUCCUUUUGCUUAGAAUUUCUCAGCCUUACUCUCGGCUCUCUCGGUUUCUCUUCUCAGUUUUUCCUUCUUGUUUCAGUCUUUUUCCUCUCAGCUCCAACACCUUGCUCCCCUGUGCUUCCUCGACAUAAAUAGAGGGGGCAAAAGAUUGGAAAAAAAAAGGAGAAAAGCAAAUGUAGUAGGGAUUUGGAAAAAUUGGGGAAAAUGUAGUAGAAUAUUAGGGAUUUGGAAAAAUUGGGGAAAAUGUAUAGGAAGCUCUGUUUCAGCUCAGUGCAGAAGCUUGUUUGUGUUUCAGACCAAGUGUUCCGUUGCUUUUGUUUUCAGAAUGUGUUCCGCUGCUUUGGUCUUUGCUUUGCUUUGGAUAUUGUUUUUGUUGCGCGGCACUUUCCUAUGAUUUGAUCAAAAUUUUGACUUCACUCAUUUUCCCCCCAUUUGAUACCAAAAAUCAUGUUUUUUUCUGGAUUUGUAAUAUGGUUUGAACCAUAGAUUUUAAUGCUAUAGUAUUAUUCUUUAUUUUUUAGCAAAAAAUAAAAAUUUUCAUCAACAUAGGUGGCAAAAUUUGUUAAUUUCAUAUAAUUGAAAAUGUACUUUUAUAAUUUGCUAAUAUUUUAUACUAAUUUCUUAUAAUUGCAGCACUAAAGAACAUCAUGUAAUUCAAAAUAAUUAAACUCAAAUUAUAUCGUUAUAACAUAGUUUCAAUAAAAAUAAUCAUUUUCCCAACAUUUGAGACCAAUCAUCAUGCUUUUUUUUUAUUUUUAAUUUGGUUUGAAGCAUAGAUUUUAUUGCUAUAGUAUUAUUCUUUAUUUUUUAGUACAAAAACACAAAUUUUCAUCAAUAUAGGUGGCAAAAUUUGUUAAUUACAUAUAAGUGAAAAUAUACUUUUGUUCUUUUUCAAACAUUUAUUUUAAUGUUUAAUUUUGUUUAAAACUAUUGUACUAGUAUAGAUUUGCAAGACAAAACUUAAGUUCUCAAUAGUUAAAAAAUUCAUUACAGAGAAAACACAAAGUAGUAGUUGCAAAAUGUGUAUAAAUUACAGAUAUUUUAAUGUGUAUAAAUUACAGUUUAUUUUAAUGUUUAAUUUUGUUUGAAACUAUUUUACUAGUAUAGAUUUGCAAGACAUAGAUUUAUGGGUAAUUUCUUUUUUUUUUGCUUUCACAUAUUUAAUUUAUGUUAAAUACAAAACCUACCAGUUUCCCUUUCAUAAAAAUAUUAGUGCAACACUUUUUGAAUUUUACUUACAAACAUUUAUGUAUUUAACAUAAAUUAAAUGAUUCAGAGUGAAAUGCCCAUAAAGAGCAGAAUAUUUGUUCAUGUAAUGGAGGAAACCCACAAAGAGUUGGUACUUUAUGGGCCAUUUCUUUUUUUAAAAAAAUUUAAUUUAUAUUGAAAAGAUAACCUACCAGUUUUCGUUUUGUAAGAAAUCAGUGUAACACUUUUUGAAUUUUACUUACAAACAUUUAUAAAUUUAUCAUAAAUUAUAUGUUUGAGAGUAAAAUGCCCAUAAAAAGUUGGUACUUUGAAUAGAUAAUGCUCAUUUGCCCAUAAACUACACUCCCUGAAGGCUAUUUUGUUAAUUACUUUGUAGUACUUUGUUAUUCCUUUGCUAAUACUACUUGGCAUGUAGUACAAAGGAUAAAUCUGGCAUAAAUUUCUUAUUCCAUUGAUAAAAAGACCUGCCUGCUUUAUAACUAUUGUAAUGAAAGAUAUAUCUUUAGAGUUUAUAACAAAUUAUUACUUAAGUUUGAGAAAAUUAUAAAAUAUUUAUGCAUAGUUUAUCAAGAUACCAUUCGCAAUUUUCUAAUAAAAAAAUAGGGACUAAAUUGUAAAAGCUAGGGUGCCAUAAUAGAAAUAAUAAAAUUGGUGUAUUACAUAUGGGUGUUAAAUUGCAAAAGUUAGAGUGCCAUAGUAGAAUUAAUGAAAUUAGUGAAUUACAUAUGGGGCUAAAUUACAAAAGUUAGGGAGUAAUAAUAGAAUUAAAAAAAUCGGUGUACUACAUAUGGGGCUAAAUUGUAAAAGUUAAGGUAUCAUAAUGGAAUUUUUUACAACAUUUGGGGCUAAAUCGCAAAAGUUAGGGUGGCACAGUAGAAUUAAUGAAAGUGACUUAGAAAUAAGUACUUUAAACAGUGACGAUUAAUUCUUGUCACUAAAUCUGAAUCGGUAGAGUGACAGUGACGAUAUUAGAAGUUGUCACUAUAUAGAUCAUUUUAGUGACAACUUUUUCAAGGUCAUCACUGAAGACUUAGUUGCUUUGAGCAAUUAUGACAACUUUCCUUGUCGUCACUAAACAACUACUUUUUGUGACGACUUUUGUCGUCACUAAAAAUGUUGUCACUAAUGAACAUAUUUCUUGCGGUGUAGUUUGUGACGAAAAUAACGGGUCGUCACUAAACAGUUAGUUGCUUUGAUGCAAUUGUGACAACUUUAGGUGUCGCGACUAAAGAUGUACCUUUUGUGACGACUUAUUGUCAUCACUAAAAAUUGUUGUCACUAAUAAAUUUUUUUUAUAGUGAUCAGUGACGACAAUUAAAAGUCGUCAGUAAAUAGUCCAAGCAAUAGUGAUGAUGUUCUUAAUGUCGUCACUAUUGUGUGUUCUAAACACUCCCGCACUCUUGCUAAAUCUUGCCGGGAAUUUACUAGUGACGACUUUUCUAAGUCGUCACAAAUGAGUUGGCUCCCAUUAGAGGUUUGUGACGAGUUAGAAAGUCGUCAAUAAAGGAUCCACUUUUGUGACAACUUUUUUUCGUCACAGAGAAAAGUUGUCACUGAUGACCAAUUUUCUUGUAGUGACAUUUUUUCUUAUUUGGUAUUUUUUAUUUUAAAAAUAAAAAAUCAAUGACUCGGGAUUGAACUGAUUGAACCUGAUCCGACUACUUUACUUGUUUAAUCUUUUUUUUUUUUCCGGAAACGGUGGAAGUUAACUACUUUACUAGUUUAAUCACUAGUCUGAGUUUCAAAACAAUGGUUUUGUAUGAGUGCAAGCACAUUAUCAUUUGUGUCCCCACUCUUAACACGGAAGCCAAAAAAAAUGAAAUUAUUAUUGCUGGUUCACCGCCACGUCACAUUAUUAUUUGGGGAUCCCACCCCUAUCAAGGAAAGGAAAAAUGAAAUUCAUUGAUGCUUUAGAAACCAAACCGCAGUGCCCAGAUUUUCUCAAUGCUCCGUUAAAGUUUAGGCUUGGUCAUCGACAAAUGUAGGGCAAAUUUCACUUUAUCACCUGCGAUUUAGUGUUUUUUUACAUAAUCCCUUUAUAGAUUUAGAAACUAUAUAUAACUCUCUUAUGAUUUAAAUUAAAGUGUCAAAAUUAUGAAAAUGAUCAUUUGUAAUGGAGUCACCUAAAAUAUUAAAAAUAUCCUUACAUAAAGUUAAAAAUUAUUUAUUAACCAAGGAGGUUUAUGUGUAUAUUUUGAAAACCUUAAGGGAGUUAUAUGAUAAAGUUUUAAACCAUAAAGGAGUUAUAUGAUAAAACAUAAAAACCAUACGAGAUUAGUGUAUCAUAUAUUUAUAAGGGUAAUUUAGAUAUUUGUAGAAGUUCUGCUACGAAUGCCUAUUUCCGUCACAUUGACACUUUAAUCCAAAUCAUAAGGGACUAUAUAUAACUUUUGAAACCCUAGGGGGUUAUAUAAAAAAUAUUUAACCAUAGGGGAAUAAAAUGUAAUUUGCCCAUAAAUGUAAGAAGAAUCUACAGUUCUAGAAUAAAAAUUUUUCAUAAACCUAGUGAAUGCCUGUGUUUUUGGCGGCGCCAAUCUCGUCAUGCAUAGACUGCCCGGAAUUAAAAUAAUAUUCCCUUAUGUCACUAAGAAAGCAGUUUAUCCUUUUUUUCCACCACAAGUUCGUAAUUUUUUUUAAUCUUAUUUUUAAGGAAAACUCUAAAUCUUAUAGAGAAAAAGGGAAAUAAAAAGUUUAAUAAGCCUGUGUUAUGUAAUUUGCCCGGAAUUAAUUUAGUAAGAAGUUAUGCAUGAAUUCGUCACAUUGAAUAACGCUAAUUUUCUUCCUCAUAUUCUUCUAAUGUUAAUUUAGAGUCAAAAUCAAGUAAAUCUUCCGUAGAGCUGAAAAUGUUUUUUGAUUUUUGAUUUUAAAAAAAAAUAUCCAGUAUAAAAGGAUACUUCUUUUUGUCUUGGAGAAUUGGUCAAAUUGGUAAGGUGGAAGUGAGAAAAUGUGAACUGCAUCAGUUGGGGUUGAUCUCGUGAUGGUAUAUAUGAACAUUAUCCAUUACGGCUAGUACAGGUAGUACUCUUUCUCUGUCCCUCGUAUAUUUUGGGAGAAUUACAUACAGUUUUUCGAGAUGUAAUUAAUCAUUCAAGGUGAUGUAUGACGAAUUUCAUUAUGUACGACACGUGGCUUCUGUUAAGAAAAGUACUCAUUUAUGUACUUCCAUUUUAUUGAACAUCAUGAUUCACUAUCUCAUGAAUCACGUACUGAUAUAUUACUUGGCAUGGUUAUAUCCCACCCUCGAGGAAACCGAAAUACAUACUAAAAAGGGCAUAUAUUAAUAUUAUACCCAUCAUUUAGUACUCGUUUAGAGUACUAUAUCUUGUAAACUCCUUUACCAAACCCCAAUUCGUGCUUAGCCGGCCAAGUACAAAAGUAUGAAGUUCCAUCUUUAAAGUGAAGAGUGCAGCCGUUAGCGAAGCAGCAAUUGGUGCAGUCUGUGUAGGUCUUCUCUCCAUCGCAGUCCACGUACUCGAUCCCAAUUAUGCAAUAGAGUGGGCAAAUUUGGUCAGGCCCCGGCCUGACGGCCGUGACCUCCACAUUUGCUCCCAGAAGGAUCAUCCCUGUUUUCAGUACCAAAAUCAUUUUAAAUCAAUUGAGAGAUGGGAUGAAUUAGUUUUCAUUUUUUGAUAUAUAUAUAUAUAUAUAUAUAUAUAUAUAUAUAUAGAUGGGAUGAAUAGUUCUCUUUUUUUUUUUUUUUUGAAACUGCCCCAACAGGUUUAACCAUUGCAACAGGUAUACCAAAGAAUAAAAUUGUACAUACCACAAAAAAGAAUAACCAUUGCACCAAUCUUGUUGACUGCCAUGAUUUCCUUGUCUUCCAAAGUUUGCCUUUGAUUUGAGAUGGCUUUGGGCUUAUAUAGACCGAGAAGGGGAAAGAGUGAGAGUCUCUGAUCGUGCCACCAGCAGGAGCAAUUAUUGUGGGACCAGUCCAUCCUAAAUUAUUGUGCUUCAACAGAAUUUUGGGACUCGUCCUUUGUAAAUUAUUGGAAGCCACAACAUUACUUUCUUGCUUGCAUGCUUUGCUAGAUUUUAAAUGAUUCUUUCAUAUUGUUGAUUAUAUACCACACACAUAUAUAUAUAUAUAUAUGGUAUGGAUAAGGGUACCUCCCGAAAGGACCACAGUGAAAGAACCUUUUUCUUUGUUAAAUAUAUCGACUUUUGCGAAUUUCCGUUGAUGGCUUUAAUCUUGCAUGUGAAUUUCUAUACAAAAAGUAGUAUAUGUCGUUCGUGAAGUAGCACUUUCAGUUUGAGCAUUCAGCACAUGGGUGCACCAAACUCAAUAAAAUAGUUGCCAAGUAUUUUAAAAUUCCGUUAAAUUUUUGGAGGAGUUUGAUAUUUUAUAAUUUGGAGGAGUUUGACAAUUAAAUAGUUGUCAAGCUUACAACACAAGUGUGAUAUUUUAUUAUCGUUCAUAUGGGUCUUAUGCAUAAUAAUUGUGUGUUUUGAUAUAAAAUUUUAUAAAAAAUUCACAAAAAAUUACAAGAUAUUCAAGAAGUAUUACAUCAUUCUGGUCCAGGCUCGAAGUCCCUCAAAUUGAUGCUAACGUCACCGUACCCCAUGAAUGCGACUAUUCUUACCUUAUCUCACAGAAUUUUGGGACCAGUCCGUCCUACAUAUUAUACUUCCAAAUAAUUUUGGGACCAGUCCAUCUUAAUUAAAUUAUUGUCCUUCCUGGUCCAUCCCAGUGUUUUAAAGAAUUGGAUCGGAUUAACGGGUUUGAUCGGUCGGGCCGUGAACUGGCAAUGAUAACAGUCUACUUCUGUGAGAAAAAUGAAAAGUUAAAAAAAAAAAAAAAACCAAUCAAAGUUGGUUAAAAUCAGUGAAUCGGAAUAAACUGAUUAAACUAGUCAAGUCUGAUUUUUUGAAUUUUGACUUCGAAGUUGGACUUUUUUCUAUGGGCUGCUCACUUUUUUGAGCUUUUAAAUGCUAUCAUCUGCUACUGUAAUUAAGUUGGUUGAUGGCCAUUUUUCCUCAAAUUAUAAAAAAAAAAACUUAGUUAGCCCAAUUGAAAAAUAAAAUGACUAAUCUAACAAAAAACUAAAGAAACUCUCAAUCCUCUUCCUCCUUUUAGAAUCUUCACCUAUCGGAGCCACUCUACAAGUUCUACUCAUCUCCUCAUUUUUUUAAUAUCUUUUUUCCCUCUUCUCUUCUGUCUUUUCUUUUACAUUAUUGACAGUGAAGACAAUAAUGAAGUUGAAAUCGGCAGAUAAAAAAGCACACUUGUUUACCCUUUCCUCUUCUAUCUUUUGUUUUGAUAUUCAUGAUUUUUUCUACAUUUUUUGGAUUUAAUUUUACAAAUCCUAUUAGAUUUUCUUUUGAGUUGGGAAAGUUAAACUCUUCUUUGUUUAAUUUAAGAUGUUGAAUAGAUUUGCUCAUAUUUUUGUUGAUUCUUUAUUUUUUUAUGAAGUAUAUUUCUUUUAUUUGGUAGAUGAAUUAGAAGGUACUAGAUCAAUAAAUCUACUCCAGAAGAUAUUACAAAAUUUAGGAUUUUUAUGUUGAUUUUACAUAUUUCUGAUUAUUUUUUAUUUUUUAAUUUUAAAAAUAAAAAAUAAACAAAUAAAUCAAUGAACCGGGGAUGAAUUUGUUAAGCCGCUUGGAUCAUGAUCCAGCCACUUUACCAGUUCGAUCACCGAUCCGAGUUUCAAAACAAUGGUUUUUGUAUCAAAACAAUGAAUUUGGUAACGGGAGCUUCUCCUCUUUUUGCUUGAAUACAAUCUUAUCCUUCAUGUUCCUCUAUAUAAUCUUAGUUUGAGUAUUCAACAUAAGCAUGUACCAAACUCAAUAAAAAUAGUUGUGAAGUCUGUUGAAUUUCAAUAAAUUUUUGGACAAGUGUUUUUGGAGAGUUUGAUGUGAGCAGUUUAUCUUCUUGAUUUUAAUUUAGUUUGAUAUUGAUAUUCUGUGCUUUCCAAUGAGAUUGAAAGUCAAUUAAAGUUUAUAAAAAUAAUAUAAAAGUUUUUACAUGUUUUUAUUGAAGGAGAAGAUUAGUCGUAAUACAACGAUUUACAUACUUAGCAUCUCUUUUAUUUUUAAUAAUCAUGAGAACAAAACUUUUUGGCUGAGUAUCACAAAAAAGUAAUAUGUACAGCAUGCAAUGCUCAUUCUCUCAUACUAGUUACCCUAAGUACAAGACAAAAGGAGCAAAAAACUUGUGACGCACGUUAUCUUGAUUAUUUUAUGUAAGCUAAUGUUCUUCCUCAUAUUCUUCUUAUGUUGAUUUAGAGUCAAAAUCAAGUAAAAUAUCUGCAAAGCUAGAAAUGUUUUUUAUUUUUAUUUAAAAAAAUAUCCAAUAGGAAAGGACUUUUCUUUAUGUCUUGGAGAAUUGGUCAAAGUGUUAAGAUGGAGGUGAGAAAAUGUGACGUGCAUCAGUUGGGGUUGAUUUUCGAGUGAUUAGUGCACAAGUCAAGAGAUUAGAAUAUUGAUCUCAUGGAGAUAUAUUUGAACAUUAUCAAUGAAGGUUGUACUCUAAAGGCUCCAUAAUAUUACUCUGGAUAAUACUGAACAAAUGACGCACAAGAAGUUGGUGGAUCAAGUAGAUUGAAAGAAUCCUUAAGUUCUUGAAACUUUUUUAGCCACAAUGGGUUUCUUGAGUUGAGUUUUACCCAAUUCAGUGUGGCCGCUAUAAUAUUUAUAACAUUUGAUAUAAACUCGUGUAGUUUUAGUGUAAUUGUGAAUUUUGCUCUAAUUUAAUUGUAUGAGUUGGCAAAUUUCAUAAUUAUACCGAAAUUUUAGUAGUUUACAACACAUAUUGUAUGAAUUAUAUCAAUUAGAUAAUAUCUCUCUCUCUCUCUCUUUCUCCCUCGUAUUUUUGGAAGAAUUAUAAUUUUUCAAGAUGUAAUUAAUCAUCCCAGGUGAUGUAUCACGAAUUUGGUUAUGCACGACACAUAAUUUCUUAUAAGAAAAUUACUCAUUUAUAUACUUUCAUUCUAUUGAACAUGAUUCACAGUCUAAUGAAUCACCAAUAGACUACAUAGCUAUAUGCCACCCUCGCGGAAACCGAAAUACAAACUGAAAGAGACAUACAUUGCCCAUUAUUUAGUACUUGUUUAGUAUGAUAAUAGGAGUCCCGAGUCCAGACUCCAGAGUACGGAACCCCAAUCAUGAGAUUAAUAUGUUGCAUAAGGCCAUUUACAAUCUAUUGAAAAUCCACCAAUGAAGUAAACAGUGCAGCCGUCGGAGAUGCAACAAUUGGUGCAAGAUGUGUAGGUCUUCGUUCCAUUACAGAUCUGGUACACGGUCGGCCCCAUGCAAUUGAAUGGGCAAGGCUUGACUGCCCCGGGCCUGACAAGCACAGGCCUGACAGCCUUGACUUCCACAUUUGCUCCCAGAAGAAUCAUUCCUGUUUUCAGUAUCAAAAUCAUUUUAAAUCAUAUGCAGACCAAAUUCCGUAUAAAUUUUGAAAACUGCUCGAAACUGUUUUUCUUUUUUUUUUUAAUAGAUCGGAUAAAUAGUCAGGUUUUAACUCGCAUACAAAAUAAUAAAAUUGUACAUACCACAGAAAAGAAUAGCCAUUGCACCAAUCUUGUUUAUUGCUGCAGAGGCCCCGUCCUGGGCCUGUACACGUGGCAGCCCAGGGUUGAUCCGAGCUGGGCUUGCACCCCGGGCCCAUGGGGAACCAGCCCAGGGCGCACGGCGACUAGGGCUCCGGGAGGCUCCCGAGAGCUACCCUACAGAGGGCGGGGAGAAUCCCCCUCAGCGGGGGAUUGGGAGCUAUCCAGGGCAAGUCCCGGAACGUACGGAGGUCGGACUCCUAAGCGGGUAUAAAUGGUAACACAUACCAACUGUACAAGGUACGCUCACUAUUGGCAAUUCACUCCCGACUGCUUUUCUGUGAGUACACUCCCCUCUCACCGGAAAACUAACUUGACCGUCGGAGUGCCCUUGGGGACCACCUCGGGGCCCCUGCCAGUUUACCCUCCUAUUUAUCUUGCAGGCUUGGAAUCAACUCUUCCAUCAGCACCCCGAGCUCAUCAGGUCAGCUCGAUCCGGGGAAGUUCCGUGCUUCUUCAGUUAGCGCCGUCUGUGGGAACGAAGAUACGAGUAUUUGUGUUGAUGGCGAGAACGCGUUCCAAGCGAACCAUGGAUAACACUGAUCCCGGAGUCGGUGAGGGAUCCCGGCGGUUGGAGACCGAGGCAGCCCGUGGCGGCGGGGGCUCGACCCUUUCAGGGGAACGAAAACAGCAGAUCUAUCAGUUUGUAACCGAGAAUCUCCCCAUGCUGGAGGACAUAAUCCGACAGGCGAAGGAGGGGGGUGAGGCCAGGGGUGCACAGACCUCUAAGGCGAAGGGGAAGGAGAGGGAGUCGCUCCCCAUUCCCUCGGAGCACGAGUCCCGGGACCAGCCCCCUAGGAGGAAACGACCGCGGACUCCUCCCAGGACGCAGGCCUCGGUGGUCGGGGACAGUGAGAGAUAUUCUCGCGACCGGUCCGCUGGGGGCCGACUGAGGAAUCCCUCAUCGUGGAAGCUUGCGCGGAACGAGCCGGAGCGCUCCCCUGCCCGGUCUAUCAAGAGCCUGCAGCGGGACCCUCCCCAAUGGCAGCCCGUCCGGGACGAGAUCGAGCUGAUCCUGCGACCACAACUGUACGAGGACAACUACGCAGCCUCGCCCUUCACCCGAGAGGUAGAAGACUACCCGUUACCUCGGAGGUUUAAAAUCCCGAACAUCGAGCUGUACGAUGGUUCGACUGACCUGGAAGACCACCUCUCGGUCUUCCUGACGCACAUGCGUCUACAAACCGCCGCGGAUGCACUCCGUUGCAAGACUUUCCCCAUGUUUCUGAAGGGUAAGGCCAGCCUCUGGUUCUAGGGCCUAGCACCGGGGUCUAUCCGGAGUUUCACCGAGCUGGCCAGACAGUUCGCCGCCCAGUUCGUCUCCUCGAAGACUUACUCGAAGAACGCAGCUCACCUGAUGGCCAUCAAGCAGAAGCCGGACGAGUCCCUGAAGAAUUUCAUGACGCGCUUCAACACAGAAAGCCUGCAGAUCAGGGACAAGGAUGAAAAGGUGGUCAUGGCUGCCUUCAUGAACGGGCUAAGGGUAGAGGAGCUCUACUACAAGCUUGUCGAACAGCCCCCCAAGAAUCUGGGAGAGCUCUUGACCCGGGCUCACGCCGCCGCCAACGCAGAGGAGGCCGGCCGCCUGAAACGAGAGUCAGACCGGGAGCUCGGAGAUCGGAGGGGGCGGGGAAACCCCGCCGAAAGUAAGGAUGCCCCGGCCAAGAAAAAUGUGUUUGACCGGCUCUCGAAAGAAAAAGCCCCUGCUCCGCCGCCGAUCCCGGAGAAAGGCUAUACCCCCCUGACUCGGCCCAGGGCCCAAAUCCUGGCUGUCAUGGAGGCGGAGGACCUGGGAGACCAGCCGCCUAAAAUGGGGACAUCUCGGAAUAAAAGGAACCAAGACCGGUACUGUGUCUUCCACAGGGACGUUGGGCACGACACUGAGUGGUGCUGGGCCCUAAAGAGGGAAAUCGAAGAUCUUGUCCAACGCGGUUUCCUGGGGCGAUUUGUGCGGCAAGGUCGCCCAGGCCAGGAGCCGGGACGCACCUACCGUGGAGAAAGAGGCGAGGGCCAGCGUCGUGACCGACCUGAUCGGCGCGACGCACCCCGGGGUUACUCCCCCGACCACCACGCCCAGAACUUGACUGGGGUGAUAAACACAUUGCCGGCGGUCCCACGGGGGGGACAGCCAUGCAGCUCGGAAGAACAAGCGACCUCCCCCGGAGGGGGACGACUCCCUAAAGCGCCUGCGCAUAGACGAGGAGAUCACCUUCGGGGCGAGGGACGCGGUUCCCCUAACAUCAGGGAACCAUGAGGCCAUUGUCAUCGAUCUUGUGACCAACAACUAUCGGGUGAAGAAGGUGUACGUCGACCAAGGGAGUGCGGUCGACAUUAUGUUUUAUCGGGUGUUCAAGGAGUUCGGCUUGGAGGACGGACAGCUAACCCCGGUUCGGACACCCCUGGUGGGUUUCACCGUACCGCCUAUCAACCCGGAGGGAAUGAUAACCCUGAUGGUCACGGUAGGGCAAGCCCCCAAGUGCCGGACCAUACCCGUCAACUUCGUAGUGGUCAAGCAACAGUCCCCUUACAAUGUGUUCCUGGGCCGGCCUGCUUUGAACGCCCUCCGAGCUAUUCCCUCCACGCUCCACCGUAGCGUCAAAUUCCCCACCUCGGGAGGAAUAGCCGAGGUGCAUUGAGAUUUGGAGGUGGCCCGAACUUGUUACCUAGCCAUGCUCCGGGGACACGAGAAGGUGGUCGCUCAGACGACCAGUUUGGAACCCUAUAUUCCAGGGGAAGAGGCUCGGCAGCUGGGCACUCAGGAUAAGAUUGAGGAGUUCCCACUGAAGGAGGACAGGCCUGACCAGGUAAUCCGCAUCGAAGCGUCGCUACGGCUCAAAGAGAAGGAUGACUUGAAGGCCCUCCUGAGGGAGUACGCACAGGUUUUCGCUUGGACGGUAGAAGACAUGCCCGGGAUUCCGACCGACCUGGCCGUCCACCACCUCAACAUAGACCCUCGCUUCAAGCCAGUGAAGCAAAAGAAGAAGAACUUCGCUCCAGAGAGAAAUGAGGUGAUCAGGAAGGAGGUCGGAAAGCUGCUGGAAUCCAAAAUCAUCAUGGAGGUCUACUACCCGACCUGGCUGGCCAACCCUGUUCUGGUAAAGAAGGAGGACCAGUCCUGGAGGAUGUGCGUCGACUUUACAGAUCUCAAUAAAACCUGCCCGAAAGACUGCUUCCCCUUGCCGAGAAUCGACAGGUUAGUAGAUGCUACUGUUGGUUUUGACGUUUUGUGUUUUCUGGAUACUUUUAAGGGAUACCACCAGAUAGAUAUGGCUGAGGAGGACAGGGAGAAGACUUCCUUCAUCACUGAGGAGGGAACCUACUGCUACCGGACCAUGCCCUUUGGGCUGAAAAACGCUGGAGCCACCUACCAGCGCCUGGUCAACAAGUUGUUCCAAAAUCAGAUCGGCAAAAGCAUGGAUGUCUACGUGGACGACAUGAUCGUCAAAAGUCGAACCGAUCAUCGGCUCAUUCCGGACCUAAGGGAGAUCUUGGACAUCCUGCGGGAGAGCCGGAUGCGGCUGAACCCAAAGAAGUGCACCUUCGGAGUUAGGUCGGGUCGGUUCUUCGAUUUCUUGGUCUCCCGAGAAGGAAUCCGGGCCAACCCCGAAAAACUCCAGGCCAUCAUGGACAUGGCCCCUCCACGGAAUGUGAAGGAGGUCCAGCGACUCACGGGGAGGAUGGCAGCCCUGAACAGAUUCUUAUCGCGUUCCGCGGUGAGGGGGCUCCCCUUCUUCCGAAUCCUGAAAGCGUCCAAGGACUUUCAGUGAACCGAAGAGUGCGAAAAGGCCUUUACCGACCUAAAGACGUAUUUGGUCGAGCUGCCCACCCUGACCGCCCCGAAACAGGGAGAAACCUUGUUCCUAUACUUGUCCGCCUGCAACGAGGCCGUCAGCGCGGUUCUGGUGCGAGAAGACAGGGGGGCUCAGAGGCCAAUAUAUUAUGUUAGCCGCGCCUUACAAGAUCCGGAAACGCGGUACACGCCAGCUGAAAAGCUGGUCCUGGCCUUGGUGCACGCUGCUCAUAAGUUUCGACCUUACUUCCAGACCCACAGCAUUGUCGUCAUGACCUAUCAGUCUCUGCGGCAGAUACUCACCAAGCCUGAGGUCUCGGGCAGGAUGACCAAGUGGGCCGUCGAACUGGCCGAGCACGACAUCGGCUAUAGACCCCGCACUGCUAUUAAGGCUCAGGCUUUGGCCGACUUCCUCGCUGAAGGGGCUAGUUCGUCCACGGGCGGACUGAGCUCUCCGCCUGUACUUGGGCAGCCGUGGGUGCUAUUCGUGGACGGAGCCUCGGGCAAGGAAAGAAGCAGAGCUGGCCUGCUGCUUAUCUCGCCAACCGGGGAGGAGCUGACAUAUGCCCUCCGAUCGACUUCCCCGCGUCCAACAAUGAAGCCGAGUACGAGACCCUGCUCACAGGAUUGCGGAUAGCCCACCAGAUGGGUGUGACCGCCAUCAAAGUCCGGAGCGACCCUCAGCUCGUCGUCCUCCAAGUUCGCGGGGAAUACGAGGCCAAGGAGGAGGUCAUGAAGAAAUAUCUGGCCAAGGUGCAGGAGGCGACAGCCCUGUUUAAUACAUUUGAGAUCGAGCGGGUGUCUAGAUCGCAGAACAAGCGUGCAGACGCCCUGUCAAAGCUGGCAUUCUCCUUGUUUGCGCACCUGAACAAGGAAGUUCUGGUAGAGGUGGUAAAGCAGAAAAGUAUCGACCAGGUCCAGAUCCUGGCUAUAGACAACUCAGCCACCUGGAUGACCCCUCUCGUAAACUUCCUCUGCUCAGGCGACCUCCCUGAGAACAAAAUCGAGGCUCGCCGGAUCCAGCUCAGAACUGCCAAGUACGCCUACGCUGGAGGAACCCUCUACAGGAGGUCAUACUUAUCCCUCUGGCUAAAGUGCGUGACUCCUGAGGAGGGCGAUUACGUCCUCCGUGAAAUCCACGAAGGAUUAUGCGCGGCGCAUUUGGGGUCCCGGGUACUUGCCAAAAAGUGCCUCCUCCUAGGCUACUAUUGGCCUUCGGUUUUCCAAGAUGCGGCUGCUCUGGUUCAAAAAUGCCGAGCAUGCCAGGUGCAUGCGCCGCUGCGCCACCAACCCAAUCAGGAGAUGGUCCCCAUCCACAGUCCUUGGUCUUUCGCCCAGUGGGGGAUAGAUCUCUUGGGUCCCUUCCCCCGAGCUCCGGACAGGUACGAACACCUCAUGGUGGCUAUCGACUAUUUCACAAAGUGGAUGGAAGCCGAACCCCUGGCCACUAUCUCCGGCAGAGCAAUUCAGAAGUUCUUCUGAAAAAGCAUAGUCUGCCGCUUUGGAAUCCCGUAUGUCCUAAUAUCCGACAACGGGCGACAGUUUGCUGAAAAUCCCUUCAAAAGCUGGUGCGCCGAGCUAGGGAUUAACCAGCACUUCACCUCGGUCGGACACCCCCAGGCCAACGGUCAGGUGGAGAACGUUAACCGAACAAUUCUGCAGGGGUUAAAGACUAGGUUGGAGCUAGCCCAGUCUAACUGGUUGGACGAACUACCUAGCGUCCUCUGGGUUUACCGCACUACGCCCAGGACUGCCACCCACGAGGCCCCGUUCUCUCUGACUUACGGAGUAGAGGCUGUGGUACCCGCGGAGAUUGGUUUCCCCUCGCCUCGAACACAGAAUUUCGUUGCGACAACCAAUGAGAAAGAGCUAAGGUACAACUUGGACAUGCUGGAGGCUAAGCGUGAGGAAGCGGCGGUCCGGAUGGCUAAGUACAAGAGCCAGCUCGCCCGCUAUCAUAACGCCAAAGUGAGGACCAUACAGUACCAGCCAGGGGAUCUUGUCCUAAGGAAGAACUCGGUCAACCGGGCACAUGGCUCCAACAAACUCGACCCCAACUGGGAAGGCCCAUAUCUGGUCCUAGAAGCAAGCCGAGCUGGCUAUUGUAAGCUCGCGAAAAUAGAUGGAUCGGAGGUACCCCGUACUUGGCAUUUCUCCAAUCUGCGACUGUUUGUAGCGUAGGUUAGACCAGGGUGUUCGGUUGCCUAUUCUUUGGAAUUCAAAUUUUAGUUUCAUCAUUCAAUAAAGGCUCGACUUUCAAGUUUUAAUUUCAUUUGUACUCGUUUAUCUUUUGAGUUUUAAUCUUACACUAGCACACUUAGCGUUCCCUCACUAAAUGUCCUAGUGGGGGGUUAGGAGGUUAGUAAUGGAUGCGAGAGUGUUCGACCCCAAGAGGUCGGCAUGACUGGGGAGCUCUGAAGAUCCUGAAAGUUCCACGCUCGACCCAGGAGGUCGGCACGACGGGAAAACUUUGAAGGAUUCUAAAAAUUCCACGCUCGACCCAGGAGGUCGGCGGGCGCCAUGGCAGGGUGCGAUGCUCGACCCCGAGAGGUCGGCACUGAUUAAAACUCCCAGGUGAAUGCUCGACCCCAAGAGGUUGGCAAGGGUCAAAGCUGGGGAGUCUGAGACCACGACGCUCGGCCACGAGAGGUCGGCAUGGAGCGGACUAUUUUUGGUCUGAUGGGAUUCGAGGUUCAAUGCUCGAUCCGGGAGGUCGGCACGAACACCUUCAAAGUCGGACGUUCGACCCAGGAGGUCGGCGGGGGAAAUCCUUAAGGAUUUGGUGUUCAGCCCCAAGAGGCUGGCACGUUGCUCGGGUAGGACGGCGUGGUGCUCGAUCCGGGAGGUCGGCAUGAUUAUCUUUGCAAAUGUUUGGGCGCUCGACCCAGGAGGUCGGCGGCGGAAAGCCUUCGAGAUCUGAGACGUGAUGCUCGAUCCAAGAGGUCGGCAGGACCUCCUCUGGAACUUCCCAGGAGAUCGGCACAACUCAGAAACCUUACGGCUCGAUGCUCGACCGUUAUUUUCCGGCGACUAGAGUUUGCCGUUAGCAGGAAAUGGAAAGAUAAAUCAGACAGUUUCAUUUAAAAACUUCAUCUCAUAUAUGCAUUCAAAGCCUAUCUAUUACAAAACUCCCAGUCUAUCUAUUACAAAGCCUACCGAGCUAUACAAGGAAAGGGCCUAGCUACGCCUUCUUCCUGCUGGAGAUAGUAGGGGUUGAAGGUACACCUUAAGUAUGUUGAGAGGUAGGAGUUGAAGGUACACCUUAAGCAUGUUGAGAGGUAGGAGCUGAAGGUGCACCUUAAGCAUGUUGGGGGUUGGGUGGAGAAGGCUGUUAAAAAGGAUCUGGGGAGCCUUUCCGUCUCAGAUGGACCUUCAAGAGCAUUUUCAACUGGAGCAUGGUCACAUCCUUAUAAGGAGACGGAAAGGGUUUCUGGAGUGGCCGCUGCCCUAGGCCACAGGCUUCUUCCCGGAAGCCCUGCCAGGAGUCUCCUCCUCCUCCAGGGGAAGCUCCGCCAGCUCGGUCCCCACGUCGCUCCUUCCCAUCAGGUCCUUCAGGGCAUGCCCCUUGCGGUACCCAUCGAAGAGCCAGUCCAGCUUCUCCUCGGCCGCAGGAUUGUAGUCCUUGAAAUCCGCCAAGUUGAAGUCGGGUGGGUUGAGGCCCUUCACCUUGUUCAGGGUCCGCGUGGCGCUGACCUGGAAGAUGGGCUGGUUGAGGCAGGCCACGUCCUCGACGAACUGGUCGGAGGAGAUGAAGUCCCGGACAGCUUUCUUGCGCUCCCGGCUGACGGUGCCAGAGAGCUCAACGGCGUGCUCCUCCUUCAGUUUCGCCACGCUCUUCUUCUCUUGGUCCAGCUCGGACCGUGUGGAGGCGAGCUGGACCUGGGAGUCCUCCAGCUCUUUCUCAGCCUUGCCCAACUUGGCCUUAAGGGAGUCUACCUCCUUAAGGGCCUUGGCCAGCUUCUGCUCGGCCUUCCGAUUCUUCUUUUGCAUCUUCUCCAAGUCGGGAGACAGUUCGGAGAAGCGGGUCACCAGGGCAGCACCGGCGGCGUUGGCCUGGAGAGAGGAGAGUAAGAGUUAGCAUAUUGCUAGCCCCAUUCGGAGAAAAAAAAUAGGGACCCAAGGGGCCUAAGAAGGAGAGGGCUUACUUGGGCCUGGGCGGUGUAGUACAUGUCCUGGAUCUCGGACGGGUUGGCCAGCUCCAUCCACUUCUUGUCGCGUGGAAGGACUGAACCCGUGACCAGCUCGCGAGCCACCUCGGGGAAUUGGGCUCGGUCAUUGAUGGAGAGCUCCCAGGACGGACAGAAGUGCCGGGGAUCGUGCAUCGUGGGGGCCUGCCCCGGCUUCGUGGGGGCCACGUGGCGGAAGUGCCACAAGCUCGGAGGGGCGCUCUCCUGGGCGUGCUCCUACGCGGAGCCUAUCCCCAGGUGGACAGGGCCCCCAGACAUCAGCUGGAGAGGGCGCUGUGCUGGGCCCUGCGCAGGCUUCUUCGCAGGUUGGGAAGGCUCGUCAUCUCGCCCCCUCUUCUGCCCCGUGGCAUUCUUUUUGGCGGGGACCUGCUUGGAUGGGGACUGAGUCUGGGAGGCCUCCUUCUGGGGGGCCGAGCUGCCCCCAAGAGUCGCAGAGGCCUCAGGGGCCUUCUUUGCCGCCUCAGGCUGUGUGGUGGAGGUGACCUCCUCAGUCGGCGCGCCCAGUAGCCUGGAGAGCCUCUUCACUGCAGAGAAUAUCACCGGAUUAGUGCUACAAGUCAGAGAAAUACAAGGAAAAAGGCAGCAGAUAACAAGGGAACAGGAGCAGUAUUACAGGUAUCUCGGUUGGCGGGGGAGAACUCCACCCCUCUGGGGGACCCGGACAGCUUCCCCAACAGCCCGGCUGCGGAAAUCUACUCAGUGGAGAACUUGGCUGCGUACAGCUUCGCCGCAGAGCCCAGCAGCUGGCCGAAGGCCUCAGGGUCCAGGUCUUCCGGGCAGGGGUCGUCCCCGACCCCCCCAACCUUCCACGCAGUAGGAGGAAAUUGCGUGUUUUUAACAAAAAAGAAGUCCCCCUUACAGUUCUUCACGGAAAAGGGGACCCCGUAGAGGAGAUCUUGGGCGCCCUUCCGCCGCGGUUGCUGGGGGAGCGGCGGCAGAAGUAGUACCACCCAGGGAGAUAAGCCUUGAGGGCGUAGGUAGCACGGAAGAGAGAGAGAGAAUAGGGGAUGGAGCAGAUCUGGCAGUAGAUCAGGAAUCCGAUGAUGAUCCUGAUCGAGUUAGGGUGGAUCUGGGUGAUCCUGAGCCCCUAGAAGCUCAGGAUCUCGGCCAGGCCCGGAGGAAUGGGGAGUCGAAACCCCGCGACCAGUUGCUCUUUGUAGAUGGCUACAAAGCCUGAGGGAGGUCGGCAGGCCCGGUCGGUGGGCCCGGCAGCUCGUGGCUCGAAGGCCGGAGGAAUGGAGAACGACGCGGCCAGCUCGGCCACCACCCCGGGCGAGAGGGUGGUCUCCUCCCGGUCAGGGUUACCGUAGUUGAACUCAGGGUCAUCCCCCUGCUCGGCAGCAGGGGUCCCCUUUGAGGAGUCCCUGUCCUUAGCUCCGCCAGGGGAGUCAUGUGGGGACUCGGGGGAUGGAACAGAAGCGGCUUGCUGCCGGAUAUAGGCAUCAAGCUCGGCCGCCUCCUCCAAGAGUCGGGCGGAAGGAGAAUGAGCAGACGGAGAGCUCAUGAUGUCAAUAGGCUCAAGCAAGUCAGGAAUGGAAAAAUUGGGGUUGGAAGCAGAGGAUGAAAAAGGAGGAGGAGGGGGAGAUGAUGAAGACGAAGAUGAAGAUGAAGACGAGGACGAAGAGGAAAUGAAGAUUCUGGUGGCUCUACGACGGACCGGAGUCUGGGAUGCGGAGGAAGUGACGUCGGAGUGACCCGACAUAAAAUGCAAAGGGUGGCAAAGGGAGGAAAGGAAAUGUGAAAGAAGAAGGGAAAGGACUUACUGGUGAUCGGAGUGAAGAAAGGGAUGAAGAAGUCGCCGGAAUCUGGGUGCUGUUGGCCGGAAAUGCGCUACUGGGAAUUGGGAAAUGCACGAGGAAAGGAGAAAAUGGCAAAUAGAGUCAACUGGAAUUUGGCAGCCCCUAUUUAUUGGGAACGAAAUUGGGAGAAAACGGUUGCUUGAAUUUGAACCGUCCCAUGUGAACACAUUUAAUAGAGGUACGGAGACCGAAUGGAUGCGACAGCUGAAAGGACGCGGACGCCACUUCCCAAUGUCAGCACUGCACCGGAGGUGACCGCGGCAGAGCAGUGGGAUAAGGGGCUUCCACGUGGCAAGGGGAUAGAUCAGGUCUGCCUGGGAGCCUGACCUAAUCUAGGGGGCUAGUGCAGAGGCCCCGUCCUGGGCCUGUACACGUGGCAGCCCAGGGUUGAUCUGAGUUGGGCUUACACCCCGGGCCCAUGGGGAACCAGCCCAGGGCGCACGGCGACUAGGGCUUCGGGAGGCUCCCGAGAGCUACCCCGCAGAGGGCGGGGAGAAUCCCCCUCAGCGGGGGAUUGGGAGCUAUCCAGGGCAAGUUCCGGAACGUACGGAGGUCGGACUCCUAAGCGGGUAUAAAUGGUAACACAUACCAACUGUACAAGGUACGCUCACUAUUGGCAAUUCACUCCCGACUGCUUUUCUGUUAGUACACUCCCCUCUCACCGGAAAACUAACUUGACCGUCGGAGUGCCCUCGGGGACCACCUCGGGGCCCCUGCCAGUUUACCCUCCUAUUUAUCUUGCAGGCUUGGAAUCAGCUCUUCCAUCAGCACCUCGAGCUCAUCAGGUCAGCUCGGUCCGGGGAAGUUCCGUGCUUCUUCAAUUGCCAUGAUUCCUCGUCUUCCAAAAGUUUGCCUUCGAUUUGAAAUGGCUGAUUCCGAUUUGCCAUGGUUCUUAUAUAGACUGAGAAGUGUAAAGAGUGAGAGUAUAUCCAGCUACUGGGUGCAAAUAUUCUGCUUAUUGUGCUUCCACGGAAUUGUAGGAUUGGUCCAUCCUAAAUUAUUGUGCUUCCGGGUCCAUCCAAAAUUAUUGAAUGUGUUUGCAUAGAUGAAUAUUUGGAAUAAAUAUUUUGAAAAAAUACUGUAACACUUUCUGUAAUAUGAUGUAUAUGAAAUACAAAGAAAGAUAGAACAAUAAAAAAGCACUUGAGAAAUAUAUUUACGAUGCAAUUAUAUAAGUUUUUACAAAUAAAAUGAUAUCCAAACAAACAAACAAUCUUCCUCAGAAUUUUGGGACCAAUCCAUCCUAAAUUAUUGUGCACCAGUCCUUCGUCAAUUAUUGGGACCAGUCCUUUCCAUACAUUCCGUUCUUCAGUAGAAUUCCCAUGCAAAAUUAGUCACUUGCAUAUGCCCAGCCAUUUAUUCGGCCUCCGUGGGCCUGAGGUUGUUUAGCCAGCAAACAUCAUAAUUCCACAGUGAUGUUUGAUAGACAGAAGACGUACAACUUUUUUAAAAACACAUGGGCCCACCAUUUGUUUCGUUUCAAAUGCUCUUAGAAAUUGGAAUUUCCUUCUUCAGUGUUUGUAGUUGAUAAAAUGUAUCUGUUGACAAUCUAAUCUAAUGGAUCAUAAUAUAUGCAGUAGGAUCUAAUACAGAAGAACUGCUCUAAGUAUCCUAUUGUAAACUGUGAAUGACUUGCCCUUUGUUAGACUGUGUAUUAGAUAGAACAGCACCAAAACUUCUGUCUAAACUGAUAUAUGGCUUGGCUUUUCUUGAUUAUGUCCGUAGAUAUCAGUUUACUUUUUGUUUCUUUAUCUAUCAAUAGAUUAACCCUGAAAUUCUGUCAAAAUACAUAUGUACGGCUUGACAUGUUACAAGAUAAAUACAUUCUUACAAACUCAAUUGAAGAAUGAAGACUACAUCUGCAUCACCAUUUGGUGGGCGGCCACAGCCAGUCCCUGCAAGUAGUGAUUCAAAUUGGGACGCGGGGCAUGCACUGACAACCGUUCAAAAUAGUAUAAUACUUUUUAAACAAGUUGUAAUUGCUUCUUAAUUACUUGUACAAACUUACAACAGGAGUGUGAUAUUUUAUUACUGUUCAUAUAGAUCUCAUACAUAAUAAUUGUGUGUCUUGUUAUAAAAUUUUACAAGUAAUUCACAUAAAGUUACAAAAGUGUUCAAAAAGUGUUACAUCAUUCCGAUCCGUGCGUGGAGUCCCUCAAUUUGACACUAACAUCAUCGUACCCCACAAAUGUGAUUAUUCUUACAUUGUUUCAUAGAAUUUUGGGACCAGUCCAUCCUAAUUAAAUCAUUGUGCUUCCUUGUCCAUCCUAAAUUAUUGUGCUUCAACAUAAUUUUGGGACCAGUACUUCGUAAAUUACCUGAACAAAAAGUCCUUUGUAAUUAUUGGACUGGCACGAGUCCCUCAAAUUGACACCAACGCCACCUUACCCCGCGAAUGUGACUAUUCUUACAAGUGUGUUUGGACAAGAGAUUAUUUGUCCAAAUAUAUUUGCUUACAUCACCAUUACAAUUUCCAAUACACCUUUUUAUCUUUCCAAUUAUCUUUUUAUCUCACACACAUCACAUCACAAAAAGUGCUACAAUAAAAAUAUCUCAAAUAAUUUACUAGAAUUUUGGGGCCACUCCAUCCUAAAUAUUGUACUUCCAAAGCAUUUUAAAUCACUCAUCUUGAUUUUAAACUUUUUAAGUUUACACCAUAAAAAAUGGACUAUUUUUAUUCACAAAAACAAUUCAAUGGUAACUUUGGUCAAUGCAGCCUGCAAAUAUUUUUUUCCAAGGGAAAUCUCUUUUUUUUUAUAUAGUUCGGAUAUUUAUAAGGGAAAAUUUGCUAUAUAAUUGGCGAAAGAUUUGAUAUUCAAGGAUGGAGUAAAAUUUUGUCCAAAGUCAAAAGUAGGGAGUUUGGAUUCUUUUAAUGGGAAUCAAGCUAAAAUGAUAGAUUUGCCCGGAGGUAGUUUUGCAUGAAUUUAGGACCUCAAUUGGCCACGUUAUGUCCGUAGACUGUGUUCGGAUAAGAGAUUUAGGACCUCAACUGGCCUCUCAUCCAACGAAAAUAUACUCCAUUUUGACCAAUGCAACUGUGUUAGGAUAGGAGAUUAUUUGGAAUAGUUUUUUUUUUCAAAAAAACAUAGUGUAGUAACUUUUCAAUGAAAAUAGAUUCCAUAUUGGCCGAUGCGACUAUGUUUAGAUAGGAGAUUAUUUGGGAUAAUUUUUUAAAAAAAUAGUGCAGCACUUUUCUGAUGUGAUGCCUGUGAGAUAAAAAUAUAAUUAAAAAUAUAUUUAUGAUGCAAACAGAUAAAUUUGUGUAAAUAAUUUGCUAUCCAAACUAAUUCGUUGUGAGGGCCCGAGUUACAUAUGUAUCCAUAUCAACAUUAAUCAAGCAAUCAAUACAUAAAAACUGAACCAUCAAGUUGUAUUACAUUAAACACGUAAGAAGACGACAUUAAAUUCUUGCUUGCAUGAUUUGCUAGAUUUCAAAUGAUUCUUUCAUAUUGUUGAUUAUGUACCACAUGUAUAUAGGUAUCGAUAAGGGUACCUCCUGAGAGGACCACAGUGAUAGAACCUUUUUCUUUGUUAAAUGUAUCAACUUUUGCGAAUUUGUGUUGAUGGUUUUAAUCCUGCAUGUAAAUUUCUAUACAAAAAGUAGUAUAUGUCGUUCGUGAAUUUGUACUUUCAGUUUGAGUGUUCAGCAUAUGGGUGCACCAAACUCAAUAAAAUGGUUGUCAAGUAUGUUAAAAUUCCAUUAAAUAUUUGGAAGAGUUUGUUUGGAGAGUUUUAUGUGAGUAGUUUAUCUGCUGGAUUUUAACUUAGAUUGAUAUUGAUAUUCUACGCUUUCUAAUGAGAUUGAAAAUCAUUUAAAGUUUGUAUUUUUUUUUAUGUUUUAUUGAAGGAGAAUAUUAUUUUGAUACGACACUUUAAAUCCUUAAUAUCUCUAUAAUUUCUAGUAAUCACGAGAAAACACUUAGCGACAAAAUAUCACAAAAAGGAAUACAAACAACAUGCAACGUACGCUCUCUUAUACUAGUUACUUAAAAUAUAGGACAAAAAAACAUGAUUUUAGUCUAGUGCUCUAAAUUUGGAUUCAAAAUGUUUACGGACGUGUUCAGAAAUCACCAUUGCCUGGAAUACAGCAUGUACAUGAUCUCGUUGAUAAUCAAAUUCAGUGAAGAAGUAAUUGAUGAGGGGAAAAAUUCACUUUUCAUCCCUAAAUUUUGAGUUAGGGACACAUUUCAUUCCCAAACUUUUAGAUGCACCAUAUUUAAUAUAUGAAUUAAUUAUAUUUUGCCACAUUUAGUCCAAAAAUAGUAAAUUGUUUAAUUUGGAUGGAGAAAGUCACAUGUUUGGCAUGCGGUUGUUAAGUAAAAAUAAUUUCUCAAUCAAAAUUAACAGUCACGCCAAUCUUCUCCAUCCAAAUUGAAUAUUUUAUCAUUUUGGUCUAAAUGUGGUCCAAAAUAAUUAAUUCAUGUACUAAAUGUGAUGCGUCUAAAAGUUUGGGGACGAGAUGUAUGUCUAACUCAAAAUUUAAGGACGAAAAGUGGAUUUUUCCUUAAUUGAUAUUCUUAAAAUGAGCUAUUAGAUUCUUUUGUUAAAGAAUAAGAGACUCAACAAACAUCUUAGUUAAGAGACUCGACAAACAUCUUAGUUAUGCACAUUUUCUUUUCGCUAGAUUCCUUUCUUUUCUCCUUCGAAUGGUGACUCAAAUUGACAUUAACAUCACCGUACACCCCAAACACGCAACGGAUCUUCUGUCCCACAUCCUGUGCCACUCUCUAUCCCACUUUUUAUUAUAUUGCUAUUUCUCCUAUAUAAACAUCAUAUUUUAGUUCUUUUUUGUUUUCUUAAGAUCCAGUAACUAUUAAUUGAGUAAAAUAUAAAUACAGUAGCUUCAAAAAAGCAAUAUAUAAUAGAAAAUUAAAAAUUACAGCAUAAAAUUCAUAAAAAAUCUCAUUUUUUAUGCAUUUUGGUUUUUUGAGUUUGUUAAAUAUUGUGUAUUACUCAAUUAAUAGUUAUUGGAUCUUAAGGAAACAAAAAAAAAUUAAAACAUGAUGUUUAUGAAGAAGAAAUAGCAAUAUAAUAAAAAGUGGGACAGAGAGUGGCACAGGAUGUGGGACAGAAGAUCCGUUGUGCCCCAAAUAUGACUAUUCAUACCUGUUUCCAAAGAAUUUGGGACCGGGCCACCCUUAAUUAUUGUGCUUCCACAGAAUUUUGGGACCAGUCCAUCCUAAUUAAAUUAUUGUGCUUCCUGGUCCAUCCUAAACUAAUGUGCAUCCACAUAAUAUUGGGACUUGUCCUUUGUAAAUUAUUGGAAGCCAGUCCUUCCUAUGCGUUCCACGUUUUAGUACAAAUGUCCAUGCAAAAUUAGUUACGUUUUGAUUUCCUCUACAAUUAUUCGUUUACCGUAAUUCCUCUACAAUUCCACCGCUAUAUUUGAUAUACAGAACUAGAAGACAUACAACUUGGUAAAAUGAAGUUGAAUGGUGGUGCUGGCUCAAAUCGUUUUGCUCAUAAAAUUAACUAUAACACUCCAUUCUAUCUGGCAAGUAAGGAAUAAACAGAUUUUCCAGCAAAUUCAAACUUCUUGUAUGUGGCAGUUGUUGAAAUGGUUGUCACUAGAAGUGGCAAAAUGGAUUCAUAUCCACCAAUCCAUCCAUAUAAACCAACCUUAAAUGGAUUUGGAUGAUCCAUAUAAAUUUAAUGGUUUUAAAUGGAUAACCAUUUAAAUCCAAUUAUAUUGGUGGAUUUAAAUGGAUUAUCCAUCUUAUCCAUAUACAUCCAUUUAACUUAAAAAAUAGAAAACACAUUUAUAAAAAUGCGAGAUAAAAUCUUGUGGGACCAUCUAUUCUUUUCUUCAUAACUUUCUCAUAUGUCAAAUUAAUUUUGUGGGAUCACCUAUUCUUUCCUUCAUAACUUCCUCACAUGCCAAGUUGCCAAUAACAUUAAUUGCAUUUUAUUUGCUUCUAGUUCCUAGACUUCUUCCAUCCUUUUCAAAAUUAUAUUUUAGUCUCUACUCUUGUUUUUUUUAAUUAAACUCUCAUGUAGUAAUGAUUGCAAACAUUUAUAUUCUUAAGUAAAGAAAAAGCGAGAAUGCAUCAUGCAGUGUCAAAAUAAUUUUUAUUUUUUUAAUUCUUUUAUUUAUAAAAAGAAUUUUUCUAACGAGUGUCCCCGCAACAUUGGUUAAGAUAUGUAAAUGACACCUUUUUUUUUUUUCCAAAUCCUCAUACUUGCAAUCCCUCUCCCUUUAUCACCUAACCCAACUAUCCAAAAAAAAAGACACCUAAUUUACUAAGUAAUAUAAGGUAGCUUGUAUAUCAAUGGUAUAAUAAGGAGUUUCAUACAUUUUUAGAUACUACGUGCACAUGUGAUGAAAAUAUUUUACUUGUCAAAUAACAUAAGAUUUCUUAUUAGAACUCCACUUUUAUUCAAGACAUCACUCUUGAACAGAAGUGCAAAAAAUUGGAAACGUAAACUUCUUUUCACUGUAAAGCCGUAUUCAAUUCAUUCAAUAGUUAUAAAAAUGUAGCCAAGUUCUUAAUUGUUCAUUACUUUACAAAAUGAUACUUAAAGUAAUGACGAAAGGUUAAAUUGACCACAACAGUUAAAUUUUCUUGGAACUAAACUAAUUUUAUGAAGUACUGAAAUAGAGUAGUAGUACAAGCAUUUGUUAUUACCAAAAGGUUUUAGGUGAUUUAAGGAUAGAAUUUUGGGGAUCUGUAUUUUUUGAAAAAAAGCAUUUGGAUCUUAAAUUUAGGAUUUGAGAGAGUAAAUGGAUAAAUGGAUGGAUCAUGAUUUACACUAUCCAUUUAAAUGACAUCCAUUUAGAUCCAUUUAUUAAAUGAUUUUAAUUGGAUUGGAUCAAUUUGAUCCACUAUCCAUUUAACUAAAACCAUUUAUCAACCAUAUAUCCAUUUUGUCACUUCUAUAGUUGUCACCACCAUUUCAGAUCCGCGAUCUUGCCUUCUGGCAUGGGCUUCCUUCGAGCUAAAGAAAAUUGGGAAGCUUGCAUCGAAUCCAGAUUUGAUCAGCGUUGCUUUGUUAAUUGUUCGGUAGUGAAUGCUUCAAUUUUGAUUCCGAUUGUUAGUGCUAGAAGGACUGCAGUAAAAUUUUGUCAAGAGUUCACAAGGAGAGAAUCCUGGAUUUCUUUCAAUGGGAAAUGAAGCUAAAUGACGAUUUGCCCAAAAGAUGCUUUUGAAUAAAUUUGGCCUUCAAUUGGGCCACGCUAUGCCCCGUACUACCAUGUCACAUUAAUCUAUUGGGAAGGACAAAAAAUGACAUUACAGCUGUUGGCGUUCAGCACCACAAUAUUCAUCAUUAUUUGGCCCCGCCCUAUUAUGUAAUGGAUGUCUUUCCUUCCCUCAUUUCAAUUUAAGCGUCUGCUUUGGCAAUGGCGUUUUUACCCAAAUUUGCCGUCCUACAGGCUUUUUUAUUAUAUUUUUAACUUACGUUAAUAUAAUUUUAAAAAAUUUCAAAAUUUUUUAUUCUAUACAUUUUUUAAAAAUAAUCCAAAAUACACGAAUAAAAAUCCCGUUCUCCCGCUCUAUCUUCGCAUCUCAACCCACCACCACGUGUAGUAGACUUGGCCCUGUGGUGCCACGCAAAAACAGAUGCAGGCUUUCUUUUUCUCUCCCCUAUUUUCCCUCUGCCCUGCUCCCCCCUCCUCCCUCCUCUUUUCCCUUUCCCCCCUCCCCCUAGUCCGAUGGGGAUGGCCUUCUCCCCUUCUCUCAGGAGGAGGGGAAGGGAAGGGGAGGGGGGAUGGGGGGAGAGGGAGGCCAGAGGCAGCCGCAGAGAAAAAGCAAAAAAAAUUCUCAUUUUUGUUGUUACAACUUCGAACAGAGGGAGGGAGAGGGGGCGAGGGAGGGGGAGAAGAGAGGGAGAGAAAAAGCAAAAAAAAAAAAUCCCGUUUCUAGUGCUGCAACUUCCGACGAAAGGAGGGAGAGGUGGCGGGAAAGUGAGAGAGGGAGAGGGAAGGGAAGGAGAGGAGGAGAGGGAGAGGGAGAGAGAAAAGGCAAAAAAUAAAAAUUUUUUGCAUCUGUCUCUUCCGGCUGGGAGGGGUGGCGGCCUAGCAAGGGUGGGAGAAGGGAGAAGAAGAAGAGAGGAAAGAAAAGAAAAAAGAAAGGAAGAAAGAAAAAGAGAAAAAGAAAAGAAAUAAAAAGUUUUUUAUUUUAAAAUUUUUUCUACAAUUUCUACGGUAAGUUAUAAUAAAAUUUAGGCAAACAUUUCAAAAGAUUCAUUUGCCAAACGGAUAUUUGAAUUAUUAUUUUACUUUAAGACUCUAGAGCAGAAAUUUUACAAUAUUUGAAUUCUUAUUGUUAUUGGUCCAAAGCAGCAAUGUUAGAAUGCGACAUUCAGCGCUAAUUUGCCAUGUUUCAUCAAUGCUCGAUCACUGAUAAAUCCGGUGAAAAUUAACUCUCGAAUCAGGCUUACAAUUCCCAUGUUUAAACUAUAAAAUUGAACCUUGACAAUUUGUCCAUCACCAUAAACUAGUAAAACGAAAAUACCCCAAAGCCUGAGAACUAGUGGCAUUUUUUUGUAAGGAAUCAUAGAGACAUGCAUAGCGAAUAAUUUAAAAAAUCAAUAAAAGUUUAUCAUGUAAUUAAUAUCUUUUUUGUCACACUUAUCUUAUAUUAAUUUUGAAAUAAGUUGUACUUAUUCUAUUAUUUGAUUGAUGUUCAUUUCUUAUACCAAAAGAUGACCCCAACGAAUAAAUACCUAGAAACACUUUUUAAAACUCUUCCACUUAACGCUAAGAAUUUCGAGCUAUACUUCUUCAAAUUGCCAGACAUGAUAUAACUCCUUUUUCAUCAGAGGUGUUAAAUCCUUAUAAGUUAUUCACCAUCUUUACAUGCUUUAAGUAUAUACUUAUAAGCUAAUGAUGUAAACAUUCUCUAUUACGAGAGCAAUCAUAUAUCAAAACAAAAUAUAACCUUCCAUACUCAAGAUACCAUAAUAAUCUUAAAUCUAAGAAUUGAUUACACAAAUGUCAUUUAGAGAUUAAUUCUUUGGCACUUAAAGAAUAUCCAUAUACGGAUCAAUCUAGUAAAUUUGAUUAUCCUAUCAAACACUCAUAUACUAGUUUAGGUAUCUCAAACACUAUAGUAGAUGAGAUCUAAUACUUAUUAAAUAGAAGCAAUAUAGUAUGUGUUAGUUUAACCAUAUUAACAGUGUCUUGCCUUGUUAAUACUUUGACUAGAGAUAUUUAAGAAUAAACAUUAUUUAUAAUCGAAUGAAUCUCAUCAUCAUAACUCACAUGAUUUCAUCGAUUAGGUUUACUCUGAGGACUUUAUCAUACUUAUGUAAAUAUAAGCAAUCAAUAUUAUAAAGAUGUCACUUAUUAUAACAUAAAUAGUUCAAGUGAAUAUUAAACCCUAGAAGCUGAUUGACUUUAAAGCAUAUACACUUUCAACUCCCACUUACAGUAAAGCCGAUCACUCAUAAGUCAAAGAUCAAAUGAGUCUACAUGACUAUCAUAUUUCCUUUUAAAAUAAGUUUUAGUAAAUGGAUCAACUAUGGUGCUAUCCGCAGGUACUCUUUCUAUUUUCACAUUUAUUCCUACCAAUGAUUUUCACCAAAUCAUGUGGUAGCAUCUUAACAAGUCUAUGGGUAUGUAAUGAGACCUUGGUUCCUUCACUAGAGCAAAUUUUCUUUAUAGUCUUAAUACUGGAUAAAGGAUUUAAAAUGAAAAGAACCAAUCCCAGUUCUAUUUGAACUUAUAGAUCCAAAUGUUUCCCUUUGCCACUUCUCAAGUAAUAACUUGUUACGAUUUAAUUGUAAAAAUUUUAGUUAUGUUUCACUUGAAACUAUUUCAACACACAAUAAUAUUAUAAAUAAAUGUAUAAUUAUUUGCAAAUCAUCUUUAUAAAAUUGUUUACAAGUAUAUUCUCAAACUUCCAAUUUAAAAUUUUCAUGAACCAAAGGAGAUAAUAAGUCUAGUAUAUCGAAAUGAUUAAUUCUAUACAAUAUAGACAAAACUUCUUAUUGGAUCAGUUCAUCUUAAAUGAAAUUAGCAUCUCACCUAUGUACAAGGGAAAAUUUGCUAUUAGCUAUCGGAAGAUUUGAUAUUCGAGAAUGGAGCUAGCUUUGUCCAAAGUUGUUAGUAGAGAAAUCUGGAUUCUUUUAAUGGGAAUGAAGCUAAAAUGACCGAUUUGCGCAUAGAAAGUUUUGCAUGAAUUUAGGACCUCAAUUGGCCACGUUGCAUGGUCCAAUUAUGCGCGUAGACAGUUUUGCAUGAGUCUUGGACCACGUGGUAAUAUUGUGGGUCCCAUUACCAUGUCACAAUAUCAAUCGGGUCCCACCCUUGUCAUGGAAGGCAAAAAAUGAAAUUGUUGUUAUGGAUCACAUCAUUAUUUGGGUCCCACUCUUGUCGUGAGGAGCUCUUGUUUUCCAACGUGGACGAGCAAUCUCUUUCUUCCCUCCUUGAUUUUUGUUACAGUUUUUUUGGUUCAAGUCACAGGAAUUUGCAUUUGUGACUAAUUUUAUUCAAGCCAAAUCGAGCCUUACAAAAGGAAACUCUCUCAAAAUUAUCCCUUUUAUUCUCAUAAAUUUCGAAUUCGAAACCUCAUAAUUAAAAGAAUGUAAGCUCCUUCCACUUACACUAACAUCCAUCCACAACCAAUCCGUUUGUUACAUUAUGUAUGGGUAUAUGAGUGACUUGUGGGACAACUAUAUUGUAUGGUAGGAGUGAUCUUUAUCACAAAAUAUCAUCGACUAACGAAACCACUAUUGUCAAGCUCACUUUCUUUCGGAUAGUUUUUAGACAAAAAAUAAAUGGGACAGAAUAAACAAGCAAUCGGCAGAUAUAAAGUUGCAUGUUUAGAUUUUGCAUAGGCAUGGUCAUUGCUGGAGACAUAUUGGAUAGUACGUAAUUAUUAAUGUGAAUACCCGUGUUAUGCAAGGCACUGACAUUAUUAAAAAAAAAUUAAAAGAGAAGGUGAAUUAAAAAAAAGUAAAAAAAUUGUACCAAUAUAAUUAAAAUUAAGAUUUGUCUAGCAAUAAUUCAAAGUAUGCUAAAAUGUGUAUAUCAUUUAAGAACUACAUUUUUGUGAAAGAUGGAUCUUGAAAUAAUAAUAGAAAUUUAUAUUAGAAAAUGAAUGAUAUAUGGAUAGAAAUGAAUAUAAUCGCAUGUUUUAUUUGAUUUCAAAAUGAAAUAGUUACAAACAUUAUGCAUUCAAUUUGAUAAUCUUGUAUGAAAGCAAUAUUGGUAGUUUAAUUAACUCCAUUGAAUUUUGUGAAAUUCGUACUACAAAAAAAAGUUUAGCGAAACUUGUCUUUCUUAGAAAUGAACUUGUUGAAAUCAAUCUUACAAGUUUGUGAUCAGUUGUUAAUUCCAAGCUUGGUGUAGACUUCCGUUUUUUGAUUAGUUGUUUGCUCCUUUGCAAUUUUACAACUUUAGAAUUGAGACGCAAUUGAAAUCAAUGAUGGAGUCAAGAGGGGUUGAUGGGAGGUCAUGGCCCCCUUAAGUUUUAAAAAUUUUAAUUCAUAGUGCAUAAAUAUAUGUGUGAAAUAAAUUUAAUUCAAUGACAUAUUAUUGUGAAGAACGUUUUGAACAAUUUUUUCAAAUAUUAAACUAUGGAGAAUUCAGAAGAACUAUACUAUCUCCGAAAAAAUUCAGAGAAACUAUGGAGAGGAAAUGCAGACAACACAUUUCAUAACUCCCAGAAAUUUAUCGCAAUUCCUAGGAGGCUAGGACUGAACGCCACUUUUUCGAACAUGCAGUGCAUGUCUUGUCCUAGUAAGUUAUAUUUUUUAUUAACAAAAUUUAUUUUAGCAUGGGUCCCAACUUUCAAGCAACCUGUAUGAAUUCUUUCUUCCAUGGUGGCUUCUCCCAUCACGCCUCUACUAAAACCAUGCUCAAUUUAGUAAUUUCUUACAUAUCAUCUUAUAAUUGGUAACUCUUAACUUUACCACAAAAAUAUCAGAAACGGUUUCACCAUUUUGUAGAAUUCACCGUAACUUGUCUUUAUUAUUGUAUAUAUUUUCAUUACGUCUAGCUAAUCUUUUGCUUGGAGACUGAUGAACCACUUGAGUUAUGAUUGUGGUUGAUGAUGGUUGAUCUCAUUGAUGCAUUGUGCUUGACUUAUUUAUUUAUUUGGCUUUAACACUUAGGGUUGCUUGAUCACAAACCUUAGGUCACACUAGUUGAUGUAUAGGCAAAAAAUUUUGCUAUUCAUUGAUAGAAAGGAAAUAAAUGAAAUCGAAGAAGUAAAUACACCAAAGUAGCGAUACAUUUAAUUAGGUAUUUGCUUUGCAUUUUAUGAAAUAGAUGCACCAUUUACAUUGGAUCUCACCACGAAAGUAGGGGGACUUUAGGAUUGGUAAUGCCGGGGGCGAGUCUCAGUUACCAUUGGAAAUGACCCUGAGCGAGACGAGCCAUUAGUGAGACCCUGGUCAUUUGAUUCUCGAUUACGCUGAGGAUAUGAAUUCUAUACCCCCAGAGCCUUGGGUUAGUUGUUUCCACCUUUUCUUGGCCUGUUUUUACUGUUUUCAUGGUAUGGUUUAUUUUGCUUAUUUUAUGACUUUAUUUGAUAGUCUACACAAUCGAGCAAGUUUAAGUCCUUAAUAAUUGCGUCAUGAUGCUCCCAACAGGUUUGACCCUUUAUGCCCCUAUACUCACUUACUAUCCAUAUAGAGUGAAAUUGAACUUAAUUUUAUAUGCAUAUUUCACGCACGCCAAUUCUGAACUUGUUAACUAGGAGCUUUUCUUCUUUUUACUUGAAUAGAAUCAUAUCCUUCAUUUUCCUCUUAAUGCUUUCACUUUGAAUAUUCAAUAUAUGGAUCUACCAAACUCAAAAAAGUAGUUGUCAAGUCGCUAAAAUUUCAUUAAAUUUUUGGAGGUACUUGUAUAGGGAGUUUGAUGUGAGUAGUUUAUCUUCUUAAUUUUAAUUUGGUUUGAUAUUGAUAAUCUAUGAUUUUCAAUAAGAUUGAAAAUCAAUUAAAGUUUGUACAAAAGUUUUUUUAUUUGUUUCGUUGAAGAAAAAAAUUAGGCUUUGUUUUAAUAAUCCAAUUCAGCACUUAAACUUAAUGAAUUAGAUCUUCACAUGUUAACACGCGUUUGAUAACGAAAAAUUGAAUAUCUAAAUUAAUUAAAUAGCACUAAAUUUUCUAGGAAAAACUUGCUCCUAAAAAUAAAUGAUAAGUUAUUCAUUUAUUACUUAAAUGUGAUAUAUACUCAAAUGUAUCAGAUUUAAUACUUAACAAUUCAACAUUUUAAUAGAUUUAGAUUUUAGAUUUCAGACUUUAAAUUUCAAUUUUCAAAUUUCAAUUAUAUCAAACGCACUCUUAGUCGUAGUACAACACUUUACAUACUUAAUAUCUCUUUUAUUUUUAGUAAUCAUGAGAAAUAAACUUUGUGACUAAGUAUCACAAAAAGUAAUAGGUGUAAUGUGUGACGCACAUUCUCCUACACUAAUUACUGUAAGUACAACACAAAAAGAGCGUAUUUUUAGACAAUAAUACGUACAAUGUGCAACACACAUUAUCUUUUUUUUUUUUUUGUUUAACAAAGUACAUUUUUGGAAUUAAUUUAGUAAGAACUUAUGCAUGAAUUCCUGCUAUACGCUUGUCAUAUUGAAUAAAGCUAUUUUUUUUCCUCAUAAUCUUCUAAUGUUAAAUAGAGUCAAAAUCAAGUAAAAUCUCCUUAUAUCCAAAAAUGUUUUUUGAUUUUCAUUUAAAAAACAUAACCAAUACGAAAGGAUAUUGCUUUUUGCCUCGGAGAAUUGGUCAAAGUGGUAAGGUGGAAGUGAGAAAAUGUGACCUGCAUCAGUUGGGGUUUAUUUGUGAGUAAUUAGUGCACAUGUCAAGAGAUUAGAAUGUUGAUAUCAUGGAGAUAUAUAUGAACAUUAUCGAUGACGGCUAUACUCCAUAAUGCUACUCUGGAUAAUACUGAACAAAUGAUGCACGAGAAGUUGGUGGAUCAAGUAAAAUGAAAAAAAUAGUUAAGUUAUUGAAACUUUUAUCCAAAAUGGUUUCUCAAGUUGAGUUUUAUCCAAUUUAGCUUGCACUACAAAAAAAAAGAUUUCUAGUGACAACAAUUUUUGUCGAGAAAAGGUACGCGUUUCGUCAGGAAAAGUUUUCGUGACACCAACAUCGUCAGAGAAGAUUGGUCACCUAUACACCGUCGGCAAAUGGUUUUCCUGACAACUAUUGAAAUUUUCGUCAAGAAAAGUUUUAUUUUUUGUGACGCAUCAUCAGGAAAGGUAAUAGUGAUGAUUUGGUCAUCAGGAAAAGACCUCAUAUUGUUGACGAGCCUUUGUCAAGAAAGACCCUGAACUUUGUUACUAAAUUUUCAAUUGUCAAGAAUAGUCACACAUUGAAACUUGUCAGGAAACUUUAACGACAAUACAAUGUCAUUUUUCCUGACGACAGCUGCAUCACUUUUAAGCCCAACAAUUUUAGUGCCAACAAAGUGACCAUAUCAUCUAUUUAGACACUCCAUCCAAUCAAAAUAUAAAAGUAUGCAAGCAAAAUAUCAACCAAAACUUCACAAAUUAUCAUUAGUAGGCAACCAUAAUAUGUCAAACCACAAAAGUUAACCAUGUCAAACAUUUACAUAUCAUCCCAUUCCACGAUUUGAAACCAAUAUAAAUAUUGCUAUUUCUCCCUAGAUAACUGCCAUAUACCUAACAUAUGCUAAAACCAAAAGAUGGACUUCAAUUCCAUGGUCAACAAAAACUAGAGAUGGAUGAUAUCAAAAUAGAGGAGUUCUUCAGCAUGAGCCAAAAUCAAUCCACAAGUUCAUCCCAAACCUGUACAAUAAAACCAAGAAAAAUUUGAAAUCAGAGAAAUAAUAGAAUGGCAUGCACAACAUGUAUUUUUGUUAUUAGGUGGUAUUGAGGCUCCAAAGUUGAGUUUGAAAAUUAUGGUUCAGAUUGCAAGUUGGUAUUAGUUGGGUAGGUUUGCAAGUGAGAGUGCAGGUCUGCUCUGCUAAAUAUGAAGAAAUACAAAAUUAGAUAUUUUAAGAUAAUCAUCAUAUGUAACCGACUAUAAAGAGUUUGAAAACAGCAGUGUUGAUAUAAUAAAUAUGUUGCGCCAUGUUAUGGACCAUGUGCCUAUAUCUAGUUUGUAGAAUAGAUUAUGAAAAAUCAUUCGAUGGCACAUCUAAUGCAUAAUCAACAACAAAUUUUGAAGAUAAUGCCACAUCAAUAGCAUUUGAAUUUCUUUAUUCUCAAAUUCUCGUGUCUAAUCUUUAUAGCCAAAAGACAGAUGGGUGUUGAAGGCAAUUCAAAGGUACAGAAAGUUGAGACGUGGACAUAAACUUGGGAGAAUCAACAUAAAGCAACUUUGCAUACUAAUCUUGAGGAGAAAGAGUACAAACACUUCCAAGUAAAUUCAUAAAAAUAAUAUGUUAGCAAAGGAAUGCACAUAAGAAUAGAUUUAGAGGCAAUUAAAGACUAGGAAAAGUAAACUGUAAUCUUAAAAUCCGAAUAUGUGGAUAAUCUCUUAAUACUUUUAGGAAAUUGAGGAUAGUAAUAACGGGACAACAGCCUCUAGUCUAACCCUACUGACAUUUAAUAAGAUUUUAUUGUUGCAAACAGGGGGAAAAUAUACUGGGAGAACAAUCAUAGGAUGGCCACAGUAAAAGAGCAAACAUUUGUGGUAAGACAAAUAUUUAGGAGGUCAACCACUCACCAUUUAUUGCCCAAGGCUUAUAAAUAAUUGAGGAUAGGGGGCAAGCAAACGAUUUUGGAGAUAAGAAUGAAGCAGAGUGGCACAAAAAUUUAGAGCCUUCAGUGUUCCAAUGGCUCCGACGAACAAGCCUAAAGGAACUUUUGAUGAACAUAAAGAAUACAGAGGCAAGAAUAUGAAAUUGACACACAUGCAAAUCAACUAUGUCCCCCAUUCCUCUUCCCAUUUCUUUAAGAAUCAAAAUUUUCAGUACACAUUUUACUUAUUACGAAUAACACAAUUAGAUAAUUUCUGAGGAGGUUAAAGUUCAAUUAGAAUUUUGUUUCAUAGUUAUCUUAAAAGUUGUAUUAAACUUAGCAUGCCCAGUGUCAACUUAAGUAAAAAAAAAAAAAAUUUAAGCAACAGACAACAUGGAUACAAGAUGUCAUUCAAUUACAAUCAAUUCAUGAACAGCAGCCCUUACUUUGGAGGAUUAAAAGAUUCUCCAACUUGCCGCCACAGCUUGCAAGCAGUCACCUGCAAUCCCAAAAAAAGAGACACCAUUGAUAAUGUAGUCAUCUUACCAAUGGGAACUAACUUAAGCUGAAAAUGCAGCUAAACUUUCAGGUAACAAAACCAUAUGAUACAUUUAUUUAACUCCUCAAGAGUGAAGAAACUCUGAACUAAAGAAAUGUCAAGAAAUAUGGUCUAUAGUAUCAAAGCUUUAAAUCUCAAGCAAUAAUGGAUUUUUUGUUUGAAACGGGUACGAGUCGGAAAACAAGCACAGCAAAACAUACUUUUCAUACAUGUUAUACAUGCAUAAUCAUGUAAUAUGUAUCACAAAACCAUUCCAACUAUCCCUCCUAAAACAUGUAGAAAGAAUAUUAUACUUGGCAUUCAAAGUUGUUUUAGGGGUGAUCAUAUCACAAGUUCAAUGUUCUAACCACCCCUGGCACUCAAAUAGGCAAUGGCAAUAGUUUCAAGCAAAAUGAUAAUGGGUUUUGGUUGAAACCUGCUCAAUGAUAAUUUCUAAGUUUCUUUCCAUGAUUCAAGGUCAGUAAUUCCUUUCUCCUGCAAAAUGAAUUAAAGUUAGAAAGUUAAAUGAGUGCAGAAAUUCCUCUCCAACUAUCAGUCUGUAGCCGUGCUUACCAUGGUUCCCUUCCAUUCCAAGAGAUAUUUUAUCUCCAAUUUACUGCUCUCCAGAAGCAGUGAAAUUUGCUGCAAGGGCAUGACUCAUAACUUCAUAUACAGGAAUAAAGGACCAGAAACAAAUCUAGAGGAAAUAAAAAGAGGAAACCAAAACCAGUUACAUGUCAAACAAUAUCAGUAUAUUAGCCAUAGAUAUACGCAUGGGAAUCAGGAGAAAACUUAAAUUCCAGGAAAGCAAGCAAAACAGAUAUUACAAAGUACUUAUUCUUACUCGAACUAGAAAACUAGUACAAAGAUCACCAUUGUGCAAGUUGAUUGAGACUUACUUAAAUCACAAAUAAUAUAGCAGUAUCCUCUUGCACUAAGUUCUAGCACUGAAGCAUCAUCCUCUCUAGUCUAAUUACUGAGCACAUAGCAUAGCCUUUUAAAAUGGUAUAUAAUUGUGAAUCAAAUUCUCCCAACUCCUGAAGACACACCCACUACCAUCUGCAAAUGCCAACUUAUAGCUCUAGUUCAUAAUUUGGCAUGUGAUUGGCAAUUUGGCCGCAUGUUUACCAUUCAAAAUUGCACCUUUCCUCAUUUAGUCGGAAACUUAUCUCAAAGCCAUAUCUACAUGUGAAAGAAGAUCUAGAACAUAUACCAUAGAAAACGAGAAAACAAGUAAUUGCUAUGCUUAUUACAAGCAUUUCACCAAGACAACACCAAAAAGAUACAUAAAUCACUGCCAAUUACAUGAAUCAAUUUUUUUAGCAACAGCUGCAAAUACAGAAUAUGAGCACAAAAGCAAAACAAAAGGUCCAUUGUUAAUUUACAACAAAACUAAAACGUCAAUUUUCCUUUUCUAAAACACUGACAAAAACUAACACGGUAGAACAAACUAAAAUCAAGAAACCAGAAAUCCGACAAGAAUGGGCAUAAAAAGCAUGAUCAAGCAGAGCCGAAGUUCAAAAAUCCGAAACUACGAGCGAACAUGAAAAAUAAUGAAACACAAAGUUCAAUCGAAGCUUCCCAAAUUGCUUUUGCGAACGAACAUGAAAAAGAAUCCUUUUCACCAAAAAUCAACAUUAAGAUCAACAAAAGCAUCACACCCACAAAUGAAAUCCUAAAAGCACACAACAGUCCAAAAGAAAUUCGAACAAAGCAAAUAAUGCGCCUACGCAUUGAACUUCCCUACUAGCAGCCUUGAAACCCCUAAAAUCGUUACUAGAAUCAGCCAUAUCAUUAGCAUCCCCAAUUGAACUCAAUCGUAUAGUGAAGCAUCCCCAAUUAGCAUCCCCAAAUCAUUACCAGAACCAGAAUCACCAAAUUUUAUACUGAUUAUAUCCCCGGGCACAAGAACUGAAGCAUCUUCCUAGGUUUCGACGAACAGAGAAAGGGAGAGAUAAAUAAAAUACCCACUAUAAAAAUUAAAAAAAGGAACCAAUUAAAGACAAAAUUGAAAGGGGAUUUGGAGAAAGGGAACCGAUUCAAGACAAAAUUGAAGGAUUAUUUGAUGUUUACAUCACCUUAGACCAUCGUGUUGUCUCUCUUAUUGAAAUAGAUGAAGAUGAGUUACAGAUUUGGAGAAGUGCUUCUUUGUCGUUGUUGUUCCAAAAGAAAGAGAGAUGGAACAAGUGUUUUCUGUUUCCCGGUUUCUAUGUCAUAAGUUGAUGUCCUUCUAAAUUCUUUUUUGGUCCAAAAAAGGGAAAAAAACUGGUGGGAAAAACUGGUGGGAGAAUGAAAACUUUUCCUGACGAAUUGACGUGAGCAAAAGUAGAAAAAUAUGUUUAAAGUAGUUGUGCCUUUUGAAGGAUAUUUGCCUGAUGAAGCGUCAUAAAAGGUAUGGUUUUCCUGACAAAUAAGUUGGUUGUCAUGAAAAUUUUGUCACGAAAGAAAUAAUUUUUUGUAGUGUUGGUUGAUAAAAUAUUUAUAAUAUUCAUACAAUUUUAGUAUAAUUGUAAAAUUUUGCUUUAGCUUAAUUGUAUGAGUUGGCAAAUUUCAAUUAUCCUAAAAUUAUGUUAGUUUAUAACACAUAUUGUAAGAAUUAGAUCAAAUUGGAGAACCUGUAGAUCCACUUUUAGCACUCUUCUUUACCUCUUUUUCUCUUUCCCUCGUACUUUUGGGAGAAUUAGGUACGUAAUUAAUCAAUCCAGAUGAUGUAACAUGAAUUUGGUUAUGUAUGGCACGUUGCUUCUUGUAAGAAAAGUAUUCAUUUAUAUACUUUCAUUUUAUUCAACAUGAUUCACUAUCUCAUGAAUCACUGAUAUACUACAUAGUUACAUUCCACUCUAGUGGGAACUGAAACACAAACUAAAAGGGGCAUAUAUUUUACCCAUUAUUUAGUACUCGUUUAGCCUGAUAUUGGCUGUCUAGAGCACAAGCACUAAUCAUGGAAUUAAUAUUUAGCCCAAGGCCACUCACAAUAUAGUGAACUUCCAUUAAAGUAAAGAGUGCAGCCGUUGUCCAUGCAACAAUUGCCGCAGCCUGUGUAGGUCUUCGUUCCAUUACAGAUCUUGUACUCAAUCAGUAUGCAAAUCGGUGGGCAAGGCCUGAUAGGCCCGAGCCUGACAGCCAUGACUUCCACAUUUGCUCCCAGAAGAAUCAUUCCUGUUUUCAGUACCAAAAUCAUUUUAUAUCGUGUGCAAACCAAAUCCCGUAUAGGGUUUUGAAAAAUGCUUGAAACUUAUAUAUAUAUAUAUAUAUAUAUAUAUAUAUAUAUAUAUAUAUAUAUAUAUAUAUAUAUAUGUAUGUAUGGGAUGAAUAGUUCUCUUUUUAAUUUUUAAAAUUGCCCCAACAGGUUUAACUCGUACAAAAAGGAUAAAAUUGUACAUACCACAAAACAGAAUAGCCAUUGCACCAAUCUUGCUGAUUGCCAUGAUUCUUUAACUAAACAAUGAGAGACUCCAUAACUAAACAAUGAGAGACUCCACAUAUAUAUUAAUGUGUUUGAAUUUGUCAACGGGGUGCUUUUCUUUUUUCGCUUGAAUAGAAUCUUAUCCUUCAUUUUCCUCUUUAUACUUUUACUUUGAAUAUUCAGGAUAUGGAUGUACCAAACUCAAGAAUAUAGUUGUGAAGCCUGCUGAAAUUUCAUUAAAUUUUUGGAGGAGUUUGUUUGGAGAGUUUGAUGUGAGUAGUUUAACUUCUUAAUUUUAAUUUAUUUGAUAUUAAAAUUCUAUGACUUUCAAUAAGAUUGAGAAUCAAUUAAAGCUUGUAAAAUUUUUUUUAUAUGUUUCAUUGAAGGAGAAAAUUAGUCUUAGUAUAACACUUUAAUGCUUAAUAUCUCUUUUUUUUUUCUAGUAUUCAUGAGAAAAAAAACUGUAACUAAGUAUCACAAAAAGUAAUAUGCAUAAUGUUCAAUGUACAUUCUCUUAUGCUAGCUGCUCUAAGUAGUGGACGAAAGGAGCAUACUUUUAAAAAGUAGUACGUACAAUGCGCAACACACAUUAUCUUGGUUUUUUUUAACUAAGUACAUUUUUGGAAUUAAUUUGGUAAGAACUUAUGCAUGAAUUCGUCAUAUUGAAUAAUGCUAAUUUUCUUCCUCAUAUUCUUCUAAUGUUAAUUUAGAGUCAAAAUCAAGUAAAUCUUCCGUAGAGAUGAAAAUGUUUUUUGAUUUUUUAUUUUAAAAAGAUAUCCAGUGUGAAAGGAUACUUCUUUUUGUCUUGGAGAAUUGGUCAAAUUGGUAAGGUGGAAGUGAGAAAAUGUGAGCUGCAUCAGUUGGGGUUGAUUUUGAGUAAUUAGUGCCCAAGUCAAGAGAUUAGAAUGCGGAUCACAUGGUGGUAUAUAUGAACAUUAUCCAUGACGGCUAUACUCUAACGGCUCCAUAAUGUUUUUCUGGAUAAUAUUGAACAAAUGAUGUACAAGAAGUCGGUGGAUUAAGUAAAAUGAAAGAAUCGUCAAGUUCUUGAAACUAUUAUCCAAAAUGGGUUUCUUGAGUUGAGUUUUAUCCAAUUUAGCUUGGUUGAUAUAAUAUUAAUCGUGAAUAUAAUCUAACUUACUUGUAUGAGUUGACAAAUUACAAUUAUCAUGAAAUUAUGUUAAUUGGACAAAAUUCAAUCGGAGAAGCUGUAGACUCUUUCUCUCUCCCUCGUAUAUUUGGGAGAAUUAAGUACAAUUUUUUGAGAUGCAAUUAAUCAUUCCAGGUGGUGUAUCACGAAUUUGAUUAUGUAUAGUGUAACAGCCCCACUUUCCCCUAAGGCGAACCAAAGGGGUGAGCGGACUGCCUGCCCAGCUCUCGCCAGGACUACGGAUCAGAUUAGAGCUAUCCGCUUCAAUCCGGAACUUACAAACUCGCGUAAACAAAUCAAAAUAGUAAAACAACCCAAGAUAAAAUGAGAUGACAUCCGGAGCCUAAGGCGAACCAAAAUGGUAAACGAUCCGGAACUUACGAACGAGCGUAAACGAGUCAAAAUGGUAAAAUAACCCAAAAUUUAAAAAAAAGAAAUCCGAAGUCGGCCAUGAAUAAUAACCGACCCGUCAGAACCCAACCGAAAUAGCUAACAAACAUUUACAUCUGAUCUUUAGCGUUUACAAAUCAAAAUAACAUACAAAAGCUUUCAAAAGAUAUUACAUAUACACGGUUUGCCAAAUCAAAAGAGAAACGCCCAAAAGUACACUUAGUUUUUAAUACAUGAGCUAUAUAAAAAGAUAUGUUCAACUAGCUCAAUUUGGCAGCCAUUUGUCAAAUCCAGACCAAAAGGGGUUUAUUUUCCUGUAAGGAAAACAAAAGGAACGGAAAGGGGUGAGCUUGCGCUCAAUGAGGUACCAAACAGAUAGCAUUAAAAUCAUGGCAUUUCACAUUUAACAAAUCAGAUACACAUGUCAGAUGUAAAGCAAAGGAACCAAUGAUUCAAAUCAGAAGGAUACGGGUGGCUCUCAGGAGCCAAAUUUCCAGCGCAAUACUUGAUCCAAACCGGUUGACUCUCCGUCAACGUAUAUAGAACCAAUGCGUCCGUAGACCCCUCUUAUCACCGAAUUCCGUCCACCAAACACCCCUUUACCGGCCCGCUCACCUCAAACGAACAAAAUGGUAAUACUCGAGUAUACCCGGAAUCAAGGGUCUCAAUACCCAAAAUCCCCGAACAGACUACCGUGGUUCGUUAUCUAAUCGUCCAGGCCCUUGCCGGCCCGACUCGAAUAACUUAGCCACAGGAUUGAGCUCAUAGGUCAUAGAAAUCCGAACAGAUGCAGACACAGAUAACAGAUUCAAAUUUUGCAUAGUAAAUUGACAUAUGAACAAACUAGAGAACGAGUGUGAUAAAGUACACCCUCGUCUCGAACAAAUAAACAGAUUGCAGAGCAGAAAUCAAGUUAAAUAGCAAUGGAGGGGAGUGGUACACUCACCGGCUCAACUUCAAAAGUUUUCACUUCAGAUUGGCCUUAAUCGCCAAGAAACCCUAAAAUAACCAAAAUAAACCAAUUGAAGGUUUCAUAUCCAAAAUCGAGUAAACGGAAUGCACAAGUGAGGCUCGACUACACGUCGUACGCCUUGCCCAAAAAUACUAAUGCAAGGGUGCAAAAACAUGAUUUUCUUGGAAACAAAAGAUAACAUGAAGACCUAGGGUCAACAACCCAAAAACCCUUCAUUUCUACCAAAAGGCAAAUCCAACUUAAAAGAACCAAACGGCCUAGAAAAUCGGGCAGCACUUCCCCUAAAUUUCUUACUUUUCCAGCCAUUAAGGCUUCAUUAUUUCCUCAAAUCAGUCCCAACAUUUCACACCAAAGGUCAUCUCAUUUCCCAAAAGCCGUACAGGGCUCAAAGUGGUACAAGUACAAAAGUUAGCUAGGAAACAACCAAAAUGAAAGCAAGCCCUAAGAGAGACUCGACGACGAGUCAUAAAACAAUGCUGAACACAACCCCAAUAGGGUCUCAUAUGCAUAAAUAAGCAUGUUAGCAAACCAGAAAUUAGAAAUAGCAUUAGUCUUGGCCCCAAAUAGAAAAACUGUUUUGCCCUUAUUUUGCGGUAAUGGCGUCAAAUUCACUACGAUUAUCGGAUGGGGGUGUAAGACCCACCGUUUCGAAGCCAAGAAACAGAGAUACAACAAUGUAGAAGGUCACUCAAUCCAGUUCCUAACACAACUAGGUCAAAUAUGCAAAAUACUAUACCAGAAUUCCCAAAACAGGUUUGCAAAUCACACAAAACUGUAAUUACUAUAACUCAGUCUAUACAAGUCCAAAUGCCGAAAUUCCAAAGGCAUAUGAUAGCUAAGACAUCCAGUAACAUUUCAUCAGAAGACACCAACUUCAAAAUCCAAACCAAAUCGAGUCAAAACAGACAAUUCCUAUCGCAGUUCAAAACAGACAAUUCAAAACAGACAUAGUAUAUGCAGUAGGAUCUAAUACAGAAGAACUGCUCUAAGUAUCUUUUUUGCAAACUAUGAAUGACUUGCCUUUUGUUAGACUGUGUAUUAGAUCGAACAGCACCAAAACUUCUGUCUAAACUGAUAUAUGGCUUGGCUUUUCUUGAUUAUGUCUGUAGCUAUCAGUUUACUUUUUGUUUCUUUAUCUAUCAAUAGAUUGGCUUUAGUUGAACUGUGUAUAGGAAGAUUAACACUGAAAUUGUGUCAAAAUACAUAUGUGCGGCUUGACAUGUUACAAGAUAAAUACAUUCUUACAAACUCAAUUGAAGACUACAUAUGCAUCACCAUUUGGUGGGCGCGCACAGCCAGUCCCUGCAAGUAGUGAUUCAAAUUGGGACGCGGGGCACGUACUGAGAACUGUUCAAAACAGUAUAAUACUUUUUAAAUAAGUUGUAAUUGCUUCUUAACUACUUAUACAUACUUACAACAGGAGUGUGAUAUUUUAUUACUGUUCAUAUAGAUCCCAUACAUAAUAAUUGUGUGUCUUUUUAUAAAAUUUUACAAGUAAUUCACAUAAAGUUACAAAGUGUUCAAAAAGUGUUACAUCAUUCCGAUCCGUGCGUGGAGUCCCUCAAUUUGACACUAACAUCAUCGUACCCCACAAAUGUGAUUAUUCUUACAUUGUUUCAUAGAAUUUUGGGACCAGUCCAUCCUAAUUAAAUUAUUGUGCUUCCUUGUCCAUCCUAAAUUAUUGUGCUUCAACAUAAUUUUGGGACCAGUACUUCGUAAAUUACCUUAACAAAAAGUCCUUUGUAAUUAUUGGACUGACACGAGUCCCUCAAAUUGACACCAACGCCACCUUACCCCGCGAAUGUGACUAUUCUUACAAUGAGUGUGUUUGGAUAGGAGAUUAUUUGCCCAAAUAUAUUUGCUUACAUCACCAUUACAAUUUUCAAUACACCUUUUUAUCUUCCCAAUUAUCUUUUUAUCUCACACACAUCACAUCACAAAAAGUGCUACAGUAAAAAUAUCUCAAAUAAUUUACUAGAAUUUUGGGGCCAGACCAUCCUAAAUAUUGUACUUCCAAAGAAUUUUAAAUCACUCAUCUUGAUUUUAAACUUUUUAAGUUUACACCAUAAAAAAUGGACUAUUUUUAUUCACAAAAACAACUCAAUGGUAACUUUGGUCAAUGCGGCCUGCAAAUAAUUUUUUUCAAGGGAAAUCUUUUUUUUUUAUAGUUCGGAUAUUUAUAAGGGAAAUUUUGCUAUAUAAUUGGCGAAAGAUUUGAUAUUCAAGGAUGGAGUAAAAUUUUGUCCAAAGUCAAAAGUAGGGAGUUUGGAUUCUUUUAAUGGGAAUCAAGCUAAAAUGAUAGAUUUGCCCGUAGAUAGUUUUGCAUGAAUUUAGGACCUCAAUUGGCCACGUUAUGUCCGUAGACUGUGUUCGGAUAAGAGAUUUAGGACCUCAACUGGCCUCUCAUCCAACGAAAAUAUGCUUCAUUUUGACCAAUGCAACUGUGUUAGGAUAGGAGAUUAUUUGGAACAAUUUUUUUUUAAAAAAAAUAGUGUAGCAUUUUUCAAUGAAAAUAUAUUCCAUUUUGGCCAAUGUGACUGUGUUCGGAUAAGAGAUUAUUUGGGAUAAUAUUUUUAAAAAAUAAUACGGCACUUUUUUGAUGUGAUGCCAGUGAAAUAAAAAUAUAAUUAAAAAUAUAUUUAUGAUGCAAACAGAUAAAUUUGUGUAAAUAAUUUGCUAUCCAAACUAAUUCGUUGUGAGGGCCCGAGUUAGAUAUGUAUCCAUAUCAACAUUAAUCAAGCAAUCAAUACAUAAAAACUGAACCAUCAAGUUGUAUUACAUUAAACACGUAAGAAGACAACAUUAAUUUCUUUUUUUGGCGGGUCGUGACGACAUUAAAUUCUUGCUUGCAUGAUUUGCUAGAUUUCAAAUGAUUCUUUCAUAUUGUUGAUUAUGUACAACAUGUAUAUAGGUAUCGAUAAGGGUACUCCUAAGAGGACCACAGUGAUAGAACCUUUUUCUUUGUUAAAUAUAUCAACUUUUGCGAAUUUGCGUUGAUGGUUUUUGUAAAUUUCUAUACAAAAAGUAGUAUAUGUCGUUCGUGAAUUAGUACUUUCAGUUUGAGUGUUCAGCAUAUGGGUGCACCAAACUCAAUAAAAUGGUUGUCAAGUAUGUUAAAAUUCCAUUAAAUAUUUGGAGGAGUUUGUUUGGAGAGUUUUAUGUGAGUAGUUUAUCUGCUGGAUUUUAACUUAGAUUGAUAUUGAUAUUCUGCGCUUUCUAAUGAGAUUGAAAAUCAUUUAAAGUUUGUAUUUUUUUAUGUUUUAUUGAAGGAGAAUAUUAUUUUGAUACGACACUUUAAAUCCUUAAUAUCUCUAUUAUUUCUAGUAAUCACGAGAAAACACUUAGCGACUAAAUAUCACAAAAAGGAAUACAAACAACAUGCAACGUACGCUCUCUUAUACUAGUUGCUUAAAAUAUAGGACAAAAGAACAUGAUUUUAGUUUAGUACUCUAAAUUUGGGUUCAAAAUGUUUUCGGACGUGUUCAGAAAUCACCAUUGCCUGGAAUACAGCAUGUACAUGAUCUCGUUGAUAAUCAAAUUCAGUGAAGAAGUAAUUGAUGAGGGGAAAAAUCCACUUUUCGUCCCUAAAUUUUGAGUUAGGGACACAUUUCAUUCACAAACUUUUAGAUGUACCAUAUUUAAUACAUGAAUUAAUUAUAUUUUGCCACAUUUAGUCCAAAAACAGUAAAUUGCUUAAUUUGGAUAGAGAAAGUCACGUGUUUGGCAUGUGGUUGUUAAGUAAAAAAUAAUUUUUCAAUCAAAAUUAACAGUCACGUCAAUCUUCUCCAUCCAAAUUGAAUAUUUUAUCAUUUUUGUCUAAAUGUGGUCCAAAAUAAUUAAUUCGUGUACUAAAUGUGAUGCGUUUAAAAGUUUGAGGACGAGAUGUAUGCCUAACUAAAAAUUUAAGGACGAAAAGUAAAUUUUUCCUUAAUUGAUAUUCUUAAAAUGAGCUAUUAGAUUGUUUUGUUAAAGAAUAAGAGACUCAACAAACAUCUUAGUUAAGAGACUCGACAAACAUCUUAGUUAUGCACAUUUUCUUUUCGCUAGAUUCCUUUCUUUUCUCCUUCGAAUGGUGACUCAAUUUGACAUUAACAUCACCGUACACCCCAAAUAUGACUAUUCAUACCUGUUUCCAAAGAAUUUUGGGACCGGGCCACCCUUAAUUAUUGUGCUUCCACAGAAUUUUGGGACCAGUCCAUCCUAAUUCAAUUAUUGUGCUUCCUGGUCCAUCCUAAACUAAUGUGCAUCCACAGAAUAUUGGGACUAGUCCUUUGUAAAUUAUUGGAAGCCAGUCCUUCCUAUGCGUUCCACGUUUUAGUACAAAUGUCCAUGCAAAAUUAGUUACGUUUUGAUUUCCUCUACAAUUAUUCGUUUACUGUAAUUCCUCAACAAUUCCACUGCUAUAUUUGAUAUACAGAACUCGAGGACAUACAACUUGGUAAAAUGAAGUUGAAUAGUGGUGCUGGCUCAAAUUGUUUUGCUCAUAAAAUUAACUAUAACACUCCAUUCUAUCUGGCAAGUAAGGAAUAAACAGAUUGUCCAGCAAAUUCAAACUUCUUGUAUGUGGCAGCUGUUGAAAUGGUUGUCACCGCUGAUAAGAGUAUAUUUUACGUAUUUUUAGUGUUCUUUAUUAAUUAGUUUUGGUGUGUUUUAUUUAGUUUCAUAAAUAAUUAACUAAGAUUCUAGUGAAAAUAUGCAUUUUGUGGUUAAAGUGUGAAAAUUGCAUUUCUAUGGAUUUUUAUGAUAAAAAUUUCAUACUUUACAGGUUUAAUGAUUCAAUCAUCAAAUGGAGACCAUUGAGAAGAUAUUUAGAUGAUUGAUGAUGAUUUAGAGUGAUGAAAAUAAAAUAUGAAGUGUAAAAGGAGAAAUGCAAUUUGAGAACAAAAGAAUCAAACAAAAGUCAGCUUUGGCAUCUGUUGGUAUUUUGACUAUAUCUUGGGCUACAUACAUUGCAUUGAGAUGAUCUUUAUACCAUUUUGAAGCUAAGAGACGUAUCUACAUUUGGUAUGAAGACAUCAAAGUCCAAUUCAGCCGUUUCAUAGUCCAAAAGUUGAAAUACCGAAAUUCAACUUAGCUGUCCAAAGUUGGAAAAAGAGCUCUGACCAGUCUUUGGUAUUUUGGUCAUAUCUCGGUCUAGAGAGCUCCAAAUUGGAUGAUUCUUGAGGCAUUGGAAAGCUAAUUCAAAGGGCUACAACUUUUAUGUUUUACAGAAGAGUUAGUUCGGCUUCUAUCAUUACGAAAAUGGUAGUUGAAUUACACAGAACUCAAACGAGACUGUUCAAUACGCGACCAGAAAGUUGCGUUUUCUAAAGUCGCGUAUUCUAAUCUGAACGCUGCAAUUUUCUGACCAACUUGUCCUGCUUUCAUGCAACAUUUCCAACUCAGUUCCAGCCAAAAAUUUCGGUUGUAUAUGAUCAAGAAAAGGCUGGAAAGUUGGAAAAAUAACUCAAAAGAGUUUCAAGAGUCAAAAAUGACAACAAGAAACAAUUCAUUUGGCUCUUAAAUUUCUUUAUAAAUAGAAGUCUUGAAGGAUUGGAAGGCUAGAGAAACUCUACAAAAAUAUAGUCUUCACUAGUUUUUCUUAGUUCAUUAGCAUAGAGCAGUUAGUGUAGUUUAUUCAUCUUGUAUUUGUAGUUAGAUUUGGAUGAAAAUUGAGGAGCAAAGAUGAAGAGGUUGAUCUCAUGUGACAAGGGUGAUAUCUCUUCUACUACUUUCUCUCUUGUAUUGGAUUUCAUGUUUAAUUAUAAUACAAGUUGGCUUUGUAUUUUUAUUAUGUUUAGUUAAAGUUUAUGCCUAGAGUUAUGGUUGAACUUGCUAUAUUUUGUUUGUGAUGUUUACUUGGCUACUUGGUGAUAUUAUUUUGAGCAAGUUAUUUAUCACUUUUGGUUAUCUAAUCAUGAUUAACUGGCCAUUAAUUAUGAUAAUGUUAAGGUGUUAAGUUUGCAAUGAAAAUUGGAAUUUAACAUUAGUUCAAAGAAGUGAUAAGCCUAAGGAGUACACUUACGAGAGUAGAGGUGCACCUAUGUGGCUUUAGUGACUUGUUUUAUGUAAUUUCAUAGAAAAAAUGAGCUUGUAAUUAAUAUCAUAACCACGAUAGUAGGUAUGAUUUAGUUACAAGUAUAGUUGAUUCACUACGAGAGUAGGUUUUACAUAUAUUAGGAAAUUACGUCAUAAUUAGCUAAGAUAAUAACAUUCACUUAACCGGUAUUCUCAUUUACAAGAGUAAUAAGAAUUUCAUAUCUCUAGGAGUUUUCUUGUGUUAUUUUCAUUAAUUUUAUAUUUAAGGUAGUCUAGAUAAUAAAGGAGUUCGAAAAACAUCGGUAAUUACAAUCUUUCCUGUGGAAUCGACCCUUAAUACCCUAUACUCGCUCAUGAUUCGUAUACUUGCGAUAAAUCGCGUGUGGGGUAUUUAGGAGUUUAUAAAUGUAAAAUUUAAUUGUGAAUGAGUUACUUGUACAUGUAUGCCCCUCGCUCGUCAACCGCUAUUCGGAUGAUUCUUGCCUCUUGGCGUGGUGUUCCUCGAGCUAAACAAAAUUGGGAGCUUGCAUCGGAAUCCAGAUUUGAUCAGCAUUGCUUUGAGAAAUUUCUAAGUUUGUGAUGAAAUUUAAAAAAAUUCUACAAAAGGGGCGAUUUCGGUGAAGUAUUCCGUAGGGGGGUCUUCGCAUUUCAGAAAUGCGAGCUCAGCAGAUUUUUAAUUUUUUUUUUUCGGAGGGCAUAGAGCUCGCAUUCCGCGAAUGCGAGCUCAAUAAAAUUUAAAAUUUUUUGGUUUUUUUUUUGGAGGUAGACAAUUUUUUUUAGUAAUAACUAAAUGCGAGCUCCUAAAUUUUGUAAUAGUAAGAAUUUUAUUAAAAAUUUUUCAAAUAACUCGCAUUUGAUAAAUUUGACCACCAAAAAUUGUAUUUAAUUUUUUUGUUGGAUUUCACAUUUAUAAGUAUGACUAUUAGAAAAUUAAAUUCAAACUUCCUAGGAAAAAAAUUUAAAAUGAAAUUUACGAGCUCCCAAAAAAAUGUAAAAUUAACUGUAAAUGUUGUUUGUUUUGUAGAAUUUGCCUUUACUAAAAUGCUGUCGGUAGUAAAAUCUUAUUUUAAAAGCUGUACUAUAAUCUUAAAUUUUGGAGAAAUGUUAGAGAAAUGUUAUUUAAAAAUCUGUAAUUAGCAGAGGAAUAAAUUUUAUUUAUUUUAAAACUUGCACGUGCCUAAAGUCAUCAAAUAUGUGCUGUAAAAAAAUUCAUAUUACUUUUAUAUUAAAAAAAGUUGGAGCAUUUUUUACGAUUGGAAAUACAUUAUUUUAUUAUAAUACAUUUAAAUGGUGAAAAAAGUACACAUGCAUAGUUCUUUGUAUUCCAUAUAUCAAUGUAAAAAUAGAAUGAAAUUGUUAACAUGUAAGGUGUUGACUGUAUUUUAUGAAUAAAAUACUAACUUUUUUUCCUUUUCUAUCAAAUAAAUUUUUUUAAUCAAAUUCUAAUUUUUUCUUUGUUAUUAAUGAAUCGUAUUUAUUUGUUGACACCAGUGAAUAUUAGUUAUAAGAAUCUAAUAGUUAAUAGUCAUUAAUAUCUGUUACAAUUUCAAUUGUAAUUUUAGAAAGAUUAGGGAGUGAACGGAUGAAAUGGAAGAUUAGAGAGAGAGGGUUAGGGUUCGGUGAAAAGAGGGAAGAAAAUUGUGAAAAGUGCAGAAACGAGGUUUCGGUUCUGCUAUAUCCGCGAACCGAUCCGAACUCGGUUCGCAACCGAAAGGGUGCGGAUCCGGCAUGGUUCGGAUCCGCACCGCCGGAAGCACAGACGAUCCCUCGGAUAUUUAUGAACAAUUUUUGGAUUCGAGCUCGGAUCAAUGGAUCCGCGGUCGGAUCCGUCUGGGCACUUAGGAUCCGAGCUCGGAUCUGUAGUUCUCUGCACUAGUUGCAGAAACUGCAAUUUUUCAAACUUUUUCUCUCUUUUUCCGGCCAAUUCCAAAACACACGUUGGAAAAACGUUUUAUGAAAUCUAACCUCCCACGCACAUGUAAUAUACCAAAAGUAUAAUAUCCAAUCUCUUAAAACACAUCAAACACAUCUACAUUGCAAAUCGAAGGGCGAGAUUCUUUGAUCAUUUUUGCAUUUUUACACUAAAAUGGCACUUUUGGGCAUUACAUGCACAUCAAAUGAGUCCAUGAGCAUGUAUAAACAUGUUAUUAACAAAACUCACGUGAAUAUACUGAAAAUGCAACAUUGUACGUAUGCUUGGGAAUUCUAAACACUUAAAGCACAAUUUAAUAAGAAAACCCCCCUUUUUACACUUGUUCCUCAAUUGUACCUCCAAAAUAAUGAUGAAACUCUGGUACCGCCUGCAAACAAGUGAAAUAUAUCUAAUUAGUCAAUUAAAUCACACUAAAAUGUAAGAAACACAUAAAAACACAACUACAAUAUUAUAGGAUGUAAGGUUGCCUCCCAACAAGCGCUUUCGUUUUUAGUCGUUGGCUCGACUGAAAAAAAUUUCGAUCAUUUUAGAACAAUAGGGAGGGUUUUUUCUCCCCAUUGGUCGAAACUUCCGAGUCACUCUUUUUUUUGUGAGCCAAUAAUUUUAUUAUAAUACAACUAUACUAACGAAAUAACUACACAUCUUGCUUCUUUAUUUUCAAGGUCACAUUAAAAUAAAAUUAAAUUGUUAAUAAGUUAGGGCUUAAUUUUCAUGAACAAAAUUGGAAUCUUAUUUUUAACUUGUCCAUAUGAGAAUAUUAAAGUUUGUUCCCUAUAUUUAAUGGGGAAACUAUGAAUAACAAAUCUCAUAUAAUAACAAUUUAUAAAUAUAUUAUAAAUAGUAUGUUUAAUUUUUUUUUGUUGAAGUUUCGACAUUGCAACUAACUUACCGUGUAUGAACUAGAGGAGAGGUUAGUAUAGUUUACCUUUUUUGGUUUACAUAUGUAGCCAUUUUGUUUGGUUUUGUUUAAAAGAGUACUCAUAUAAAGUGAGAAAUGAGAUACGCGUGAUGGCAUUGUUCCUAACCCGAAUUCGUGAAAUUUUAGAAUAUAUACAAAAUGUCACCAAAAAAGUAUGCAAUCCAUAAGUUAGGUUAUUUAUACAAUAACGAUAUAAGUAGCGUGCCAUCAAUGCUGCCCAAGUCUUUCAUGAGUACCACAUGUUGUUGGUUUGGGUAUUCUUUGACUUCGACGUGGUCGGUUUGGGACUACUGUAUGGACUUGAGUAAUAUGUGUCAACAGUGUAGCAUCUUCAAUUUGAGUGCUUGUGCCUUCACCUCCUUCACAUUGCUCAGAAGUAUGCCGAUAUGAGUCCCUAUCGGGCGUAAACUCUGGAAAAGUAAUAGGGGAUCUAGAAUGCCCAAUCGAUACAUCUCUCUCAUGCAUGACUUCGGUCUGAGGAGUGACAAAAAUAGAUGCGCCAGCUUGGUCCUCAGUAGCCAUCGAACCUCCAUGGAAUCCAGUUUGUAUGGCGGGUUCUGGUGAUCGGAGUCUACGACGUCGUCCACCGCCAUGCUGACUUCCGUGGGUAUUUCUAGGAGCUCGCUGAACAUGACAUGGAUCAGGGUAUAGUGGAAUCUCCUGUGGUACGUGUGCAGGGCGAAAUGCAAGUCGGCGUGACUCUCCUACAUGAUGCAAAGAUGUGGAUGCAAAGUUCCUCAACUCUUGAAAAUAUCUGCUGUGUUGUUCAUCACUAACUACAAGAGAGUCCUGUGCCAUGAAAUACAUGCGAGACAUGACAUCGCUCUGGAAAAACAAAUAUAAGAAUUAGAAGGAGAUACUGUGGUAAAAAAUAGUUUAAAAUGUGAACAAACUCAAAGUGAUUAUUAAAAGUGGGUUGGAAAUAAACUUACAAGAUAUUGUGCCCUAGCGCUAUCACCCUAAAAGCCCACUGGAAAAGCGGGAAAUCGACUCGGAUUUGAAAUAUAAAUCACCGUCCGCUCCCGAUACCACUGAACAUACUCAUCCGAUGGAUAAGUAGUAUCUUCAAUUACAGUGCUAUCUUGUACAUGCACACGUCGAUCAGUCCAAAUAUCAAUAUAUUGUCUAUGCGUGGUGCUCCAGUCUUGAUUCGCCCUUCCACGACGAUCUAGAGAAUAUAGAGCUGCCUGAUUAUCCGUCAACCUCAUAUCAGGUAGGGACUGAUGAAACCCAAACUGCCGCAUAACCCGAUGAGGGAGGUGCGGCUCAACUACAUUCCAGCAAAUAAGAUACGUUACGGACCUCCAAAUGUCCCGAUCUGCAGUAUAAUAUGCAGGAAAAAAAGCGAGAACGUCCUCCAAAUAUGGCUGCCAUAUGAACUGAAAAAAAUAUAAAAUCAAAGUUGUUUCAUUUUUUCUAUUAAGAAAUAAUAAAACUUCCCAAUAUUCAAUUCUAACAAUUUCAUGAAAAAAGUGCUCGGCUGCGGUCAAUUUAAAAAUUAAAAAAAGUGCUAGACAAAUUGUGAAAAGUGAACCGAUCCGAGCUCGGUUUGCAGCUGAAAGGGUGCGGAUCCGGCAUGGUUCGGAUCCACACCGCUAGAAGCACAGACGAGCCCUCGGAUAUUUAUGAAGAAUUUUGAGAUCCGAACUCGGAUCAAAGGAUCCGAGUACGGAUCUAUCUGGGCACUUAGGAUCCGAGCUCGGAUCUGUAGUUAUCUGCACUAAUUGCAGAAAUUGCAAUUUUUCAAACUUUUUCGGAUUAUUUCCGGCCAAUUCUAAAACACGCAUUGGAAAAACAUUUUAUCAAAUCUAACCUCCCACGCACAUGUAAUAUACAAAAAGUACAAUAUCCAAUUUCUUAAAACACAUCAAACACAUCUACAUUGCAAAUCGAAAGGUGAGGUUCUUUGAUCAUUUUUACAUUUUUACACUAAAAUGGCACUUUUGUCCAUUACAUGCACAUCAAAUGCUAGUCAACCAUUAUUAUAAAAUUUUUUAAUUUCUAAAAAAAAUUCGGCAGAGUCUCCCCUAUAACUGGAAGUUAACUCCCUGCCAACAAACUCAAUUUCCAUUAACAAAAUGCAGUAUGACAAACUUAUACUUUGGAUCGACUAAAAUUGGCAGAAAAGACUACUGGAGCGAAUUUCAAAAAUUCCUAAUGUCCGGACAUAUGUACAAUACCUCUUCAGGACGCAGGCCUGUCAACUGAUCUCGGAAUGCGGGUACAACAUGCCUAACAACUCUGUGUACGUCCAAGUCAUUAUUCCACCUAUAUUUAAUAAAGUAGGAACCUGUUUAGAACAAAUUAAAGUUGGCAAAUAACAAAUGUCAUUAAAACAACUGAAAUAAGGGCGAAACGAGCACCUAGCUCCAUAUGGACCAGGGUAAUGCUCCAACGGCGCGAUUCGGUCCGGACGUAUGGUUGGUAUAUGUUCCCAAAUCCAGAGCUGUUAGAAAAUUAGAAUCAAUGUUAAAAUUGCAAAAUGAUAAAAUAAAAAAAAUAGAAGAUAAAUGUCACCAUUAUUGCAAUGUACCUGUAGUAAAACUAAUGGACCAGCAAUAGCCAAUUUGGCAGGAUGCGUGGCAUCAUAAAGUGACCGAUAGAGAGUCGCCAAACAUGCACUACCCCAAUCAUAUUGCCCAACAGUUUCCAAGUCCCGCAGUAAUGGAAGAUACAACAAAGGGACUUUGUUGCCGGACUUAUUGGAUAAUAAAUGUCCACCUAAUAUCAGUAAGAGUUAGAUGCGCGCGCGCUGCCUACAUUCGGCAUCUGAAGCAUUGGGUGGCAACUCUGUAUCCAAGACUCUUGCUAAACAUCCCAAUUUUAGCCUCUGUCCAUCAAAGUAUCCAACUGCAGGAGAAAAUUCAAUGAGCUCCUCACAACUGGCUCCCCACUCCUGAAUGCUGCGGUAUGUGUCUACCCCUAUAAUCGGUGGAUCAUCGAUGUGUAACCCCCACAACACCUCUACAUCCUGUAAUGUCACGGUAGCCUCUCCAACCGAUAAAUGGAAUGUAUGUGUCUCGGGCCGCCAUCUCUCCACUAAACUUGUGAUCAAAGAAUGAUCAACCAUCUGAUAUCCACUCUCAAGCACCCCCUCAAAUCCAGCCAAGGCAAUAUAACGACAAAUCCGAUCAGGAAUAAGCGUAUGCUCCCAAAAUCCUCUGUCACACCGUCUGACAUCUAACUGAUUGCCCUCAAUAUGUCCGUGAAAAAUGGAAUAUGCCCGGUGUGCAGUUCCCGCCAAUAUAAUGUCGUGCACGUAUGGUCCUGGAUGUAAGCCUGCAGGGAUAGGAGUGUCGGCCAUAAUCCCAAGCAAAUAUCUGACAUCGAUUAAAUUCCAUGAGUUAUGCAUGAGUAAAAUCCAAAAAGAAUAUGUAACCAAUUUUGACCUAUAAUUCGCGGUCACGACUUUUUUUUUUAGCAAAUUUUGACCAUAUAACACACCGUACAUCGACUAAAACUCCAUGUCUAUCAGUUAUUUUUUUUUAGAAAUAUUUUUUAUCCUUCUAUGUAUUCAUAUACUGCAACAAUGUAUUUGUAGUCAUAUUUUAAAAUUUUUUUUAAAAAUUUGGCAAAGUCUCCCCUAUAAAGCGGCCAUAACUCCCUGUCAAUAGCUCCUCAAAAAUACCAUAUCCUGUAUAUGCAAGAACAUUAACACAUAUAACACACCAUCCGAGCAUUCCUUUAACAGAUAUGUCAACAAAUCAAUGGAUAGGAGAUUUAGCGAUAAAAGAAUAAAACUGUUGGGUGGCACGUGUAAACUGGUUAUUUCAAUACUUAUCAAAGUACAGAACGAAGCAUGCAUUUGACAAAUGUACAAUGAAAGUCACUAAUGUAAUUAUUUAAAAUAAAUCCAGAAUCGAACACAAAUGAACUAGCUCGAACCCCACGGCCAAAAAAAAAUGCACUGACAUGAGUUUCAAAUUUCUGGGGAGUCGAUCAAAUCAAGACCUAUAAUUCGGACAAUUUCUCCUAUUGUGACCCGUCUGGUGAUAAUUUUGAUAUCUUCUUGGUUCGUCUUGAUCCCUUUCAUCCAUCUCAUUCCGAAUUCUGCUAACUCGAACCCGCCCUGCCCGACGUGUAACUAAUUUGCUCCUGUCUGCCUGCAGCUCCCACCCAGGAUGGAGCCAAGUAUCUUGAUGCGGCAGUGGGUUAAACUUUCCUGAAUACUGGAUGGCCCACCUUGUUUUGGUAAACUGCUGGUCCACAAGCAAUCCCGGAUUGUCACCACUAUUCCUGCACACCGCCAAAGCGGUGAACAAGGAAGGCUGUAAUUCUGCCACUUUCCACAAGAGCAUGUCUUAUCAAAAAACCUGAUGGUUUGCGUAUUGCCUCAUUUACCAUCGACACGCCGCCCUGUGAUAACCUUGUAUACGCCCGAUGGGCCAUCGAACUCAAUGACUCUGUGGGCGUCGGCCUUCCGUUUAGCAUUCUUAAAACGCCGCCAUAUCUUUGGAGGAAAAUGAUUGCGAUAAUGUAAAGCAUCUUCCCUUCUCGUCUUAAAUAAAGCAACUGUCCGAUGAAAUGUCAUGUCAAUGCAUGCACGAAUUGGCAAAUGACGUGCCCCGCGCAAGACAUUGUUAUAGCUUUCGGAUAUGUUGGUAGUUAGAAUACCCCAAAGACGGCCAUCGUCGUGUGUUAGGCACCACUUUUCUGGACUAAUGGCUAAUAGAUAAUUCCAAGCAUCUGGGAACAUGCUUCGUAGUUCUCUUCUGAACAUCCGCCACUUGCGUAAUUGUCUUGCCCUUCCCAUUGCCCAAAACAACUUUUUAAGGUGUAAAUCUUUGAAGUAUGUCAUCAAAUUGCUCCUAACAUGUCGCAGGCAAAAUCUAUUGUAGGCUAAAGGUUCCUCCCAAUAGUCAAAGUGUGUCAUGGUAUAGAUGAUACCAUUGUGGCGAUCGAAAAUGACACAGAUAGGAUGUCGAUCAAGUGCCACAUUAUAUCUUAAUUGUUCCAUGAACCACGACCAACUGGAAAUCGUCUCCUCAUCCACUAUGGCAUAAGCAAUUGGCAGAAUGUUGUUGUUCGCAUCUUGAGUGACUGCAACAAGGAGUUUGCCCUUGUAUUCGCCACGCAAAUGAGUGCCAUCAACGCAUAUAAUCGGCCUGCACAUGUGGAAUGCUUCAAUAGCCGGUCCAAACGCCCAAAAUACAUACUUAAAGGUCUUAACUCGAUCCGAACUAUCCGAAUGAUGUGACCACUCCACCACGGUGCCUGAAUUGGAUUGCACCAGGGCAUCGAGAUACUGUGGUAGUUCUGCAAAAUUCGGCUCCCAAAAUCCAAACACAAGCUCAAUUACUUUACGUCUGGCAUACCAGGCUUUUUUGUAAGACACAUCAACCUUCAAGUUUUCUUUAACGGAACUUAGUAUGUUCUUGACCUUUAAUCCAGGGUCAUCUUCAAUGCUACGGAGGAUGUGCUUUGAAAUAACGGAAGCCGUCAGGCUUGUAUUGUUAUUUCUAAUCAUGUCGCCCAAGCAGUUAUGGUCAUUGACCCAUUUUGUAAUUUGCCACAUUCCAUGGAUUUUUUUCUUUACGGCUCUAACACCCCAGUCGCAUGGUGGACACGAUGGCGCGGUUGAAGUGGAAGGAGUUCUUUCAAUUGAUGAUUUGCAUUUAGCAAACCACGUGUUACUCUUACUCUCAAUAACUCUGAACUCCCUAUUGUGAUUGAUGGACUACAUCCUAACUGCCCGGCUGAGCUGCUGCUUACUCUCAAAUCUCAUAUGGACACGUAUAUUAUUAUUCUCCUCACUGAAUGUUACAAUACGCUCCAAUCCAUCCUCCUCUUCUAUAUCAUUAUCAUCUAUGCUCCCAAGAUCGGAGAAAAAUGCCAUACCUCUUGGAACAUAAGCAGAGUUGCCAACUAUGCUAUUGCGUCUGUCCUCUUGGAACAUAUCAAGGUUUACUCUUAAACCCCCACCUUCAUGCUCAUCAUCCGAGUCACUACCAGACACAUCUUGCGACUCCGACUCUUCAACCUCUUCCGCAUCAACUUUCGGGUCAUCUUCUUCCGGAUCAUCUUCAAGAGAGCCAAGGAGCCUAUCAUGUAUACUAGCAUAUACAUCAUCUUCAGCUGAACUGCGACAACCUUGACCAGGGUUAGAUUCGAUCCCAUGUGGAGAAAUAUGGCAUAAUAGACCUGGAUCUCCAAAACUUGGAAUCGAAUCCAGGCCAUGAAAAUAUUCCUGAGCACCCAUGGACCCUGAUGUGAGCCUUGGUUCUAAUGAAUCCAUAGAUCGAUCAUCAUACAUAUAGUGACAUGCCGAUGAACUUUCUGGAACGACUGAACUAGAACUGAAAUUAAACUUUGUUGGAUCCAUGAAUGCAUGUACAAGCAACAUCAUUGGACCAACAUUACCUAUUGGUCCAGUGAAUACGCUAUUAACUGCAGGCAUUUGGACGAUUUCUUCCUUCUCGAUAUAAAUCUCCGCCAUGUAUGAAACUCUUUCGAUCCAAAGAUCGUACAUUACAUCAAGAGUUUCAUCAUCCACCACUGCGGAAACAGUAUAUUUGGAACUCUCCAACGGUUGACGAAAAAAUAAUUUCAGCUUGAACAUCCCUUUAUCGACCCCAAUAUAAUGGUAAAUCCUGUCAACCAACUCCCCGUAUCCAAUUCUAUGCUUCAAAGUGAAUGUCCGGUUGGAAGUACGAGGCAAAUAACAAACAAAGUCACCCUCGUAAUGUAUUUGUCCUCCCCAGUAUAGGUUUACCCGCAGAGGUCUUUUUACAGACAUGUCUGUGAAAUGAAUCCCUAUUUUGGAGACAAUAUAUUAGAAUUAGUAGUCCAAGGGUCCAAACAAAUGAAAGAGGGUGGACUCUAGGUUGAAAUUGGAACUAUUAAAUAGACUAAUUUCGAUCCAGAUGUUUAUGAAAAAUUUGAAAACAGGUAUGAAAUAUGCUAUAAAUGACGAUUGGAAUAGCCUAAAACUCCGAACGAAAUUUUUAAAAAAUUUAGACAGAGUCUCCCCUAAAAAUAGACUAAAACUCCCUGCCAACCAAUCCACAAAUUUCACUAAAACUCCCUGUCAGCCAAUCCGAACAGGGUUUAUAUGAAGUAGUAAUCACAUUUGCCACACUACAUAUUGUCAAGAGACCCUAUAAUUUUCAAAGUACAAGCGUAAGAAAUGUACGGGAAGUUAUAUAUAUUUGGGCUCCACAUUCACACCUCAUAACAAGAUCCACAUUCCCGAUGAUGUGAUAUUCUAGUAAUGAAUCUUACAAAAUUAAUGUUUUUCCCUGUAGCAGAUUUUGCCAUUUUUUUAGCAUUAUAGAUUUUGUCAAUUACAAAAAAUAUUACAAGGUUGGUCAUUGACUUUCAAUCCAUCAAUUCGCCUUAAAAUAAAUCCGUAUUUCAUAUUCUAACGCCCUAUUCUACUGAAACAAAAUUUAACAAAUUAUACUAUUUCAACUUGUCGGCAAACAUCCAAUAGUUGUAAUAUAAUAUAAAUUAGCUAAUGGCUUGUAUCAAAUCCGAAUUAAGCCUUAUGCAUAAGAAAUGGUAGUUGUAAUAUAAAAUAAAUUACCUAAUAGUCAGUUGCCCUCACAAAGAAAUAUCUACAAAAAUUUCGACAUAGUCUCCCCUAUAAAUGGGCAGAAACUCCUUGUCAAACAAUCCAAAUAUCCAUGAAAUUCAAAAGCGCCAAACUAUAAACUACAUGAUGUUAAUAAAAUUUCUAAACUCCAAUUGCAAAACAUACAAUGUCCAAUGUAGAUAGUGUUUCGACCAAAAAUAAUAGCUGCGAAAUAGAUUUUAAAAACAAAAAAUUAUGAUGAAUUUUAAAAGAAUUCUACAAAUGGAGCAUUUUGAGCAUCGGAUUACGUCCAAACGGUCUUCGCAUUCAGUAAAUGCGAACUCACGGAGCUCGAAUUUUUGAACGACGAAAUCCAAAAAAAAUUAAAAAAAAAUACCAGACCUCGCAUUUAUUAUGAAAUGCAAGGAUCCGAGCUCGGAUUCUUUAUGGCAACCCUCGGAUCCAACAGGGUUCGGAUCCGUCUCAGCAGAUGAUCAGACAAGCCCUCGGAUCUGAGUGAACAACUAUGGAUCCGAGCUCGUAUCAAAAUGAUCCGAGGUCGGAUCCGUCUGUGUUGAGUCGUAUCCGAGCUCGGAUCAUGCUUUUUCUGCACUAAUUGCAGAAACUGCAAAUAAACUGCAACAAAUUGGAAACAGAAAAAUUUGCCCGAAUUCAAAAAAUAUAACGUAUAUCCUCAGAUCCACCACAAAAAUUACAAAAAUAAGCACAACACACAUCAAUUAAACCCAAAUUUCACAACAAAUCUGAACUUGUCAUUGGAUUCAAGUAUUCAAGUAUUAAUUAAACUUAAAAUGCUAUAAGUGAGGCAUUGCAAGUGAAAAAGCCUAACCUUUAUGCUGUUUGAGAGUCGCAAUGGGACGGCAAUGCUGGCAAAUUUUGGGAAGCGGCACUCGCGGAACCAGUCUUUGGAUGCUCCGGUCAGCUCUAGUCAGCUCCGGUCUUUGGAUGCUUCGAUGCGCAGAAACCAGCUCUGUUUUCUUUGUUUUGCUGUUCGACAAUUCCGAAUUCUUUGUUUUGAUGUUCGGCAGCUAUGUUUCGAUAUUGCGUUCUGCUUCUCCUACUCACUUUUGUCUUUUUUUUUUUCGAAAUGGGUCUUGGCGGUCACUGAGCUCGCAUUGCGAGAAUGCGAGCUCAAUGCGAGCUCGCAUUCCGGAAAUGCGAGCUCAAUGUAGAAUUCUUGAAUGCGAGUUCAAAGAGCUCGCAUUUCCAGAAUGCGAAGACCCUCAUUUGUGGAAAACGAUCCAAGAACCGCCCUCAUUGUAGAAUUCUUUUUUUUUUCCAUCAUAAACUGAGAAUUCACCCGCAUUGCUUUGUUAAUUGUUCGAUAGUGAAUGUUUCAAUUUUGAUUUCGAUUGUAUAGUGCUAGAAGGUGUAGUAAAAUUUUGUCCAAAGUCACAAGGAGAGAAUCUGGAUUCUUUCAAUGGGAAUGAAGCUAAAAUGACAGAUUUGCCCAAAGAUAGUUUUGAAUAAAUUUAGGACCUCAAUUGGCCACGCUAUGCCCGUACUACCAUGUCACAUUAUCUAUUGGGAAGGACAAAAAUGACAUUACAGUUGUGGUCCACCACAACAUCAAUCAUUAUUUGGGCCCGCCCUAUCAUGAAGGAUGUCUUUCCUUUUCUCAUUCAAUUUAAGGCCUGUUUGCAAAUGGGUUUUUACCCAAAUUUGCCUCCUAUCAGUUUUUUAUUAACUUUAAUUACGGUAAUUUUAAAAAAAUUCUCAAAAUUUUUUAUCUAUUCACUUCAAAAUAUCCAAAAUACACAAUAAAAAUCCCGUUCUCCCUCUCUUCUUCCAUCUCAACCCACCACCACGGUAGACUGGCCGGUAACAGCAGAUGCAACUUUUUUUUUCUCUCCCUCUUUUCUCCCUCUCCCCACUCCUCCCCUCCUCUUCCCUUCCCCCUCUCCCCGCCACCAGAUUGGAGAGGGGGAUGUCCUUCUCCUCCCUCCUCCCCUCCCCUUCCUUUCCCCCUCCCCCGCCACCAGAUUUGAGAGGGGGAUGGGAAGGGUGGCAGGGGAGGGGGAAGGGAAGUGGAGGGGAGGAGGGGGGAAAGGGAGCAGAGGGGGAGAGAAAAAGCAAAAAAAAUUCUCAUUUUUGUUGUUGCAACUUCCAACAGAGGGAGGGAGAGGUGGUAGGGGAGGGGGAGAAGGGAGAAGAGAAGGAGAGAAAAAGCAAAAAAAAAAAUCCCGUUUCUAGUGCUGUAACUUCCGACGAAAGGAGGGAGAGGUGGCAGGGAAGGGAGAGAGGGAGAGGGAAAGGAAGGAGAGAGGGAGAGGGAGAGGGAGAGAGAAAAGGCAAAAAAUAAAUUUUUUUUGCAUCUGUUUCUUCCGGCUGGGAGGGGUGGCGGCCUGGCAGGGGUGGGAGAAGGGAGAAAGGAGAAGAAGAAGAGAGGAAAGAAAAGAAAAAAGAAAGGAAGAAAGAGAAAGAGAAAAAGAAAAGAAAUAAAAAGUUUUUCAUUUUAAAAUUUUUUCUACAAUUUCUACGAUAAGUUAUAAUAAAAUUUAGGCAAACAUUUCAAAAGACUCAUUUGCCAAAUGGAUAUUUGAAUUAUUAUUUUACUUUAAAACUCUAGAGCAGAACUUUUACAAUAUUUGAAUUCUUAUUGUUAUUGGUCCAAAGCGGCAAUGUUAGAAUGCGACAUUUAGCGCUAGUUUGCCGUGUUUCAUCAAUGCUCGAUCACUGAUAAAUCCGGUGAAAAUUAACUGAUAGGUCAUUAUUUGUCGCUAAAUCUAUAAUUAUUCUUCCCUUGAUUUCAGCCAAAUAUUGCGUUAAUUGAUGGAUUCUACUUAUAUUUGGUUAAUGGUGCUAAAUUGUAGGAAAAAGAGCAAAACGUGACAAAAAGGGGCAAUCUUCCAAUUAAUUUGAUGGUAGCACGUUCGGGAUCGAUUUCCAAGUUCGAUUCAAACUCUGGGCAGCUUGAGAGGAAGAUUUGGAAGACUUGAAUUCUAAUUACUAGUCUUAUUGUUGAAUUAGGAAACUUGAAAUACUUUCUUUUGUGGUUUAUUUUGCUAUUUAGGAAACUAGUUCUAUUUGGUAGUAUUUUUCCAUUAGGAAACUAAGGAAAAAGCCACGGUUGCUGACCUUGGAAAAGUGGGGACCAUUGCAAUUGUCUUCCAAUAUUGCUUUGACCGAAAUUGAAGGGAGAGAAGGCUACAAAAGGCCAGCCGACUUUGAAGUUUGAAGGGGGAGAAAGGACGGAUCCCGCGGGAUUACUACUUAGCCAGGGAUUUCACGUGAUAACUAGGGAGCGAAGGGAAUAAGAAAAAAAACAACGCAGCCGCUUGGCUCUGGUCCGCAGAGUAGUUCCUCUAUUGUAAAAUAUUAACGCAAUUUCCUUCAAUGGAAUUGCGUGAGUUACUCUCAAUGGAGAACUAAUCUCCUAAUUCUAGUCAAGGGGCACAACUGAAGAUUUGGUUCAACAAUUUCUGUGAGAUCUAAUUUAUUUUAAUUGCUUCCUCCAUUUAUUGGUAUUCAUAUGUUUCCUGCUUUUAACCGUUAUAGCUCGUGUGGAUGAUUGAUUAGUGCGCAAUAAUUGAUUAUUCAUGUAGGCUAUUUUGCUAAAUAGAGGUAACUGAAUCCGUAAUUGUUCGUUACCUCUAUCCCAGUAGCAACUGGCGUAAUUGGGUUUAUGUCAGAGAAACAUACGAUCUAAUUUAAAUAAACCCUCGUAGCGUGUUUAUUGGUUAGGAUUGGGCCUUUCUAAUUAUUAAUGCAAUCUGGAAAUUGAAUCCUACGGUCGUACCUAGGGUUGUUUUUGGGUUAGAGAAAUAGCUAACGGUCGUACCUUAGCUAUCGAUAAAUUACGGAAGGGUUGGUUGUUUAGCGCGUGCGAGACAACUAUAACCAAUCUAUUAGUAAAUGUUGGAAUUAUCCAUGAAUCAAUGAUCAGUUGCAUGAACCAUUUCUGACGUACACCCUUGGCUAGAGUUUCUCCAAUAAUUAUUUCUUUUAUUUAUUUUCUGCAUUUAAUUUAUUUAGUUAGCAUUUAAUCCAAAAAUCCCCCCAUACUUUGAACUCUAGAAGAAACGAAUUAUCCCCAGUCCCUGUGGAUUCGACCCUGCUUAUCACUAUCUACAGAAAUUAUAUUUUGUUUGAGCAGGUAUUUAUUAUUGCACAGGCUCGACCCCUGUCAUUAACUCUCGAAUCAAGCUCACAAUUCCUAUGUUUAAACUGUAAAAUUGAACCUUGACAAUUUGUCCAUCACCAUAAAGUAGUAAAACGAAAAUUCCCCAAAGCCUAAGAACUAGUGGCGUUUUUUGUAAGGAUCAUAGAGACAUGCACAACGAAUAAUUUAAAAAUUCAAUAAAAGUUUAUCAUGUAAUUAAUAUCUUUUUGUUACACUUAUCUUAUAUUAAUUUUGAAAUAAGUUGUGCUUAUUCUAUUAUUUGAUUGAAGUUCAUUUCUUAUACCAAAAGAUGACCCCAACGAAUAAAUACUUAGAAACACUUUUUAAAACUCUUCCACUUAACGCUAAGAAUUUCAAGUUAUACUUCUUCAAAUUGCCAGACAUGAAAUAGCUCCUUUUUCAUCAAAGGUGUUAAAUCCUUAUAAGUUAUUCACCAUAUUUUCAUGCUUUAAGUAUAUACUUAUAAGCUAAUGAUGUAAACAUUCUCUACUACGGGAGCAAUCAUAUAUCAAAACAAAAUAUAACCUUCCAUACUCAAGAUACCAUAAUAAUCUUAAAUCUAAGAAUUAAUUACACAAAUGUCAUUUAGAGAUUAAUCCUUUGGCACUUAAAGAAUAUCUAUAUACGGAUCAAUCUAGUAAAUUUGAUUAUCCUAUCAAACACUCAUAUACUAGUUUAGGUAUCUCAAACACUAUAGUAGAUGAGAUCUAAUACUUUUUAAAUAGAAGCAGUAUAGUAUGUGUUAGUUUAACCAUAUUAACAGUGUCUUGCCUUGUUAAUACUUUGACUAGAGAUAUUUAAGAAUAAACAUUAUUUAUAAUCGAAUGAAUCUCAUCAUCAUAACUCACAUGAUUUCAUCGAUUAGGUUUACUCUAAGGACUUUAUCAUACUUAUAUAAAUAUAAGCAAUCAAUAUAAUAAAGAUGUCACUUAUUAUAACAUAAAUAGUUCAAGUGAAUAUUAAACCCUGAAGUUGAUUGACUUUAAAGCAUAUACACUUUCAACUCCCACUUACAGUAAAGCCAAUCACUCAUAAGUCAAAGAUCAAAUGAGUCUACAUGACUAUUAUAUUUCCUUUAAAAUAAGUUUUACUAAAUGGAUCAACUAUGGAGCUAUCCGCAGGUGCUCUUUCUAUUUUCACAUUUAUACCUACCAUUGAUUUUCACCAAAUCAUGUGGUAGCAUCUUAACAAGUCUAUGGGUAUGUAAUGAGACCUAGUUCCUUCACUAGACCAAAUUUUCUUUAUAGUCUCAAUACAGGAUAAAGGAUUUAAAAUGAAAAGAACCAAUCCAAGUUCUAUUUGAACUUAUAGAUCCAAAUGUUUCCCUUUGCCACUUCUCAAGUAAUAACUUGUUACGAUUUAAUUGUAAAAAUUUUAGUUAUGUUUCACUUGAAACUAUUUCAACACACAAUAAUAUUAUAAAUAAAUGUAUAAUUAUUUGCAAAUCAUCUUUAUAAAAUUGUUUAUAAGUAUAUUCUCGAACUUUCAAUUUAAAUUUUUCAUGAACCAAAGGAUACAAUAAGUCUAGUAUAUCGAAAUGAUUAAUUCUAUACAAUAUAGACAAAACUCCUUAUUGGAUCACUUCAUCUUAAAUGAAUUUAGCAUCUCAUCUAUGUACAAGGGAAAAUUUCCUAUAUAUAUAGCAACCAGAAGAUUUGAUAUUCGAGAAUGGAGCAUAGCUUUGUCCAUGUUGGUAAAACCUCAACACCUCGCGACGAUUGGCAGGAAGUGGAAUCUUGGCGUGCCCACGCAAGGAGGGCGCGCAAAAGUGACUCAAGGUCAGUGGACGUUUUAUAAUUUGGGCGUGCCCACGCGGUGUUCGACGAACCAAAAAAAAUUUUAAGUUAACAAAAAUUUAUUUUCCUUUUAAACCUUCAGUUUUGUGUUUUCUUUUAGAAAUUCAAAUUUUGAAAAUUAAUUAAAUAAAAAAAAUAAAAAAAUUUAUUUUUUUAAAAAAUAAAUUAUAUUAGAAAAAUAAAUUUAUUUCUUCUUCUUGACCUUUAGUUUAGUUUUUCUCAGCAAUUGAUUUUUUUCUUGAAAUUUAAAUUCGAAAAGGAAAAAAAAAGACCAAAAGCUAUUUUUUUCUCUUUUCUUUCUUCCUUCUUCCCCGUUGCCUUGCUUUCCCUUUUCCCUUUUUCUCUUCGGCCAAAAUCCAUCGCCGCCGCCUGCAACCUGAAGCCCACGGACCUCCACCUCCACCAGCUCGCCACGCCUCUCUCCUCCCAUCGCGUGCUACCCGCGCGUGCAGCCCACAGCCGAGCGCCGCAGCUCCUCUUCCAUCGCGUGCGCUUCCCUCUCUUUCUCUUUCCACGCGAAGCCAACCGCCACCACCAGCGCAGACCACCCCCGUCCCCCGCGCGUUUCUUCUCUUAGCGCGCGACCGCCACGCACGUCCACCCCGCGCCUCUCCCUCUGCCGCGACCUCCAUCACUUCGCCAGCGCCACCAAACCACACGCCACCAGCUCCACCUGGCGCGACCUUCUCUAUCUCUCAUCUUCUCCCACACGAUCCACCAGCCUACGCCGCACGCGCCCGUCUCUCCGUUUCCUCCUUGCCGCGCGUCACCACCUGUCAAAAAUUGAUAGGCGGAGGUAUUGCAAUUUCUACCUUGAUUAGUAUUUUUCUGGUUCUUAAAUUGCUGGAAUUUGUGCCUUUUUUCUUAGGUUUCUUGAUGGAUAAAAGCAGGAGGUGAUUUGGGCAUUUUUUGGGGUUAAUUUUGGGUAGAGUUGAGUUUAUUUGCUACUCUAUUUGGGGGUGUUUUCUGGUAUUGAUCGAAUUGUUGGGCGUUAUUUGGGUUUCGUCUGCUUGAGACCCCUAUUGCACCUUUAGUUGAGUAAUUUUCUGGGUUGGUUUGUUGAAUUAGUAUUGCCGUUGGUUGACUCUAAGUACCUUGUUUGGGGAGUAUUCGGUUUUGUGAUUUCAAUUACUCAGCUCAUUGGAGCACUUGCUGCGAUUUUGGGUUGCAUUAUUUCUACAUUUGACUAACAUUAGAACCACCAUUGCCUAUUGUUUGUAAUUGCUGCUUUGUUGAGGCUUUUGUCUUGACCUUGGGUGCUUAAAGUUUCCAUUUUCUUUCUUGGGGUGGUCGUUUAUGUUGCUUCAUUAUCUGUGAGGUGCACCGGUGGUACUGAUUUGGGGUGUUUUGCCUACCUUUGUUGAUUUUAUUUGGUUACCUAUCUGAUUGCGAGCUAAACACCUCGUGCAUAAGUUGUUGUCCGCAUUUGAGUUGUGUUUGCUGGAAUUGCCAAUCUCUUGGGUCGUUUGCUAUUUUUAGUAGGUUGCCCUGUGUAAUUGAUUGUCCAUUUGGAGAUAGUUGUUGCGAUUUUGGGUGGAAUUGUGUCUAAUUGCUGAAAUUUGUUGAUUUUGUCCAAUUGGGCACUAUUUGAGUCUAAUUGCCUUGUUUGGGAGUAUUCUAGCAAGACAUUUCAAUUAUUUAGUUCAUUGGAGCACUUAUUGCGUUUUGGACUGUCUUGAUUCUGAAUUUGACCACAUUUGGACCAUAAGUGCUCAUUGAUUGCAAUUGUUAUUAGUGUUGGGGUAUUUGUCUACCCUAUGGGUGAGUGAAUUGUGUCUUUUGUUCACUGGGUUGGUUUUAAAAAUUGUUAUUGGUUUGAAUUUCCUGUUUCCAUUAUUUGUUGGCAAUUGUAGUCCCUUGUGAUUAGAGUGACAUCUAGAGACCAUGGUGAGGUCAAGAUCCGCUUCUAGGUCUAGGACACCUAGAAACUCACAGUCUCCCCUACCCCAGACCUCUAUUCUCGCCUCUGACCCCUCGCACGAACCUUCUUCCUCAGGGAGGAGGGCUCGCCUUGGGAGGCAAAGAAGCGUCCAUAUUUCUGACCCUGCACAUUUUAAGGGUCAUUUGGACUUCACCAGGCCCGCUGACAGGCAACGGUAUGCUGAUUGUUGUGAGCGGCAGAUUAUACCCUGCCGAUAUCGGGAUGCCGCCACCUUGGGCCUUUUGAAUAUUAGAGUUGACUUCGAUCGCUUGAUCCAGGCCAUUGGGUGGCGUCCCUACACUUAUAUUGUUGACCGUCCGGCUUUUGUAGAGUUGGUUAGGGAGUUCUAUGCCACAUUUGAGUUCAACCUCCCCCCACUGGUUACACAGUUUCUACCCCCAAUGUCAUCCGUUUCCGCUUAAUGGGUCAAGAGUUCCACCAUUCCAUUACUGACUUCAAUCUAGCCCUUAGUUUUAUUGAUCCUGCCUAUGCCGAGUCUCGUGAGUAUGCCGAGAGUGCGUGUGACUACAUAGAGCCUUUUUCUCCCGCUAUCGGUAUAUUUGGGAGGAUGUCUGUCGAUCGUGUUGAGUAUGACCCCCGUCAGUAUAAGAGUUGUUAUCUGAAGGACCCGGCGUCUCGCUAUAUCUAGCGUUUCUUGGCCUAUAGUUUCUCGGGUAGGCGAGAUAACUCGGGCAUUUUGUCUAAGUCGGAGUUUUUCUUUAUUUGGUGCAUGCAUAAUAACAUUAAAGUUAAUUUGGGGUGCUGGCUCGCUUCUCAGUUCAAAUCUGUUUUACCUAAAAAGAAGCGCCCCCUGAUUCUUGAGUCCUAUAUUACUCAUUUGGCUGUUAAUUUGCAUGUGCUUGAUCUUUCUAACCAUGAUUUGCAUGUGACAUGUCAAAUGGAGCCCUUAGACAUUCUUUGUCUAGAGAAAAUGGGCUUGGUACGGGAGGGUGACAACGGGUGGAAGGUUGUUCUCCCGGGACCGAUUCGUGUCCAUCCUCGAUCCUCUUUUGCCCGUUCUUCCAUUGCUGGCAGUGAUCCUGGCCCUUUUUCCUCCGCUCCGCCUCCUUCUACCCCAGGGGCUGACGAAUGGAACCAGCUCUAGAUGCGAGUUGAAAGACUAGAGACUCGGAUGACCCACAUUGACGUUAACGUGCAUAACAUGGCACAGAAUUUGGCAGUAUUUAUGCACCAUGUAGGCCUUGCUCCUCAAUUUUCACCUGACCCACCACUGUUUUGACAACUUCAGGGAAGUACCGUUGCCCUUCUGCUUGCUCUUACUAUUUAUUUGUCACAUUGAGAGCAAUGUGUCAUUUAGGUGUGGGGAGGAUCAGUUGUGGUGCUAGUUUUUCCAGUUUUUAGUUUCUAGAGGUUUUUCCUUUAUUUUAGUUUGUUUUUGUCCAUCUUUCGUUUAUUUUCUUUUCUUUUGUCUAGUGGUCAGUUCUUAUAUGAAUACCAAGUUUUGAUCUGGGGUUGUUGUCUCUAAUUCUGAUAUUGCCAAGUUUUAGUAAUAAAAGAGUAUCAAGUUAAUGUGGUUGAAUUCAAGAACAUCUCUCUGGUGAAUAUCAGUAAUUGCUUGACUUUUCUAAUUUUUGGUUAACUUUUCUAGGCAUAGGGAAUGAUUGUUGGCAUUUUUCAUGUGAAUUGGUCCAGUUAUUAAUUUUAGUUCUCCAUGUUUGAAAAUUUGAGGCUGAUUGCUGUUAUUUUUGUGUUAUUUUUAGUUAUUGUAUUAUAUGAUUGUAAAUAAGAGUUGACUGUGCUCCGCUAGUUGCUACGACCGAAUAACCGGGGAUCUUCACCUAAAGUGUCGAUUCUCGCGUCAAAAGGGAGUGAUUUCCAUGAGUACGUGGUCGUGUAGCGAUAGGAGCUGAGUAACUGGGUUCCUUCAUUUAACAAAUGUUGGAGUUCACAUCAAAAGGCUCUAAUGGCUAGAGAUUAAAUCUUUUGUUAUUCUAAAAAAAAGAAAGAGAAAAAUAGAACACGUGAAAAAAAAAGUAAAGUAAAGAUUGUGUUAGUAUGUGAAAAAUUCAGUUUGUCGAUUUGUGAAUUUAAUGUUGAGAUUUUGGUGAAUAGUUGGACUAUUUGCUGAUAAAUGUGGGCAACCAUUCCUUUUUCUUAGAUUAGUUUGCUUUAAAUUGGAGGAGUUGGUGGUUGGGAAGCUAACCGGGGAGAUUUUUCUUGGAUCUUGACCUGUGAUGCUUGAUAUAUGUUUUUCUGGGUAUCUUGGCAAUACGGUAGUUGGAGCAAUAGCCAUUGUCAAAUUUUGGUGUUCAAUUACUGUUCUCAUGCUUGAGGGCAAGCAUGGUUCAGGUGUGGGGGGAAUUGAUAGGGUGUUAAUUGUUAGUAAUUUUAUUAUUAAUUUUCCCCUUUGUUCUUACCAAAUAUUGUUUUAACUGUUAAUAUCUACUUAUAUUUGGUAGCUGGACUUAAUUUCAGGGAUUGGAGCAGAAAAUUACAAAAAAGGAGAGACUUGCUGGAGAAAAUGAAGACCUCUGAAAGCUUCACAAACCUGGCCCACAGGGGGCUGAGAAGAAACGGAUCUCUCUUUUCCUUGUGCUGAUGAAGAGGUGCUGACUAGGAGUCCUCUUAUGAAGAGGAAACGAGAAAAGUGGAAUUGGCAGGGGCUCUCUUCUUGUACUUUGACUCUCAAUUCGGUAGGGACCAGGGAGGCAUUAGUCAUUGCUUAGAAACAAAUGUACAGAGGCGAGAGUUUUUGUUUUUGUGAGCAAUAGUUUAGUUUUCUCUCUUUUUCCUUUCAUGCGUGCCUAGUGUUCGGCAAUAGUCCCGAAUAGAAAACAGCUUUGACUUCUUGAUUAUUAGUGAAGAAAUAUGAUGUUUUUGAACUCAAUUGAAUUGCGUGGCGAUUUUCUCAUGAGGCGUGGCUAAGCCUUUCAUCUAGUCAAGAUUCAACUCGACGGCGCAGUCCCGAAUAUCUAUGAGAUCUAAUUAGUUUUCACGCGUUCCUUAAUUUGUUAAUAUUUGCACGUUGUCUACUUGAAUUUUCUUAGGAUUAUUUUGUUAAUUGGAUGUCAAGGGCCCGAUGUUCAAUGUGACUUAUUAAUCUCCUGCCAAAUUAGUUAAUUAAAUCCAUAAUUGUUUGAUUGAUUAAUAUUAGUGGCAACUGGCGUGUUUACAUACUAAGGAAACGUGCAAUCUAAUUUAAAUAACCCUCGUAGCGUAUUAUUGAUUUGGGUUAGGUUUUUCUAGUUCUUAAUGCAAUUGAAAAAUUAAUUCCUACGGUCGUACCUAGGAGUAUUUUCUGGUUAGGGGUAAUCAAUGGUCGUACGUUGGUUAUCAAUAAAUUAAGGAAAAAUUGGUCGUUAGAGUUCAUCGGCGACUAUAACUAGCCUAUUAAUAAAUUAAGUGAACCUCUCUUGCAUCAAUGAUCGGGUAAGUGGACUGUGUCUGAGUAGUUGUAUCCUCGGCUAGAAUUUAUCUAUUUUUGAUUUAAUUCCUGCCUAUAUUCGUGCUAGUUAAUUAUUUAUUUUUAAUUGAAUUACUUAAUUGUUUUUAGUUUCAUUCCGAUAAAAUUCCCCUUACCAAUUGGAAUCUUAAAGAGACAAAUAUCCCCAGUCCCUAAGGAGACGAUCUUGCUUGCCACUGUCUACUAUUUAGUAAAUUUUUUCAACUGAUUAAUUUUGGUAUAUCGGAUUAAACAAACUCUUUGGGAACAGGGUGAAUCAAGUAACCCAUUGCACACCUAGAGUCCCUGCUCCAGUACCUAGAGUUGAUUAUUGAUUGCGUUAGUGGUAGUUAGGUUUAUUUAUUAUUAUUGCACAGGUUCGACAUCUGUCAUCCGCAAAACACUAAUAAUAUGCAUCCAAGACAUUCGAUCAUAUACCUUCACCAUGUCCAACUUUAGUGCCACAUUGCCCCCCUGGGAUUUCCUACCGAUGCCCAUCAUUAGCUCCUGUGUGAGCAAAUAAUUUUCUGUGAUGUUUCACCCUCUAACAAACCUCGUCUGUUGAGGGGAGAUAAUUUUCGAUAAAAUCGGAGCUACACGUUCCACCAGUAUCUUGGAAAUCAGUUUGUUGAAAAAGUUACAGAGACUUAUCGGCCAAAACUUAGAGAAAUCUUGGUGAUUGGGGACUUUCAGAAACAGCACUAUGGAGGUGGAUGAGAUCAACCGAGAGAGCUCUGCCCUACAAAAGAAGCUCACCACCGCCCUAUGAACAUCAUUAGCAAUGAUGUCCCAAGCAAAGGUAAAGAACUUACCCGUAAAAUCAUCCGGACUAGUAGCACUUUCUCUAUCCAUUGCGAACACCACACGUCUAACUUCCUCCAUCGUAGGCACCUCUUCUAACCCCCGAUUAUCCUCCCCCGUGAGCAUCGAUGGAAUUAGGUUGAGCAACCCACCCAAAUUGGGGAUUGAAGACCCAGAAAAUAGAUCAAAGAAAUAUGCCACCGUCUUACUUGCUAUUGUUUCAUCGUCCUCCACCCAUGAUCCAUUCGCAUUUUUAAUCCUGUGUAUCAUCCCUUGGACCCUCCUCUGCUUGACCACCGCAUGGAAGUACUUGGUGUUCCGGUCCUUGUUAUGAAGCCAUUUCACUCUAGCCUUCUGACGCCAAUAUUGCUCUUCCACCGCUAGCGACCUCCUAAACUCCGCUUGGGCCUUUUGUAGCUCAACUUGCACCGCCUCAGAUACAUCAUUUUUCGCGGCCGCCUCGGCUCUUAACAAGCCUACCUCUGCCUCCCUGACUGCAUCAAAAAUAUUCCCAAAGGAGUGCUUAUUCCACUCCUAAAUACCCCUCCUAGCUGUCAGCAGUUUAGUACACAGAAUCCGCAAAGGGGAGCCGUGCGUAUCGACACUCCAAGCCUGCCGAAUUACCUCCAAUAAAUCUGGUCUUGCUGCCCAUACAUUUAAGAAUCGAAAUGGGCACGGUUUAUUGUCUAACCUGGAUGCAAACGAGACCUUCAGCGGGGAGUGGUCCGAUGGGUGCCUUGCCAGAUAGGCAACAGAGAUUGCCGAAGCAACUCCCUGACACUCUCCAUUGACUAGCAAUCUAUCUAGUCACUUCCAAAUUCGCGUGCGCCCCCUCCUAUUAUUACACCAUGUAAAGCUCGGUCUUGAAAACCCAGCGUCAAACACCCCCACCUCUUAGGAGGAGCUGAAUUCUUAGUACUCAAUUAAAACAAAAAUUCAUGUUACUCCUCCCUCUUGAAUUUAGGCAUUUGAUACAAUGAAAACUUGUAUCUAGUUUUCAAAUUGCAGAAGAUCUAGAUAUAAAUUGAAAGAGUAAAAUUUAUUAAAGAGUAUAAUGUUAAUAUUUUAGAUGCUCGAAACGUUAUUUCCCCUUCUACCAUAUUGGUAUUUUCUUUUUCUUUUCUUUAUUAUUAUUAUCAUUAUUUUCUGUAAGCAAGUGGUUUUUCUUUUUUCCUCCCUCUCUUUUGAUAACAAUGGAUGUGAAGUUUUACAUGCAAAGGAGAUCGAUUUUCGGAAGAUUAUAUAAUGGGGCUUGUAGACAAAAGAAGCAUCCCUAGCAGUACCUGCAAAUUUGAAAAAUUCUUGUUCGGAUUAUAUAUUUCGACUUGUGAUCUGAGUAUGAAACCAUCAGACUCAUUCAGAAGAUCUAUAGAUUGUCGUUAAGAAUCGAAGAAGCUGACAGCUUUUACUUUUCUUUUGAUUGCUUCUUGUUAGUGUCUCUGUCUCUCUCUCCCAAGCAUGCCCACACAAAUACGCUAAGAUAUGAACAAACAAUAACUUUUGAGACCCUAUAACCAUUAUUAAGUUUAAUCUUAGAUUGCCAUUUUUUUCUUGGAUAAAGUUUGUACAUACUAACAGUGUAUACACAAGUGGAGCAGGAUACAUGAUAGUGGAUCACAAUUUAAAUUUAAAUAUUAUAUUUUACAUAUAUGAUAGAUAUCUAACCCUAUUUGUAUGUAUACUAUUAAUGUAUAUAAAAUUUAUAUAUCUCUUUUCUUAUAAUUGGUAUUAUUUUCUACUACUAUUAAAUUGAACCGGCUCAAUGAUUUGCGGUGGUCAUAGAAGGAGGAGCAAUAGCAAAGGUGCAAGCCUCAAGAAAACCUACCAGCAGAAGCUGAUGCAUGAAUAAUAGAGGCAGAGCUAAAUGGAGUUGAGGGUGACCAAUUGUGAUGUGAGCAUGAGAUUUAUCAAACUGAGUUAGAUGCGGGCAUGCCUAACUUGCAUGAAAUCUUCUGGUUUGCAUGGUUUGAAGUCGAGAAAUUGUCCCAAAACAUAUUAAAGAACUUGAGAAUGAAGAUUGGAAACUUAUUCACUUUAUUCAAGUGAAGGAAGAGGUCAAUGUUCAAAAUGGGGGUUGAUUCGCCUUCAAGUUUGGUCUAGUUCUUUCCUGAUGAUUUAAUCUGAUUGGUUGAGUUAUUUAGAGUGUUUUAGUAGUAAUUUAGUCAUUUUAUUUAAUAGAAUAUUCGGCCAAUCAAGUGCAAGAGAGCCAAAUUCAAGUGUCAUGUUUAUUUAGGAAACUAAGUCAUGUUUAGCCGUUUCUAAGUUGCAUUAGAGUUUCGGUUGUAAGGCUAUAAAUACAGCCUUUAAGUGACUUUUUUACCAUUCGGUAAUAAACUUUUGAGAGAUGAAUUAAUAAAAGUGAGUUUCUCUUCUUUUAUAGAGUUCCUUGACGGAACUUGAAUUUGAUCUUGAACUGUAUCAAGUAUUUGACUUAGAUACUUGUGGUGUUCAAAACAAGAUGAUUACAUCAUCUUGUUCUUUCAAGUCAAUAACCAAUCUACUAGGUUUCUAAAGAUGGAUUCUUUUUAGGUCUAAUAAGGUAAUUAUUGUUCCAUAACCUGGUCAAGAUAGAUCUUUUCGCUGCCUAAUCGAUUCGAUUUCUUCCCGAUCGGUUCUUGGAGAAUCGAAUUCGUAUUUAGUGCAGCGGAAGAUCCGAGCUAUUUUCACAUGGGAUCGGAGCUUGGUAUUAGAGCUAUUUGAAAAAGGAAAAGGAAAAUAAAAAGUUUAAUAAGUCUAUGUUAUGAAUAUCAUGAUUCACCUAACUAAUGUCCCUAUCGAAUAAUCUUAAAAGUUCUGGAUUGUUAAAAAUUCUCAAUUUUAGGAAGGGAGGAAUAGGUUAAGUGAUACGAGGGGAAGGAGUCUAAGUGAGAGGUUUCGGAUUCGAGACCUCUCACUUACACUAAAAAAUAAAUCUCAAAAUUUAAUAGACUUUGCACCUCCUAAGGUUCCAAAAAUUCUUUAAAACCCACUAUAAUCUUAAAGGUUCGCAAUUAUAUACUCAUAAAUGUUAGACUUCCUCAACCCAAGUUUUUUCACAAAAGUGUACAAAUGCCCCCUUAAUUUUGCAAUUGUUACUUGUCUUAACCUACCAAUCUCAACUUCUCAUUUUACCACUGCCCACAAAUACACUACACAGGCACGGACACAUUGACUUCUGAGUUCAAGAACGAUUGAGACCUAAUCACCAUUAUGAAGCUUAAUUUUAUUUAAUCAUCAAUUGCUAAAUGUCGUCAAAUUUUACUUGUAACAACUCUUUACUUUUGAAAAUCUUUGUGUGAAGACAUAGAAACCGCUCAUGCACGACAGGGACAUUAGAAAUGUCAAAUGGUCGAAACCUCAACCAUUAACAUAGAUCUCUUUUGGAUGCACCAAAAAAUACAUGAGUAAAAAAUGAAAAGACACGAGUAAUACAUGAAUGAAAAAUGAAAAGACACGUACAUGUUUAUCAAUACAAUUGCUGUAGCUUAUACUAUUAACUGAAGUUGCAAAUUGAUUUGCAGUGGGCAUAGAAGGAGAAGCAAUAGCAAAGGUGGGAGUCUCAAGAGUCCUGCCAGCUGGGGUUGAAGGUGAUGCAUUGAUGACACCUACGGAGUCAACUUUAACUACUCCCUCUAUUCCAAUUAUUUGGUCCUGUUUUAAGAAUUCAACUUUUUAAAAAUAGUGAUUUAAUUGUAAUAUUUAUAUUUCUCUUUCUAAUUUUAUAGCCAUAAAUUCAAAUUUUGAAUUUGAAUGGUGAGAUGCAUAUGAUUAGAGAGAGGGUCUAUACUAGACUGAGAAACUAAAAGGUGUUUUAAUUUUUUCAACAGGACAAAAAUUUUGGAACAUUUUAAAAUAGAAAGUAGAACACUUUCAAUGAGAUGGAGGAAGUAAUACUGGAGGACGUUGCCCUUUCCCAUGCUCUGUUGAUAGGCAGUGUCAAACUCGACUUUAUGUUGAUUUAGAGUCAAAAUCAAGUAAAAUAUCCGUAAAGCCAGAAAUGUUUUUUUUUUAAUUUUCAUUUUAAAAAGACAUGUCCAAUAUGAAAGGAUAUUUCUUUUUUGUCUUGGAUAGUUGGUCAAAGUGGUGGGGUGGACGUGAGAAAACGUGACCUGCAUCAGUUGGGGUUGAUUUUUGAGUAAUUAGUGCACAAGUCAAGAGAUUAGAAUAUUGAUCUCAUGGAGAUAUAUAUGAACAUUAUCAUUGAAGGCUGUACUCUAAAGGCUUCAUAAUAUUACUCUAGAUAAUAUUGAACAAAUGAAGCACAAGAAGUUGAUGGAUGAAGGAAAAUGAAAGAAUCAUUAAGUUCUUAAAACUUUUGUCCAAAAUGGAUUUCUCAAGUUGAGUUUUAUCCAAUUUAGCUUGGUUGAUAUAAUAUUAAUCGCGAAUUUACUCUCACUUAUUUGUAUGAGUUGACAAAUUUCAAUUAUCCUGAAAUUAUGUUAGUUUACAGCAUAUAUUGUAAGAGUUACAUUAAUUGGACAAAAUUCAAUUGGAGAAGCUGUAUAUUUGGGAGAAUUACGUACAAAUUUUCGAGAUGUAAUUAAUCAUUCGAGGUGAUGUAUCACGAAUUUCAUUCUGCAUGACAAGUUGCUACUUGUAAGAAAAGUAGUUAUUUAUAUACUUCAAUUUUAUUUAACAUGAUUCACUAUCUCGUGAAUCACUGAUACAUUACAUAGAUAUAUUCCACCCUCGCGGAAACCGAAAUACAUACUAAAAAGGGCAUAUUAUUUAGUACUGGUUUAGUAUGAUAUUAGCAAGCCCCAAUUGUUGCUUAGGCGGCCAGGUACAAUAGUGUGAAGUUCCAUCAGUAAAGUGAAGAGUGCAGCCGUUCUCGAAGCAGCAAUUGGUGCAGUCUUUGUAGGUCUUCUGUCCAUCACAUUCCACGUACUCGAUCCCCAAUAUGCAAUAGAGUGGGCAAAUCUGUCCAGGCCCAGGCCUGACAGCCGUGACCUCCACAUUUGCCCCCAGAAGGAUCAUCCCUGUUUUUAGUACCAAAAUCAUUUUAAAUAAUGUGCAAAUCAAUUGAAAGAUGGGAUGAAUAGUUUUCUUUUAUAUAUAUAUAUAUAUAUAUAUAUAUAUAUAUAUAGAUGGGAUGAAUAGUUCUCUUUUUAUUUUUUGAAACUGCCCCAACAGGUUUAAAAUUGUACAUACCACAAAAAAGAAUAGCCAUUGCACCAAUCUUGUUGAUUGCCACGAUGCCUUGUCUUCCAAAAGUUUGCCUUCGAUUUGAAAUGACCUAUUCCGAUUUGCCAUGGUUCUUACAUAGACUGAGAAGCGUAAAGAGUGAGAGUCUAUCAAGCUACUAGGUGCAAGUAUUCUGCUUAUUGUACUUCCACGGAAUUGCAAGAUUAGUCCAUCCUAAAUUAUUGAAUGUGUUUGUAUAGAUGAUUAUUUGGAAUAAAUAUUUUCAAAAAACACUGUAAUACUUUCUGUAAAAUGAUGUAUAUGAAAUAAAAAGAAAGAUAGAAAGAUAAAAAAUUACUUGAGAAAUAUGUUUACGAUGCAAUUAUAUAAUUUUUUACAAAUAAAAUGAUAUCCAAACAAACACAAUCUUCCUCAGGAUUUUGGGACCAAUCCAUCCUAAAUUAUUGUGCUUUGGCAAAAAUUUGGGACCAGUCCUUCGUAAAUUAUUGGGACCAGUCCUUUCUAUACAUUCCGUUCUUUAGUAGAAUUCCCAUGCAAAAUUAGUCACAUUUUAGUUUCCUCAAUUUGUUCUUCACUUGCAUGCCUGUCAUUUAUGAUACCCAGCCAUUAUUCGGCCGCCUUGUGUCUGAGGUUGUUAGCCAGAAAACAUCAUAAUUCCACAGCGAUGUUUGAUAGACAGAAGACAUACAACUUUUUUAAAAAUACAUAAGCCCACCAUUUGUUUCGUUUCAAAUGUUCGUAGAAACAUCAUCGUAAUGUUGGAAUUUCCAUCUUCAGUGUGUUUUUAGUUGAUAAAAUGUAUCUGUUGACAGUCUAAUCUAAUGGAUCACAGUAAGAACUGCUCUAAGUAUCCUUUUGUAGGAUUAUUCUUACAUUGUUUUAUAGAAUUUUGGAACCACUCCAUUCUAAUUAAAUUAUUGUGCUUCCUGGUCCAUUCUAAAUUAUUGUGCUUCAGCAUAAUUUUGGACCAGUCCUUUGUUAAUUAUUGGACUGGCACGAGUCCCUCAGAUUGACGCCAAUGUCACCAAACCCCACGAAUGUGACUAUUCUUACCUUGUUUCAUAGAAUUUUGGGACCAGACCAUCCUAAAUAUUGUACUUCCAAAGAAUUUUCAAUCACUCAUCUUGAUAUUAAACUUUUUAAGCUUUCACCAUAAAAAAUGGACUAUGUUUAUUCACAAAAACAUUUCAAUGGUAACUUUGGUCAAUGCGGCUUGCAAAUAUUUUUUUUAAAGGGAAAUCUUUUUUUAUAGUUCAGAUAUUUAUAAGGGAAAAUUUGGUAUAUAAUUGGCGAAAGAUUUGAUAUUCAAGGACGGAGUAAAAUUUUGUCCAAAGUCAUAAAUAGGGAGUUUGAAUUCUUUUAAUGGGAAUUAAGCUAAAAUGAUAGAUUUGCCCAUAGAUAGUUUUGCAUGAAUUUAGGACCUCAAUUGGCCACGUUAUGUCCGUAGACAGUUUUGUAAAGUUUUCCAUGAAUUUAGGACCUCUAUCUUUUGCGCAUAAAGGUAUUCACUGUGUUAUGAUAGGAGAUUAUUUGGAAUAAUUUUUUUUUAAAAAAAAAAUUGUGUAGUACUUUUCAAUGAAAAUAUGUUUGAUUUUGGCUGAUGAGAUUAUGUUCGGAUAGGAGAUUAUUUGGAAUAAUUUUUUUUAAAAAAUAAUACAGUACUUUUUUGAUGUGAUGCCUGUGAAAUAAAAAUGUGAUUAAAAAUAUAUUUAUGAUAUAAGCAGAUAAAUUUGUAUAAAUAAUUUGCCAUCCAAACUAAUUCGUUGUGAGGGCCCGAGUUAGAUAUGUAUCCAUAUCAACAUUAAUCAAGCAAUCAAUACAUAAAAAUUGAACCAUCAUGUUGUACUACAUUAAACACGUACGAAGACAACAUUAAUUUCUUCUUUUUUUUUUUUAGGGUAGGUGACAACAUUAAUUUCUUGCUUGCAUGUUUUGCUAGAUUUUAAAUGAUUCUUUCAUAUUGUUGAUUAUAUACCACAUAUAUAUAUAGUAUGAAUAAGGGUACCUCCUGAAAGGACUACAGCGAAAGAACCUUUUUCUUUGUUCAAUAUAUCAGCUUUUGCGAAUUUCCGUUGAUGGUUUUAAUCUUGCAUGUGAAUUUCUAUACAAAAAGUAGUCUAUGUCCUUCGUGAAGCAGCACUUUCAGUUUGAGUAUUCAGCACAUGGGUGCACCAAACUCAAUUAAAUAGUUGUCAAGCUUACAAUAGGAGUGUGAUAUUUUAUUACCGUUCCUGUGAAUUUCAUGCAUAAUAAUUGUGUGUUUUUAUAUAAAAUUUACAAGUAGUUCACAAAAAAAUUAUAAGAUAUUCAAGAAGUGUUACGUCAUUCUGGUCCAGGUUCGAAGUCUGUCAAAUUGAUGCUAACAUCACCGUACCCCACCAAUGUGACUACUCUUACCUUAUUUCACAGAAUUUUGGGACCAAUCCAUCCUCAUAUCAUACUUCCAAAUAAUUUUGGGACCAGUCCAUCUUAAUUAAAUUAUUGUCCUUCCUGGUCCAUCCCAGUGUUUUAAGAAUCGAAUCGGAUUGACUGGUUCGAUCGGUCGAAUCAUGAACCGACAAUAAUACCAGUCUACUUUUGUGAGAAAAAUGAAAAGUUUUUUUUAAAAAAAACCAAUCAAAGUCGGUUAAAAUCAGUGAAUCGGAAUAAACUGAUUAAACUAGUCAAGUUCGAUUUUUGAAUUUUGACUUGGAACUUGGACAUUUUUCUAUGGGCUGCUCACUUUUUUGAGCUUUUAAAUUCUAUCAAAGACCAACAACUACAACUAAUUAUCUGCUACUACAAUUAAGUUGGUAGAUGGCCAUUUUUCGUCAAAUUAAAAAAAAAAAAACCUUAGUUAGCCCAAUUUAAAAAUAAAAUGACUAAUCUAACAAAAAACUAAAGAAACUCUCAAUUCUCUUCAUCCUUGAAAAAUCUUUACCUCCCGGAGCCACACUACAAGUUCUGCUCAUCGCCUCAUUUUUUAUUUUUUUUCCCUCUUCUCUUCUAUCUUUUCUUUUACAUUAUUGAUGGUGAAGACAAUAAUGAAGUUGAACUAGGUAGAUAAAGGAGCACACUUGUUUACCCUUUCCUCUUUUAUCUUUUGUUUUGAUAUUCAUGAUUUUUUCUACUUUUUUUGGAUUUAAUUUUACAAAUCCUAUAGAUUUUCUUUUGAGUUGGGAAAGUUAAACUCUUCUUUUUUAAUUUCAGAUAUUGGAUGGAUUUGCUCAUAUUUUUGUUGAUUCUUCAUUUUUUUUUAUGAAAUAUAUUUUCUUUUAUUUGGUAGAUGAAUUAUAAGGUACUAGAUCAAUAAAUCUACUCAAGAAGAUAUUACAAAAUUUAGGAUUUUUAGGUUGAUUUUACAAAUUAGAAGGUACUAUAUCGCAGCGCAAACGUACUUCAGUAAUUUGAAAUUUUUGCCAUGAAAAUGUAAGAACCAAACUUUGAGUUCUGCAUAGAAGUUGUAGAGAAUUCUCUUAGCUUGAAAUUGAAUCAUAAAUCAUCUUAAUCCAAUUUGUGUAACUCAAGUUAUCGCUAAAAUAUUGAAACAUGUCAAUCCUGCAAAAUCUCGUUCUCUUAACUUUUUCAUCUUCCAUUGAUACUUCACGCCACUUUUUUAAUAUGUUUUCUCUCCACUGGAGUUUUUCACCAAUUAGAACACUAUAAAAGCAAAAUUAAAUAUUUUUUUCCAAGAUCAACCUCAAAUAAUAUAUUUAACUAGCAACUUAUACUUAUAAACGCACUACGAUUUACAUCUUAUCAUAGCUGAUGCCGAAGGUGACGCAUUGAUGACAAUUGUGGAGUCAACUUUAACUAAUACUAGAGGACGUUGCCCUUUCCCGUGCUCUGCAGAUAGGCAGUGUCAAACUCGACUUUGUAGGAAGACUAGAUGCGAAUAUAUCAACUUGAGUCUUAUCAAACACUGUGUCUAGUUUCUCCAUAAUUAUCACCUAAUUUCAUCUCUUGUAGGACCAAGGGAUUUGUAGUGUCGUGCAUUAAGCGGAUAUGUAUUUUUCUUGAUAUUCAUUUUAUUUUUUUGCUUGUAUUUGUCGUUCACCAUAUAAUGUAUGUUUCAUUUUUAACGUAGUCUAGUCAAAUGUAUUGCUAUUUACAUGGGAAGUUCAAUGGAAAUACAUAUAAGAGAUCCUUAUUGUUCAUUUGAUCAAUUCAUUUGGUGUCUAAAAUUAAGUUUAGAUUAAACUUUUUUUUUUUAAAGUUGACACCACAUAAAGUUGUGAAUCAAUAAACCACUUCAUCUUAGUACUUUUUUGUUCACAGAACUACUUUUGUUGAUCAUGGUCAACCUGUUCUGUAGAUAAUUUUGUAGUCUUGCAAAAUUGGUGUCUUCCAAGGUGCGAAUCUUGUUUGAGGCUUAAAGGUCUCCAAAUUGCUUCUUAUUUUAGUUAUUAACUUGAAUACCUACUUUAGAUUUUUUUUUGUGGAACUUGCACUCAGACGGUUAAUUUUUGAAGUGGAAAGUGCAAUUUUAGUCCUUUAUUUUUAUUCCGUCCAUCAAAAUUCCCAAACGCUUCGCCAGAAACAAAUAUGAUACCUCCUAAUUAUUCUGACAUCCAUCAAUAAAUUUAUUUCAAUUUCUAAUCGAACGGCGCACUUGCAAUUCAUAGGGAUUUUUUAGACUUGCUUAAUAAUCACUAUUGCAUCGAACAUAAUAUUUAGAUGGUUCUCCUAGUAACUGAAUUGUGUGAUGAAAUGAUAAUUAACUUUGUUGAUGCAUACUUGAUUCUUUAACUAAGCAAUGAGAGACUCCACAAAUAUAUUAAUGGGUUUGAAUUUGGUAACGGGAGCUUCUCUUCUUUUUGCUUGAAUACAACCUUAUCCUUCAUGUUCCUCUAUAUAAUUUUAGUUUGAGUAUUCAAUACAAGCAUGUACCAGACUCAAUAAAAUAGUUGUGAAGUCUGUUGAAUUUCAUUAAAUUUAUGGACAAGUUUUUUUGGAGAGUUUGAUGUGAGCAGUUUAUCAUCUUGAUUUUAAUUUAGUUUGAUAUUGAUGUUCUAUGCUUUCCAAUGAGAUUGAAAGUCAAUUAAAGUUUAUAAAAAUCUUGUAAAAGUUUUUAGGGAAUUUCGCCAAUUUGGUCCCUAAACAUUUUCACUUAAACCAAUUUCGUCCUUGAUGAAAUAUUUUAACCAAUUUAGUCCUUGAACUAAUUUUUUACUUCCAACGUAGGACUUUUCACUGCAUUUUACUCAAUUUGCGUGGACCAACGGGGGUAUAAUUGUCACGCUGGUUUAAUCUUUUGCAAUUAACCGAUGAAACAAAUUAGAUUGAAUGUACUCGGUCAAAGUUUUUGCUUCAAAGCUCGCCCUCUUCCAGAGUUCUACAAGGAACGGGAAACACAAAACAGUCAGACUAAAAAGGCAUGUUAUUACACACACCUUUGCUACAUCUAGAAUUAAAUGUACCACAUCUUCCGAUUCUGAACCACAGAAUCCAGUUUUCCGUUCUUCACCAUUAAAGCCUUCAUGUCAAAAAACCUUUUUCUCAGUUGUUUUGUUUCCCCAAAAUGUUUAGCCAAUCCAUAGAGCCAGCAGCAAAGCAAGUGUUAAAAGUUAACUCACGGGAAGUCAAGCAUCAAGCUUUCGAACUUUACGUGUCCAUUUAUUCCAAGUGCUUUGGUAUAACUUUCCACUUCUUGCAGAAUCCAGUUACACAAUCUCAGUCACCUAAACUGGGAAGAAAGCUCAGCUCCAGGACAAUGCAAGGCACGAUGCCAGUCUCACUCCCACCACCAGCAACCUCUUUAAACAAGAACGGCGGCAUAUCCAAGCAUGUUUCCGGGAAGAAUGGUCGAACUGCGACUAGCUUCCCUGCUUCACGACCACUGUACAUAACUUUCGAACUUUACGUGUCCAUUAAUUUCCCCUAUUAUCUGACCUAAUGUGGUUAAUUGCAAAAGAUUAAACCAGCGUGACAAUUAUACCCCCGUUGGUCCACGCAAAUUGAGUAAAAUGCAAUGAAAAGUCCUACAUUGGAAGUAAAAAACUAGUUCAAGGACUAAAUUGGUUAAAAUAUUUCAUCAAGGACGAAAUUGGUUUAAGUGAAAAUGUUUAGGGACCAAAUUGGCGAAAUUCCCAAGUUUUUAUAUGUUUUUAUUGAAGGAGAAGAUUAGUCGUAAUACAACGAUUUACAUACUUAGCAUCUCUUUUAUUUUUAAUAAUCAUGAGAACAAAACUUUGUGGCUGAGAAUCACAAAAAAGUAAUAUGUACAGCAUGCAAUGCUCGUUCUCUCAUACUAGUUACCCUAAGUACAAGACAAAAGGAGCAAAAAACUUGUAACGCACGUUAUCUUGAUUAUUUUAUGUAAGCUAAUUUUCUUCCUCAUAUUCUUCUUAUGUUGAUUUAGAGUCAAAAUCAAGUAAAAUAUCUGUAAAGCUAGAAAUGUUUUUUAUUUUUAUUUAAAAAUAUAUCCAAUAGGAAAGGACUUUUCUUUAUGUCUUGGAGAAUUGGUCAAAGUGUUAAGAUGGAGGUGAGAAAAUGUGACCUGCAUCAGUUGGGGUUGAUUUUCGAGUAAUUAGUGCACAAGUCAAGAGAUUAGAAUAUUGAUCUCAUGGAGAUAUAUUUGAACAUUAUCAAUGAAGGCUGUACUCUAAAGGCUCCAUAAUAUUACUCUGGAUAAUACUGAACAAAUGACGCACAAGAAGUUGGUGGAUCAAGUAGAUUGAAAGAAUCCUUAAGUUCUUGAAACUUUUAGCCACAAUGGGUUUCCUGAGUUGAGUUUUACCCAAUUCAGUGUGGUCGAUAUAAUAUUUAUAAGAUUUGAUAUAAACUCAUAUAGUUUUAAUGUGAUCGUGAAUUUUGCUCUACUUUAGUUAUAUGAGUUGACAAAUUUCAUAAUUAUAGUGAAAUUUUAUUAGUUUACAACACAUAUUGUACGAAUUAUAUCAAUUAGACAAAAUUCGACUAGAGAAUCUCUGGAUCCACUUUUAGCACUUGUCUCUAUCUCUCUCUCUUUCUCCCUCGUAUUUUUGGGAGAGUUAUAAUUUUUCAAGAUGUAAUUAAUCAUCCCAGAUGAUGUAUCACGAAUUUGGUCAUAUACUUUCAUUUUAUUGAACAUGAUUCACUGUCUCAUGAAUCACUAAUAGACUACAUAGUUAUAUGCCACCCUCGCGGAAACUACAUUGCCCAUUAUUUAGUACUCGAUUAGUAUGAUAUUAGGAAUCCAGAGUACAGAACCCCAAUCAUGAGAUUAAUACGUUGCAUAAGGCCAUUUACAAUCUAUUGAAAAUCCACCAAUAAAGUAAACAGUGCAGCCGUCGGAGACGCAACAAUUGGUGCAAGUUGUGUAGGUCUUCGUUCCAUUACAGAUCUUGUACACGG
RNAcentral lists this long non-coding RNA (222853 nucleotides) under Coffea arabica (coffee). RNAcentral's name for it is "long non-coding RNA (CARA_LNC005727)". The record is from RNAcentral. Lineage: Eukaryota; Viridiplantae; Streptophyta; Magnoliopsida; Gentianales; Rubiaceae.